Molecule: long non-coding RNA, 203951 nt
Filed under: Citrus maxima (pomelo)
Lineage: Eukaryota; Viridiplantae; Streptophyta; Magnoliopsida; Sapindales; Rutaceae
Description: long non-coding RNA (CMAX_LNC000271)
Source: RNAcentral
UUUUACUUCUCGUUUCCCUCUUCUUUCAAAAUCAUCACCGAAUCAACAAAUAAUCUAGGGGUGGGCAAAAUACCCGAUCCGACCCGACCCGACCCGAAAAAUUUCGGGUUCGGAUCGGAUCGGGUUGCGAAUAUAACCCGAUCGGAUGAUAAAUUGUAAACCCGAUCGGUUUGUGAUCGGAUCGGGUUAUAUCCGACCCGAUCCGAAAACCCGAUCGGGUUGCUUAAAAAAAAAAAAAAAAAAACUAAACCUAAACCUAAACGCAUGCACACCACACACAAAUCACACUCACAUAAUCACAGUAGAACAGAUUCACAAGUUGUAAUAGUUGAACAGAUUCACAACAUGUGAUUCAUUGAAGAAAUCACAAACACAGAACACACAAACAAAAGUACAAAACUCACAAGACACACACACACACAUAGCAGUGUCGCGAUCUACUGACUCCCAACGGCCACCGCCAACGGAGGCCACACACGCUCCACCUCCAGUGCUGCGAUCUAUUCCUGUCUCUCCGAACUUCGACCAGUCCCCGCCGCUGCGCGUCCAGCCGUCUGCGAUCUGCCGUUGCACGUCCGCCCAUCUGCUGCCACCAACUGCCACCGAUCUGCUGCUGAAAACUCGUCCGUGAUCUGCUGCUCCAAGGCCAAGCCUCCAACCCGAGUACCCGACCCAAGUUUUUGCCCUUUGUGACUUUUGAUUUUGAAGCUUUCAUUUCAUGGUAUAUAAUUAGCGUUAAUUUUGAAGCUUUCAUUUCAUGUUAACCCUAACCCGAUUCUACCCGAGUUUAACCCGAUUUUUUGACCCGAUCCGAUCCGACCCGAAUAUAUAUCGGAUCGGAUCGGAUCGGGUUGUAAGAUCGGGUUGUAUUCGGAUUAAUAUUUGUCCAACCCGAACAACCCGAAACCCGAUCGGGUUAACCCGAACCCAACCUGAAUCUGAUUUUGCCCACCCCUAAAAUAAUCUUUCGCUCUGUCACUCACCAACUAAAUAUCACGAAACGAUAAAAAAUUAGCAAGUUAAUAGCAAAUUAACUAAACUGCUUCAAGCAAUAAUGGCUACUUUCGGUGCUGCUGCCGUUGCCACCAAUCAAAACCCUAACAAGUCCAUCGAGGUAUACUUUAUUUAUUUAUUUUCUUUAUUAUUUUUUCUUUCCGAUAAUCUUUAAAAAUUAUUUACCGUUAAAUUUCUUGUCGGUUUCUUGUGUAUGAUGAACUUGGCGACUGUUGAAUUAAUGCUUAUGGUGAUGUUAUUAUUAGGAUUAAGUAGAAAGUUAUAUAAAUUAUUUAUUAUAUAUUUUUGUCAGGGUUAAGCUUAAUUGCUUGUGUUAAUGUAAAAAUUAAUUCUACAUUUUCGGAUAAAGAUUUUUUUUUUUAAUGCUAAAUAUGUAUGCGAAGCUAUGAUCAUUUGUUUGCUUGCUGUCUUGCUGAACGGAUUGUUGAAAGCGAACCAAUUGCUAAGCUUGUGAAUGUGUUGGAGUUUCAGUGUAAAAGAACAGUAGUUAGUAAGUGAAUCAUCAGGCUUGCUAGUAGUGCUUGGAAGUUUAUAGUGUGAUUUUCAUACAGAAGACAUUGAAGUAAGAAUUUUCACUUCUUUUUAUAUGAAUUUAAAAUUGCAGUCUAUGUGGCAUUUUGGUUCGGGCAGUAAAUUGCUUUUAUUAUUAGAAGUUCAUCUGUUAGAAGUCUUCAUUGUGUAGUUGAGUGCAAUGACCUUCUUGCUAAGUUGGACAAUAUGUGCACGUGGAUAGUUAAGUGGUCAGUUCACGUGACCACAAACAGAAGAGUAGCCAUGUUGUGUUCAGAUGAAUGAAUGGAAAUGUUGGGCGUGUUUAGUUCUGCCAUGCUAACUUGUACUGACAAUUACCGAUGCUCAAAGUGGAUAUGAGCUGGCAGGGGCUAUGGACUCUCAAAUUGUCGGCACUCUUUUCCCAUACUUAUAUAAUUUAGGCGUUGUUUAAAGAGAAACGCCCUUGAUGAGUGCUUUAAUAUCGUAGGUUUUUGUCUUUCUUUCUUCUCUAAGUUGUGUGUCAUGCUCUUUUCUUUCUCCUUUUGGGUUUACAGUAUAUCCUUUCAUUUCUAUUUGGUAUCUGAUGUGGUCAACAGUUUACUGUGUCUCCAUGUGGUGCCAUGUGCACUUUGUAUGAUUUUGCGUGUAGUUGAUCAGUCACUUGUACUCUCUUGAUGUUCUUGUAUUUGAGAUCUUUAUCCUCUUGAUGUUCCAAUAUGUAAUUAGGUACUGGGAUACAAGGCAGCCAAAUCCUGUGCGCACUCAACAGCUGCCUGAUCGCUGCUAUGCGCUCCGCUUAUGGUUGUUGGAACUGCAGAUAGAAAUCUAGUUGUCUUCAACUUGCAGAAUCCUCAGGUAUCGUUUUUUAUUCCAUGAGAGCAUUGAUUUAUAUGUGUAAAUUAAAUGGGCAAAUUUGGUGCUGGCAGCUGAAGCAUGUGUUUUGAGUGGCAGCAGUUGCUGUGACACUAGUAGUUGGUUGACUUUGAUUUAAAAUUUAACUUGAGCCCAUCUUUUUUAAUUUGGAAUGGAAACAAUAAUUAUUUGUUGACUGUUUUUGGAAUUGAAAGCUAUCCUACCGUAUGGAACCACCUUCCCUUGUAUUUAAAAGGGUUCCUCAAUGUCAUGGAGCAUCCUGUAUAAAAUUAUUGUAUGAUUUCUUUUGUUGCCAGAUAUUUUUCUUCUGAUUGGUGUUGUCUGGAAAAGGGUUAUUUCUCGAUAUCAUUUUGUUUGUGUACAAGGAGGAAUGGAUACUAUAAUAAACUGGUCUACUGAGAAGAGCUUGAUGUUUGUAGAUUUGCCAACAUAUAUACACUACAGUUAUAGUAUGUAUUUCCAUGUCUUCAAUAUUCCUUUUUAAUUGAAAAAAAUAGCAAUUUGGAAUGGGUUUAUUUGCCUUAUAUCUUUCAAUUUUAUUUGAUAAUUUCAGUCAUGCUUUAUCUGUUCUUAUGUGAUGAUGAUAUAAAUAAGAUAUAAUAGCUCCUAGAAAUUUUGAAAUCUGGCUAAUUUAGAAAUUUGAACUAAAGGUUGGGUACAAUACUAUAUCUUCAUACACUAUCAUGAGAGUUUAGAUAACGGUUUCCGCAUUACCUGUAUUACAAUUUACCAUAUAUGGCACAUGCUUAUUGCAACAUAAAAAUGGUCAAGAGGCGAUGAAUUCUUGUUACUAUUUAACUUUUUUGUUGGGUAUUUAUUGAUUUCCAUAUUUUACCUUCAUGUAUUGUUCUUUUUAUAUUUUGUUUCACUUAUUUAUAUCUAAUAUAUGCAUUUUCUUCCGAGUAUGUCUAAUCAUUGUUUAAUGCUACCAGACUGAGUUCAAGAGAAUCAAUUCCCCUUUGAAGUACCAGACGAGAUGUGUUGCUGCCUUUCCUGACCAGCAAGGUUUCUGGGUAUGCAUUCAUUUAUUUUGAUCUCUCUUUUCUCGUUCCUCAUGGUCUUUAUUCUCGAAAUAUGAGGCAUUGUCAAUUGGGUUGCAUAUUCCCAUGUUUCUAAAUUUGCUUCCCCUGCCAGCAAUGAGGGGCUAAGUUUAGCCUCAAUUACUUAUUCCACUUUCAUCAACAUUGGCUCCAACUUCUUUUCAUUGAGAUCACUGUCUUUUCUUCUAAUCUUUGUGCUUCUCUUAUUUUUUGGUUGUUGAAUAUGGUGUUAUUCCGAUAGGUUGGUUCAAUUGAGGGAAGGGUCGGCGUUCACCAUCUUGAUGAUUCACAGCAAAGUAAGAACUUCACUUUCAAAUGCCACAGAGACGGUAGUGAGACAUGCUCUGUCAUCUCAUUAACUUCCAUCCUGUAAGCUUCCUUUUAGUGCUUUCUGAUUUCAAAUUUUCAGUUACAUAAAACGUUCGAGAUGUAAAACUUAGAAAUAAAAGUAUACAUUGGAGUGAUAUAAUAGCUCAUUUUGAGGUAACUUUAGCAUGCCACCCAUGUCUUACAUAAUUUUUCCCAGUAUUUGUAAUUUCUCUAAAGAUUAGAGAUCUUUCAAGUAUUAGAUCUUGGUGCCCUUAAGAGGUUGGUAUCAUAGGAAUUUUUAUCCAACAGUGGAAAUGUACUUUCUUUUGUGAGGAUUUCGAUGCUCAGUGCAUAUACUUUUGCUGUUAUUAACAUCAUAUGUUAUCAUUUAAGAUUUGUAGAGCAGGAGAUGCACCUAAGUAUUCUUCAUGUAAUUGUUCUUUUUGUCCAGAUACAUCACACUUUUGCAACUGCCGGAUCUGAUGGUGCAUUUAAUUUUUGGGACAAGGAUGGUAAACAGCGGCUCAAGGUGUUUUGACUUUCAUUCAGUACUUCAAUAACAAUUAUUGUUGUUGUCGUUAUUGUUCUUCCUAGAUGAAAUACAUAAAACAAUGUGAUUUUUACUGGAUUUUCAGGCCAUGUCAAGGUGCGGGCAACCUAUACCUUGCAGUACAUUCAAUAAUGAUGGCUCGAUAUUUGCGUACUUGGUAAAUAAAUUCAUCCAUCUUCCUAAAGUCGACUUGGAGUCUCUUAUCAUCCUACUUUUCACACAUGUUGGGAUAUAUGCUUAAGUUCAAGAUAAUGGCAGGAUUCUAGAAAUCCACGCCUCUUUCAUUCUGUCAGUUUGCAUGAUGCUUAGUCUUCUAUGGCUCAUGUUAAUUCAAUGUUACCUGAAUUUGCGUUUCCAUGAAAUUAAACAACUAAAAUUUCUGGUUCUUCCUGCUAUGUUCUGAUCCUGGCAUAGCAUAGUGCAUUGAUUUCUUGGACAUUUAAACUUAAACUAGAAAAGUGUCAUUCUAAAUCUUAUCUUGACAUUUCCUGUAGGUGUGUUAUGACUGGAGUAAUGGGGCAGAAAAUCACAACCCUGCAACAGCAAAGACUUAUAUCUAUCUGCACUUGCCACAGGUUCGUUUACUUUUUUGUUCAUAUACUACCAUCAAUAGCGUAUCUUUGAUCUCUCAAUUCUUGAGGAUCGCCAAUAAUCCCAUAUCAUCCAAAAUCUAUUUUGAAAAUAUUUCAAAAAAUCAUUCAAAAUAUGUUGGCUCAAGCUCAACAAAGCAGAAAAUCAAUGGGCCUACAACGACGAUAAAAUGAUUAUGAUAUGUCUUGAUCUUAUUGCAAGUGUGACAAUAAUAAAAAUUCAAGUUGUUUACAGUAUAUGCAAAUUAUCAUUACUCUUCAAUGUCUAUUUGAAUGUGCAUUAUCAAUUAACCGCAAAUUGGGUUCUUAUAAUCAUGAAUCCAAAUUCAAGCCAUUCAAUGGUUUAGCCCAUUUUAGUAGGCUUAUCAAUUUUAAUUAAAAGUUUAUUAGACAAAUUUAAUGCAUAAAAAUAGAGUGCUUUAAAGUAAAGCAUACAUUAAGAUUUUUAUGUGAUUUGAUGUCCAAAUCCCUACUUCUACGAAGCCUUGCUCAAAUAUCAAGACUGUAGGGGGGAAAGUGGCAAUUUCCCUAAAAUUAAGCAUAUAAGUAGACAACAUAAUGCAAAACUACCAAAACGAUAAAUAAAAACAAAUAUUGCAUAAUUAAAUAAAUAACAAGUGAAAAUUUUUAUUAUUAGAUUGUUAAUGUCGUGUUUGUGAAAGUUUAUUAUUCAAGUGUACGUUCUUAUUUAUUGAGAAAUAAUAAUUUUUGUGAUUAAACUUUAUUUUGAUUUUCUAGUAUUCUUUAAUUUAAGGAUUAAGUUAUUGUAAAAUUUAUAAUUUUUAUCCACUAUAUUUUUUUAUAUUUUAAUAUCAAUUUAAUAAUUAAUAACAAUUAAUAAUUAUUAUAAUUUUGAUAUAAUUAAAUUUUAUUAAAAUAAAAAUUAUUUUGAUAAUAAAAUUCAAACCAAACUCAAAUCAAACCCAAAUGGUUUGAUUUGGGUUGGGUUAAAAAUAUUUGGGUUGGUUUGGGUUGGAUCCAAAUUUUUAUGGUUUGGUUUGGGUUGACUUAAAAUCAAAUCCAAACCAACCCAUGCCCGCCCUUAUAUCAAGUGAUUCAUUAGAUUUAAGAGAUUAGAAACUAUUGGAACCUUAUAUAAUAUGAGACUCUCUCUUGGUGAUUGCUGCCAUCUUGUUAUAAUCUCACCCAAGUGAAAACUUUAUGUGCACCACACAUUUUUUUGCUUCCUCUUCCUAGUAAGACUUUUAAGUCAACAGUAUGUCGCCACUCUAUAGAAUUUAUAUUCUAUGAACACGUGGUCCCUUCUCCCAUCUCCCAAAAAGACUAAAGAUAAUGUCUCUCAAUUAAAGAAUGAUCCGAAGGUUGUAGCCUUUGAUGUAGAAUCAUUCUACUGCUCCAACGAUUUUUACUCCGCAAAAACUGGAUGACAUGGCCAUCGAGAUGAUCAUAAAAGAAGUUGGUAGAAUUAAAGUUUUAUAUUCUGUAUGCUUGUUUGUCUGGCAAGAAAUGAAGGAAAUUAUGUUGACUUAGAGAGGAAAAUUAUGAUUUGAUACAAUAGACUGAGAUUACAAUACAGUAUAUAUAUAGUAGCAUCUGGAACUUUGUGAAUGUAGCAGAAUCAUAUGCGCACACUACUAUUCACCACAACAUUUUGGUGGGAAAUAACAGACUUAUAACAAACUUUUAACAACAUGCAUAAUAAUCUUCCAGUAGCUUCCAGUAGCGUGGCAUCUGAUUCAUUACUUCACUUAACAAUUUGCUGACAUCACAGAACCUCACAGAGCUGACUCAACUUAUUCUUAACAGGUAGUGGACAAUCAAGAAGACAGCAGACACCAAGGCAACAAGAAUAAUGAAAAUUGCAAAGUGCGCGAUCCGUUGAUAUCCAUGAUCAAAUGAUUAAUUUUUUUCAAAUCAAUGAGUGCUUUUAUUAUCAGAAGUACCAUGUUUACUGAUUAUAAAGAAUUGUUAAAUAUAAAAUUAGCAGUAAAAUAAUUGUUAAGCAAAUAAAAAUCUAUCCAAUCACUGUAAAGGCUUUUCCAAAUCUAACAGCAUAACACAAAAGUAUUAGUUUUUUUUUUCUUUUUUCAUUUUUUGAGAAAUCCUUUAUUCUUUUUUAAUUUGUUGCAAAUAUAUACAUACGAUUUAAAAUAACUAAAAAUUACAGGACUCUAAAUUAGCAGUAAUCUCAAAAAUCUGUCCUUACUAAUGUUGCUUUGGUGGAAAUCGACCUUAUUUAAAGAGAAUGAGCCCCAUGCCAUUGGGCUACAAGCAGAAGCGGCCCAUAAAUAGUAGAGUAUCUAAAAUAGUAAAAUUAUAUCAUCUCCAUUGUCCAGAACACUUUAUAUAUCCAUUUCCAGUUUUCCACUAUAUAUGCAUCCCUAGUAUACUUUAAGCGUUGAAGAGGUCUGAUGGAAAGAAAAAAACAAAUUGAUUAGAAUCCUUCGUUUCUAGGGGAUCAUAAAAGGCUUUAUUAUUUUUCUUUUUCGAGUGGUGCUUUUUACAAAUAAAAAUGCACAAAGCUAGUAAAAGAUGAAUCUAUUCACUUUAUCAAUUCAAUAAUGAUAUAGUACAAAUAAUUUUAUAUAAAUUGAUAUGUACAAACUGAUGUGGCAUAAAGAAAUUUAUUGAAACGUGACACAUUAUUUUUUUAAUUAUGUGAAUCCACGAUGGUUUUAUAGAACCAACCUUCGAUUUUUUAAGAUUGUUAACAGCAGAGGGGUGAUAUUCAAAAUUAUUGAUCGAAUAGGGAUAACUUAUUACCUGAUUCUUCUUUAAUUACAAGAAUUCUGAUCAUCGAAGUUUUUUGAACCUUCCCAAAUCAAACUUGGCUGUGGUUGGACUGAUAAUUUCUUUUAGUAUUCUCACAGUAGAUCACUUUCACAGUUAAUUGGAACUCCACUCGUGAGUCGCGGACGCGGUAAGUGUAGACUUGGGAACUAGCUAAAGUCUUAGUAUUAGGACCUGUUUGUUUUUAUAUAUGAUAAUCAACACAAAUCAGUCUAAUGAUUCAACGUUUAUGGAUCGGCACGCAAGACUUAAUUGGAUAAGACUAUUUUCAGCGUCAAUCGUAUUUUAUACGUUCUAAAAGAAAAGUCUUUGUUACUUUCUAAUUAGUAAAUUUCCUUUAAGAUGAACUGUAUCAACUGGGGCUAGUAAUCAGUUGAGCUCAAUGGAGCGUUAUGUGGUCAUCACUGUUGUUAAUUUAGUAAUAGCUUCAUUCGUCGCCUUAAUAUUAACAUUCGUUGCAAGGGUUUCUGUAAUCAUCUCGAUGCUGCUGCUGAUCGCAAAUGCGUGUGGGAUGAUACCCUUGGGUUUGAUUAUUAUUUGUUAUGUGAAGAGAAAUCCGGAAAGCAAAGGUACGUAAGAAUAGUUAAUUAAUUUAUCAGGCAUAGCAUAUAUAACAUAUGAUUGUUUGAUCGAGUAUAUAGUACGAAUAUUUUUGAUGUCUUCACCAUUCAGGGGAGGAUUUGAUGCGAUUUGAUUUGGGUAUGAACCAACAAGCUAUUAACAUAGAGCUUGCUGAAGCAAAUAAGCAUGGAAACAGUGGAAAAAAGCAAAUUGAAUUGCCCUUUUUCAGUUUUUCCAGCGUUUGUGCAGCAACAAAUAAUUUCUCUGCCACAAAUAAACUCGGGGAAGGUGGUUUUGGUCCUGUAUACAAGGUAAAAUUUUAAUUUUGGCAACAAGCUUAUGGACUAAUUAUUAUUUAACAAGAACUACAAUUUCAGGGAGUAUUAGCAAAAGGAGAUGAGAUAGCUGUGAAACGGCUUUCAGGAAGAUCUGGACAAGGAUUGCGAGAGAUGAAAAAUGAAGCUUCAGUGAUAGCCAAGGUUCAGCACAAGAAUCUUGUUAGACUUUUGGGCUGCUGCAUGGAUAAAGAUGAGAAGAUUCUGAUCUAUGAGUACAUGCCUAACAAAAGCUUGGACUUCUUUCUUUUCGGUUAGUUGUUGCAUUUGUUUCUUAUUCUUACAUGUUCCUUACUUCAAAUUUUAUUCAUACAUUUGUUUGAACUAAUAUUUAAUAAAUAAAAUUACAUAUCAAAAAUUUAUUUCAAAAUUUAUUUAAACUAGAAUUUAGCCUAUAUUACAUUUCCAAAUUUUAUUCAUUAAUUUAUGUAAAAUAGCAUUUAGCAUUUAAUUUAAGAUUAAACAUAUAAUUACAUUCAGUAAUUUAUUCAAACUACUACAUAAUACUAAAUAUCAAAAUUAUUCAAUUAUUAAUUUAUAUUGAAAUUGAAUAUCUAAUAUAAUAUUCAAUAAUUAACAAUAUAAAUUUAAGAAAUAAUCAUACUUUUUAAAUAGCUUUUUUAACUUCCUUAAACUAAAUUUAAUAUCAGUGGCGAAGCUAGCACUAUUUUUUGGGGUGGGCUAGAUUUUUUUUAAAACUCAAUUACUUCUCAAAAAAAUUAUUCUAUACAAAUAAAAUGAUUAAAAUACACUAGACAAGCAAGAAAAACUAAUAACAAAACUAUAAAAGUACAAUGUAAAUAAAAAAAAUACUAUCAACAAAAUUUUGUCAUGUGAUUCUUCAGAAAAGAAAACUCAUAUAUCGUAUCUGAAUUAUAUUAUCUGCGAUAGUAAUACAUUAGAGAUACUAUCUGCGAUAAUAAUACAUUAGAGAAUUAUUAAUUAUUUUAUCAAAAAAUUUGACAAAAGUAUAAGCUAAUAACUAAUUCAAAAACAGUAAGAGCAUGUGGGUGCGGCAGAGGCUAGCCGUCACCCAUGAGGUGGCAACUUGAUGACUUGAACAACUGAAUUUUGGGGAAUUUAGACUUUGAAUAAUUGGAUCAAUUAGUUAGGGAUUUAGGUGAGUUUUUCGAUUUAGAGAAAAUAGAUAUUGACUAUAAUUAUUAGUUAUAUUUUUAUAUUUUACUAUAAGUUUUUUAAAAAGAGUAAAUUUAUAAUUGAUUAAUUUUUUUUCAAGAAACAGCCCGGGUUAGCCCCCUCAUAACUUCGCCCCUAUUUAAUAUGAUCUCGUCCCAUACUAAACCAAACACAAAACGUGACUAUAAAAUAAUUCAGUCUUAUCCAAUCCAAUUAAAUCUUAAUAAUUAGUUCAAUCCAAUCCUUUGUUUACCUAACCUAAAAGAAUAUUUAACAUUUAGGUGGCGUUUGUUUUUUAACUUAAUGACUUAAAGUGACUUAACUUAAUUAAUUAAGUUAAUUAGAGGUGUUUGUUUUUAUAACUUAAUGAGACUUUUUAGAUAAUUUUGACUUAAUAAAAUAAGCUAAUUUUUUUGGCUUUUUACUUAAUGGAGAAAUCUGAAUUAAGUCAAUUACUUGCUAAUGUCAAAAAUAUCUCUGUUUUAUAAUUUAUUUUUCAUGUCUAUCCCAAAACUCACCCAUAUAUAUUUACCCCACAUAAAAAUAUCUCUGUUUUUUCUUUCUUAUAUUAUAUACGAUAAAAUUUAAAAUUUAUGGUAUUUUAUAUAUUAAAAUAUUAAAAUAAUUAUGUAUUAACUUGAAUAUAGUUUUACUUAUAAAUGUUAAAAUAUUGUGGUAUUUAAUAUAUUAUUUAUUUGACAUUCAAAUUUAAUAAGGAUACAAAUGUAAAAGUACAUAUUUUUAGCUUUUUAAGUUGAAAAAAACAAACAACUUAAUACUUAUUUUCUGAGAUUCAGACGAAAAAACAAACAUAUUAUUCAGAUUCAGAUAUUCAGACCUAUUCAGAAUUCAGACUAAUUCAGGUCUAUUCAGAUUUCAGAUAAAAAAACAAACGCCACCUUACUAUUUCAUUUAGCUAUUUUUAAGUUUAAUGAUUAACAUCAUCCAAUUAUCAGAUUUUUUAUUAAAAAAAAAAAUUAAGUCACUAGAUCAAUUUACGUUAAAUAAUGUGGUCUACAUUUUUUUUGUUUUCAUGCAUAAUGACGUUUAGUUCUUUUGUUGUAAAUUAGAUCCAACCAAGCGAAUGUUAUUAGAUUGGGUAACACGUCUUCGGAUUAUUGAAGGGAUAGCUCAAGGGCUUCUUUAUCUUCAUCAAUAUUCGAGAAUGCGAAUCAUUCAUCGAGAUUUAAAAGCCAGUAACAUCUUGUUGAAUAAAGACAUGAAUCCCAAAAUAUCAGAUUUUGGAAUGGCAAGAAUUUUUGGAGAAAAUGAGUUACAAGCAAACACUAGUAGGAUCGUCGGGACUUAGUAAGUGAAUGACACAAAUCAAAAUUAAAGUGAUUAAGUUAUGCAUAAAUUACUGAUUAUUAUUUAUCAAUUAUUGAAUUACAGUGGUUAUAUGUCCCCCGAAUACGCAUUCGAAGGAAUAUUUUCAAUUAAAUCUAAUGUGUUUAGCUUUGGAGUAUUGUUGCUUGAGAUUGUAAGUGGCAAGAAGAACACUGGAUUUUAUCGAACCGACUAUCUCAAUCUGCUGGGUUAUGUACGUAACAAAAGUCGUUGCACAUAUUCUUUUUAUACUACUUAGGUGAAAUUAUAUAUUAAUUCCCACGUCAUGCUUAGGUGUGGACACACACUUUUACAAUGUGAAAACGUUUGGAUUUUUGCACCUGACUAUUUUUAAACUAUUCUCUAUAUCAAGUGUACAACUAUCUAAUAACAUCGUAUGGUUGUUCAGGCAUGGGAUCUGUGGACAAGCAACAGGACAUUGGAGUUGAUUGAUGAUCCAGUAUUAGAAGAUGAAUAUUCCUCCAAGCAUAUGCUUUUAAGAUAUGUGAACAUAGCACUCCUUUGUGUACAAGAAAGUGCUGAUGAUAGACCCACCAUGAAUGAUGUUGUAUCCAUGCUUACAAAUGAAGCUGCAGCAUUACUUCCUCCCAAACAACCUGCUUUUUCAUAUGUAAGAAAUACUGUGACUUCAACAUCGUCCACCAGCAAGGUAGAAGAUUGUUCAGUCAACCAAGUGACGAUUUCAAUUUUAGAAGCGCGCUAAUUUUUAUUUUAAUUCAUACAUUUUGGGGUUAGGUUGUUCUAAUUACUCCUCUGAUCCAAUAUUUGAACUGAGUUUCCUAUUUUUGACUCGCUGGUACGUACCGACCAUUUCUCAGAGUUUAAAUUAAAGUUUAAAUUAAUUUUUUUUUUUUUUGUUUUCUCCAAGAUUCAAACUUACUCCUGAGACUAAUUAUUAGAUAUUAUAUGGAGUAAUGACCCUGAUUUUUAUUGGUUCAACGGGAUAUGAUACUAUCACGAGUCUGAUAUAUAAAAGGCCAUGCAUGGAAGUAUGGAACCAUUAUUUUCGUUCAAUGGGAUCAGAAUCAAGAAACUACGAACUUGGGGGAUAAAAUCAACAAUUUGUAAACCGACAGAGGGAGAGGAUCAAAACAUAUGUAAAGUCCAAGGAGAUGAACUAGAUUUCAAUUAACGCCCUUAUCUUGCUAUGAAUUAUAUAAUUCUAAUUCAAGAGAGACACUUUUAAAUAAAAAUUUAGACGUAAUAUUCUGACCAUUAUAUUAAAGCUAACCAAAAGUUGAUAUUGAAGCUAACAUGCCUUUUUUAAGUUUUAAAAACUAAAAAAUUAAUAUAAUAGAUCUCCAUAUAAUAAUAAAUUAUUCAUUAUUCGUCUCUCUUUAUAUAUAUUCCCUCUUUUAUCUCUUUUUUUUCAUCCGCUUACCCUUUUAUGUCUUGCCUACAUUAAUUAGUUUGAACUUUUGCAUGGCAUCAGUGCAAAAACUUAACCGACUGAUAGAGCAGAAAUGGACUUCAAUUUUAUUUUCACUCGUUGACUAUUUUCAUGCAAAAUUAUUUUGUCCAUCAAAAUUCGUAGCAGGACAUAUAUAUUCGUUUCUAUGUGUACAUAUUAAAAAUAAAAUAAAAUAAAAUAACAAGGAGAGAAAGGAGAUCACCAAAAUCACUAUCAAAACGAUAAUGUUUUUAUCACUGUUUUGUCACCGUUUUGCAUUUUGUUCAAAUAGCAGUACACAGAUUUUGAUUGUUUAGUGUUUGCUCCUAACUCAUUCCCUUAAAAAAUUAUCCUGAUUUCAAAAUCCAAUAAUUUAGGAUUCAUGUCUUUGUCCAACAACAUGUUACUAUUCUUUUCUUCUUUCAAAUCCAUGUGAGUAAUCAGCGCACGGUGCUUACAAGUCUUCCCUGCUGACCUGAAGUCCUCUUCGGCUGCUUUCUAAUUAAUUAACUUGGGCUACCUUUACUCUGCUAUAUUACAUACACAUUGCAACUUGCAAGUUCCAUCCCUUCUCUUCGUUUCAUUUCAACUCCUAUUAAACCCAAUCAUGAGAUCAACUUUACUCUUAUCAUGGCUUUUCUUGAUACCCUUUUUAGCUAAUUAUUUUGGGAUGCAUAUGGUUUUGGUGUCUGGCCAAUGUCAGGGCCAUCAAAAAUCGCUAUUAAUCUAGAUGAAGAAAAACUCCAUAUUUGACGUUGAAAUUAAUAAUUUAUGUUUUAUUUUGAAUUAUAAGUUAAUUACCUCUUACAAAAAUAUUAAAACUGAGGCUGCCGAUGUGCCUUAAAGAGCGAUAGCAAGAUUACUAUGGAAAAACACGCGCGAUCGGAUACAAAAUUGCUAUGACACAACCAAGCCAUACAUUUUAUAUGACAAACCCAUUAAUUAUGAGAUAGAGAUUAAACAAUGUUAUGAUGAAUAGGAUUAAUUUUAUCUAUCAAAUCAAACUAACCACUUUUUAAUUAACUAGAGACGAUUAUCAUUUUGUACAUGUGGGUCCAAUCCACAGAGAGCUUCGCCGAAGCUGAAAGCAGUGGGUAAAGUAGCGGAUACUCACUCUCAUAAUCUGAUUGAUCUUUGGAUUUUCAGUCCAUGUCCUAUUGUGAUCCUUACAUUACAUAUGAAAGAUCAAUAAUACAUAGAGAGCUAGCUUUAAACACCAGUUGAACAGGGAGAUCUUUUAUUAAAAAGAUAUAAUGGAAUUAAUAAAAUAGAUAUUAGAAGGAUUUUUUUUGUUUUUGAAAAUUCUAGUCUAAAAGCUUUAUAAAUAAUUGCUAUUGUGAAAAAUAUGGAAUGUGGUUUUUUCUCAUAUUAAAAGUUGGAAGGUUGUCAAUAGGUAAAUUUCCUAAUAACUUUCCAACGUGUCUAUGAAUCUUGUGUCGGCUCUUCGUAGAACCUGUAAAACCACUAUCAAUUGUUAGCUCUCUCCUUACGGUUUUUACAAGUGUGCGGGCUCCACGAGCAAAUCAGCGUUCAGUUCGACGCGAGAUGAAUUGCAUUCAAUCACUUUUUUUUUUUUAUUAAAAGCAAUAAAAUCACUAUCAAAUGUUAGCUGUAUCCUUACGAGACUUUUCGAAGUCUACGGGUCCCGCAAGCAAAUCAAAGUUGAGUUUGACACGAAAACGAAUUGUAUUCAAUCAAUUUUGAGUUUUUUUUUUAAUAUAGUAGAUGAAUAGUGAAAGUCUAAAUUAAUUCUUUUUAUUAUACUUAUUUCAAGAUUCAACCUCACCUGAUUAAUUAAGUAAAUCUGUUUAAUUAUUGGAUAUUAUAAUAAAUAAAGACCCUGCUUUCUAUUUGUUGAAUAGGGUUUGAUGCUAAUUAAUAUACUGGAAAAGGCAGAAAGAAUCCUAAUUAAUAUAAGCAGCGAUCCAUGGAGCCAUGAUUUUGGAUCAACGGGAUCAGAAUCAAGAAACUACAAACUUGGGGAGGCCAAGAUCAACAAUUUGUAAAAUUAUGGAGUGAGAGGAUCAGAACAUAUAUAGAGAUUCCAAAGAAAUGGACUAAAUUUUAAUUAACACCCUUAUCUUCCUAUGAAUUGUAUAAUUAUAAUAUUGUAAUAAUCACAUAUUUACUUGGUCCCAACGAUUCCAUUGGUGCUUGUUUCUAACUCAUUCCCUUCAAAAUCCUAUCCCUCAUUUCAAAAUUAUUUUAUUUAGUUUCCAAGUCUACGCCUAAAUGCUAAAAACUUUUAGUUUGCUUUGAAUAAUCCUAAAAGUUUUUGCUUUAAUUUUCUCUUAUGCUUACUUUGGUAUAGCUUUCCAAAUAUAGCUUAUUAAAUAGAGUUUUUAUUAGUAAACUUUUUAUAAAUAGUGUUUUUAUAAAAAUAAUUUUAGUUAUUUGUUUGUCAAUGGAAGCUUUUAUUAAAAAUUAAAAAAUUAUUUAAUAAGCACGUUUUUUUAAAUUAUAUCAUAAAAUGAAUGAAAUAAAAUUAUCAAAUAAAUAAAUGAUAUUUUAGAUGUUUUAACAUUCUUAACAAUAAUUUUUUGAACAUUUACUCCCAAAAAUCCAAAUUUUGAGUUUUUACUAGUAGAGAAAAAAUAUCUUAUUUAAUUUUCAAAAGCUCUACUAAAAAAAAAAUCCAAACAAUAACAAUAAAUCUUAAAAGAGUUUAUAUAAUUAAAGAAGUAUUUAUAUCAUGCCAACCAUACAGAAUGUCUUAUUUGUUUGAGAUUUCUUUUCUUCUCUCUGUUUGACAAAGUUAAUAAAAUAAUUAACAAGAAUUUCAAAUAAGGGCCUUUACCUUCUGUCAUUGAGACAAUAUUCACCUCCAAACUGGCGCCACUGUAGAUAUAUAUUGUAUGGGCAAUAUUCAUAGAUGAUCUCUAAGAGUUCAUGCUAAAUUUUAGUUGCAAUAAGAUAUAGGCUAUUUCCACCUUAAAAACUACUCUGAGCACUCUGGUUUUAAUAAAAUAAUUUAAUUACAAAAUUAAUCAUCAUAUAAAUUACUAUUAAGAUUUAUUUAUUAAUGAGCCAAUACAACUUAAUUACUUUAAAACUCAUAUAAUACACUCAUUAUUUAACAUAUAAUCUUUUAUAUCUAACAUCUUAAAAUAUAAUUCAUUGAACAUGCAGCAAAUCAAAUUUUAAAUAAUUUUGAAGAUAAAAUAUUUGUAAGACUUACAUUUUUCUAGAAAUAAAAUAAACUGAAAUUAUUGCAAAGGUGUUCAUUUUUUUUGUCUUUAAUUUAAAAAUAAAUAAAUUAAAGCACUCUAAACCUAAUAACCCAGUCAGCAUCUUCUUCUUCUUCUUCUUCUUCUUUUUUGUGUCAAAUUACAAUUUGGUUUUCAAUUAUUAUUGGGGUAGUGAAAGUCCAUACUUCUUGAUCUUAUAGAAUUUAUAGGUGCAAAAAUUGAUAUGGAAUACAUUCUUUAAUUAACGAAAACUGAUAAAUAAAAUUAUUUUAAAAAAUUUGCUUAAAACUUGACUUAAUUCCAUUGUUGCUAGUUAUGCUACAUUUAUUAAAACGAUUUUCUUUGAGUGUGCUGAAUAUUUUUAUUAGUGUUUUGAGUAAAUUAAUUUAAAUGAUUUAAGUAGGGAUACUUUUGGCAUCUUAAAGAGUGUACAAAAUAAAAAUUAAUUUUUCAAAUUUAGUAUUUGUGCAUAGAGUACCCUUUUUUUUUCAAAGAAGUUAUUUAUUCCUAAAAAUUAACAAGAUAUUUAUUCAUAGUAUACAAUGAAAGACAAUGCUAAAAGAAAUGAGCCCAACCAAGUUUUAAGCAACUUACUUCUAUAGUUUUAUGCGCGGGUCUCCCACUAACUUUUUAUUGUCGUCAUUUUGGACCUAUGGAAAUGGAAGAUUCCUGUAUUUGAUGCAGGCAUUUAACCAAAAGAUCCAAUUUUCUUUUCUUAUUUUUUUUCUCCCAAGUCUUGGCAACAUUAAUUGGUUUGAACUUUUGUAGUCUUCUAGCUCCCAGUUUAUGCGUUGGGGGUGUACCUUCUAGGGAACUUCGGCCAUCUUUUUCCUAUUAAAUGAAUUCAUCGCAACUCCCAAGUUUCAUCACUCCUCUACGAGUUUCAUUUCAGCAAUUAUUAAAACAAUGCGACCAAUUUUACUCUUAUCAUGGCCUUUCUUGAUACCCUUUUUAGCCAAUUAUUUUGGGAUCCAUAUGGUUUUGGUUUCUGGCCAAUGUCAGAGCGAUCAACAAUCGUUGUUACUCCAAAUGAAGAACAGUUUCAUAUUAAGCAAUCACAGUGUCUAUCCAUCUACAAAACUGAGUCAGUGGAGUAGUCAUCAAAGCUCUGAUUGUUGUGAUUGGAACGGUGUAAGGUGCGAUGAGGCUGGUCAUGUUAUUGGUCUCGACUUGAGCAGGGAACCAAUCAUUGGCGGACUUGAGAAUGCGACUGGCCUUUUCAAUCUUCAAUAUCUGCAGAGCCUCAAUUUGGGUUUCACUUUCUUGGACGGAUUCCAAAUACCAUCCAGGUUGGGCAACCUGACAAAUUUGACUUAUCUGAAUCUUUCCCAGGGUGGCUUCGCAGGGAAGAUUCCCAUUGAGAUUUCAAGCUUGACAAGGUUGGUUACUCUUGAUUUGUCAGGCCGUGAGCGCUCAAGAGGAUUUUCCGGGAGAAUUGAGAUCCCAAACUUAAGCUUGUUUCUGCAGAACUUAACAGAGCUCAGAGAACUACAUCUGGAUCAAGUAGAUUUGUCCGCCUCCGGAACUGAAUGGUGCAAAGCUUUAUCAUUUCUGCCCAAUCUACAAGUUUUAAGCUUGUCCGGCUGUGAUCUUUCAGGUCCAAUAAAUCACUACCUGGCAAAGUUACGGUCACUCUCCGUGAUUCGUUUGCAUUACAAUUAUGGUCUAUCCUCAGGUACAGAAUUUUUGGCCAAUCUGACGAAUUUGAAGGCCUUGGAUCUCAGCGAGUGUGGGUUGCAAGGGAAGUUUCCAGAAAAGAUAUUGCAGGUUCCUACCCUUGAGACUCUUGACUUGUCAAUUAACCAAUUGCUUCAGGGUUCUCUGCCAAACUUUCCUAAGAAUUCUUCUCUUCGGAACCUGAUCCUCUCUGGGACGGGAUUCUCAGGCACACUACCAGAUUCCAUUGGGAAUCUUGAAAAUUGACAAGGGUAGAGGUUAGAAGUUGCAAUUUCACAGGGCCAAUUCCCCCUUCAAUGGCUAAUCUUACCCAAUUAUUUCACAUGGACUUCUCAUCUAACCAUUUCUCUGGUCGCAUCCCAUCUCUUCACAAGUCAAGAAAUCUCAACUACUUAGACCUUUCGUUCAAUAAUUUAAGUGGUGGGAUCUCAUCCACCUUCUGGGAACAACUUGUAAAUCUCAAUCUUGUUCUCUUGUCGCACAAUUUACUUAAUGGAAGUAUUCCCAGAUCUCUGUUUCUACUUCCAAAUCUGGAGAUGCUUCGGCUCUCCAACAACCAGUUUGAGAACCAACUUCCUGAACUGUCAAAUGUGUCCUCGUCUGUAUUGUUUGAUCUUGAUUUAAGCGGCAACAGAUUAGAAGGGCCUGUUCCCAUUUCAUUAUUCUUUGAACUCAGAAACCUUGAUACCCUCGAUCUUUCUUCCAAUAAGUUUAGCAGAUUGAAACUGGCUUCAAGCAAACCACGGGUCAUUCCUAUUCUAAAAAACCAAUCACAACUUUCUGUUUUGGACAUUUCAAAUAACCAAAUAUCUGGGGAAAUACCAAAUUGGAUUUGGGAAGUUGGUAGUGGCAAUCUUCGGUACUUAAAUCUUUCACACAAUCUCAUUGUGAGCUUGCAAGAACCUUACUCUAUUUCUGGUAUCCGCUUGCUUGACCUGCACUCCAACCAGCUCCGAGGAAAUAUCCCUCACAUGUCACCAAGUCCUUCCUACGUCGAUUACUCCAACAAUAAUUUCCAUCCCAGCUGACAUUGGUAAUUUCAUGUCUGAAACCGAAUACUUUUUCGCUGCAAACAAUAGUCUCGUUGGAGUCAUCCCGGAAUCUGUAUGCAAGGCUACCUAUUUUCAAGUUCUUGACUUAUCAAACAACAAUUUGAGUGGCACAAUUCCUACAUGUUUAAUCACCAAGAGUAGCAACACUCUAGGGGUUUUAAAUUUAGGGAGAAACAACCUCAAUGGCACUCUUUCUGACACAAUUUUUCCAGGAAAUUGUAGGUUGCAAAUUCUAGAUCUCAGUAGAAAUCAACUACAAGGAGUGGUACCAAAAUCUCUUGCCAAUUGCAGUAUGCUGCAGGUUUUAGACCUCAGGAAUAACCAUAUCAGUGAUAAUUUCCCGUGCUGGUUAAGGAAUGCUUCUCGUUUGCAAGUUCUAGUUUUGCGAUCAAACAACUUCUCCAGACACAUUAGUUGUCCAAGACAUAAUGUCUCCUGGCCUCUACUUCAAAAUAGUCGACUUAGCAUCCAAUAAAUUCAGCGGAAGACUAUCACAAAAAUGGUUACUUACGAUGGAGAAAAUGAUGGUUACUGAAACCAAAUCCGGAUCUGAGCUCAACCAUCUUGGAUAUGAUAUGUCGAGCAACCGAUUCUAUGAGGUUAGUGUAACAGUUACAGUAAAAAGUGUUGAGAUCAUGCUACUGAAGGUCCCAAAUAUAUUCACUUCCAUUGACUUUUCAUGCAACAAUUUCGAAGGGCCAAUACCAGAAGAAAUGGGACAAUUCAAAUCACUUUAUGCUAUGCACAUGUCGCACAAUGCUCUCACAGGCUCGAUACCAUCAUCUUUUGGGAACUUGAAACAGAUUGAGUCCUUGGACCUCUCAAUGAACAACCUCAGUGGAAAAAUUCCUUCCCAGCUUGCAAGCCUAAAUUUCCUAUCGGUGCUAAAUCUCUCGUACAAUAACUUAGUGGGAAAGAUUCCGACAAGUACUCAACUCCAAUCAUUUUCACCAAGUUCUUAUGAAGGAAACAAAGGAUUGUAAGGACCUCCUUUGACGAAUGAAAGCCAAACACGUCCUUCUGAGUUACCACCUUCACCGCCACCAGCUUCAAGCGAUGAAAUUGAUUGGUUCUUCAUAGCCAUGUCAAUUGGAUUUGCUGUAGGCUUCGGAGCAGUUGUUUCACCUCUAAUGUUUUCCGUGCAGGUAAACAAAUGGUAUAACGAUCUUAUCUACAAAUUUAUAUAUCGGCGAUUCCGUGUGUGAAGUGAUUUAAAUCUCUCCUUUUGAAUAAUCAUGUAAGCUAGCUUUUGCUUCUCUCUUCUGUCAUAGAUGUUUGAUAUUUCUUUUCUUCUCUGUUUGAUAGAGUUAAUAGCGUUGACAAUAAUUUGAAAUAAGGGCCUAUCUAUAACUGUUGCUGAGACAAUCUUUAUCUCAAAAUUGACUCCAAGUUAGAUCUAUAUUGGCGCAAUUCAUAAACAACAUGUCUUCGUGAGUCCAUACUAAAUUAAUAUGUGCAAGACUGUUUGCAAUUCCAACUCUAGGCUAGAUACAUAGCGAUUCAUGAUCAUAUUUCAUUUGUUUGGAAGUUUAUAGUGUGAUUUUCAUACAGAAGACUCGGUCGGAAUGUUAAGUUCAUAUUAGGUUAAUGAAGAUAAGUUUUCUACAAUUGAUCAUGUAAAAGUUUGAUGCACCAAAUUUUCAAAUGAGAUAAAUUGUUUCUGGUCAUAGGUUCCAAAUUUAUACGCUAGAUGUUGAUAUCAUGUAGGUGUAUGUGAAGUGUAGUUCUCUCAUUGAAGCUUCGUUGGAUACUUGAGUAAGCUUGGUUGAUCUUUUAAUAUAAAGAUGCUGUUAGAAAAGUAGUAUUUACGUGAAAUUUUUCAAUGGCAGGUGUCUCAACCUCCCAAUGAUUCUGUUUCAAGCCUUUGUUUCAGUCCCAAGGCCAAUAUCUUGGUUGCAACCUCAUGGGAUAAUCAGGUUUGUCCAAUCGGGUUCUGUUCUUUUUUUAUACCUUUAGUUAUGCCUUUCUGUUUGUUGGUUAACAUCCUUGAUAUUCUCAUUCGUCUUGUUUGAAUGCUUUCACAGGUAAGGUGUUGGGAAAUUUCACACAGUGGAACUGCUGUGGCCACUGCCCAUGCAUCAAUUUUGCAUGACCAUCCGGUAAUCUAAAGCAAGAUUUAUGGUAGUUAGAAUAACAUACUGUUGAAUUUGUGAUUGCUGGUAAUUUAACCUUUUUCUUAUCUUUGAAAUUUGAAGGUCCAAUGCUCAACAUGAAAGGAUGAUGGAACUACUGUCUUCUCUGGAGGAUGUGACAAGCAGGUCAAGAUGUGGCCUUUACUCUCUGGUGGUCAGCCAGUGACUGUUGCUAUGCAUGAUGCGCCAAUUAAGGAGGUUGCUUGGAUUCCAGAGAUGAAUCUACUUGCUACAGGAAGCUGGGACAAGACAUUGAAGUAAGAUUUUUUCGCUUCUUUUUAUUUAAAAUUGCAGUCUAUGUCGCAUUUUGGUUGGGGCAGUAAAUUGGUUUUAUAAUUAUAAGUUCAUCUGUUAGAAGCCUUCGUUGUGCCGUUGAGUGUAAUGACCUUGCCAAGUGGGACAAUAUGUGCAUGCGGAUAGUUAAGUGGUCAGUUCACAUGACCUCAAACAGAAGAGUGAUAUUCAGAUGAACGAAUGGAACUGUUGUGCGUAUUUUGCUUUGCCACAGCAACUUGCACUGACAAUUACUGAUGCUCAAAGUGGAUAGAGCUGGCAGGGGCUAUGGAUUCUCAAAUUGUCAGCAUUCUUUGUCCAUACUUAUAUAAUUUAGGUGUUGUUUAAAGAGAAACGUCCAUGAUGAGUGCUUUAAUAUUGUAGGCUUUUCUCUUUCUUUCUUCUCUAAGUCGUGGGUGUCGUGCUCUUUUCUUUCUCCUUUUGGGUUUACAGUAUAUCCUUUUGUUUUAUUUGGUAUCCAAUGUGGUCAACAGUUUACUGUGUCUCCAUGUGGUGCCAUGUGUUAUCUGUAAGCACUUUGUACGAUUUUUUGUGUAGUUGAUCAGUCACUUAUACUCUCUUGUUGUUCUUGUAUUUUGAGUUCCUUACCCUCUUGAUGUUGCAAUAUGUAAUUAGGUACUGGGAUACAAGGCAGCCAAAUCCUGUUCACACUCAACAGCUGCCUGAUCGCUGCUAUGCACUUACGGUGAGAUAUCAACUUAUGGUUGUUGGCACUGCAGAUAGAAAUCUAAUUGUCUUCAACUUGCAGAAUCCUCAGGUAUUGUUUGUUAUUCCAUGAGAGCAUUGAUUUAUGUGUAAGUUAAAUGGGCAAAUUUAGUGCAGGCAGCUGAAGCAUGUGUUUUGUGUGGCAGCAGCUGCUGCGACAUUAGUAGUUGGCUGACUAAUUUAUAAAAAACUAUUUGUGAUUCUAUCAUUAUUGUUCAAUUAAUAAAGUGAAUUAGUUUAUCUUUUAGUGGUUUUGUGCAUUUUUAUGUGUAAAUAGUGUUACUCAAAAACAAAUAUGACUAGUUGAAAACUGGAAAUACAUAUAUAAAGUGUACUAGAGAUGAUAUAAUUUUACUAUUUUAAAAAAAUAAAAAAUUAUAGUAUCUUUGGCAGCUUGUGCUUGUAGCCCAGUCGUACGAGGCUCAUUCUCUUCAAUAUUAGUGAGAGCAGAUAUUUGAGCUUAUUACUUAUCUAGAGUCCUAUAAAUUUGCAAAUUGUAUAUAUCUCUAAAAAAUAAAUAAAAAAUGAAAAAGAUUUCUCAGAAAAAAGAAAAGACAAAAAAACUCUAGUACAUAAGUUUGCAUUGUGUUGUUAGACUUGGAAAAGUCUCGACAGUGAUUGGAUAUAUUUUUUUUUUGUUUAACAACUAUCUUACUGCGAAUUUGAUAUUUAACAAUUAUUAAUAAUCAGUAAAGAUGUUACUUCUGAUAAUAAAACACUCAUUGAUUUAGAAAAAUUAAUCAUUCGAUCAUCGAUCUCAAUGGAUCGCUUUGCAAUCUUCAUUAUUCUUGUUUCCUUGCUGCUGUCUUCUUGAUAUUAGCAUCCACUUCUCAUUUACAUAUCUUAACUAAAGCUUUAAUUUCUUUUAAUUUCUCCAUCAUUCAGGGGAGGAUUUGAUGAUUUGCUAUUGUGUGAGGAGAAAGCCAAGAAGCAGAUGUAGAGGGUUGUUAAUUUUUGGGAUAAUUAUUUUUCAGUGGGGACAAUUCAUAAAAAGAAUUUAAUAAUGAAUCAAUUUUAUAAAUUGUCUUUUGUCGUGGGGACGAACUGACAUUUUACAACUCAAAAUAUUAGCGAAAGUUCGAAACGAUUUUCUUCUCUCUCAAAUCUUGCUCGCCGCUCUCAAUUUAAAAAACAGAGAGUCCUCUAACCAACAAAGUCUUGGCUCCACUAGCAAUGGAGUCCCCUUAAGUGGCUUGACUAGAUUUGUUCCUCAGUUCGAGUAGCAGGGAAGUCGCCUUUGUUGGGAGAACAUGUGCCUCUCGGUUUGAGUGGGGACUUCUAGUCUGAGUUGUGGUACAGGCUUAAAGGUGCCUCUCACAGUUGGAGCCCUCCCCAAGAUAUCUCGUGGUCAAAAAAAAAAAAAAAAAUAGAGUCCUCUGCUCUCACUUCUGAUCUCUUUUUUGGUACUCCAUCGAAAUUCAUAAAAUAAUGAUAAUGAGGCUAUUAUUGAAUAUUUUUAAAAUAUGAAAAAGCAUUGGGAACAAGUGUAAGAAUCUUUUUACUAAUAUCAUUGAGUAUUAAACUGUAAAAAAUUAUUUUCACUAAUUCUUUUAUUAUAACAUUGUCCCCAAUGAAUUAAUUUCCUGGAUCACCUAUGUACAAGAACCCUCUAUUUGAAUUUUUUUUUUUACUAUUUUUUUCCCAUUUUUAAUUUUCGCAUAUGUAUCUUUCAAGUAUAAAAUCCGUUUUUUUCUCUUUUUUUUUUCUUAAUCCUGUUUAAUAAGAACUGGAGUUAAUCUUAAAUGUUAAUUGUUUGUUUUGAGAAACAUAGUUCUAUGUGUACGUGACCUUUAAUUUCUGUUAUUUCCUUUUUUUCAGAUGUGACUUUGAACAUUAUUAUAAAAUAUCGGUUGUAGAAAUUUUUAUUUUUAACUGAAUGAUAUAUUUUUACACUUGCCCAUUUACUUUUUCUUGAUAAAAUUAUAAUGAUUAUAGACAUUAAGAAAUUAAUUACCACAUGCAUUAAAUAAUGAAUUACUGAAAAAGUUGUUUUAUAAAAAAAAAUUCUACCACAUAUAUUUUUGCUGUUUUUAUAUUGUCAAACAAAUAAAAAAAACAUAUUUUACUGUUUUUAUUUUUAUAUAUUGUUUAGAAAAUAAAUUACCAAAUACCUUUUCAAUUUGGGAAUAUCACAUCAAAAACCUAUUUUACUUCUUUAAAAUAAAUAUAGAAAACACCAAUCGAAAAAAUGACACCAAAAGCACCAUUAGUGUCUGCAGUCUCAAUUGCCUAAAUUAAUUAGUUUGAACUUUUGUAUAGCAUCAGUGCAAAAGCUUAUCCGAUUGAUAGUGAUAAAAUGAUCAUAAAUUUGAUUUUUACUCAUUCAUUACUUUCAUGAGACAUCAUUUUGUAUAUCAAAAUUGGUAUGAGAAUAUAUAUGUUUUUUUAUGUGUAAUCUGAAUCUAAAUUAAAAAUAAAAUAAAAGAAAAUAAUAAGAAGGGGAGAAAGGAGAUUUUGAUAAAAGGGCAAUUGACAAAAUCACUAUCUAAACGACAAUAUUUUGGUCGUUAGUUACAACCCAAAAAACAGAAAAAAAAAAAAAUUCAUUUUAAUGGUGAUUUUAUCACAAAUUUUUUUUUUUUUACCCUCUUGUUGAAAGCACGGGUUCUAACUUGUAUAGUGUUUGCUUCUAACUCAUUCCCUUGAAAAAUAAAUUUGUCUCUGUCCAAGAACACGUUACGAAUCUUCCCUGUGAUUUCAAAGUCCAUGUGAAUAAUCAGCACGUACUGUUUACGACUCUUCCCUGCUGACCUGGAGUCGUCCUCCGCUUUUUUUUCUAAAUACGUGAAUUUUACACGUCGCAACAUUUGGAAUAAUCAUUUUAUCGAUCUCAAUGGAAAUACGAAAAAUCUUAUAAAUAAGUAUUGAAAACAAAAAUAAUUAUAGAAAAAAUAGAAGACAAUUCAAAUAUAAAAACACUAUUUUUUAAUUACUGAAUCUGACAUUACAAUCUAUAAUAAUAUGUAAUUAUAUAAGAAUUAAUAAAUCAAUUAAUAAUUUCAAGCUAAAAUAAAUCAACACAUGUAAUUAUAAUCAAUUAAAAAUUGCAAGUAUAACUUUUAUGUUUGAAAAAUACUUAACUAACAGGUUUAAAUAAAUUAAACAAUUAAAAUUUAUUCAUCUGUUUAAAUUAUAAAAAUAUACUUAGUCAAAUUUUAAAUAAUAAAUUAAAUUCAACCUAUUAAAAAUAUAUUUGAGUGUCGUAUUUUCUUUGUUGGGCUCUCUGAUUCUCUUUAAAAAACUAGAUGUUGAUAAUUCUUUUAUAAAAAAAGCUAUUCAAAAUAUUCAAAUUUUAUUUUCUAACUUGUUCUCUUAGUUAACGUAACUAAUAAAUAAAAUAUCAAAAUUUACAUAAAAAUUUUAUGAAAAUGUUGAUAAUUGUUACUAUAUGUUUUUGUUUUCAAGUACUUUUAAUACUAGUGACGAUAUUAUAUUACAUUGACAUAUUUUUUUCAAUUAGAAUUUUUUUAAAAAUAGAUUAAGGCAGUAAUAACAUUUGAGACCCCUAAUGUUUUCAAUCUAUUCAAUAAAUAUAUAAUUUAAUCAUUUUAUAAAAUGAGUCACCAAUUUCAAUUGGAAAAAUAAUAUACUUGAAUUAGGGACAUAUUUAAAAAUAAAAUAAAAGCUCUAUUGUUAUAUGAAAUUGAUGAAACAUAAGGCCAUAAGGGUGACUGAGUUAGGGACAUAUAUGAAAAUAAAAUAGAAAUUCUAUCCAUAUAUAAAAUUAAUCAAAAUAUGAGGGGUUUCAAUGGUUUGUUUGGGACUAGACCAGGCUGUAGCUGUAGGUCCGCCACUGCUGCUGACCUGAAGUCGUCCUUGGCUUUUUCCUAAAUACAUGAAUUAUACACGUCGCAACAUUUGGAAUAAUCAUUUGAUCGAUCUCAAUGGAUCGCUUUGCAAUCUUCAUUAGUUUUGUUGCCUCGGUGUCUGCUGUCUUCUUGAUAUUAGCAUUGACGUUUGGUUUAUCUCGUAAAUAUUUCUUUUAUAGUCCACUAGCAAUUUCUUUCUUAAUCUUGUCGAUCACUCUGGCAGCAGUGGCCAUUUUGGGCUUGAUUUUCUAUUGUGUGAGGAGAAAGCCCAGAAGCAGAGGUAAAAGUUUCUCAUUUAAUUGCACGAUUUUGAGAGUUGAAUAUACGUACGUACAUAUACAUAUUGUAAUUAAAGCUUUAAUUUCAUUACCAUUCAGGGGAGGAUUUGAUGAAGUUUGAUUUGGAUUUGAACCUGAAAGCCGAUGAUGUUAUCAUCGAGCUUCCUGCAAACAAUAAGCAGACAAAAAGAAGCAAAAAGAAGGAAGUUGAUCGACUGCCCUUAUUCAGUUUUUCCAGUGUUUCCACUGCAACAAAUAAAUUCUCCGACGCAAAUAAGCUCGGAGAGGGUGGCUUUGGACCUGUUUAUAAGGUACUACAGAUAUCCUUUUCUUUGGAGCAAUAAUUUCAUUUUCAACAGAACUAUAAAUUUACCAUCUUCAGGGAGUGUUAAAAAAAGGAGAUGAGAUAGCUGUGAAAAGGCUUUCGGCAAGAUCUGGACAAGGCUUGCGAGAGAUGAAAAAUGAAGCUUCGGUGAUAGCCAAGGUUCAGCACAAGAAUCUUGUUAGGCUUUUGGGCUGCUGCAUAGAUAAGGACGAGAAGAUUCUGAUCUAUGAGUACAUGCCUAACAAAAGCUUGGACUUCUUUCUUUUCGGUUAGUUAUUGCAUCUGUCUCUUAUUCUUACAUAUUCCUUACUUCAAAUUUUAUUCAUACAUUUGUUUGAACUACUAUUUAAUACAAAGUUAUAUAUCAAAAAAUUAUUUCAAAAUUUAUUUAAACUAGAAUUUAGCCCAUAUUACAUUUCCAAAUUUUAUUCAUUAAUUUAUUUAAAAUAGCAUUUAGCAUUUAAUUUAAGAUUAAAUAUCAAAAUUUCAUUCAAUAAUUUAUUAAAACUUAUACAUAAUAUUAAAUAUCAAAAUUAUUCAAUUAUUAAUUUCUAUUGAAAUUGAAUAUCUAAUAUAAUAUUCAAUAAUUAACAAUAUAACUUUAAGAAAUAAUUGUACUUUUUAAAUAGUUUUUUAAUCAUAAUUUUUAAAUAGUUUUUUUUUAACUUCCUUAAAUUGAAUUUAAUAUGAUCCGGUCCAAUACUAAACCAAACACAAAACAUUACUAUAAAAUAAUUCAGUCUAAUCCAAUCCACUUCAAUCUUGAUAACUAGUCCAAUUCAAUCUUUUGUUUACCUAACCUAAAAUAAUAUUUAGCAUUUACUAUUUCGUUUAGCUAUUUUUAAGUUUAAUGAUUAACAUCAUCCAAUUAUCAGAUUAAAAAAAAAAUGAAGUCACUAGAUCAAUUUACGUCAGAUUAUGCGGUCAACAUUUUUUUAUUUUCAUGUAUAAUGACAUUUAAUCUUUUUGUUGUAAAUUAGAUCCAAGCAAGCGAAUAUUAUUAGAUUGGGGAACACGUGUUCUUAUUAUUGAAGGGAUAGCUCAAGGGUUUCUUUAUCUUCAUCAAUACUCUAGAGUGCGAAUUAUCCAUCGAGAUCUGAAAGCUAGUAAUAUCUUGUUGGAUAAAGACAUGAAUCCCAAAAUAUCAGAUUUUGGAAUGGCAAGAAUUUGUGGAGGAAAUGAGUUACAAGCAAACACUAGUAGGAUCGUUGGGACUUAGUAAGUAAAUGACACAAAUCAUAAUUAAAGUGAUUAAGUUAUGCAUAAAUGACUGAUUAUUAUUUAUCAAUUAUUGAAUUACAGUGGCUAUAUGUCCCCCGAAUAUGCACUUGAAGGAGUAUUUUCAAUUAAAUCUGACGUGUUUAGCUUUGGAGUGUUGUUGCUUGAGAUUGUAAGUGGGAAGAAGAACACUGGAUUUUAUCGAACCGACUCUCUCAAUCUGCUAGGUUAUGUAAGUAACAAAAGCCGUUGCACAUAUUCUUUUUAUAUUACUUAGGUGAAAAUAUAUAUUAAUUCCCAAGUCAUGCUUAGGGGUGGACACGCUCUUUUACAAUGUGAACACGUUUGGAUUUUUGCACCUGACUAUUUUUAAACUAUUCUCUAUAUCGAGUGUACGACUAUCUAAUAACAUCGUAUGGUUGUUUAGGCAUGGGACCUGUGGACAAGCAACAGGACUUUGGAGCUGAUUGAUGAUCCAGUAUUAGAAGAGGAAUAUUCCUCCAAGCAUAUGCUUUUAAGAUAUGUGAACAUAGCACUCCUUUGUGUACAAGAAAGUGCUGAUGAUAGACCCACCAUGAAUGAUGUUGUAUCCAUGCUUACAAAUGAAGCUGCAGCAUUACUUCCUCCGAAACAACCUGCUUUUUUGUAUGUAAGAAAUACAGUCACUUCAACAUCGUCCACCAGCAACACAGAAGAUUGUUCAAUCAACCAAGUAACGAUUUCACUUUUAGAAGCACGCUAACUUUUAUUUUAAUGUGUAUCGAGUCCUUUUUUGGGAAAUGGUUUCAAGGAUUUUUCCAAAAGUUGCAAAAGAUGAUGCAAGUUAAUUCAUACGAUUUCGGGUUGGGUUGCUAUAAUUACUCCUCUGAUCUAAUAUUUGAACUCAGUUUCCUAUUUUUGACUCGCUGGUGUGAAAUGUUAAAAGUCAAUAUGUACUGACCAUUUCAAGAAUAAUUAAGUACACCAAAAUCUUGAGAUUUAUAACGUGCAUGUGUCUUUCAGAUUUAUAACGUGCAUGUGUCUUUCAGUCAGUCAUUAUAACUAAAUGUAAUAAUGCGUGAACCAAAUACAAUCAUGAGUUGGCUCUUCUUUAGACCAAUAAAAUCACUGUCAAAUGUUAGCUCUAUCCUUGCAAGACUUUUCGAAGUCUACAGGUCCCGCAAGCAAAUCAAAGUUGGUUUUGACGCGAGGACGAAUUGCAUUCAGUCAAUUAUUAGUUUUUUUUUUUAUUUAUUUAUUAAAAAGUGGAGGGAUGAUCUAAGCUUAAAUCAAUUUUUUAUUUUCUAUUUUCUCUAAGAUUUAAACUUAAUUAGGUGAUCAUCUAAAUAAGACUACCUAAAAAUCAUUGGGUUAAACUCCUGAGACUAAUUAUUAGAUAUUAUAUGGAGUAAUGACCUUGUUUUUUAUUGGUUCAACCAUCACCAGUCUGAUAUAUAAAAAGCCAUGCAUGGAACAAUUUGUAUCACCAGUCUGAAAUUAUUUUCGUUCAAUGGGAUCACAAUCAACAAACUACGAACUUGUGGAGGCCAAAAUCAACAAUUUGUAAACCGAGGGAGUGAGAGGAUCAGAACAUGUGUAGAGUCCAAAGAAAUGAACUAAAUUUCAAUUAAUACCCUUAUCUUGCUAUGAAUUAUAAAAUAAUAAUUACAGAGAGACACGUUUACAUAAAAAUUUAGACACAAUAUUCUGACCAUUAAAUUAAAGUUAAGCAAUGAAGUUGACAUGCCUUUUUUAAGUUUUAAAAACUAACAAAUUAAUGUAGUGGAUCUCCAUAUAAUAAGAAAUUAUUGAUCAUUUUUCUCUCAGUUACUCAACAUAUUCCUUCUUUUGUCACUUUUUUUCUCCGCUUACCCUUUUAAGUCUUGCCUACAUUUUGAACUUUUGUAUGGCAUCAAUGCAAAAACUGAACCGACUGAUAGAGCUGAAAUGAACAUAAAUUUUAUUUUCAAUCAUUCACUAUUUUCAUGCAAAAUUAUUUUGUCCAUCAGAAUUCGUACCAGAACAUAUUUGUUUCUACGUGAAUCUAUAUUAAAAAUAAAAUAAAAUAAUAAGGAGAGAAGGAGAUUUUGGAUAAAAGGAUGAUCGCCAAAAUCACUAUCAAAACGAUUAUGUUCUGGUUGUUAGUAAAAAGAAAAAAAUGACAUGAUUUGAAUGGUGAUUUUAUCACCACUUUGCACUUUGUUCAAAUAGCAUUACACGGGUUUUGAUUGUUUAGUGUUUUCUCCUAACUCAUUCCCUUAAAAAAUUAUCCUGAUUUCAAAAUCCAAUAAUUUAAGAUUCAUGUCUUUGUCCAACAACAUGUUACUAUUCUUCUCUUCUUCCAAAUCCAUGUGAAUAAUCAGCGCACGGUGCUUACGAGUGUUCCCUGCUCACCUGGAGUCCUCUUCGGCUGCUUUCUAAUUAAUUAACUUGGGCUACCAUUACGCUGAUAUAUUACAUAUACAUUGCAACUUGCAAGUUCCAUUCCUUCUCUGAGUUUCAUUUCAACUACGAGUAAACCCAGUCAUGAGAUCAAUUUUACUCUUAUCAUGGCUUUUCUUGAUACCCUUUUUAGCCAAUUAUUUUGGGAUGCAUAUGGUUUGGGUGUCUGGCCAAUGUCAAGGCGAUAAAAAAUCGCUCCAUAUUUGAUGUUGAAAUAAAUAGUUUAUGUUGAUGCGAGAUUUUGGUUCUCCUCGUUAUACGACCAGGGUCUCUGCUCGAUCAACUUCACCACGACCAGGAUCUCUCCUCGUAAAGCUUCUUCUCCAGAGGUUCCUGCGCACACAGACAAGUCAGAGUACGCCGGUUGUUUUCCCAGCGCAAACCCUCCGACGCUCAAGUCAGAUAUGAAGGUUCGGGGAACCCUUGCCACAGAUCUUAUGGCUUUUGGGGUAGUUUUCUCUUUUUUAGAAUUUCUUUAGCUCUCUUCUAAUCUCAAAAUUGCUAACCCUUUUACCUUCGUUGGCUACCUUUUUAUAGGCUUCCUCUGAAUCCCAGUUUUCCGCAGUCUACGUCCGUUAUCCUCCCACCUCUCGAACGUGGAUUCCCCAUUUUCGUAGUCAUGGGUGGUCGCGUGGCCUUCGUGCCUAGAUUCUCGGGCUGGAGAGCAUGCCUCGCCAACUGUCGUUGACCGGGUCUCCUCGAAUCAACCCUUAGCAAGAAUACAGCAGGAAUGGCUUUAUGCUUCUUGCAGGAAAUUGACCUCGCGGAUGACGUGCUUCCUGGUGACUUCCUGGUCGAGGUGACCGAUAACAUCCUGGUUGAGGUGAUGUGCUCGAGGUCACCACAUAUUAUUCUGGUCGAGAUGAUCUGCUCAACCAUUUGCUCACUUUUACUUUGAGGAGAGCACGAUAAUGUAUGAGCAAACACCUUUAUCUUGGUCACCCUAUUUCAUUCCCUAAACACCAGUCCCUUAGUUUCUAGUGUUGAGAGUGAAACGAAUCAAGACUGGAAACUUUAGUGGUCUGCUCGUCUUCGCUUGGUUGAGCAGAUCCUGGUAUGCUUGGCUUUCUGUCUCGCCAUAAAAUAGGCUUUGAGACUUUGGAGCCUUUGUACGCCCUAGAAACUUUUUGAAAGUUUGGUGGUCUGCUCGCCUUCGCUUGGUCGAGCAGAUCCUGGCACGCUUGGCUUCUGGUCUCGCCAUAAACAGGCUUUGAGACUUUGGUGAGCCUUUGCAUGCCUUAGAAAAUUCUUUGAAAGUUUGGUGGUCUACUCGCCUUCGCUUGGUCGAGCAUAUCCUGGCACGCUUGGCUUCUGGUCUCGCCAUAAGACAGGCUUUGAGACUUGGUGAGCCUUUGCAUGCCUUAGUAAAUUUUUUGAAAGUUUGGUGGUCUGCUCGCCUUCGCUUGGUCGAGCAGAUCCUGGCACGCUUGGCUUCUGUCUCGCCAUAAAAUAGGCUUUGCGACUUUGGAGCCUUUGUACGCCCUAGAAACUUUUUGAAAGUUUGGUGGUCUGCUCGCCUUCGCUUGGUCGAGCAGAUCCUGGCACGCUUGGCUUCUGGUCUCGCCAUAAACAGGCUUUGAGACUUUGGUGAGCCUUUGCAUGCCUUAGGAAAUUCUUUGAAAGUUUGGUGGUCUGCUCGCCUUCACUUGGUCGAGCAGAUCCUGGCACGCUUGGCUUCUGGUCUCGCCAUAAGACAGGCUUUGAGACUUGGUGAGCCUUUACAUGCCUUAGUAAAUUUUUUGAAAGUUUGGUGGUCUGCUCGCCUUCGCUUGGUCGAGCAGAUCCUGGCACGCUUGGCUUCUGGUCUCGCCAUAAGACAGGCUUUGAGACUUGGUGAGUCUUUGCAUGCCUUAGUAAAUUUUUUGAAAGUUUGGUGGUCUGCUCGCCUUCGCUUGGUCGAGCAGAUCCUGGCACGCUUGGCUUCUGGUCUCGCCAUAAGACAGGCUUUGAGACUUGGUGAGCCUUUGCAUGCCAUAGUAAAUUCUUCAAUGCUUGGGAUUCUGCUCGCCUUCUCGUGGUCGAGCAGAUCCUGGCACGCUUGGCUUCUGGUCUCGCCAUAAACAGACUUUGAGACUUGGUGAGCCUUUGCAUGCCUAAGUAAAUUCUUCAAUGCUUGGGAUUCUGCUCGCCUUCUCGUGGUCGAGCAGAUCCUGGCACGCUUGGCUUCUGGUCUCGCCAUAAACAGACUUUGAGACUUGGUGAGCCUUUGCAUGCCUAAGUAAAUUCUUCAAUGCUUGGGAUUCUGCUCGCCUUCUCGUGGUCGAGCAGAUCCUGGCACGCUUGGUUUCUGGUCUCGCCAUAAACAGGCUUUGAGACUUGGUGAGCCUUUGCAUGCCUAAGUAAAUUCUUCAAUGCUUGGGAUUCUGCUCGCCUUCUCGUGGUCGAGCAGAUCCUGGCACGCUUGGCUUCUGGUCUCGCCAUAAACAGGCUUUGAGACUUGGUGAGCCUUUGCAUGCCUAAGUAAAUUCUUCAAUGCUUGGGAUUCUGCUCGUCUUCUCGUGGUCGAGCAGAUCCUGGCACGCUUGGCUUCUGUCUCGCCAUAAACAGGCUUUGAGACUUGGUGAGCCUUUGCAUGCCUAAGUAAAUUCUUCAAUGCUUGGGAUUCUACUCACCUUCUCGUGGUCGAGCAGAUCCUGGCACGCUUGGUUUCUGGUCUCGCCAUAAACAGGCUUUGAGACUUGGUGAGCCUUUGCAUGCCUAAGUAAAUUCUUCAAUGCUUGGGAUUCUGCUCGCCUUCUCGUGGUCGAGCAGAUCCUGGCACGCUUGGCUUCUGGUCUCGCCAUAAACAGGCUUUGAGACUUGGUGAGCCUUUGCAUGCCUAAGUAAAUUCUUCAAUGCUUGGGAUUCUGCUCCCCUUCUCGUGGUCGAGCGGAUCCUGGCACGCUUGGCUUCUGUCUCGCCAUAAAACAGGCUUUGAGACUUUGAUGAGCCUUUGCAUGCCUUUGGAAAUUUUCACAGUUUCAAGCGAAUGAAAUUCCUCGACGUUCCACUAAUGGCAGGAUUCAACUUACAUGAAAUUGUUUGGACAUAAAGCGUAAAAGAUAAACGAUAAUGAACAUGAGCAUAAAUAGCUUUCAAAUGUGAACAAGUCUUACUGGAAGUAUUUUCGGAGGUGUGCUGCGUUCCAUGGGCGUUUCACCUCGUGGCCGUCCGUGCGAACCAGCUUGUAAGCUCCGGGUCCCACUAUCUGCUUGACUCUAUAUGGCCCUUCCCAAUUCGGUCCCAGCACUCCUUGAGUCGAAUCUUUGGUGCUCUGAUUCAUUCUUCUCAGUACCCAGUCUCCGACCCUGAAUUUCCGUACAUUCACCUUCUGGUUAUAAUAGCGAGCAACCCUUUGCUGGUAAAUGGCUGAUCGACCAGCUGCUUGCUCCCUCUUCUCUGUUAGCAGAUCAAGAUUCAAACACAUCUGCUCGUCGUUCUCCUGCUCAUUGAAAUGGUCUGUCCGGUGCGUGGUCGUUCCUAUCUCAGCUGGUACGACCGCUUCAUGUCUGAAUGCCAGGGCGAACGGUGUCUCCCCAGUUGCUGUUUUGUGGGUUGUCCUGUAUGCCCAUAGGACACCUAACAGCUCAUCAACCCAUGUACCCUUUUUUGCUCCAAGCCUGGUUUUCAAAAGUCUCUUGAUGGUCUUGUUGGCUGCUUCUACUUGUCCAUUCGAUUGAGGGUGGGCAGGCGAGCAAUACUUCAGCUCUAUCCCGAGGUUCUGGCAGAAAUCCCUGAAGCCGUGAUUAUCGAACUGCCUGCCAUUAUCCGUUACCAAGGCAUAAGGGAUCCCGUAUCGACAGACCAGGUUUCUUCACACAAAGUCUGUCGUUUUCUUCUCUGUAAUCCUGCUAAGGGCUUCGACCUCUAUCCACUUCGUGAAGUAAUCUAUAGCAACUAUUGCAUGCGUUGCUGCUCCUCGUCCCUUUGGCAGCGGGCCGAUCAGAUCAAUUCCCCAUUGAGCAAAUGGCCAAGGGGAGGCCAUAGAGGUGAGCUUCUCUGGUGGUUGGUUGGGGAAACUUGCAAAACUCUGGCAGCUUACGCAGCUCCUGGUCUUCUCCUGUGCAUCCUGGUGCAUUGUCGGCCAGAAAUAUCCCUGCCUUAGAACCUUGUGGGCCAGGUAUCUCCCACCAGAAUGAUUCCCGCAAAUUCCUUCAUGUACUUCUCUCAGUACGUAAUCCGCGUCGUCCUCAUCCAAACAUCGAAGGAAAGGUAGUGUAUAUCCUCGCCGAUACAGUAUCCCAUCAAUCAUCGUGUAUCUCGAAGCCUGGGCUCUAAUCUUCCGAGCUCGCAGCUUAUCUGGUGGUAAUACCCCGUCUCUAAGGUAUGAAACUAUCGGGUCCAUCCACGAGCAUUUUUGUUCUAUCCGCAGCACCCCCGAAUUCGGCUCGAUGCUCGGGCUGGACUUCACCUCCAGAGGGAUCGACUUUGGCAUUUUUGGGUCUGCUACCGCUGCCAUCCUGGCCAGAAUAUCUGCUCGAUUAUUCUGCUCCCUUGGGAUUUGUACUACCUCCACCGCUUUGAAUUUUCCCAUCAUCUGCCUGACUAUCUUCAAGUACUGCUCCAUCUUCUCCUCUCUUGGUUGGAAUCUUUUACUGACAUGAUUCGCAACCAGCUGGGAAUCAGUUCUGAUCUUCACUCUAUCUGCUCUCACGGCCUUAGCCAGUUCCAAUCCUGCUAUCAAGGCUUCAUACUCUGCCUGGUUAUUUGUUGCUGCGAAUUCUAACUUUACAGCAUAAGAGAUCUCCUCCCCCUCCGGGCCUUCCAAUACAAUCCCUGCUCCUGAUCCCUGCUCCCAUGAUGACCCAUCUACAGACAUUUGCCAUACUUGAGCUUCGCCACUGUCUGCAACUACAUCUUGUUGGUCUAAACAUACUUCAGGCUCUGUGAAUUCUGCUACGAAAUCGGUCAUUGCCUGAGCCCUCAUCGCUGCUCGGGGUUUGUAGUCUAUGUCGAACUCGCUCAGCUCUAUAGCCCACUUGACGAGCCGACCAGAAGCAUCGGGCUUGUGCAGAGUUUGACGCAAUGGCUGGUUUGUUAUAACCGAGACUGGGAAUGCCUGAAAAUAUGGCCUCAACUUCCGAGCAGCAACCACAAGGGCAAGUGCCCAUUUCUCCAAUGGUGGGUACCUGGUCUCAGCGUCGAGCAGGGCCUUGCUGGUGUAGUAUAUUGGAUACUGAACUCCUUCUUCCUCUCUCACCAGAACAGAACUGGCGGCCCGAUCCGAUACCGCCAGAUACAAAAAUAACUUGUCCCCAUCCCUCGGUGUGGAUAGCAGAGGGGCUUGCUGUAAAUACUGCUUCAAGUUCUGAAAGGCUUCCUCGCAUUCCGGGGUCCACUCUGUUUUCUUUUCCCUCCUUAUCACUUGAAAGAAUGGUUGACACUUAUCUGUAGCCUUGGAUAUGAAUCGGCUCAAUGCCGCCAAUCUCCCCGUAAGGCUUUGUAUUUCCUUCAGGCUACGAGGAGACCUCAUCUGCACGAUCGCCUGAAUCUUCUCGGGAUUUGCUUCGAUCCCCCGAUGACUCACCAUGAAUCCAAGGAACUUCCCCGACUCGACCCCAAAAGCACAUUUCUCCGGGUUGAACUUCAUCUUAUACUUCCUCAAAAGCUCGAAUGUCUCCUCGAGGUGUCUGACAUGUUCCUUCGGGAUUUUGGACUUGGUGAUCAUGUCAUCCACGUACACCUCCAUGGUUUUCCCAAUCAACGGCUUAAAGACUUUGUUCACCAGCCUCUGAUAGGUGGCCCCAGCAUUUUUGAGACCAAAUGGCAUUACCCUAUAACAGAACAAACCCUGGUUAGUGAUGAAAGCCGUGCUCUCCUCGUCCUGCUCGUACAUGGGGAUCUGGUUGUAUCCCGAGAACGCGUCCAUGAAGCUAAGCAGAGCGUGUCCAGCCGUUGAAUCUACUAGCUGAUCGAUCUUUGGUAAAGGGAAGCUGUCCUUUGGGCACGCCUUAUUGAGGUCUGUGAAAUCCACACACAUCCUCCACUUGCCAUUCGCUUUCUUUACCAACACCACAUUCGAUAUCCAUUCAGGGUAAUUGACUUCCCGAAUGAACCCUGCUCUCAAGAGCUUCUCCACCUCGCCAUUUAUAGCCUCAUACCUCUCCUGGUUGAAGCACCUCCUCUUCUGCCUUACUGCCCGAGCACCUUUCUUUAUUGCCAGCUUAUGACAUGCUACCUCAGGGUCAAUCCCUGGCAUGUCUUCAUGUGUCCAAGCAAACACAUCUGCAUGAGCCUGUAAGCAUUUCACCAACUCCUGCUUUUGCUCUCCCUUAAGUCUCGACCCGAUUCUGAUUGUCUUUCCCGGAUUCUCUGGUCCCAGGCUUACAGUUUCCAGAUCCUCUACAGGUUCUUGUCUGCCAUUCUUGUUUUCCACUCGGGUAUCGAGGGAUGUUAUCUGCAUUGCUUCCCUUGUUUCCAUCGCUUUUCACUUGCUUUACUCCCCUUCUUACUAUCAACAGAAGCUUUUUGAUCAGUUCCCCACAGACGGCGCCAAAAUGUUGAUGCGAGAUUCUGGUUCUCCUCGUUAUACGACCAGGGUCUCUGUUCGAUCAACUUCACCACGACCAGGAUCUCUCCUCAUAAAGCUUCUUCUCCAGAGGUUCCUGCGCACACAGACAAGUCAGAGUACGCCGGUUGUUUUCCCGGCGCAAACCCUCCGACGCUCAAGUCAGAUAUGAAGGUUCGGGGAACCUUUGCCACAGAUCUUAUGGCUUUUGGGGUAGUUUUCUCUUUUUUAGAAUUUCUUUAGCUCUCUUCUAAUCUCAAAAUUGCUAACCCUUUUACCUUCGUUGGCUACCUUUUUAUAGGCUUCCUCUGAAUCUCAGUUUUCCGCAGUCUACGUCCGUUAUCCUCCCACCUCUCGAACGUGGAUUCCCCAUUUCCGUAGUCAUGGGUGGUCGCGUGGCCUUCGUGCCUAGAUUCUCGGGCUGGAGAGCAUGCCUCGCCAACUGUCGUUGACCGGGUCUCCUCGAAUCAACCCUUAGCAAGAAUACAGCAGGAAUGGCUUUAUGCUUCUUGCAGGAAAUUGGCCUCGCGGAUGACGUGCUUCCUGGUGACUUCCUGGUCGAGGUGACCGAUAACAUCCUGGUUGAGGUGAUGUGCUCGAGGUCACCACAUAUUAUUCUGGUCGAGAUGAUCUGCUCAACCAUUUGCUCACUUUUACUUUGAGGAGAGCACGAUAAUGUAUGAGCAAACACCUUUAUCUUGGUCACCCUAUUUCAUUCCCUAAACAGUUUAUGUUUUCUAUUGAAUUAUAAGUAAAUUACCUCUUGUAAAAAUAUGAAAUACUGAGGCUGGCGAUGUGCCUUGAAGAACAAUCUUUUAUUAAAAAGAUAUAAUGGAAUUAACAAAAUAGAUAUUAGAAGGAUUUUUUUGGGGAAAUUCUACAUUCUUUGAAAUGCUGAUAAGAGAGAGUUUUAAGAGAACCCCAGACUUUUCAAGAGAGUGCUAGGUAGUAUUUGGACUAGCUCAUCCACACAGAAUAAACAUUCACAAGUUUUAUUUUAUGGUCCAUUUUCUUAUAAAUUUUAGAAAGUUUUUAAGUCGAUUAUAGUGCCAUUCAAAGCAACAAAGACUAAUGAGGCUGCACCAAUAUUAAUCUCAGCACAGUGAGUUCUCAUACUGAACGCCGUUCCUGCUUUGAUACCAACUAUUAGGAAUCUAUUAAUUGGUAUAACUCACCAUUAACAAAACCACAACUUGCAAUAAAAUAUUGCCCAUAAUUCGUGUCUACGAAUUUAGAUUAUUAUUUUCAGUCCAAAUAGAAUUCAGGAUCACAACAAAGUUAAUAAACCAACAAAAAUAAAGUACAAAGACAUGGUUCAUAACCACCAUCUAAUCUGAAAAAUAGAUCAACCAAAAUAAUGUGUAUGCACUCCUCUUCGCGGAUUUCAUUUUAAGGAAUUUUCUGCAGUAGAAGAUUCAGUAAGUUAGUAGAUACCGUUAAGUCAGGUUGCUGUAGUAACUCAUGUGAUCUAAUAAUUUUCACUUGUUUUCUACCAAGGAAAUAUAAGACUCCUACUCUUCAAUUUUUCAAUCUUAACCUAUUCAUGUCUGCCAACAUGUUACGACUCUUCUUUUCUUUCAAAACCGCGUGAAUAAUUAGCGCAUGGUACUUACAAGUCUAUCAUGUUGACCUGAAGUCCUCCUCGGCGGCUUUCUAAUUAGUAAUUAGUUAACUUGGGCCAGCACUGCUAUAUUAUAUCAGUCUAUAUGACAUAUACAUUGCAACUUGUAAGUUCCAUCCCUUCUCUGAGUUUCAUUUCGACUACUAUUAAACCCAAUAAUGAGAUCAAUUUUACUCUUAUCAUGGCUUUUCUUGAAACCCUUUUAGCCAAUUAUUUUGGGAUGCAUAUGGUUUUGGUGUCUGGCCAGUGUCAGAGCGAUCAAAAAUCGCUGUUAAUCCAGAUGAAGAACAGCUUCAUAUUUGACGUUGAUUCUACUCCACCUGUAAAAAUGAGUCAGUGGAGUGAAAGCACCGAUUGUUGUAAUUGGAACGGAGUAGAUUGCGAUGAGGCUGGUCAUGUUAUUGGUCUCGACUUGAGCGCGGAACCAAUACUCAUCGGCAGUCUUGAGAACGCAUCUAGCCUUUUCAGUCUUCAAUAUCUGCAGAAUCUAAAUUUGGAUUUCACUCUCGUCUACGGAUUCCCUAUGCCAUCCAGGUUGGCCAACCUCACAAAUUUGACUUACCUGAAUCUUUCUCAGUGUGGCUUCACAGGGGGGAUUCCUACUGAGAUUUCAAGCCUGUCAAGGUUGGUUUACUCUUGAUUUGUCAGGUCGUGAGCCUAUAAGCGGAUUUUCCUGGAGACUUGAGAUCCCAAAUUUCAACUUUUUUCAUAACUUAAUAGAGCUUAGAGAACUGUACCUUGAUAGUGUAGAAUUGUCCGCCUCCGGAACUGAAUGGUGCAAAGCUUUAUCAUUUCUGCCCAAUCUACAAGUUUUAAGCUUGUUCGGCUGCGAUCUUUCAGGUCCAAUCAAUCACUACCUGGCGAAGUUACGGUCACUCUCCGUGAUUCGUUUGCAUUACAAUUAUGGUCUAUCCUCAGGUACAGAAUUUUUGGCCAAUCUGACGAAUUUGAAUGCCUUGGAUCUCAGCGAGUGUGGGUUGCAAGGGAAGUUUCCAGAAAAGAUAUUGCAGGUUCCUACCCUUGAGAAUCUUGACUUGUCAAUUAACCAAUUGCUUCAGGGUUCUCUGCCAAACUUUCCGAAGAAUUCUUCUCUUCGGAACCUGAUCCUCUCUGGGACGGGAUUCUCAGGCACACUACCAGAUUCGAUUGGGAAUCUUGAAAAGGAUAGAGGUUAGAAGUUGCAAUUUCUCAGGACGAAUUCCCCCUUCAAUGGCUAAUCUUACCCAAUUAUUUCACAUGGACUUCUCAUCUAACCAUUUCUCUGGUCCCAUCCCAUCUCUUCACAAGUCAAGAAAUCUCAACUACUUAGACAUUUCAUUCAAUAAUUUAAAUGGUGGGGUCUCAUCCACCUUCUGGGAACAACUUGUAAAUCUCAAUCUUGUUCUCUUGUCGCACAAUUCACUUAAUGGAAGUAUUCCCAGAUCUCUGUUUCUACUUCCAAAUCUGGAGAUGCUUUGGCUCUCCAACAACCAGUUUGAGAACCAACUUCCAGAAAUUUCAAAUGUGUCCUCGUCUGUAUUGCAUGACCUUGAUUUAAGCGGCAACAAAUUAGAAGGGCCUGUCCCCAUUUCAAUAUUCUUUGAACUCAGAAACCUUUGUACCCUCGAUCUUUCUUCCAACAAGUUUAGCAGAUUGAAACUGGCUUCAAGCAAACCACGGGUCAUUCCUAUUCUAAAAAACCAAUCACAGCUUUCUGUUUUGGACAUUUCAAAUAACCAAAUAUCUGGAGAAAUACCAAAUUCGAUUUGGAAAGUUGGUAGUGGCUGUGAGAAUUUUGAGUAAUGAAUUUGUAACUGUUUUUAUUAUUAUAUUGCAAUGUACAAUGCUGCUGACUUAUAUAGCUGAUCAGAUUUAUCAUACAGCUCAGCAACUCAGAUUUACAAUUACUAAAAAACAAGUAAUGCGUGUGUUAUCUAUUUAAAUCACAGCCGCUCAUCUAUAACUAGAUUGUUACACUCAUAAUUGUUGAGGAAUCUCUGUGUAAUUGUUCUGCCAACUUGGAUAUCUUUCUUCUUCACGUGUGUGUUGCAUCACCUUACUUGUGUGAGCAUCAUUCUUGGUAAUCAAGUAAGCUCCAGCUGGCACUCCCAAGUGAGCUGAUCCAAGUUCAGCUUCAUCCUCAAACUUAACAUCCCUUCUCAAACUUAAGUCUCUAGGAGAGACUUUAAGUUUGUUUCUGAAGAAGCUGAACUUGGAAUAAGUGAGUGGUUUAGUUAACACAUCUGCAGUUUGAUUAUUGCUGGACACAAAAGCAAUUUCGAUUUCUUUCUUCUCAACUUUGUCUCUGAUAAAAUGAACAUCUAUCUCUAUGUGUUUAGUCUUAGAAUGGAGAACUGGAUUUGUAGCAAUUGCAGCUGCACUUGUACUGUCACUUAACAACAGAGGAGUACAGUUGAGUUUUAAUCCCAAUUCUUGCAAUAAUGAACAUAUCCAAGUUACUUCUGCACUAGCUAAUGCCAUGGCUCUGUAUUCAGAUUCAGCUGAGGACUUAGAUACCACACUUUGCUUCUUAGAACUCCAGCUAAUCAAAUUGUCACUCAAGAAAACACAAUACCCACUGGUGGACCUUCUAUCAUCAGGGUCACUUCCCCAAUCAGCAUCUGAAUAUGCUACAAGAUCAAAGGAGUCAGACUUCUUGAAUGUCAAGCCAUAGUCAAUUGUUUCCUUUAGAUACCUGAGUACCCGUUUGCAAGCUGACCAAUGUGGCUGCAGAGGAUUGGACAUAAAUUGACUUAACUUGUUGACUGCAUAAGCAAUUUCAGGCCUGGUUAAUACAGCAUACUGCAGUCCUCCAAUGGCUCUCUUGUAUUGAGUUGAGUCAGCAUGUAUUUCCCCCAUAUUUUUGCUCAACUUCUCUGUAGUUGCUAGUGGAGUGUCUGAGCCAUUACAGUUCUUUAAAUCAAACUUAGUAAGUAGUUCCUUCAAAUAUUUUGAUUGUGACAAAAACAGAGUAUCUUCAUUCCUUGUGACUUCAAUACCUAGAAAGAAGUUAAGCUGACCCAAAUCUUUUAGAGCAAAAGCAUUUCCCAGAUUACAAAUAAGCUGCUCUAUUUCAACAUUAUUGCUUCCAGUGAUUAUGAUAUCAUCCACAUAAACUAGUAGGAUGAUCAGCUCAUUUUCAUUUUAUUUGAAGAACAGAGAAGUGUCUGAUUUUGCUCGACAGAAAUUCCAUGAUUCAAGUACUGAUUUUAACUUAUCAAACCAGGCUCUUGGUGCCUGUUUCAAACCAUAGAGGGCCUUCUUUAGCUUACAAACAUAUCUUGGGUGAUCUGUAUCCACAAAGCCUUCAGGCUGAGGCAUAUAAACAGUUUCAGUUAACUCCCCAUUUAGAAAGGCAUUAUUAAUGUCAACUUGUCUCAACUUCCAGUUAUUGAUCACAGCCAUGCUUAGAACAAUUCUUAUUGUGGCUGCUUUCACCACAGGGCUGAAAGUCUCCUGAUAAUCUACACCUUCAGUUUGUAGGAAACCUUUUGCAACUAAUCUGGCUUUGUAUCUGUUUAUUGUUCCAUCUGAGUUUUGUUUUACUCUAAAUAUCCACUUGUUUCCCACAAGUUUCAUAUGUUGUUCUGGUGGAACCAAACACCAGGUCUGAUUUCUAACCAAGGCACUGAACUCAUCCUGCAUAGCUAGUUUCCAGUUGUUAUCACUUAAAGCUUCAGCAACACUUGAUGGUGUUUCCAGGGACAAAGCUUUUUCAGUGUUGUAAGCUUUAGGCUUAAAGAUGCCAGCUUUGGCUCUAGUAAUCAUGGGAUGUGAAGGGUUAAUUUUAGAAGUGGUUUGAGUUAUUUCAGUGUUUUGGUUUUGAGCUUCAUUGUGUUCAGGGGCACAAGAACACUAUGGGGUAUCUUGAAUUUCUGUGUGUAGGUUUGAAGAAAUAUUUUGCUCUGGAAGAAUUUGGUUGUGAUUGUUGUUAGAAUUUUGAUCAUUAGGGAGAGUGAGAUCAUGAAUUUCUUUUUCAGAUGAACUUGUACUUACUGCUGGUGCCUCAUGAUUGUGACUGUCAGAAGGAAAAGUCACUGUGAUGAAUUUGCUAAAGGAAUUUAAAGACUCAGAUGGUUUGUUCUGGUUUGACUUUAUGAAUUUUGGAUCUGUUUUGAGUGGAAAAGAAUUCUCAUUGAAGUUUACAUGUGCUGCUAUGUAUAUUCUUCCAGUUGAACUUAGACACAUAUAACCUUUGUGAUAUUGGCUAAAUCCUAGAUUUACACAAGUGGAGGUAUGAAAAUCAAGUUUAUGUUUAUUGUAAGGUCUCAUGAAAGGAUAGCACUCACAGCCAAAUGUUUUGAUGAGAGAGUAAUCUGGUUUCUUUGAGUAAAGGAAUUCAAAAGGAGUCUUGUCAUUUAAGGUAGGUGUGCUGGUUCUGUUUAUGAGAAAUGUGGCAUUUGAGAAGGCUUCCCACCAGAAUUUCAAGGGUAAUCCAGAUUGAGCAAGAAGAGUCAAUCCAGUUUCUACCAAGUGUCUGUGUUUCCUUUCAGCUUUCCCAUUUUGGUGAUGAGUGUAUGGGCAUGAGUAUCUCAAAGAAAUACCUUCAUGUUUCAGGUAUGGUUCAAAGAUUUUGUAUUCCCCCCCCCCCCCCAUGUCACACUGUAAGGUUUUAAUUUUCAGUUCAAGACCUUUCUCAACUUGAUUUUUGAAAGAUAUGAAUGUUGUGAGUGCUUGAGACUUGUGAGUUAAUCCAUAAAUCCAUGUGUAUCUGGUUUUAUCAUCAAUGAAGGAUAUAUAAUAUCUGAAACUUUGAUUGGAUUCAGUGGGUGCAGGACCCCAAAGAUCACUAUGGAUGAUCUCAAGGGCUUUUGAGGUUUUUGUUUCACUAUGUUUGAAAGAUAAUUUGUGUUGUUUUCCAUACUGACAGGCUUUGCAGAAUGAUAAACCAGAUGUUUUAUUUCCAAAUUGAAUAUUACAAGCAGAUAAAGUUUUCACAAGAGCACUGACACUAGGAUGGCCUAAUCUCAUAUGCCAAAGAUCAAGCACUUUGUUGCUUGUAUAAUUGUCAUUACAACUGACAGACAACAUAGACUCAGGACAAGAUGUUUUAUUUACUGUAAGUAGACUAGGAGUAGUAAUUGAAGACAAUAGAAUGGAUUUGAAUUGACUGGAAUCAUGAGGCAAACUCAGCAGUUUGUACAAUCCACCUUUAGCUAUUCCUUUCAAAAGAACACUCCCCCUUCUCUUGUCCUUGACAACACAGCAAGUUUUAUGGAAUUCAAUAGAGACAUCAUUAUCAUGCAAUAAUUGUGAAAUACUAAUCAAGUUUUUGGUUAUUUCUGGAACAUAAAGAAUGUGGUUAAGUUUGAUAUGAGUUGAUGUGUGUGAAUCAAGUGUGCUGAGCAGUGAGUGACCAACAGAAACUAUUUUGAGUUUAGUACCAUUACCUACUGCCAGCUGAUCACUUCCCUUGUACUCAAAGCUGAUGUUGAGAUUGUUGAAGUCAUUUGAGAUGUGGUUGGUUGCACCACUGUCAAGAUACCAGGCUCCAUCCCUGUGACCUCCAUUUUCAGCAAUAUAUGCACUCCUCCUGUUAGGUGCUUGAUUAGGUACAUAAUUCUUCUUAAACAUGUACCAGCAGUUGGUAGCAGUGUGAUUUUUCCUGAAACAGAUCUGGCAUGGUCCCUUAGGUUCUUCUUCAUCAGCAGGAUUCUUGCCUUUGAACUUGUCUGGUGAAUUCAUAUUCUGAUUGAAAUUGUAUCCACCAGGUUGUUUUCCAUUUGAGCUUCCAGCUGGCCUUCCACCAUAGUUGUUGUUCGGCUGCCAGUUCCUCCUUUGAUUUCCUCUGUGAUAAGCUAAGUUAGCUUGAUAAUCCAUAUGACUGACAGAGUGUUGAUAUUCGAUUCUAUGUUCAUGACUCAGCAGCAUGCCAUACACAUCAGAGGGAGAUGUGCCUUCAGGUUGUGCAUUAAUAGUUGUAACAAUUGAAUCAUAUUCAGAUCCAAGGCCAGCAAGCAAGAACAGCACAAAAUCUUCAUCAGUCAUAUUAUUUCCAGCAGCUCUCAGAGCAUCAAGAUUUGUUUUCAUCUUUGUGUAGUACUCAUGAAUAGAGGUAGAUCUUUUCCUUGUGGUCUGAAUUUGAGUUCUCAAAUGCAGAACUCUGGCUCUGGAUCUAGCUCCAAACUGAGCUGCAAGAAUUUGCCACACCUCCAGAGAAGACCUUGCUCCAACUACAGCACUAAGAACUUCUUCACUUAAAGUUGAGAGUAACCAGCUCAUCAGCUGCUGAUUAUUUCUUCUCCAGAUCUGGAACUGUGGAUUUGGAGUUGUGAUCACAGUUUGAUCACUGUCAAUGUUGAUCGCAACUCGACUAGGUGGACUCUUUGAGCUAUCGAUCAGAUCCUCCAGAUCAUUUGCAUUGAUCGUAGCUAUCACUUGAGAUCGCCACAACAAGUAAUUGUUAUUGGUAAGCUUUAUUGGCGUGUUGAAGACAAGUGAGUUAAGAACAGAGGUGCUAACGUUUGAAAGAUGAUUAGUGUUUAUGGUUGAGCUCGAAGCUCCAUUACUGUUGAUCUUAUUUUCAUUACUCGCCAUUGUUGCUUCUCAGAGCUCUGAUACCAUGUGAGAAUUUUGAGUAAUGAAUUUGUAACUGUUUUUAUUAUUAUAUUGCAAUGUACAAUGCUGCUGACUUAUAUAGCUGAUCAGAUUUAUCAUACAGCUCAGCAACUCAGAUUUACAAUUACUAAAAAACAAGUAAUGCGUGUGUUAUCUAUUUAAAUCACAGCCGCUCAUCUAUAACUAGAUUGUUACACACAUAAUUGUUGAGGAAUCUCUGUGUAAUUGUUCUGCCAACUUGGAUAUCUUUCUUCUUCACGUGUGUGUUGCAUCACCUUACUUGUGUGAGCAUCAUUCUUGGUAAUCAAGUAAGCUCCAGCUGGCACUCCCAAGUGAGCUGAUCCAAGUUCAGCUUCAUCCUCAAACUUAACAGUGGCAAAUUUUACACCCUAAAUCUUUCACACAAUCUUCUAGAGAGCUUACAAGAACCUUACUCUAUUUCUGGAAUUGGAUUGCUUGACCUGCACUCCAACCAACUCCGAGGAAACAUCCCUUACAUGUCACCAAAUACUUCCUACGUCCAUUACUCCAACAAUAAUUUUAUUUCCAUCCCAGCUGACAUUGGUAAUUUCAUGUCUAUAACCACCUUUUUUUCUGCUGCAAACAAUAGUCUCACGGGAUUCAUCCCGGAAUCUGUAUGUAAGGCUACCGAUUUUAAAGUUCUUGACUUAUCAAACAACAAUCUGAGUGGCACAAUUCCUGCAUGUUUAAUCACCAAGAGUAGCACCACUCUAGGGGUUUUAAAUUUAGGGAGAAACAACCUCAAUGGCACUCUUUCUCACACAAUAUUUCCAGGAAAUUGUGGGUUGCAAGUUCUAGGUCUCAGUGGAAAUCAACUAAAAGGAGUGGUUCCAAAAUCUCUUGCCAAUUGCAAUAUGCUGCAGGUUUUAGACCUCAGGAAUAACCAUAUCAAUGAUAAUUUCCCAUGCUGGUUAUGGAAUGCUUCUAGUUUGCAAGUUCUAGUUUUGCGAUCCAACAACUCUCCAGACACAUUAGCUGUCCAAGAAAUAAUGUCUCCUGGCCUCUGCUUCAAAUAGUCGACUUAGCAUCCAAUAAAUUCAGCGGAAGACUAUCACAAAAAUGGGUACUUACCAUGAUGGUUGCUGAAACCAAAUCCGGAUCUGAGCUUAACCACCUUGGGUAUAUGAUGCCGAGCAACCAAUUCUAUGAGGUUGGAAUAACAGUUACAGUAAAAAGUGUAGAGAUCAAGCUACUGAAGGUCCCAAAUAUAUUCACUACCAUUGACUUUUCAAGCAACAAUUUCAAAGGGCCAAUACAAGAAGAAAUGGGACGAUUCAAAUCACUCUAUGCUCUGAACAUGUCGCACAAUGCUCUCACAGGCUCGAUACCAUCAUCUUUUGAGAACUUGAAACAGAUUGAGUCCUUAGACCUCUCAAUGAACAACCUCCAUGGGAAAAUUCCUGCCCAGCUUGUAAGCCUAAAUUUCCUAUCGGUGCUAAAUCUCUUAUACAAUAACUUAGUAGGAAAGAUUCUAACAGGUACUUAGCUCCAAUCAUUUUCACCAACUUCUUAUGAAGGAAACAAAGGAUUGUACGGACCUCCUUUGACGAAUGACAGCCAAACACGUCCUCCUGAGUUACAACCUUCACCGCCGCCAGCUUCAAGCAAUGAAAUUGAUUGGUUCUUCAUAGCCAUGUCAAUUGGAUUUGCGGUAGGCUUCGGAGCAGUUGUUUCACCUCUAAUGUUUUCCGUGCAGGUAAACAAAUGGUAUAAUGAUCUUAUUUACAAAGUUAUAUAUCGGCGAUUCCGUGUGUGUAGUGAUUUAUAUCUCUCCUUUUGAAUAAUCAUGUAAGCUAGCUUUUGCUUUUCUCUUAUUUCAUAGAUAUUUGAGAUUUCGUUUCUUCUCUGUUUGAUGAAGUUAAUAAAGCUGACAAUAAUUUGAAAUAAGGGCCUAUCUAUAACUUUUACUGCGACAAUCUUUAUCUCAAAAUUGGCUCCAAUUUUGGCGCAAUUCAUGCACAAUAUAUCUUCGAGAGUCCAUACUAAAUUAAUAUGUGCAAGACUGUACAUGAUUCCAACUCCAAGCUAGAUCCAUAGCCAUUCAUGAUCAUAUUCCAUUUGUUCACUUCGGAAGUUUCAUAGAGUAGAAAGAAGAAUUCAGAAGAUAACUUUUGUAGAAAUGAGUGAGUUAUGAGUGCAUCUAAGAAAUAACCCCAAAAAGGCUUUCGGCCCUUGUGGCCGGUUGAGUAGUUUGUUCAAAAUAUUAAUUUAUGUUGUGUUUAAUUGUUGGAAUGAGAGUAGGAAGCAUGGAUUCUUCCCAGUAUUUUAUUGCUUAUUUAAGGAGGAGAAUAGAACUCUUAUUUGGUGGAUCUCACUUAUCUUUAGAGUAAAGAGUGGGAUUCUCACUUCUAUACGGGCCACUCUCACCUCUUCCUUUUUUAUUCUUUCUUUAUCAAAUAUAAUAAAUUUUGCAUUUAUUAAAAAUAAAAUAUAAUAAAUUUUGAAUUGGCAUUUGCUGUCGUUUGUAUUGUCAAUUAUUUUGAGUUAUUGAUAUUGCACAAUUUUUAUAUUGAAUAUAGUUGUACAUAAAUUUUCUGACUUUAACAGUAUUUUCUUGCCAACUUGCGUCUCAGCCAUUAGCCAACUGGUGAACUGCAACUCUUCCAAGUCCUCUUAAUUUUUUCUCUCCUAAUUAAAAAUUAUGUAAAGAUAUGAAUUUUCUCUAUUGAUUUUGUAGGUAGAACAAAUAACCUUCCAGUAUUCAUAAGAUAGAAAUCUAGGUUGUGCUAUAUUAGAAAUGAUCUACAUGGUCUAUUAGUAGACAUCUAAUUGUAUAAUAUAUAUUAAUAAGGGGAAAAACACGUCUACACUUCCAUGAUAUGGGAAAAUAGUCACCAACACUCCUAAGUUUUCAUAAAAGGAUACUAAGACUCCACUUUGACUAUUAUACUCUUUAUCCCUAUUAUCGCCAAAAAAAUAGAUUUUAAAAUUUUUAAUAAAUAUAAAUAUUAUAUAAAUAAUGUAUUUUAUUUUUUUAAUAAUAUUUUUUAUUUAUUGUAGAGAUUUUAAAUAAUAUGAAUGAAUUGGAAACGAUUCUUCACAAGCAAAGAAAAGUUAGCCCUCACAUACAAGGAAAGACUAACAUUUAUAAAGAAGGAAAAAGCAACCUUCACAUGGAAAGAAAGACAAAAAGAUGGGGGGGGGGGGGGGGGAGUUUUAGUAGUAAAUAACACUAAUUAAUAAUUAGUAACAGUGACACCUAAUAUAAUAAAAUUACAUGAAACUAAAAUAAAUUGAAUAGAAACAAACUCAAUAUCAAUUAUCACAAUGCAAUUAGUAAGUGUUUGUUUGGUAUGGCUUAUCGAAUGGUUAUAAGUAUUUUUUUAAUCCCAUAAACUCAAUCAAAUUUUUUGUUAUUGUUUGAUUUUUUUUUUAGUAGAACUUUUCAAUAUUAAAUAAGAUAUUUGGUCUGUACUAUCAAAAGCUCAAAUUUUGAGCUUUUGAGAGUAAAGGUUAAUUUUUUUUAAAUAUUAAAAUGUUUAAAAUAUCGUUAACUUAUUUGACAAUUUUAUUUCAUUAUUUUCAUAACCUAACUUUAAAAAACUUACAUAUUAAAAUAAUUUUAUAAUUUUUAAUAAAAGUUUACAUUGACAACCAAACAAUUAAAAUUUUUGCAUAAAAUCUCCAUUUAUAAAAACUCUACUGAUAAAAACCUAUUUAAAUAAACUCAAUUUAAAAAGCUAAAUAUGACUAGAAUUUUUUUUUAAUAUUUAAUUGUCGGGCUGAAGGAUCGGAGUCGGACUUUCUUGUUAUACCCCUAGCCCGACCCCGAUCCGGCUCAAUUUCGAAUACCUUAAGUCCUAAUCCGAGCCGAAACCUAAAAGUGGAGCCGAAGCCUGGCUGGGCCGGGCGCUCACUUUUCUGCCAUCCCUAUCAGCAACGCAACUCAAGCCUUGCCUGGCUGGUCGUAGUUUUUGCGCAGUUAAGUUAACAGGCGUUGAUUCAACGCUACGCGGGGUAUGCGCAGAGUCUUAACCUACGCCCACUACAUUUCUCCUCUGUCCUCUCUAUAAAUAGCUUUUCUCUUUUGCUUUUCGUUUCCCUCUUCUUUCAAAAUCAUCACCGAAUCAACAAAUAAUCUUUCACUCUGUCACUCACUAACAAAAUAUCACGAAACGAUAAAAAAUUAGCAAGUUAAUAGCAAAUUAACUGAACUGCUUCAAGCAAUAAUGGCUACUUUCGGUGCUGCUGCCGUUGCCACCAAUCAAAACCCUAACAAGUCAAUCGAGGUAUACUUUGUUUAUUUAUUUUCUUUGUUCUUUUUUCUUUCCGAUAAUCUUUAAAAAUUAUUUACCGUUAAAUUUCUUGUCGGUUUCUUGUGUAUGAUGAACUUGGCGACUGUUGAAUUAAUGCUUAUGAUGAUGUUAUUAGGAUUAAGUAGAAAGAUAUAUAAAUUAUUUAUUAGAUAUUUUUGUCAGGUUUAUGCUUGAUUGUUUGUGUUAAUGUAAAAAUUAAUUGUACAUUUUCGGAUAAAGAAUUUUUUUUUUUAAUGCAAAAUAAUGCAUGCUAAGCUAUGAUCAUUUGUUUGCUUGCUUUCUUGCUGAACGGAUUGUUGAGAGCGAACCAAUUGCUAAGCUUGUGAUUGUGUUGGAGUUUCAGUGUAAAAGAACAGUAGUUAGUAAGUGAAUCAUCGGGUUUGCUAGUAGUGUUUGGAAGUUUAUAGUGUGAUUUUCAUACAGAAAACUCGGUCGGAAUGUUAAGUUCAUAUUAGGUUAAUGAAGAUAAGUUUUCUACAAUUGAUCAUGUAAAAGUUUGAUGCACCAAAUUUUCAAAUGAGAUAAAUUGUUUCUGGUCAUAGGUUCCAAAUUUAUAUGCUAGACGUUGAUAUUUGUCAUGUAGUUGUAUGUGAAGUGUAGUUCUGUCAUCGAAGCUGUUAGAAAAGGAGUACUUACGUGAAAUUUUUCAAUGGCAGGUGUCUCAACCUCCCAGUGAUUCUGUUUCAAGCCUUUGUUUCAGUCCCAAGGCCAAUAUCUUGGUUGCAACCUCAUGGGAUAAUCAGGUUUGCCCAAUUGGUUUCCCACAGGUAAGGUGUUGGGAAAUUUCACGCAGCGGAACUGGUGUGGCCAGUGUGCCCAAGGCAUCAAUUUCGCAUGACCAUCCGGUAAUCUAAAGCAAGAUUUGUGGUAGUUAGAAUACCAUACUGUUGAAUUUGUGAUUGCUGAUAAUUUAACCUUUUUCUUGUCUUCCAAAUUUGAAGGUCCUAUGCUCAACAUUGAAGGAUGAUGGAAUUACUGUCUUCUCUGGAGGAUGUGACAAGCAGGUCAAGACAUGGCCUUUACUCUCUGGUGGUCAGCCAGUGAUUGUGGCUAUGCAUGAUGCGCCAAUUAAAACAAUACGGCUCCUAUAAGGAACCGAACCCCAAGAUAGGAGCCGAACCCCAAGAAAAGUAAGGAUUCUCAACCAUGAAAAUCCCUGUCACACCUACAAAUGCAAAUGGUUACUGUUAUAGCCUAAAGUUUCAGUAUGCAUGCAUAGGUCGUAUUAGUAUGAAUAGCAGAGACACAAACCAGAAGUAGAAUUUUACAUGAAAUAAGAAUUGUUGAAACACAUGUGGAAGGCUUGUGAUGGAGAAAAUUGUGUGAAAUAAAAUUUGGAUAUGUACUGAAAAUUGCAUAAAAAUAAGUACAAGAUGCAGAGAAAUGAAAAAAAUAUCCUCUGUUGCAGUGAUUAUAUUUGCUAUAUAGUUAGUAAUGUGUGUGCGCAUACCAGUGUUGGGUUGGGAUAGGAUAAAUAUUAUAAUGUCCAAGUAAUGAAUGUAGGGUUACUAAUUUUGUGUACACAUGAAAGUUGGGUUGCAGUGAUCUGAACCAUAACUGUUUAAAAUGAAAUUGUGCCAAUGGCCGCCUCGAUAACUUGUAAAGUCGAUUGAUAUCCAUUGACAAUUUGACUUCUUAGUUGUCCAAAAAAAAAAAAAAAUGAAAGAAAGACUUAUUGAAUCUUCAUCACUGCUGCUUGAUGGUAGUCGCAAGAAGUCCUGUGCAGCAGCAGGAGUUGUGGCCGAGUAUAGACUGAUCUGAAAUGGUUUAAAAAUGUGAAAUAGUUAACCGAAUGGAUUGUUUUGCUUGUAAAUCUUCUCAACUAACCAGCCACAAAGAUUCCUCUUUAGCCUGCCACAGUUCAGUUGUAACAAACUACCAAAGCCCAUUUCACAAACAGCCACUCUUUGUUCAUCUGUAAGUUGUGAAACUGCUGCAGCUAAUCUAUCUGGAACACAUCUUGUCAGGAACUUUGCCUUCCCCAUGUUUGACUUCCCUACUCGUUUGGCCUCACUUUUGUACUGACUUUUCCUUCGGUGGCAAAUUCUUAUACGUGGAUCCAAUUUCCUUUCGAAUCUACAACACAAUCAUGGUAACCCAAAUGACGCACAACUCCACCACUGCAAUAUCAUCGUAUCACAACCGAAAUAAUUAGUCAAAACCUAUACUACCACUCAACUAUUACUAAGUUAUGAUAAUUUAUUUAUUUUUCCAUUAACAUAGUUUAGAAAUAUCUUAUGAACCCAUUGAGGCACUGCCUUUUUCUUCCCCCAUCAAUGCUUGCAUCAUCACCAACCACUUCAGUUCCUCAGUUAAUCUCACAUUCCUUCUGCUUAUUACUUCCCACCACCUUCAUUCCUGAAAUUCAGUGACAGUUAUUUCUUACCAUCAAAAUACGCUUUAUAGCACCAUAUAAAUACAUUACUAAUUCACCAUAUAAACACAAAUACAUAUCAAUUACGUUACCAUCCCCAAACGAAACUAACAAAAACAUUUCAUAUCAACUCCACAAAAAAGAUAUACAAAUUCAGCUGGUGCAUGUACCAUUACCCCCAUGUCAUCAGCUUCAUGCUUGUGAUUCACGUCAUUUAAAUAUUUGCUGCAAUUUCACCUUUCCGGUUACUAAUUUUCCACACAUGUUCACUAUAAACUUAUUAUGCAAACAUUUAUUAUCUAAAUUUAAAUAAUUCAGUAGGAUUGACAAUUGACAUGUCACAUGUCGGGUGCUUCUAUGAAAUUCUAUUCCAAGGCACAGUCAUGACUAAGCUCAAGAAAGGGACAGCAAAUGCCGCCGACACACUCAAGUUACCGAGCAUAACACCAAGCUCCUUCUCUAUCCUACUGCUUUAAAUAAGCCGUAUUGAACUGUGCUAAAUAAUCCCCAAAUAAUUUCGAUAAUUAUUGGCCUCUACUCAAUUUUUCAAUCUUUGUACGACAUAUAUUUUGCAACCAUGUAUAUGCAAAACAAUUCAUUAUUCAACUGGGUUCAAUAUUUCAAUUCAACCACCAACUACGUUGUUCAGCACAUAUCCUUAAAUUAAAUUUUAAUUUUUUUCCAUGUACUCCCAAAUUUUCCCAUUAUCCAAACGAAACGUUAAAUUUCCACCAGCCACUUAAUCAGCGACAAAUAAUUCCUAUCACUAAUCUCAAAUUCAAAUUACACUGACCUUUAAUUUUGUUAACCCAAUCCCUUAUGCUUCAUUCAAUACUGCCACGACAAGCUACAAGUCACCACAAGCCAAUUCAAAAAUCCCACACGGGAGCGCUGCCCCAGCCGCAGUUACACCUUGCCCGCUUCAAUUUCCUUGCGUCCGAGAAACCGCAGUCAUUGAUCAAAAUGGCCAAUAAGGGUUUACAGCUCCUAAAACUAAUCUUGUACAAAGAAGCUGGUUUGGAUGGUUGCCCACUGUAAUUGACUUUUACCCUUUUCAAACCUCAUCCCUUGGAUUAAAUUAAUUAUAAUGUAACGACUACAGUGGAUAACGACAAAAAAAAGGGGCACGGUAGCUGGGGAAUAGGAUCCUCUCAUACAGGGGUGGUUUUAGGUAUAGGCGAACAAGGCUGUCGCCUAAGGUCUCAUAUUUUAAGAAGGCCUCAUUUUUUGAGUAUUUCUUUAAUAAUUCUCUAAUUAAUAAAAUAUUUUUAAUACGUAUUUUAAGAAAUAAAAAAUUUUAUUAGAUAUCUCUCUAUUCUUAAUUAUUCUAUAAUUAAGAAUUAUUUUUUAUAAAAAAUCUAUAUUUGGGAACCUUAAUUUUAGAGAAAUAUAAUUAAUAAUAUUCUUUAACCUUCAUUCCUUUUCAAUUAUUCAAUAUUAGCAUAUUUGAAUUUUAAUAUUUCUUUUAAAUUCUAUUAAAAACCUCAUAAUCUCAAGAAUUAGUAAAUGAAAAAAAUUUCUUGUUCUCUUCUCUACAAAUAAAAUUAUUAUAUUCAUUGGUUCAUUUAAAAUAAUUAGUUUCUUAAAAUAUAAAGUCCAUUUUUAUUUUUGAACAUCAACUCAUCAUUUUAAAAUUGUUAUAUUCUAUCAUUCUAAACAUUCUAUCAUUCUAAAUAUUCUAUUUGAAAAUAAAUUUUUUUUAUUUAUUUGUUUGUUUGUUUUUUAACAGUUUUAAUGGAAUAAAAAAAAUUAAUCUUCUUGAUUGUUUUUUAGGUUUUAUUUUUAAAAUUUUUGAUUUUUUUUUAUUAUUGUUGAAAUUCAAGAAUUAAAGAUGGAAUAAAUUUUGAUCCUCUUUAUAUGUCUUUGAGUAUUAAAAUUACAAAAUAAUAGAGGCCUCAUAAAAAAAUUUCGCCUAAGGCCCCUCAAACUCUAAAGCCGGCCCUGCUCUCAUAAUCUGAGCUCUACUGAGCUUUUAAAGAUGUUCUGCCAUGUGUUUUUUAGUGAUAGUGCAUGGAUAAGAUUGAACUUAUUUUACUUUUUUAUUUAUUAACUAUCAAUCAGCAAUUAACUUAUUUGCUCGCAACAUGAUCAAAUAAGAUCCUCUCAUAAUCUGAGCUCUACUCAGCUUUUAAAAAUUUUCUGCUAUGUGUUUUUUAGUGGUAGUGCAUGGAUAAGAUUGAACUUUUUUUACUUUUUUUUUAUUAACUACCAAUCAGCAAUUAAGUUAUUUGCUCGGAACAUGAUCAGAUCAGGACAGAAUCCUACUCCUAGUAGCUGGUCCCUAGUUGAUUGGGUGCUCGAGUUUUUCUAGACUACUUUUUUUUUUUUUUUUACGAAAUUCUUACAAUUUACAAAUCUACUAAAACUCUCAAAAUAUACUCUCACUAACAUGCACAGAGAAAUCUAUCAUUUUCUGAAAGAAAUGAGUUUGUAAGACUCGAACCCACUCCCUUAACAUAUUUUGAGGAUGCAAGUGCCAUUAUACUAGAAGCGCAAAUGCAAAAGUGGUUUCAGACUUGAAAGGUCAAAAGUAAAUUUCCAAAAGUCAAGGUACUUAGAAGUUUUUAUCGAUAUUAUCACAAAGUUAAUCUUACAAAUUGUAUACUAGACGAAUGGUCUCUAAAAUUUAUAAUUAAUCUAAAAAUUUUGAAUAACAUCAUUAAAAGAUUUUCUUUUCAAAUAUUUCUAUCUAAUUAAUUUUUUAUCCUUACCUAAAUAAAACUUACUAAUUAGUAUUACUAUUCAUCUUUAUAACUUGUUACUAUAUAUUAGUAUUUUUUUAAUUUUCUUCAAAUUAGCAUUAUCUAUCUUCAUAAUUUUUUAUGAGUAUUUUUUAUAUGAAACAUCAUAAAUUUUAUUCAUCAUAAAUUGUAAUAAAAUUUAUUAAGAUGUUCUAAUUUAAAAUAUUAAAGGUUUAUAUUCACUUGAACAUGAUUCAUGUUAUAAUAAAAUACUAUCUUAUUUAUAUUCUUUGAGAUUUUAUUAUUUAUUUAUUAUUUAAAAUUUAUAAGGGCAAGAUUGUAAAAGUAUUAGUUUUAAGACUUUUUAAGUUAAAAAAUAAAGAACUCAAUAAUUAUUUUGAAAGAUUCAAACGAAAACGAAAUAUGCCAUUCAAAUUCAGGCAUUUAGCUUUGUUUAGAUUUCAAGCCAAUUCAUAUUUAUUUAGAUUUCAAACAAAAAACAAUCGUCAUACUUCUUCACCAAAUGUCAAGUAAUUAAUUAAUUUGGGACUUUGUCUAUCUUUUCUAAUUUUUAUUUGAAUUUUUUGAAAUUGAGUCUUAAUUUUCUACUGCUACAACUAAAGUUUAGCAAACAUUGACUUUGAAUUGCCUGUAUAUAUCUACGUAGGUGCCAAUUUGAAGAUAAAGAUUGACUCAAAAUAAAUAACAAAUAACACUUACAGGUCCUUUCACCACAACUGAACUCUCUCGUCAGUCAUGAUAGGUGUAGACUUGGAAACUAAAAGUCUUCUAUAGGUGGAGAAGUCUUGUAUCUAACUUGUGAUAUAUUGUUAAAAAGGAGUCUAUGACUAUUUCAAUCAGGGAUGGCAAUGGGGCGGGGUGGGGGUGGGGAUGCCUACCCCAUUCCCCACCCCAUUAAAAUUUUUUGCCUCCAUUCCCCACCCCAUUCCCCAAUAAAUUUAGUGGGUUGGGGAUGGGGAAUCCCCACGUGGGGAAUGAUUCCCCCAUCCCCACCCUAUUCCCCAUUUACUUAUUUUAUAGUAGAUAUAAAAAUAUGAUUUCAGUAAAUUAAAAAUUAAAGACUUAAAAUAAAAUCAUCACCAUAUUAUAAAGUGUUUAAAUUUUUUUAAAAAUCUCUAAAAGUUUGAAACCAUAUUUUAAACUGAUAUUAAAAGUGAAAAAUAUUUAAAGAGAGCAGCACUUUAAAAGAGAAAAGAAAAUAUAAUAAUAUUUUAAAGUUAAAAAAUAUUGUAGGGUUUUCUUUUACUCAUAUUAUGUUUAUAUUACAUAAAAAUUAAAAAAUUAUUAAUUGACAUUAUAGUUGAUAAAAUAAAAAUUAAAAACAUAUUUAUAUAUAAUGGGGAUUGAGGUGGGGGUGGGGUGGGGAGUGCAAUACCAAACCCCACCCCGUUAAUAAUUUGGGGAUUAUUUUUCUCCCACUCCCCACCCCAUUCCCCAAAAAUUAUUAAAAAUUUUCCCCAUUUGGGGUGGGGCUCCAUGGGGCUCCAAACCCGUGGAGGAUUUUGCCAUCCCUAAUUUCAAUAGAUCUUAUUUAGUUAUUCUUUUCCCAAAAAAUUAUCGAAGCAAAUCGGUCGAUUAAUGAAUCAAUGUUUAUGCGUCGGCACGGUAGACUAGGGAUGCCAAUCUGGGUUUAUUCGAUUCAAUUUAAUGUGAAUUAAAUGAGUUUGAGUUUGAACAAAUUAAUUCGUUUAAUAAAUAGGUAAAUUCAAUACGAUUCAUUAGUUAAACAAAUUGAAUUCAGGUUUUAUUCAUUCAGGGUUCAUUUAAUAAAUACGUCAUAAACGAAUCAAAUACGAUCCAUUUAUUUAAAAUUAAUUUGAUUAAAUUACUUAUUUUCUUUAAAUAUGUAUGAAAAAUUUUAAAAUUUCAAAGCUAUUAUAGUAAUUAUAAAUGAUAAUAAGACAAAAUAUAUAGUAAUUCGAUUCGUUAUGGAUUCAUUAUAGAAUAAAUGAGUAGUAAAUAAAUUCAUAUUUGAUUCGAUUCAUUUAUUAGUUCUACUAAAUGAAUUAAAUUAAUCAAAUCGAAUAUUGUUUAAUAAACAAAUCAAAUUCAAAUCCUGAGAUUUGCUUAAUAAAUGAAUCAAAUCCGAAUCAACAGUGUUUUGACCCAAUUUGUUUACGAUUCAAUUUAAAUUUGAUUCAUUUAUUCAUUUUGCCGCCCUUGCAAAACUUAAUAUUAAUCUCAGCCUCAUUUAUUUUAUAUGUUCUGAAGAAAAAUCUUAAAGACCUUGUCACUUUCUAAUUAAUUAUUUCUUACAAAGAUGGCCCAAGGAAAUUAUGUACACCCCAACGUAUAAGUUGGGAGGUGCAAGUAGAAAUUAACUAUAAAGCAGCUGAGGAGGACUUCUGGUCUGCAGGAAAACAACCGACCACCAAUUUUGUGGCAUGAAAAUAGUGAAUGAGAUUGUAGAUAAAAUUUAAAUGAAUGAGAUGGUGUGGAUAGUACAUGAUAAAGUUCAUUUCAUUUUUUUUAUCAUUAAUCCUUUUUUUUAUUUGGGUGUUAAUUAAUUGAGUUGGUUAAUUUUUUUUUUUGUCUUAAAAAUAAGAUGUUUGAGGUUCCAAAAAUAUGUGAGGAGGAAAUUGAAUUGUUUUUUAGCUUAAAGGAACAACAUAAUUUAAAUUUUGAAUAAGACUUCAGUGCUGAGCUAUUUUUUGUUGAAUUAUUGACAAGUAAAAUAUAAAAUUAAAAAUAAAAAUAAAUCUUGACCAAUGAUUCCAUACUGAAUCCUAAUCUAUCAAUUUUUGCUUGACACUCUACAAAAGUUCAAACUAAUUACUUAGAAGGAUAAUGGAGAAAAAAAUUGAAAGCUAUGGUUAAACGCCAAUAAUUGACAAUAAAACAUUGGUGCAGAUACAAGCAUAAAAGUGCUUUCAUACGGUUUGAUCUUCUAGAUUCUACUUUCUACUCUUAUAAACUUAUAAGUGAUCAUGAACUGCAUGAGUCUAUUAUCCAUAGCGUAGAGUUGGUCAUAGACAACCUUGCACUUAAUAAUUUGAAACAAAAUGUCUUGCUACAACUAAAAUCUAGCAUGGACUCUCGAAGAUUAAUUAUCUAUGAAAUAUUGACCAGCUUGUGGCCAAUUUAGAGAAAAAGAUUGUCAUCGUAGACCGUUCACGUCAACUGUAAACUCCGCUCAUCAGUGAUGAUAGGUGUUAGAGUUGGAAACUAGAGUUUUCGUGUACGUGAAGAAGUCUUAUAUUUAAAUGUUUCUGUAGGUAAUUCCAUAAAAAGUAAUGAUAUAGGUAUAAAUUCUUGCACAAACUUAUUUUAUACAAACUAAUGUGACGUUAAUUAAUUGGUUGAAUUAAAUAUCUCUGGGCCCACAUAAUUUAUUUAUAUUAUUUUAUAUUUUCAUUCAACCAAUGAAUUAAUACUACAUCAGUUUGUACAAGAAUUUGUGACUGUAUCAUCACUCUUCCAUAAAACUAACUAGUGACAUAUUUAUUAAAUUACUUUUUUAUGACUACCUUUGAUCAUAGGAUUGUUUGAUCAUAGGAUUGUUUACUAGUCUUAUAUUUAAGUCCUCUUUGGCUUUUUUCUAAAUACAUGAACUAUACACGUCACAACAUUUGGAAUAAUCAUUUGAUCGAUCUCAAUGGAUCGUUUUGCAAUCUUCAUUAUUGUUGUUCUCUUGGUGUCUGCUGUCUUCUUGAUAUUAGCAUGUAAGAGAUUGUAACAUUUUCAUAUUUUGGUUUGACAUUCUUGAAUAAAAAGGCUUGCCAUUUUUUAAGAAAACUGCUAACCGUUUAAUCCUAGAGAGCAUGUUUUCUUUUCUACAGAAAACGGCUAACCGUUUGGAGAAAACGGCUAACCGUUUGGAGAAAACGGCUAACCAUUUAGUUCAAAAGUUAUUUGAAAGUUGACAUUCUGGAAGAAAAUGGUUAGCCAUUAGAAAACGGCUCGCCGUUAUUGAGAAAAUGGCUAACCAUUUUCUUCCAGAGAGCGUGUUUUGGCGUCAAUUGAAAAAAAAAGGCUAGUAGGUUUUGAGGAAAAAGAAAAACCGGUUGUGAAUAGAUGCAAAUUUCAAACCAAAGAGUGUCUUUGAAGAACUACCGUUUCUAAUGGUUGUAAUUUUUCAUAAAAAUAAUUUCUUCAUUAAAUUAGACACUCAUAUUAAAAAAAAAAAAAACUGGAUUAUUACAGAUUUCAUGUGUGUUCUUGAAAUACAAUCUUAUUUGCUAGAGAUUGUAUUCAGGAUUUGAUAAAUCUUGGGGGUAAUUUGCCAUUAAACUCUAUAGCAAAUUAAGAGUGGUGAGGGGAAAUAAAACCUUAAAGAAAAGUGUAUAAACACGUCUCAAAUCCUAAGAAAGUUUCCUUGUUCUUUGCCUCCAUAUUUGAAGAUCCACGUACAUAGCAUUCAUUUCUGGUUUAUCUAAUGGAGUAGAUUCAGUUCGUCUUGUUAUCCUUGUCGAUCACUCUGGCAGCAGUGGCCACUUUAGGCAUGAUUUUCUAUUGUGUGAGGAGAAAGCCCACUUUAAAUGAUUUUCUCAUUUAAUUGCACGACUUUGAGAGUCUAAUAUGCUAACAUACAUAUACAUAUCGUAAUUAAAGCUUUAGUUUCUUCACCCUUCAGGAGAGGAUUUGAUCAUGUUUGAUUUGGAUUUGAACCUGAAAGCCAACAACGUUAACAUAGAGCUUCCUGUAAACAGUAAUCUGACAAAAAGAAGCAAAAAGAAGGAAGUUGAUCAAUUGCCUUUAUUCAGUUUUUCCAGUGUUUCUACUGCAACAAAUAAAUUCUCCGACGCAAAUAAGCUCGGAGAGGGCGGCUUUGGACCUGUUUAUAAGGUACUACAGAUAUCAUUUUCUUUGGAGCGCUAAUUUCAUUUUUAACAGAACUAUAAAUUUACCAUCUGCAGGGGGUGUUAAAAAAUGGAGACGAGAUAGCUGUGAAACGGCUUUCAGGAAGAUCUGGACAAGGAUUGCGAGAGUUAAAAAAUAAGCUUCGGUGAUAGCCAAGGUUCAGCACAAGAAUCUGGUUAGACUUUUGGGCUGCUGCAUAGAUAAAGACGAGAAGAUUCUGAUCUAUGAGUACAUGCCUAACAAAAGCUUGGACUUCUUUCUUUUCGGUUAGUUAUUGCAUCUGUUAAUUUAUUUUUCUUACAUAUUCCUCUCUUCAAAUUUUAUAUUCAAAUUUUAUGCAUACAUUUGUUUGAACUACUAUUUAAUAUAAAAUUAUAUAUCAAAAAUUUAUUUAAACUAGAAUUUAGUCCAUGUUACUUAUCCAAAUUUUAUUCAUUAAUUUAUUUAAAAUAGCAUUCAUCCAUCCAUAAAUUAAAAAUUGAAUAUCUAAAAGAAUAUUUAAUAAUUAACAAUAUAACUUUAAGAAAUAAUCAUACUUUUAAAUAGUUUUUUUAACUUCCUUAAAUUGAAUUUAAUAUGAUCCUGUCCAACACUAAACCAAAUACAAGACAUUACUAUAAAAUAAUUUAGUCUAAUUCAAUCCAAUUCAAUCUUAAUAACUAGUCCAAUCCAAUCCUUUAUUUUGCAACAAACCUAACCUAAAAAAAUAUUUAGUAUUUUCUAUUUCAUUUAGCUAUUUUUAAGUUUAAUGAUUAACACAAUCGAAUUAUCAGAUUUUAAAAAAAAAUUAAGUUGCUAGAUCAAUUUACAUCAAAUUAUGUGGUCUACAUUUUUUUGUUUUCAUGCAUAAUGACAUUUAGUCUUUUUGUUGUAAAUUAGAUCCAACCAAGUGAAUGUUAUUAGAUUGGGUAACACGUGUUCGGAUUAUUGAAGGGAUAGCUCAAGGGCUUCUUUAUCUUCAUCAAUAUUCCAGAGUGCGAAUUAUUCAUCGAGAUUUAAAAGUUAGUAACAUCUUGUUAGAUAAAGAUAUGAAUCCCAAAAUAUCAGAUUUUGGAAUAGCAAGAAUUUGCAGAGGAAAUGAGUUACAAGCAAACACCGGUAGGAUCGUCGGGACAUAGUAAGUAAAUGACAAAAAUCAAAAUUAAAGUGAUUAAUUAGUUAUGCGUGAAUUGCUGAUUAUUAUUUAUUGAUUGUUGAAUUACAGUCGUUAUAUGUCCCCUGAAUACGCAAUCCAAGGAAUAUUUUCAAUUAAAUCUGAUGUGUUUAGCUUUGGAGUAUUGUUGCUCAAGAUUGUAAGUGGCAAGAAAACCACUGGAUUUUAUCGAACCUACUCUUUCACUCUGCUAGGUUAUAUAAGUAACAAAAGCCGUUGCACAUAUUCUUUUUUAUAUUACUAAUUAGGUGAAAAUAUAUAUGAAUUCCCAAGCGUGGACACGCACAAUGUGAAAACGUUUGGAUUUUUGCACCUGACUAUUUUUAAACUAUUCUCUAUAUCGAGUGUAGGACUAUCUAAUGACAUCGUAUGGUUGUUUAGGCAUGGGAUCUGUGGACAAGCAACAGGACAUUGGAGUUGAUUGAUCCAAUAUUAGAAGAUGAAUAUUCCUCCAAGCCUAUGCUUUUAAGAUAUGUGAACAUAGCUCUCCUUUGUGUACAAGAAAGUGCUGAUGAUAGACCCACCAUGAAUGAUGUUGUAUCCAUGCUUACAAAUGAAGCUGCAGCAUUGCUUCCUCCAAAACAACCUGCUUUUUCGUAUGUAAGAAAUACAGUCACUUCAACAUCGUCCACCGGCAAGACAGAAGAAGCGCGCUAGCUUUUAUUUUAAUGUGUAUCGAGUCACUUCAAAAUCUUGAGUGCUAGCUGUUAGCCUUCUCUUCCCGUUCAUUUUAUACUGUGCAUGUGUCUUUCAGUCAGUCAUUAUAACUAAAUGUAAUAAUGCGAGAAGCGAAUACAAUCAUGGGUUGGCUCUUCUUAGACCAAUAAAAUCACUAUCAAAUGUUAGCUCUAUCCUUGCAAAACUUUUCGAAGUCUACAGGUCCCGCAAGCAAAUAAAGUUGGUUUUGACGCGAGGACGAAUUGCAUUCAGUCAAUCAUUAGAUUUUUUUUAUUAUAUUAAAAAGUGGAGGAAUGAUCAAAGCUCAAAUUAAUUUUUUAUUUUCUAUUUUCUCCGAGAUUCAAACUUAAUUAGGUGAUCAUCUCAAUGAGACAACUUGAAAACUACGGGGUUGAGCUCCUGAGACUAAUUAUUAGAUAUUAUAUGGAGUAGUGACCCUGAUUUUUAUUGGUUCAACGGGGUCUGAUAUUAUCACGAGUCUGAUAUAUAAAAAGCAAUGCAUGGAACCAUUAUUUUCGUUCAAUGGGAUCAGAAUCAAGAAACUACGAACUCGGCAAGGCAAAAUCAACAAUUUGUAAACCGAGGGAGUGAGAGGAUCAAAACAUAUGUAAAGUCCAAAGAAAUGAACUAAAUUUUAAUUAAUACCCUUAUCUUGCUAUGAAUUAUAUAAUUCUAAUUCAAGAGACACUUUUAAACAAAAUUUUGGACACAAUAUUCUGACUAUUAGAUUAAAGCUAAGCAAGAGUUGAUAUUGAAGCUGACAUGCCUUUUUUAAGUUUUAAAAACUAAAAAUUAAUAUAAUGGAUCCUUAUAUAAUAAUAAAUUAUUGCUCGUUCUUCUCUCUCUUACUUAAUAUAUUCCCUCUUUUGUCACUUUUUUUUUCUUUGCUUACCCUUUUUAAGUCUCGCCUACAUUAAUUAGUUUGAACUUUUGCACGGCAUCAGUGAAAAAACUUAACCGACUGAUAGAGCUGAAAUGGACUUAAAUUUUAUUUUCACUCAUUGACUAUUUUCAGCAAAUUUAUUUUGUCCAUCAAAAUUCGUACCAGAGCCACUACUGAAAGUAGGAUAUGGCUUCCCCUUCAAUGUCUUGUGUAACCCAAAUUAAAUCAAUACAUCUUUAAUUUGAAUUUGUCGCAAGCCAAAGUUGAUAUUCCCAACAAAUUCUUCUAUUUCAAUUUUCACUGAACUUGAAAAUUUCAAUCCUGACAUAUUCGCUUUGCAGAUUACCUUUGCUCUUUAUCAGGGACUAUUUAGAUUGGGUCCCAUUGCUUCACACGAAUAGUGCUGUAUACGUGAACAGUAUCGUAUACAUAAACAGCACCCCUGACACCAAAACUUCAAUCAAUAACUCUGAUACCACUGUUAGGAAAUUGAGAUUCCUCCCAAGAUCACUCCAAGUAAUUUGUCAAGAAAUAAAUCAAUAGAAAAAUUAAAUUCAAAAUCAUAUCAAUCGCAUAACACAAGAUUUACGUGGAAAACUCCAAAUCUGGAGGAAAACUAUGGCAGUUGUCAAGAGACAACCAGAGAUAAAUAUUCACGAUGUGAAAAAUUAUUACAACCACACUUUCAUAAAUAAUUUACUCUCAGAAAUAAUUUUCUCUCACCUAAGCUCUAAAUACACCCAAAACUCUCAAUUUAAGAGUAAUUAAAUUUAACUCUCAAAUUCUCUCUAAAUAUAAGAGGAAAUGAAUUCUUUGGGAUGAUAAAAUCUUGUGAAAGGCUCUCUUAUUUAUAACCAAGUGGAUAGUACUGUUCAAACCGCAUUACUAUUCAUGCCGCGUUACUGUUCAUGUCGCAUUACUGUUCAAGCCGUGUGGUCAAACCGUGUUACUAUUCACCGCAUGGUAAAACCCGAUUGUUGAGUGUUAGAAAAUGUAUAUUUAUAAAGGAGAAAAUCGUCAUUUUACAUCUCAAGUUCCACUAACAUUCAUACUUUUAUGUAUUUAAGUUUCUUGUGAUUUAAUUAUGUGUGUUGUAUUAUAAUUAAGUAUUUUAUGUAUUUUGGGAGCAUCAUAGUCAUUUCACAAUGAACGAGAAUCAAACGGCUAAACAGACAUCACUUUUGAACUCAGGACAGUCGAAAACCUUAGGAGGAGCAUAAAAGGAAAAAUGUCAUUGUUCACAUGUACGGUACUAUUCACAUGUACGGUAUUGUCUACGACACUGUUCAUGACACUGUUCACAUAGACAGACCGAUGAUGUGGCAUUGACUGAUGAGGUGUCACGAUUCCAUUGGAGAAAAUUCUUAUGCACUAUUGAUCAGUGACGUGGCAGCAUAUUAGUGGACCAAAAAUUACGCGUACGGUACAUGCAUAUAAACAGGAUUAUUUUCAACCAAACCGCGUCACUGUUCAAGCCGGUUGACUAUUCAAACCGUGUACUGUUGACUGAUGACGUGGCGCAAUCCUGAACGUCCAAACUGUUUUUAAUCUGAUAGUCAUGAUUUACUCAAUGUAUCUAUAAAAAAAGGGCAUCCCCCCUAAUUUGGCAUCUCUCUGAAUCCAUUUUUGGGCUCCAUUUUUUGUAAUUCCUUCUUCAUCUUGUAUUUUCUACGUAUUUUAAUAAAUUCUCAUUUUGCCCUUAGUUCAAUUAUGAGUAGCUAAUUUUCUUUCAAGCUUGGGUUGAAGGUGAAGUCUCAACAUGUGUCAUGGGCUUUAUUUGGUAAAUUUAAUUUCUCUUCCCCUCUAAUUAUUGUGGAUGUUUUGACUUUUCCUUGACAAAUAGUAAUAAUCUUGUCUAGAUACCGUCCUGGUUUCACCAACUCCCUAGUACAAGAUUAUUAUUAUUUGACACAAUAAGCCCUUAGCACUAUAUUGAUUAGAGCGUGGUUCAUGAGUUGUGGAUUCCCCCACUCAUGAUUUAAUUGACACUAAUAAGGAAUAUUUAGCCCAUGGUACAUGUUGAUGCGGAUCCAGAUACCCAAGCACUUCAAUUAUUAUAGUUUUUGCUUCAAUUUAUUCUCGUCAUUUUAAUUCAAAUUCUAAGAUAGUCUAAAUCACUUUCACCAUAAAUCCAACCACCCAUUUAGAAAAAUUAAUUUUACACACAAUUAAAAUCCACAUCCUCGUGAGAUCAACACUCAUCACCAAUAAUCUAUUCUACAAUAGAUUCGUGCACUUGCGAGUUCAAUAAAAUUUGCACAACAUCUAUUUUUAACAAUUCUCCCACUUGAAGAUUAGAAUGAGAACCAAUCAAUCUCCACGGCAUUCUUACUAUCUUCACCUUAGUCAUAAUCCUCAAUAAAGAGAAUUAUCAUACUCCACUAUAAAGAGUAUACCACUUAGAAUUAAUUACCAAUUUUAGGAAUUUUACAUCGACUCAUGUCGAAAUAUUCUACUGAAAUUUAUGGUGCAACUUUCUUGUUGGCUUUCCUGGAAGUUUGUCAGCCAUCAACAUAAAUUCCACCACACACCCUACAACAAUGCCAACCAUGCAUUGUGUGCAAAUCUUGCGGACCUGCUAGCAGUGACACAUCCACUUUCAUAACACUAGCAGCAUACCAUAGAGAUGUCAUCAUCAUUUAUUUUACAAGGGAGCAUCAUCUCCCAUAAUAAUGAGAGACUUACCACUAGCAAUGCUAUCAGUAUCUUAUUUGGAGCCAGUUGCCGACCCUGCUUCAUUUCUCCUAUGACAGUCUCUUUUUAGGUGCCCUAAUUGUCCUCACCCCAAUAGACUCCUUUCUUUUUAAAUUUAUCUUUCUUCCAAUUGCCAAAGCCGAGACAUCUGUAGUUUCAGUACUUUCACCACUCAGUCUUCUUUCUUCCAAGAGUAAAGUAGUAGCAACUUCUUCAAGAUAUAUUGUCUCAUUCACAUACAUUAAAGUAAGUGAUAGGUGUUUGUAGGAAGUUGGAAGUGACCAUAGCAGCCUAAGCGUCUUGUCCUCAUCUUCAAUUUUAACUUCAAUGGCUUCUAGUUCUGUCAUAAUACUAUUGAGAACAUUGAGGUGAUCGGAAAUUUUUGUUCCUUCAGCCAUUCGCAGCGUGUGAAAUUACUUCUUCAGGUACAAUCGAUUUGGGAUGCUCUUUGUCUGAUAUAAUUUUUUUAGCCUCUCUCAAAGCUCUUUCACUGUAGGAAUAUUUCCUACAUUUGCAAAAACAUUCUUUGCUAGACAUAGUCAUAUGAAACUUGCAAUUCUAUCAUCCAACUCUUCCCAAUCUUCAUCGCUGAUACUAGCUUUUAGAGAGCCACUACUAGAAGCAGGGGAUGGCUUCCCCUUUAAUGCCUUAUGUAACCCAGAUUGAAUCAACACAUCCUUAACUUAAAUUUGUCAUAAAACAAAGUUGAUUUUCCUAUCAAAAUUUUCUAUUUCAAUUUUCACUGAACUUGAAAAUUUCAAUUCUGACAUAUUUGGUUUGCAUAUUAGCUUUGCUAUUUAUCAUAGACAAUUUAGAUUGGCUCCCAUUACUUCAGGUGAACAAUACCGUAUACGUGAUAGUACCCCUGAUAACUAUAGGAAAUGAGAGUUAUUACAUCAAUUCUAAACUUGAAUCAAGAUCACUUAGAGAAUAAAUAAGGUGUUUUUAUUACAUUUUGGUUGCAUUUUGUAUAAACAUUCAUUUUAGUUGAGUCUUAAUAAGUUUGCUUGAAUCAAAGUAAUUUGUGCUAAAAACAAGUGCAUAAUUGUAGGUUCUCAGAAAGUUGUAAUAUAUGAGGGGAUGUUGAGACUGUAGAUGAGCAAGAGGAGGAAAGAAGAUGGCCACAAAAGAAGAAAAGCACAAUCGGGAAUAAUGCAGUGUUGUUGAGGAUGUUAGAGCAACCUGUGUUGUAGCAAUCUAGGAGCAAUGCGGGAGAAAACUUAGGCGCGGGUCAGCACAUGUUUCCUAAUUUAACGCAUGCACGCUAAUAGGGCUUGUGUUUCCCCUAAAUUGCAAUAUAAAAGGUAGGCAUGCACCACAUAGAAAGGCGGCAAGGGAAUCAUUAGAAUAAUUACAAAGGAAAAGAAGAAGAAGAUCGGAAUUGAAGAGUGUUGUUUUCGGCAACAUUGGAGAAUAAUGCAGAAUUACUUGGAUUUGUUUUUCACCGUGCUCAACUUAUAUUUAUCUUCUUCCUUUAAUUGUUUUGAUGUAUUCCGAGAUCAAAAUAUUUAUGUUUAUUUUUCUCUUUCAGAUUAUAAACUAAAUUUACUUGUAGUUGAGUGACAAAUAAUCCAAUAGGUUCUUGAUUGUUCUUAUAUGUUGUGAUGGCACUGUUGUAGCAUUUUACUCUAGUAGUUUUGUAUAAAUAUAAUUGUUAUUUCGAUUGACCACCUAUUUAAUAGUUUCAGUUAGGAUAGAGCAGCAAAAGGGCAUGUCUUAGCGGAUAUUAUUAGAGUACUACUUGAUCUUACGUUGAGUUUCCUGGAUUAAGUUAUCUUGAAUCCCAUAAGGGCAAUACUUGAAGUUAAGAUUUGUGACACACUAGAUAUAGGUGUUCACCUUGUAGGGUGGAGAGAUUGAAGGUUAUAAUGCUGUACCACAACCAUAUUAGCAACUGGUCAUUGUUAAUAGAUUUAAUGGUAUGAGACAUCCAACAUGCGAUAGCUGAAGAUGCAAGUUUAUUCUGCCCAGUGCUGCAGCACUUGUUGUAACAACUGGUGCUAACUUGAUAAACAACAGUCACCCCAUUAGGAGAAUUUGAUCAUUCAACUACUAUAAUCUCAAUUGAAUCUUAGACACAUUUAACUUAGUUUAUUUCGUUACGGUAUUAUUUUAUUUAAUUCUUUCACAAUCCUCAAUUACUUUGGAAAUUACUUUACAAUUGUUUGUUUCGGUCCUAAGUUGAUUUGCACUAUUGUGAUUGCUUUAACUUUUUGAGUAACAUCAAUCCAUGUGGAGGCGAUCUUGAAUACUUAUCACUUUAUUACUUGUUGUGUAUACUUGCACAUUGGCAUUGGUAGUAAUUGCUUAUAAAAAUCAACCAACAACCCCCGAUGCCAAAACUUCACCCAAUGGCUUUGAUACCACUGUUAGGAAAUUAGGAUUCCUUCCAAGAUCACUUGAAACAAUUUGUCAAGCAACAAAUCAACAGAAAAUUAAAUUGAGAACAAUAUUAGUAGCACAACACAAGAUUUACGUAAAAAAACUCUAAAUCUAGAGAAAUAUCACGAUCGUUGUCAAGAGACAGCAAGAGAAAAUAUUCACUAUGUGGAAAAUUAUUCCAACCAUACUUUCAUAAAUAAGUUUCUCUCACCCAAACCCCAAAUACACCUAAAACUCUCAAUUUAAGAGUAGUUGUAUUCAACUCUAAAAUUCUCUCUAAAUAUAAGAGGAAAUGAAUUCUUUGGGAUGAUAAAAACUUAUGAAAAGCUCUCUUCUUUAUAACCAAGCGAAUAACACUAUUCAAACUGUGUUACCACAUAUGUCGUGUUACUGUCCAUGCCACGUUACUGCUCAAGCCGUGUUACUAUUCACCGCGUGGUCAAUCUGUGUUAUUGUUUACCGCAUGGUAAAAUCAUAUUUUUAACUCCUUGGAUCUCAACUAGUGUGAUUUGCGUGGGAAGUUUCCAGAAAAGAUAUUGUAGGUACCUACACUUCAGACUCUUGACUUGUCAUACAGCUCAUUACUUCAAGGUCUUCUACCUAGCUUUCCUGAGAAUUCUUAUCUUUGAAACCUGAACUUAGCAAACACGAGCUUUUUAGGCACACUACCAGAUUCCAUUGGGACCCUUGAAAAUUUGACAAGGGUAGAUCUUAGAAGUUACAAUUUCACAAGGCCAAUUCCCACUUCAAUGGCUAAUCUCGCCCAAUUAUUUCACAUGGACUUCUCAUCAAACCAUUUCUCCGGUCCCAUCCCAUCUCUUCACAAGUCAAGAAAUCUUAACUAUUUAGACCUUUCAUCCAAUAAUUUAAAUGGUGGGAUCCCACCCACCUUCUGGCAAAAACUUUUAAAUCUCAAUAUUUUUGUCUUGUCGCACAAUUCACUGAAUGGAAGUAUCCCAAAAUCUAUGUUUCUAUUUCCAAUUCUAGAGAUACAUCUGCUCUCAAACAACCAGUUUGAGAACCAAUUUCCUGAAAUUUCAAAUAUGUCCUCUUCUGUAUUGCCUGGCCUUGAUUUAAGUGGCAACAAAUUAGAAGGGCUUCUCCCCAUUUCAAUAUUCCCUGAACUUAGAAACUUUCAUACCCUCAAUCUUUCUUCCAACUAGUUUAGCAAAUUGAGACUGGCUUCAAGCAAACCAUGGGUUAUUCCUAUUCUAAAAAACCAAUCACAACUUUCUUUUUUUUAUAUUUCAAAUAACCAAAUAUCUGGAGAAAUACCAAAUUGGAUUUGGGAAGUUGGUGGUGUCAAUCUUUAUUUCUUAAAUCUUUCACAGAAUCUCCUAGUGAGCUUGCAAGAACCAUACCAUAUUUCUGGUAUAUGCUCGCUUGACCUACACUCCAACCAGCUCCAAUGAAAUAUUCCUUACAUGGCACCAAAAACUUCCUAUGUCGAUCACUCCAACAAUAAUUUUCAUAGGUAGAACUUACUCAUUUUCCACUAUAAACAAGAGUCUCAUUGGAUUCAUCCCUGAAUAUAUAUGCAAGGCUACGUAUUUUCAGGUUCUUGACUUAUCAAACAAUAAUUUGAGUGGCUCAAUUCCUGCAUGUUUAAUCACCAAGAGUAGCACCACUUUAGGGGUUUUAAACUUAAGGAGAAACAACCUCGGUGGCACUCUUUCUAACAUAAUAUUUCUAGGAAUUUUUGGGUUGCAAAUUCCACAUCUCAGUGGAAAUCAACUAUAAGGAGUAGUUCUAAAAUCUCUUGCCAACUGCAAUAUGCUGCAAGUUUUAGACCUCAGGAAUAACCAUAUUAGUGAUAAUUUCCCAUGUUGGUUAAGGAAUGCUUUUAGUUUGCAAGUUUUAGUUUUUCGAUCCAAUAACUUCUCUGAACGCAUUAGUUGUCCAAGAAAUAAUGUCUCCUGGCCUCUGCUUAAAAUAGUCGACUUAGCAUCAAGUAAAUUCAGUGGAAGACUUCACAAAAAUGGUUACUUACCAUGAUGGUUAAUGAAAACAAAUCCAAAUCUGAGCUUAACCACCUUGGAUAUGAGACAUGAAGCAACCAAUUAUAUAAAUUUGGAGUAAUAGUUACUGUAAAAGGUGUAGAUCAUACAACCAAAGAUCCCAAAUAUAUUCACUUCCAUUGACUGUUCAAGCAACAAUUUCGAAGGGCCAAUACCAGAAGAAAUGGGACGAUUCAAAUCACUCUAUGCUCCAAACAUGUCGCACAAUGCUCUCAAAGGCUCGAUACCGUCAUCGUUUGGGAACUUGAAACAAAUUGAGUCCUUGGACCUCUUAAUGAACAACCUCAGUGAGAAAAUUCUUGCCUAGCUUGCAAGCCUAAAUUUCCUAUUGGUGCUAAAUCUCUCAUACAAUAACUUAGUGGGAAAGAUUCCGACAAGUACUCAACUCCAAUCAUUUUUACCAACUUCUUAUGAAGGAAACAAAGGAUUGUACAUACCUCCUUUAACAAAUGACAUCCAAACACAUCCUCCUGAGUCACAACCUUUACCACCGCCAGCUUCAAGCAAUGAAAUUGAUUGGUUCUUUAUAGCCAUAUCAAUUGGAUUUGCGGUAAGCUUCGGAGCAGUUGUUUCACCUCUAAUGUUUUUUGUGCACGUAAAGAAAUGGUAUAACGAUCUUAUCUACAAAUUUAUAUAUCGGCGAUUCCGUGUGUGAAGUGAUUUAUAUCUCUCCUUUUGAAUAAUCAUGUAAGCUAGCUUUUGAUUUUCUCUUAUAUCAUAGAUAUUUGAGAUUUCGUUUCUUCUCUGUUUCAUGAAGUUAAUAAAGUUGACAAUAAUUUAAAAUAAGGGCCUAUCUAUAAUUGUUACUGCGACAAUCUUUAUCUCAAAAUUGGCUCCAAGUUAAAUCUAUAUUGGCGCAAUUCGUACACAACAUAUCCCCGUGAGUCCAUACAAAAUUAAUAUGUGCAUGAUUAUGUAUGAUUCCAGCUCCAAGCUAGAUACAUAGCGAUUCAUGAUCAUAUUCCAUUUGUUCACAAGGAAGUUUUAUAAAGUAGAAAUAAGAAUUUAGAAGAUAACAUUUGAGGAAAUGUGUGGGUUAUGAGACCAUCUAAGAAAUUAGCCCAAAAAGGCUUCAGGCCCUUAUGGCCUGGCCAAUUAGUUUGUUCAAAAUAUUAGUUUAUGUUGUAUUUAAUUGUUAGAAUGAGAGUAGCGAGUAUGGAUUCUUCCCACUCUAGUGUUUUCUUUCUUUUUUAAUGAGAGGAGUGGAAGUCUCACUCCUUGGAUCCCACUCAUUUUUUAGUAAUGAAUUGGAUUCUGACAUCUAUAGGGGCCACUUCCACCUCUUCCUUUUUUAUCCUUUUCUUAUCAAAUAUAAUAAAAUUUAUAUUUAUUAAAAAUAAAAUAAUAUUACAUUGUUUAAAAAUAAUAACAUCAUAUUCAUUUAAAUAAUAUUAUUCUAUUUAGUUAAAAAUAAUAAUUUAUGUAAUCUAAGUUAAAAUUACCUAAAAUAAUGCUACCCACAUUCUUGAUUGGCCGGCACACCAACCUUUUCUUUAACCUCAAAAUGACUUUAAAUUUAGGUCAAUAAUUUCUUAGAGGCAUUUAAACAAACCAUUAGUAUGCCAUUUAUUAGAUAUCUUAAUCUUAAGAAAACUAUAAUAUUUUCAUAUCCAAUACAUAUCUAAUGAUUAACUAUGAUCAAUGAUCAAUCAACCAAGCAAUUUAAAAAAAAAAUUAUUCUAAAUUAAUGAAAAAAUCGAGAAAGUACCUAAGCCGCCGAAACCGGAAAUGAAGGAACUUGCUAGAAUCAAACUAUAACUCACACAAAUUACAAUCGGAAGUGAAGCAAAUCGCCGCCGAAAGUGAAGGAAAUUGCUGGAAUUCAAGAAACGCUAGAAGUGAAGAAACUCCUACACGUGUAUAUGGGGUGAUGGGAGAUGUUUUUGGGCGAUGUUGGGCGAAAUAUUUUUUUUUGUUUGUUUAGUUUUGAGAAUUUAUGGAUAUUUUAGUUUAAGAACCUUAUAAAUGAUUGCUAUUGUAAGAAAACAUGGAGUGUGGUUUUUUCUUAUAUUAAAAAUUGGAAGGUGGUCAAAUGGGUAAAUUUCCCAAUAAUUUUCCAACGUGUGUAUGAAUCUUGUGUUGGCUCUUCAUAAAACCUGUAUUGUUAGCUCUAUCCGUACGGCUUUUACAAGUCUGAGGGCUCCACAAGCAAAUUAGCGUUCAGUUUGACGCGAGAUGAAUUGCAUUCAAUCAACUUUUUUUAUUACAAGCAAUAAAAUCACUAUCAAAAUUCAAAUGUUAGCUCUAUCCUUACAAGAUUUUUUGAAGUCUACGGGUCCCGCAAGCAAAUCAAAGCUAGCUUUUGAGUUUGAUGCGAGAACGAAUUGCAUUCAAUCAAUUAUUAGAUUUUUUUUUAAUAUAGUAGAGGAAUAGUGAAAUUUAAAUUAAUUUUUUUAUUAUACUUAUUUCAAGAUUCAAACUCCCGUAAUUAAUUAAGUAAAUCUGUGUAAAAAUCACUUGGCUAAGACUCUUUGGGACUAAUUAUUGGAUAUUAUAACAAAUAAAGACCCUGAUUUUUAUUGGUUCAGUAGGGUCUGAUACUAAUUAAAAUUAAUAUACUGGAGAAGGCAGAAAGAAUCCUAGUUAAUAUAGGCAGCAACGCAUGGAGCCAUGAUUUUGGUUCAACGGGAUCAGAAUCAAGAAACUACGAACUUGGGGAGGCCAAGAUCAACAAUUUGUAAAACGAUGAAGUGAGAGGAUAAGAACAUAUAUAGAGAUUCCAAAGAAAUGGACUAAAUUUUAAUUAAUACCCUUAUCUUCCUAUGAAUUAUAUAAUUAUAAUCUUGUAAUUAUCACAUACUUACUAGGUCCCAACGAUUCCAUUAGUUUCCAAAAUCCUAUCCUUCAUUUCAAAAUUAUUUUAAUUAGUUUCCAAGUCUACACCUAAAAGCUAAAACUUUUAGUUUGCUUUGAAUAAUCCUAAAAGUUUUUGCUUUAAUUUUCUCUUACGCUUACAUUGGUACAACUUUCCAAAUAUAGCUUAUUUAAAUAAAGUUUUUAUCAGUAAAUCUUUUAUAAAUAGCGUUUUUAUAUAAAUAAUUUUAGUUAUUUGUUUGUCAAUGCAAACUUUUAUUAAAAAUUAUAAAAUUAUUUAAUAAGCACGUUUUUUAAAAUUAUAUUAUGAAAUGAAUGAAAUAAAAUUAUCGAAUCAAUAAAUAAUUUUUAGAUGUUUUAAUAUUUUAAAAAACGUUUUUAACCUUUACUCCCAAAGGCCCAAAAUUUGAGUUUUUGCUAGUAAAGAAAAAAUAACUUAUUUAAUUUUUAAAGGCUCUACUAAAAAAAAAUCCAAACAAUGAAAAUAAAUCUUAAAAGAGUUAAUAUAUUUAAAUAAGUACUUAUAUCCAUUACAUAAAAGUAUGCCUAACAUACAUAAUAUCUUAUUUGUUUGAGAUUUCUUUUCUUCUCCUGUUUGAUAAAGUUAAUAAAAUAAUUAACAAGAAUUUCAAAUAAGGGCCUUUAACUUAUGUCAUUGAGACAAUAUUCAUCUCCAAACUGGCUCCAAGCUAGAUAUAUAUUGUACGGGCAAUAUUCAUAGACGAUCUCUAACAGUUCAUACUAAAUUUUAGUUGUAACAAGAUAUAGGCUAUUUGCACCUUAAAAACUACUCUGAACACUCUUGUUUUAAUAAAAUAAUCUAAUUACAAAAUUAGCCAUAUAUAAAUUACUAUUAAGGAUAAUUUAUUUGUGAGCCAAUAUAACUUAAUGACUUUAAAACUCAUAUAAUACACUCAUUAUUUAACAUAUAAUCUUUUAUAUCUAACAUCUUAAAAUAUAAUUCAUUGAACAUGCAGCAAAUCAAUAUUUUAAAUAAUUUUGAAGACAAAAUAUUUGUAAGACUUACAUUUUUCAAGAAAUAAAAUAAACAGAAAUUAUUGCAAAGGUGUUCAUAUUUUUUGUCUUUGAUUUAAAAAUAAAUACAUUAAAGCACUCUAAACCUAGUAACCCAAUCAACAUCUUUUUCUUCUUCUUUUUGUGUCAGAUUACAAUUUGGUUUUCAAUUAUUAUUAGGGUAGUGAAAGUCCAUACUUCUUGAUCUUAAAUAAUUUAUAGGUGCAAAAAUUGAUAUGGAAUACAUUCUUUAAUUAAUAAAAACUAAUAAAUAAAAUUAUUUUAAAAAAUUUGUUUAAAACUUGACUUAAUUCCAUUGUUGCUAGUUAUGCUAUAUUUAUUACAACAAUUUUCUUUGAGUGUGCUGAAUAUUUUUAUUGGUGUUUUCAGUAAAUUAAUUUAAAUGAUUUAAGUGGGAUACUUUUGGCAUCUUAAAGAGUGUACAAAGUAAAAAUUAAUUUUUCAAAUUUAACGUAUGAGUAUAUAAAGUAAUAGAGUGUUUAGAGUACUUUUUAGAGUGUAAAUAGCCCAACCUUUUUAUAAAAAAAAAAAAAAAAAAAAAAAAAAAAAAAAAAAAAAAUUGUAACAAGAUAUUUGUUCAUAGCAUAGAAUGAAAAACAAUGUUAUAAGAAAUGAGCCGAACCAAGUUUUAAGUGACUUACUUCUAUAGUUUUAUGCGCCGGUCUCCUACUAACUUUUUAUUGUCGUAAUUGUGGGCCUAUAAAAAUGGAAGAUUCCUGUAUUUGAUGUACGCAUUUAACCAAAAGAUCCAAUUUUCUUUGUUUUUUUUCUACCAAGUCCUGGCAACAUUAAUUAGUUUGGACUUUUGUAGUACUUCUAGCUCCCAGUUUAUACGUUGGGGUUGUAACUUCUUGGGAACUUCGGCCAUCUUUUUCCCGUUAUAUGAAUUCAUCGCAAAUCCCAAGUUUCAUUACUCCUCUCCGAGUUUCAUUUCAGCAAUUAUUAAAACAAUGCGAUCAAUUUUACUCUUAUCAUGGUCUUUCUUAAUACCCUUUUUACCCAAUUAUUUUGGGAUCCAAAUGGUUUUGGUUUCUGGCCAAUGUCGGAGCGAUCAACAAUCUUUGUUACUCCAAAUGAAGAACAGUUUCAGACUAAGCAAUGACAGUGUCUUUCCAUCUACAAAACUGAGUCAGUAGAGUAGCCAUCAAAGCUCCGAUUGUUGUGAUUGGAGCGGUGUAAGGUGCGAUGAGGCUGGUCAUGUUAUUGGUCUCGACUUGAGCAGGGAACCAAUCAUUGACGGACUUGAGAAUGCGACUGGCCUUUUCGAUCUUCAAUAUCUGCAGAGCCUCAAUCUGAGUUUCACUCUCUUCUACGGAUUCCAAAUUUGACUCACCUGAAUCUUUCCCAGGGUGGCUUCGCGGGGGAGAUUCCCAUUGAGAUUUCAAGCUUGACAAGGUUGGUUACUCUUGAUUUGUCAGGCCUUGAGCACAGGUUGGUUACUCUUGAUUUGUGAGGCCGUGAGCGCUCAAGAGUAUUUUCCUGGAGAAUUGAGAUCCCAAACUUAAGCUUGUUUCUGCAGAACUUAACAGAGCUCAGAGAAUUACAUCUUGAUCGAAUAGAUUUGUCCGCCUCCGGAACUGAAUGGUGCAAAGCUUUAUCAUUUCUACCCAAUCUACAAGUUUUAAGCUUGUCUGGCUGUGAUCUUUCAGGUCCAAUCAAUCAUUACCUGGCAAAGUUACGGUCGCUCUCCGUGAUUCGUUUGUAUGACAAUUACGGUCUAUCCUCAUGUACAGAGUCUUUGGCCAAUCUGCCGAAUUUGAAGACCUUGGAUCUCAGCGAGUGUGGGUUGCAAGGGAAGUUUCCAGAAAAGAUAUUGCAGGUUCCUACCCUUGAGACUCUUGACUUGUCAGAAAACCAAUUGCUUCAGGGUUCUCUGCCAAACUUUCCUAAGAAUUCUUCUCUUCGGAACCUGAUCCUCUCUGGGACGGGAUUCUCAGGCACACUACCAGAUUCCAUUGGGAAUCUUGAAAAUUUGACGUGGGUAGAGGUUAGACGUUGAAAUUUCACAGGGCCAAUUCCCCCUUCAAUGGCUAAUCUUACCCAAUUAUUUCACAUGGACUUCUCAUCUAACCAUUUCUCUGGUCACAUCCCAUCUCUUCACAAGUCAAGAAAUCUUAAGUACUUAGACCUUUCGUUCAAUAAUUUAAGUGGUGGGAUCUCAUCCACCUUCUGGGAACAACUUGUAAAUCUCAAUCUUGUUCUCUUGUCGCACAAUUCACUUAAUGGAAGUAUUCCCAGAUCUCUGUUUCUACUUCCAAAUCUGGAGACGCUUUGGCUCUCCAACAACCAGUUUGAGAACCAACUUCCAGAAAUUUCAAAUGUGUCCUCGUCUGUUUUGUUUGACCUUGAUUUAAGCGGCAACAGAUUAGAAGGGCCUGUCCCCAUUUCAAUAAUUUUUGAACUCAGAAACCUUUAUACCCUCGAUCUUUCUUCCAAUAAGUUUAGCAGAUUGAGACUGGCUUCAAGCAAACCACGGGUCAUUCCUAUUCUAAAAAACCAAUCACAACUUUCUGGUUUGGACAUUUCAAAUAACCAAAUACCUGGAGAAAUACCAAAUUGGAUUUGGGAAGUCGGUAAUGGCAAUCUUAACUUCUUAAAUCUUUCACACAAUCUCCUAGUGAGCUUGCAAGAACCUUACUCUAUUUCUAGUAUCCGCUUGCUUGAUCUGCACUCCAACCAGCUCCGAGGAAAUAUCCCUCACAUGUCAACAAAUACUUCCUACGUCGAUUACUCCAACAAUCAUUUUACUUUCAUCCCAGCUGACAUUGGUAAUUUCAUGUCUGAAACUGAAUACUUUUUCGCUGCAAACAAUAGUCUCGUUGGAGUCAUCCCGGAAUCUGUAUGCAAGGGUAUCUAUUUUCAAGUUCUUGACUUAUCAAACAACAAUUUGAGUGGCACAAUUCCUGCAUGUUUAAUCGCCCAGAGUGAAACCACUCUAGGGGUUUUAAACUUGGGAAGAAACAACCUCAAUGGCACUCUUUCUGACACAAUAUUUCCAAGAAAUUGUGGGUUGCAAAUUCUAGAUCUCGGUGGAAAUCAACUGCAAGGAGUAGUUCCAAAAUCUCUUGCCAAUUGCAAUAUGCUGCAGGUUUUAGACCUCAAGAAUAACCAUAUCAGUGAUAAUUUCCCGUGCUGGUUAGGGAAUGCUUCUAGUUUGCAAGUUCUAGUUUUGCAAUCCAACAACUUCUCCGGACACAUUAGUUGUCCGAGAAAUAAUGUCUCAUGGCCUCUGCUUCAAAUAGUCGACUUAGCAUCCAAUAAAUUCAGCGGAAGACUAUCACAAAAAUGGUUACUUACCAUGGAGGAGAUGAUGGUUGCUGAAACCAAAUCCGGAUCUGAGCUCAAACACCUUCGAUAUGUGAUAUCGAGCAACCAAUUCUAUGAGGUUGGAGUAACAGUUACAGUAAAAGGUGUAGAGACCAUGCUACUGAAGGUCCCAAAUAUAUUCACUUCCAUUGACUUUUCAAGCAACAAUUUCGAAGGGCCAAUACCAGAAGAAAUGGGACGAUUCAAAUCACUCUAUGCUCUGAACAUGUCGCACAAUGCUCUCACAGGCUCGAUACCAUCAUCUUUUGGGAACUUGAAACAAAUUGAGUCCUUGGACCUCUCAAUGAACAACCUCAGUGGGAAAAUUCCUGCCCAGCUUGCAAGCCUAAAUUUCCUAUCGGUGCUAAAUCUCUCAUACAAUAACUUAGUGGGAAAGAUUCCGACAGGUACUCAACUCCAAUCAUUUUCACCGACUUCUUAUGAAGGAAACAAAGGAUUGUACGGACCUCCUUUGACGAAUGACAGCCAAACACGUCCUCCCGAACUUCAACCUUCACCGCCGCCAGCUUCAAGCGAUGAAAUUGAUUGGUUCUUCAUAGCCAUGUCAGUUGGAUUUGCGGUAGGCUUCGGAGCAGUUGUUUCACCUCUAAUGUUUUCCGUGCGGGUAAAUAAAUGGUAUAACGAUCUUAUCUACAAAUUUAUAUAUCGGCGAUUCCGUGUGUGAAGUGAUUUAUAUCUCUCCUUUUGAAUAAUCAUGUAAGCUAGCUUUUGCUUUUCUCUUAUGUCAUAGAUAUUUGAGAUUUCUUUUAUUCCCUGUUUGAUGAAGUUGACAAUAAUUUGAAAUAAGGGCCUAUCUAUAACUGUUAUUAAAUCUUUAUCUCAAAAUUGGCUCCAAUUUAGAUCUAUAUUGGCUCAUUUCACACGCAAUAAAUCUUCGAGAGUCCGUACUAAAUUAAUAUGUGCAAGAUUGUGUAUGAUUCCUACACCAAGCUAGAUACACAGCGAUUCAUGAUCAUAUUCCAUUUGUUUACUUGGGAAGUUUUAUAGAGUAGAAAGAAGAACUUAGAAGAUAACUUUUCAUGAGUCCGUCCAAGAAAUGAGCCCAAAAAGGCUUCGGGCCCUUGUGGCCAAGCCUAGUAGUUUGUUCAAAAUAUUAGUUUAUGUUAUGUUUAAUUAUUGAAAUGAGAGUAAAUAGUAUGAAUUCUUUCCACUUCAAUGUUUUCUUGUUUAUAUAAUGAGGGGAAUGAGAGUCCCACUCCAUGGAUCCCACUCAUUUUCCGAGUAAAGAGUGGGAUUCUCACUUCUACAGGGGCCACUCCCACCUCUUUCUUUAUUAUCAUUUCUUUAUCAAAUCUAAUAAAUUUUAUAUUUAUUAAAAAUAAAAUAAUGUUACAUUAUUUAAAAAUAAUAGCAUCAUAUUUAUUUAAAUAAUAUUAUUAUGUUUAGUUAAAAAUAAUAAUUUAUGUAAUCUAAGUUAAAAUUACCUAAAAAUAUUAUUAUUAUAUUCAUAGAGAAUUAAUAUUAUUACAAUAUACUAUCUUUAUUUUAAAAAAUAAUAUUUUAUAUUUAUUUAAUAUUAAUAAAUAGUUUAUUUUAAGAAAAUAUUAAUUAUGUACUAUAUUAUUAAUAAUAAUGUUUCAUUUUUUGCUCUUAUAAUAAUUUUUAAUUUACAUAAUUAAAAUUAAUAAAAAAUUAUGAUUUACAUGAUUAAGAAUAUUAAUAAUUAUUAGUAAUUUAUGUAAUUAUAUAAUUUAUUUUAUAAAUAUAUUUUUUAUUUACUUUAUAAUUAAAAACUACAAUAUUUUAAAUAAGGGUAAAAGUGUAAUUUAAAAUAAUUUACUCCUAAUCCAAGUCAAAGUAAAAAUAUAUAAAUACGAUUCUCCUAUUCCACACUCUCCUUUCAAUGUAAGUAAACAACAUAUUUUCAAUUCCAUCACUCUUACUUUUAAAUAAAUGAAAAAGAAAAACUCUCAAAUAAACAAAUAAAAGCUUUUAUGUAUGUGCCCCAAUAACAUUUUUAUUGUCAAUUAUUUUGAGUUAUUAAUAUUGUGCAAUUUUUACAUUGAAUAUAGUUGUACAUAAUUUAUCUAACUUUAAUAUUAUUUUUGUUACUGACUUGUGUCUCAGCUAGGGGUGGGCAAAUUGGGUUUCGGUUCGGGUUGUUCGGGUUUCGGUUUGGGUUUCAACCCGUUCGGGUUGGAGAAUUGAACCCAAUCGGGUUGAAAACGCCAACUCGAACCAAACCGAACCGAAUUUAAUUCGGUUCGGUUCGGUUUGGGUUGGCAAUUCGGAUCGGAUUGGGUUGAUAAUUCGGGUUAACAUAUCGGUUCGGGUUAGUUUGGGUUAGAAUAAUUCGGGUUAGUUCGGGUUAAUCAAUUAAUUAAUUAACAAUCUCUAAUUUAAUUAUUAAUAACAGCAACAAACCCACUCCAAUUUAAUUAAUAACAGUCUCUAAUUGUUCAAUUAUCAGUAAACCCACUCCAAUUUAACUAAUAACAAUCUCCAUUUGUUUAAUUAUCAGUCAACAACAACAAACACACUCCAAAUAAUUGAAUAAUUGCCAAUCAAUUAAUUAAAAAUAUAAAAUUUAAUUAUUAGUCAAUGAAGCUCAAUUAAAACUACGUUACAGCUCAAUUAAUUAUUAGUCAAUGAAGCUCCAUUAAAACUACGUUACAGCAUUGAGUUAGUAAUAGGAAAUUCGAAAUUCGAUUCGGGUUGUUGCCAUCAGCUGCAAGCAAGUCAGCAAGUUACAGGCUUACAGCGUCGGCAAAGCGAGACAAACCUUGAUCUCGGAGCAGCUACAACGUCGGCAGAUCGAGACCGUGUUGGGCUGAGUGGGACGCGAGGUGAACGCACGGCGCAGUUGCGGGUGAGGCGUGCUGGCUGACGGCGAGUGGGCUGCGGUGAACGGCUGGUGUCUGUUGGAGUUGGACGAGGCUGCUGGCUAUUACUGUCGUCGUGGCCCACGAAACUCGGAAGAGGGAGUAAGGAGGGAGGGGGAGGGAGAGACGGUGAGACCGAGAGUUUAGCUAAUUAGCUGCUUAGGGAUUUUUUUCAUUUAAUGUAUGGACUUGACUAGCUUACAGAAUCUGGAAGCUACAGACUGCAGCAUCAGCCAUUGGAUGUGGAGUGAGAAACUAAACAAUAGAAAUCAGAUGGUGGGAUGACGGGUAUGUAUAUAUAUUUUUAAUUUUUAAAAGCUGAAUCUUAAAAAAAAAAAAAAAAGGCUUCAACCCGAACGGGUUGAGAAUUCGGUUCGGGUUGAACCCAAACUAAAUUUUAACCCGAAUGGGUUGAAGCUUUGAAUCCGUUGGGGUUUCACCGGUUAACCCAAACCGAACCGAAUCCGAAAUAAAUUUCGGGUUUGGUUCGGUUCGGGUUAACCCGAACCGAAUGCCCACCCCUAGUCUCAGCCAUUAGCCAAGUGGUAAACUCUAACUCUUCCAAGUCCUCUUAAAUUUUACUCUCCUAAUUAAAAAUUACGUAAAGAUAUGAAUUUUCUCUAUUGAUUUUUGUAGGUAGAACAAAUAACCUUCCAGUAUUUGUAAGAUAGAAUUAUAGGUUAUGCUAUAAUAGAGUUGAUCUAGAUGGUUUAUGAGUAGACUUCUAAUUGUAUAAUACAUAUUAGUAAGGGGAAAAAGACAUCUCCACUUGCAAAAUGUGGAGAAGUAGUCACCAACACUCCUAAGUUUUCAUAAAAGGAUGUUAAGACUCAUUUUGACUAUUAUACUCUUUAUCUCUAUUAUUCCCCAAAAAAAUAGACUUUAAAAUGUUUAACAAAUACAAAUAUUAUAUAAAUAAUGUAAUCUAUGCAGCUGACUAAUAAUAUUUUAAUAUUUUAAUAAAUUUAAAUAUAUAAAUUAUUAUAUUUAUUUUAAUAAUAUGUUUUUAUUUAUUGUAGAGACUUAAAAUAAUAUGAAUGAAUUGGAAACCAAUCUUCACAAAGAAAGAAAAGUUAGCCUUCACAUGGAAGUAUGGAAGGAAAGACUAACCUUUAUAAAGAAGGAAAAAGCAACCUUCAGAAGGAAAGAAAGACAAAAAGAUGAAAAUGGGGAAAAAAGUUAUUAAUAGUAAAUAACACUAAUUAAUAAUUAGUAAUAGUGACACUUAAUAUAAUAAAAUUACAUUAAAUUAAAAUAAAAUUGAAUAGAAACAAAUACAAUAUCAAUUAUCACAAUGCAAUUAGUAAGUGUCUAUUUGCUAUGACUUGUCUAAUAGUUUUAAGUAUUUAUUUAAUCCCAUAAGCUCUUAAUCAAAUUUUUUGUUAUUGUUUGAUUAUUUGUUUAGUAGAAUUUUUUUAAUAUUAAAUAAGAUAUUUGGUGUCCACUAUCAAAAGCUUAAAUUUAGGACUUUUGAGAGUAAAAGUUGAAAUUUUUUUUGUAAAAUACUAAAAUGUUUAAAAUAUUAUUUACUUAUUUGACAACUUUAUUUCAUUAUUUUUCAUAACCUAACUUUAAAAAACUUACAUAUUAAAAUCAUUUUUAUAACUUUUAAUAAAAUAUUGACAACCAAAAAAUAAAUUUUUUUGCGUAAAAUAUCUAUUUGUAAAAACUCUGCUAAUAUAAACCCAUUUAAAUAAACUGAAUUUAAAAAGCUACAACCAAAAUACAACUAGAAUUGUUUUUUUUAAUAUUUAAUUGUCGGGCUGAAGGAUCGGACUCAGACUUUCUUGAUUAACCCCUAGACCGAGCCCGAUCCGACUCGAAGCCUAAAAGUGGAGCCGAAGCCUGACUGGGCCGGGCGCUCACUUUUCUGCCAUCCCUAGCGGCAACUCAACUCAAGCCUUGGCUGGAUGGUCGUAGUUUUUGCGCGUUUCAGUUGACAGGCGUUGAUACAGGCUACACGGGGUAUGCGCAGAGUCUUAACCUACACCCACAACAUUUCUCCUCUGUCCUCUCUAUAAAUAGCUUUUCUCUUUUACUUCUCGUUUCCCUCUUCUUUCAAAAUCAUCACCGAAUCAACAAAUAAUCUUUCGCUCUGUCACUCACCAACUAAAUAUCACGAAACGAUAAAAAAUUAGCAAGUUAAUAGCAAAUUAACUGAACUGCUUCAAGCAAUAAUGGCUACUUUCGGUGCUGCUGCCGUUGCCACCAAUCAAAACCCUAACAAGUCCAUCGAGGUAUACUUUAUUUAUUUAUUUUCUUUAUUAUUUUUUCUUUUCGAUAAUCUUUAAAAAUUAUUUACCGUUAAAUUUCUUGUCGGUUUCUUGUGUAUGAUGAACUUGGUGACUGUUGAAUUAAUGCUUAUGGUGAUGUUAUUAUUAGGAUUAAGUAGAAAGUUAUAUAAAUUAUUUAUUAUAUAUUUUUGUCAGGGUUAAGCUUAAUUGCUUGUGUUAAUGUAAAAAUUAAUUCUACAUUUUCGGAUAAAGAUUUUUUUUUUUAAUGCUAAAUAUGUAUGCGAAGCUAUGAUCAUUUGUUUGCUUGCUGUCUUGCUGAACGGAUUGUUGAAAGCGAACCAAUUGCUAAGCUUGUGAAUGUGUUGGAGUUUCAGUGUAAAAGAACAGUAGUUAGUAAGUGAAUCAUCAGGCUUGCUAGUAGUGCUUGGUAGUUUAUAGUGUGAUUUUCAUACAGAAGACAUUGAAGUAAGAAUUUUCACUUCUUCUUUUUAUAUGAAUUUAAAAUUGCAGUCUAUGUGGCAUUUUGGUUCGGGCAGUAAAUUGCUUUUAUUAUUAGAAGUUCAUCUGUUAGAAGUCUUCAUUGUGUAGUUGAGUGUAAUGACCUUCUUGCUAAGUUGGACAAUAUGUGCACGUGGAUAGUUAAGUGGUCAGUUCACAUGACCUCAAACAGAAGAGUGGCCAUGUUGUGUUCAGAUGAAUGAAUGGAAAUGUUGGGCGUGUUUAGUUCUGCCAUGCUAACCUGUACUGACAAUUACCGAUGCUCAAAGUGGAUAUGAGCUGGCAGGGGCUAUGGACUCUCAAAUUGUCGGCACUCUUUUCCCAUACUUAUAUAAUUUAGGCGUUGUUUAAAGAGAAACGCCCUUGAUGAGUGCUUUAAUAUCGUAGGUUUUUGUCUUUCUUUCUUCUCUAAGUUGUGUGUCAUGCUCUUUUCUUUCUCCGUUAUAUCCUUUCAUUUCUGUUUGGUAUCUGAUGUGGUCAACAGUUUACUGUGUCUCCAUGUGGUGCCAUGUGCACUUUGUAUGAUUUUGCGUGUAGUUGAUCAGUCACUUGUACUCUCUUGAUGUUCUUGUAUUUGAGAUCUUUAUCCUCUUGAUGUUUCAAUAUGUAAUUAGGUACUGGGAUACAAGGCAGCCAAAUCCUGUGCGCACUCAACAGCUGCCUGAUCGCUGCUAUGCGCUCCGCUUAUGGUUGUUGGAACUGCAGAUAGAAAUCUAGUUGUCUUCAACUUGCAGAAUCCUCAGGUAUCGUUUUUUAUUCCAUGAGAGCAUUGAUUUAUAUGUGUAAAUUAAAUGGGCAAAUUUGGUGCUGGCAGCUGAAGCAUGUGUUUUGAGUGGCAGCAGUUGCUGUGACACUAGUAGUUGGUUGACUUUGAUUUAAAAUUUAACUUGAACCCAUCUUUUUUAAUGUGGAAUGGAAACAAUAAUUAUUUGUUGACUGUUUUUGGAAUUGAAAGCUAUCCUACCGUAUGGAACCACCUUCCCUUGUAUUCAAAAGGGUUCCUCAAUGUCAUGGAGCAUCCUGUAUAAAAUUAUUGUAUGAUUUCUUUUGUUGCCAGAUAUUUUUCUUCUGAUUGGUGUUGUCUGGAAAAAGGUUAUUUCUCGAUAUCAUUUUGUUUGUGUACAAGGAGGAAUGGAUACUAUAAUAAACUGGUCUACUGAGAAGAGCUUGAUGUUUGUAGAUUUGCCAACAUAUAUACACUACAGUUAUAGUAUGUAUUUCCAUGUCUUCAAUAUUCCUUUUUAAUUGAAAAAAAUAGCAAUUUGGAAUGUGUUUAUUUGCCUUAUAUCUUUCAAUUUUAGUUGAUAAUUUCAGUCAUGCUUUAUCUGUUCUUAUGUGAUGAUGAUAUAAAUAAGAUAUAAUAGCUCCUAGAAAUUUUGAAAUCUGGCUAAUUUAGAAAUUUGAACUAAAGGUUGGGUACAAUACUAUAUCUUCGUACACUAUCAUGAGAGUUUAGAUAACGGUUUCCGCAUUACCUGUAUUACAAUUUACCAUAUAUGGCACAUGCUUAUUGCAACAUAAAAAUGGUCAAGAGGCGAUGAAUUCUUGUUACUAUUUAACUUUUUUGUUGGGUAUUUAUUGAUUUCCAUAUUUUACCUUCAUGUAUUGUUCUUUUUAUAUUUUGUUUCACUUAUUUAUAUCUAAUAUAUGCAUUUUCUUCCGAGUAUGUCUAAUCAUUGUUUAAUGCUACCAGACUGAGUUCAAGAGAAUCAAUUCCCCUUUGAAGUACCAGAUGAGAUGUGUUGCUGCCUUUCCUGACCAGCAAGGUUUCUGGGUAUGCAUUCAUUUAUUUUGAUCUCUCUUUUCUCGUUCCUCAUGGUCUUUAUGCUCGAAAUAUGAGGCAUUGUCAAUUGGGUUGCAUAUUCCCAUGUUUCAAAAUUUGCUUCCCCUGCCAGCAAUGAGGGGCUAAGUUUAGCCUCAAUUACUUAUUCCACUUUCAUCAACAUUGGCUCCAACUUCUUUUCAUUGAGAUCACUGUCUUUUCUUCUAAUCUUUGUGCUUCUCUUAUUUUUUGGUUGUUGAAUAUGGUGUUAUUCCGAUAGGUUGGUUCAAUUGAGGGAAGGGUCGGCGUUCACCAUCUUGAUGAUUCACAGCAAAGUAAGAACUUCACUUUCAAAUGCCACAGAGACGGUAGUGAGACAUGCUCUGUCAUCUCAUUCACUUCCAUCCUGUAAGCUUCCUUUUAGUGCUUUCUGAUUUCAAAUUUUCAGUUACAUAAAACGUUCGAGAUGUAAAACUUAGAAAUAAAAGUAUACAUUGGAGUGAUAUAAUAGCUCAUUUUGAGGUAACUUUAGUGAUGCCACCCAUGUCUUACAUAAUUUUUCCCAGUAUUUGUAAUUUCUCUAAAGAUUAGAGAUCUUUCAAGUAUUAGAUCUUGGUGCCCUUAAGAUGUUGGUAUCAUAGGAAUUUUUAUCCAACAGUGGAAAUGUACUUUCUUUUGUGAGGAUUUCAAUGCUCAGUGCAUAUACUUUUGCUGUUAUUAACAUCAUAUGUUAUCAUUUAAGAUUUGUAGAGCAGGAGAUGCACCUAAGUAUUCUUCAUUUUAUAAGGUGAAGCGCCUACAUCUAUUUGUCAAAUCUCAUGUAAUUGUUCUUUUUGUCCAGAUACAUCACACUUUUGCAACUGCUGGAUCUGAUGGUGCAUUUAAUUUUUGGGACAAGGAUAGUAAACAGCAGCUCAAGGUGUUUUGACUUUCAUUCAGUACUUCAAUAACAAUUAUUGUUGUUGUCGUUAUUGUUCUUCCUAGAUGAAAUACAUAAAACAAUGUGAUUUUUACUGGAUUUUCAGGCCAUGUCAAGGUGCGGGCAACCUAUACCUUGCAGUACAUUCAAUAAUGAUGGCUCGAUAUUUGUGUGCUUGGUAAAUAAAUUCAUCCAUCUUCCUAAAGUCGACUUGGAGUCUCUUAUCAUCCUACUUUUCACACAUGUUGGGAUAUAUGCUUAAGUUCAAGAUAAUGGCAGGAUUCUAGAAAUCCACGCCUCUUUCAUUCUGUCUGUUUGCAUGAUGCUUAGUCUUCUAUGGCUCAUGUUAAUUCAAUGUUACAUGAAUUUGCGUUUCCAUGAAAUUAAACAACUAAAAUUUCUGGUUCUUCCUGCUAUGUUCUGAUCCUGGCAUGGCAUAGUGCAUUGAUUUCUUGGACAUUUAAACUUAAACUAGAAAAGUGUCAUUCUAAAUCUUAUCUUGCAUUUCCUGUAGGUGUGUUAUGACUGGAGUAAUGGGGCAGAAAAUCACAACCCUGCAACAGCAAAGACUUAUAUCUAUCUGCACUUGCCACAGGUUCGUUUACUUUUUUGUUCAUAUACUACCAUCAAUAGCGUAUCUUUGAUCUCUCAAUUCUUGAGGAUCACCAAUAAUCCCAUAUCAUCCAAAAUCUAUUUUGAAAAUAUUUCAAAAAAUCAUUCAAAAUAUGUUGGCUCAAGCUCAACAAAGCAGAAAAUCAAUGGGCCUACAACAACGAUAAAAUGAUUAUGAUAUGUCUUGAUCUUAUUGCAAGUGUGACAAUAAUAAAAAUUCAAGUUGUUUACAGUAUAUGCAAAUUAUCAUUACUCUUCAAUGUCUAUUUGAAUGUGCAUCAUCAAUUAACCGCAAAUUGGGUUCUUAUAAUCAUGAAUCCAAAUUCAAGCCAUUCAAUGGUUUAGCCCAUUUUAGUAGGCUUAUCAAUUUUAAUUAAAAGUUUAUUAGACAAAGUUAAUGCAUAAAAAUAGAGUGCUUUAAAGUAAAGCAUACAUUAAGAUUUUUAUGUGAUUUGAUGUCCAAAUCCCUACUUCUACGAAGCCAUGCUCAAAUAUCAAGUGAUUCAUUAGAUUUAAGAGAUUAGAAACUAUUGGAACCUUAUAUAUUAUAUGAGACUCUCUCUUGGUGAUUGCUGCCAUCUUGUUAUAAUCUCACCAAGUGAAAACUUUAUGUGCACCACACAUUUUUUGCUUCCUCUUCUUAGUAAGACUUUUAAGUCAACAGUAUGUCGCCACUCUAUAGAAUUUAUAUUCUAUGAACACGUGGUCCCUUCUCCCAUCUCCCAAAAAUACUAAAGAUAAUGUCUCUCAAUUAAAGAAUGAUCCGAAGGUUGUAGCCUUUGAUGUAGAAUCAUUCUACUGCUCCAACGAUUUUUACUCCGCAAAAACUGGAUGACAUGGCCAUCGAGAUGAUCAUAAAAGAAGUUGGUAGAAUUAAAGUUUUAUAUUCUGUAUGCUUGUUUGUCUGGCUAGAAAAUGAAGGAAAUUUUGUUGACUUAGAGAGGCAAAUCAGAAACUGAAUUCAUUAUGAUUUGAUACAAUAGACUGAGAUUACAAUACAGUAUAUAUAUAGUAGCAUCUGGAACUUUGUGAAUGUAGCAGAAUCAUAUGCGCACACUGCUAUUCACCACAACAUUUUGGUGGGAAAUAACAGACUUAUAACAAACUUUUAACAACAUGCAUAAUAAUCUUCCAGUAGCUUCCAGUAGCGUGGCAUCUGAUUCAUUACUUCACUUAACAAUUUGCUGACAUCACAGAGCCUCACAGAGCUGACUCAACUUAUUCUUAACAGGUAGUGGACAAUCAAGAAGACAGCAGACACCAAGGCAACAAGAAUAAUGAAAAUUGCAAAGUGCGCGAUCCGUUGAUAUCCAUGAUCAAAUGAUUAAUUUUUUUCAAAUCAAGGAGUGUUUUUAUUAUCAGAAGUACCAUGUUUACUGAUUAUAAAGAAUUGUUAAAUAUAAAAUUAGCAGUAAAAUAAUUGUUAAGCAAAUAAAAAUCUAUCCAAUCACUGUAAAGGCUUUUCCAAAUCUAACAGCAUAACACAAAAGUAUUAUUUUUUUUUCUUUUUUCAUUUUUUGAGAAAUCCUUUAUUCUUUUUUAAUUUGUUGCAAAUAUAUACAUACGAUUUAAAAUAACUAAAAAUUACAGGACUCUAAAUUAGCAAUAAUCUCGAAAAUCUGUUCUUAUUAAUGUUGCCUUGGUGGAAAUCGACCUUAUUUAAAGAGAAUGAGCCCCAUGCCAUUGGGCUACAAGCACAAGCGGCCCACAAAUAGUAGAGUAUCUAAAACAGUAAAAUUAUAUCAUCUCCAUUGUCCAGAACACUUUAUAUAUGCAUUUCCAGUUUUCCACUGUAUAUACUAAUAUGCAUCCCUAGUAUACUUUAAGCGUUGAAGAGGUCUGAUGGAAAAAAAAAAAUGAUUAGAAUCCUUCGUUUCUAGCGGAUCAUAAAAGGCUUUAUUAUUUUCUUUUUCGAGUGAUGCUUUUUACAAAUAAAAAUGCACAAAGCUAGUAAAAGAUGAAUCUAUUCACUUUAUCAAUUCAAUAAUGAUAUGGCACAAAUAAUUUUAUACAUAUUGGUAUGUACAAACUGAUGUGGCAUAAAGAAAUUUAUUGAAAAGUGACAUAUUAUUUUUUUUAAUUAUGUGAAUCCACGAUGGUUUUAUAGAACCAACCUUCGAUUUUUUAAGAUUGUUAACAGCAGAGGGGUGAUAUUCAAAAUUAUUGAUCGAAUAGGUAUAACUUAUUACCUGAUUCUUCUUUAAUUACAAGAAUUCUGAUCAUCGAAGGUUUUUGGGCCUUCCCAAAUCAAACUUGGCUGUGGUUGGACUGAUCAUUUCUUUUAGUAUUCUCACAGUAGAUCACUUUCACAGUUAAUUGGAACUCCACUCGUGAGUCACGGCCGCGGUAAGUGUAGAUUUGGGAACUAGCUAAAGUCUUAGUAUUAGGACCUGUUUGUUGUUAUAUAUGAUAAUCAACACAAAUCAGUCUAAUGAUUCAACGUUUAUGAGUCGGCACGCAAGACUUAAUUGGAUAAGACUAUUUUCAGCGUCAAUCAUAUUUUAUACGUUCUAAAAGAAAAGUCUUUGUUACUUUCUAAUUAGUAAAUUUCCUUUAAGAUGAACUGUAUCAACUGGGGCUAGUAAUCAGUUGAGCUCAAUGGAGCGUUAUGUAGUCAUCACUGUUGUUAAUUUAGUAAUGGCUUCAUUCGUCGCCUUAAUAUUAACAUUCGCUGCGAGGCCUUCUGUAAUCGUCUUGAUGCUGCUGACCGCAACUGCGUGUGGGAUGAUACCCUUGGGUUUGAUUAUUUUUUGUUAUGUGAAGAGAAAUCCGGAAAGCAAAGGUACGUAAGAAUAGUUAAUUAAUUUAUCACGCAUAGCAUAUAUAACAUAUGAUUGUUUGAUCGAGUAUAUAGUACGAAUAUUUUUUAUGUCUUCACCAUUCAGGGGAGGAUUUGAUGCGAUUUGAUUUGGGUAUGAACCGACAAGCUAUUAACAUAGAGCUUACUGAAGCAAAUAAGCAUGGAAACGGUGGAAAAAAGCAAAUUGAAUUGCCCUUUUUCAGUUUUUCCAGUGUUUGUGCAGCCACAAAUAAUUUCUCUGCCACAAAUAAACUCGGGGAAGGUGGUUUUGGUCCUGUAUACAAGGUAAAAUUUUAAUUUUGGCAACAAGCUUAUGGACUAAUUAUUAUUUAACAAGAACUACAAUUUCAGGGAGUAUUAGCAAAAGGAGGUGAAAUAGCUGUCAAAAGGCUUUCAGGAAGAUCUGGACAAGGAUUGCGAGAGAUGAAAAAUGAAGCUUCAGUGAUAGCCAAGGUUCAGCACAAGAAUCUUGUUAGACUUUUGGGCUGCUGCAGGGAUAAAGAUGAGAAGAUUCUGAUCUAUGAGUACAUGCCUAACAAAAGCUUGGACUUCUUUCUUUUCGGUUAGUUAUUGCAUUUAUUCUUACAUGUUCCUUACUUCAAAUUUUAUUCAUACAUUUGUUUGAACUAAUAUUUAAUAAAUAAAAUUACAUAUCAAAAAUUUAUUUCAAAAUUUAUUUAAACUAGAAUUUAGCCUAUAUUACAUUUCCAAUUUUUAUUCAUUAAUUUAUGUAAAAUAGCAUUUAGCAUUUAAUUUAAGAUUAAACAUAUAAUUACAUUCAGUAAUUUAUUCAAACUACUACAUAAUACUAAAUAUCAAAAUUAUUCAAUUAUUAAUUUAUAUUGAAAUUGAAUAUCUAAUAUAAUAUUCAAUAAUUAACAAUAUAAAUUUAAGAAAUAAUCAUACUUUUUAAAUAGCUUUUUUAACUUCCAUAAACUAAAUUUAAUAUUAGUGGCGAAGCUAGCACUAUUUUUUGGGGUGGGCUAGAUUUUUUUUUUAAAAUUCAAUUACUUCUCAAAAAAAUUAUUCUAUACAAAUAAAAUGAUUAAAAUACACUAGACAAGCAAGAAAAACUAAUAACAAAACUAUAAAAGUACAAUGUAAAUAAAAAAAUACUAUCAACGAAAUUUUGUCAUGUGAUUCUCCAGAAAAGAAAACUCAUAUAUCGUAUCUGAAUUAUAUUAUCUGCGAUAGUAAUACAGUAGAGAUAUUAUCUGCGAUAAUAAUACAUUAGAGAAUUAUUAAUUAUUUUAUCAAAAAUUUUGACAAAAGUAUAAGCUAAUAACUAAUUCAAAAACAGUAUGAGCAUGUGGGUGCGGCAGAGGCUAGCUGCCACCCAUGAGGUGGCAACUUGAUGACUUGAACAAUUGAGUUUUGGGGAAUUUAAACUUUGGAUAAUUAGAUCAAUUAGUUAGGGAUUUAGGUGAGUUUUUCGAUUUAGAGAAAAUAGAUAUUGACUAUAAUUAUUAGUUAUAUUUUUAUAUUUUACUAUAAGUUUUUUAAAAAGAGUAAAUUUAUAAUUAAUUAAUUUUUUUUCAAAAAACAGCCCGGGUUAGCCCCCUCAUAACUUCGCCCCUAUUUAAUAUGAUCUCGUCCAAUACUAAACCAAACACAAAACGUGACUAUAAAAUAAUUCAGUCUUAUCGAAUCCAAUUAAAUCUUAAUAACUAGUCCAAUCCAAUCCUUUGUUUACCUAACCUAAAAGAAUAUUUAACAUUUACUAUUUCAUUUAGCUAUUUUUAAGUUUAAUGAUUAACAUCAUCCAAUUAUCAGAUUUUUUAUUAAAAAAAUAAAAUUAAGUCACUAGAUCAAUUUACGUUAGAUAAUGUAGUCUACAUUUUUUUUUGUUUUCAUGCAUAAUGACGUUUAGUUCUUUUGUUGUAAAUUAGAUCCAACCAAGCGAAUGUUAUUAGAUUGGGUAACACGUCUUCGGAUUAUUGAAGGGAUAGCUCAAGGGCUUCUUUAUCUUCAUCAAUAUUCGAGAAUGCGAAUCAUUCAUCGAGAUUUAAAAGCCAGUAACAUCUUGUUGAAUAAAGACAUGAAUCCCAAAAUAUCAGAUUUUGGAAUGGCAAGAAUUUUUGGAGAAAAUGAGUUACAAGCAAACACUAGUAGGAUCGUCGGGACUUAGUAAGUGAAUGACACAAAUCAAAAUUAAAGUGAUUAAGUUAUGCAUAAAUUACUGAUUAUUAUUUAUCAAUUAUUGAAUUACAGUGGUUAUAUGUCCCCCGAAUACGCAUUCAAAGGAAUAUUUUCAAUUAAAUCUGAUGUGUUUAGCUUUGGAGUAUUGUUGCUUGAGAUUGUAAGUGGCAAGAAGAACACUGGAUUUUAUCGAACCGACUAUCUCAAUCUGCUGGGUUAUGUACGUAACAAAAGUCGUUGCACAUAUUCUUUUUAUACUACUUAGGUGAAAUUAUAUAUUAAUUCCCACGUCAUGCUUAGGUGUGGACACACACUUUUACAAUGUGAAAACGUUUGGAUUUUUGCACCUGACUAUUUUUAAACUAUUCUCUAUAUCAAGUGUACAACUAUCUAAUAACAUCGUAUGGUUGUUCAGGCAUGGGAUCUGUGGACAAGCAACAGGGCAUUGGAGUUGAUUGAUGAUCCAGUAUUAGAAGAUGAAUAUUCCUCCAAGCAUAUGCUUUUAAGAUAUGCGAACAUUGCACUCCUUUGUGUACAAGAAAGUGCUGAUGAUAGACCCACCAUGAAUGAUGUUGUAUCCAUGCUGUCAAAUGAAGCUGCAGCAUUACUUCCUCCGAAACAACCUGCUUUUUCGUACGUAAGAAAUACAGUCACUUCAACAUCGUCCACGGGCAAGACAGAAGAUUGUUCAAUCAACCAAGUAACGAUUUCACUUUUAGAAGCGCGCUAACUUUUAUUUUAAUUCAUACACUUUGGGGUUAGGUUGUUCUAAUUACUCCUCUGAUCCAAUAUUUGAACUGAGUUUCCUGUUUUUGACUCGCUGGUACGUACCGACCAUUUCUCAGAGUUUAAAUUAAAGUUUAAAUUAAUUUUUUAUUUUUUAUUUUCUCCAAGAUUCAAACUUACUUAGGUGAUAAUGUAAAUAAGACUAUUUGAAAACUACUAUACUAAACUCCUGAGACUAAUUAUUAGAUAUUAUAUGGAGUAAUGACCCUGAUUUUUAUUAAUUCAACGGGAUAUGAUACUAUCACGAGUCUGAUAUAUAAAAGGCCAUGCAUGGAACCAUUAUUUUCGUUCAAUGGGAUCAGAAUCAAGAAACUACGAACUUGGGGGAUAAAAUCAACAAUUUGUAAACCGACAGAGGGAGAGGAUCAAAACAUAUGUAAAGUCCAAGGAGAUGAACUAGAUUUCAAUUAACGCCCUUAUCUUGCUAUGAAUUAUAUAAUUCUAAUUCAAGAGAGACACUUUUAAAUAAAAAUUUAGACGUAAUAUUCUGACCAUUAUAUUAAAGCUAACCAAAAGUUGAUAUUGAAGUUAACAUGCCUUUUUUAAGUUUUAAAAACUAAAAAAUUAAUAUAAUAGAUCUCCAUAUAAUAAUAAAUUAUUAAUUAUUCGUCUCUCUUAAUAUAUUCCCUCUUUUAUCUCUUUUUUUUCAUCCGCUUACCCUUUUAUGUCUUGCCUACAUUAAUUAGUUUGAACUUUUGCAUGGCAUCAGUGCAAAAACUUAACCGACUGAUAGAGCUGAAAUGGACUUAAAUUUUAUUUUCACUCAUUGACUAUUUUCAUGCAAAAUUAUUUUGUCCAUCAAAAUUCGUAGCAGGACAUAUAUAUUCGUUUCUAUGUGUACAUAUUAAAAAUAAAAUAAAAUAAAAUAACAAGGAGAGAAAGGAGAUCACCAAAAUCACUAUCAAAACGAUAAUGUUUUUAUCACUGUUUUGUCACCGUUUUGCAUUUUGUUCAAAUAGCAGUACACAGAUUUUGAUUGUUUAGUGUUUGCUCCUAACUCAUUCCCUUAAAAAAUUAUCUCUGUUUCUGUAAUUAAAGGUCAAAUCACAGAUUUUGAUUGUUUAGUCUGGCCGUAUAUAUUAUUUAAAGAUCUAAGAUUUUGUUAUUCUGUUGUGACUGUUUUUUCUUUGAAUCAUUACUUUGUUGGUUAGUUACACGUGCAAUGUUGAGGGGUAAAAGAUAUAUGUAGAGGGGAACACGUCAUACGAAGGAAUGGAAUGGCAAAUAUUUCUUCUUCUCUCUCCGUCUCUCCUGCUAUCUCUGUUUCUCCAUUAAUUUCAAUUCUUUUUGCUUCUUUUUUUGUUGGAGCCAGCACUUACUCGAACAGUGUAAAUCUAUGAUAUAAACUCUGAGUUGCAGAGUUAUAUCACAUUCCUCUUCGGCUGCUUUCUAAUUAAUUAACUUGGGCUACCUUUACUCUGCUAUAUUACAUACACAUUGCAACUUGCAAGUUCCAUCCCUUCUCUUCGUUUCAUUUCAACUAGUAUUAAACCCAAUCAUGAGAUCAACUUUACUCUUAUCAUGGCUUUUCUUGAUACCCUUUUUAGCUAAUUAUUUUGGGAUGCAUAUGGUUUUGGUGUCUGGCCAAUGUCAGGGCCAUCAAAAAUCGCUAUUAAUCUAGAUGAAGAACAGCUCCAUAUUUGACGUUGAAAUUAAUAAUUUAUGUUUUAUUUUGAAUUAUAAGUUAAUUACCUCUUACAAAAAUAUGAAAUAAUGAGGCUGCCGAUGUGCCUUAAAGAGCGAUAGCAAGAUUACUAUAGAAAAACACGCGCGAUCGGAUACAAAAUUGCAAUAACACAACCAAGCCAUACAUUUUAUAUGAGGAACCCAUUAAUUAUGAGAUAGAGAUUAAACAAAGUUAUGAUGAAUAUGAUUAAUUUUAUCUAUCAAAUCAAUCUAACCACUUUUUAAUUAACUAGAGACGAUUAUCAUUUUGUACAUGUGGGUCCAAUCCACAGAGAGCUUCGCCGAAGCUGGAAGCAGCGGGCAAAGUAGCGGAUACUCAUUAUGUGAUUGAUCUUUGGAUUUUCAGUCCAUGUCCUAUUGCGAUCCUUACAUUACAUAUGAAAGAUCAACAAUACAUAUAGAGCUAGCUUUAAACACCAGUUGAACAGGGAGAUAUUUUAUUAUAAUGGAGUUAACAAAAUAGAUAUUAGAAGGAUUUUUGUUUUUGAAAAUUCUAGUCUAAAAACCUUGUAAAUAAUUGCUAUUGUAACAAAAAUAUGGAAUGUGGUUUUUUCUUAUAUUAAAAGUUGGAAGGUGGUCAAAGUGUAAAUUUCCCAAUAAUUUUCCAACGUGUCUAUGAAUCUUGUGUCGGCUCUUCAUAAAACCUGUAAAAUCACUAUCAAUUGUUAGCUCUCUCCUUACGGCUUUUACAAGUCUUUGGGUUCCACGAGCAAAUUAGCGUCCAGUUCGGCGCGAGAUGAAUUACAUUCAAUCAAUUUUUUUUUUAAUUAAAAGCAAUAAAAUCACUGUCAAAUGUUAGCUGUAUCCUUACGAGACUUUUCGAAGUCUACGGGUCCCGCAAGCAAAUCAAAGUUGAGUUUGACGCGAAAACGAAUUGCAUUCAAUCAAUUUUAAGAUUUUUUUUAACAUAGUAGAGGAAUAGUGAAAGUCUAAAUUAAUUCUUUUUAUUAUACUUAUUUCAAGAUUCAAACUCACCUGAUUAAUUAAGUAAAUCUGUUUAAUUAUUGGAUCUUAUAAUGAAUAAAGACCCUGAUUUUUAUUGGUUGAAUAAGGUUUGAUGCUAAUUAAUAUACUGCAAAAGGCAGAAAGAAUCCUAAUUAAUAUAAGCAGCGAUGCAUGGAGCCAUGAUUUUGGUUCAACGGGAUCAGAAUCAAGAAACUACGAACUUGGGGAGGCCAAGAUCAACAAUUUGUAAAACGAUGGAGUAAGAGGAUCAGAACAUAUAUAGAGAUUCCAAAGAAAUGGACUAAAUUUUAAUUAAUACCCUUAUCUUCCUAUGAAUUAUAUAAUUAUAAUAUUGUAAUAAUCACAGAUUUACUAGGUCCCAACGAUUCCAUUGGUGCUUGUUUCUAACUCAUUCCCUUCAAAAUCCUAUCCCUCAUUUCAAAAUUAUUUUAAUUAGUUUCCAAGUCUACGCCUAAAAGCUAAAAACUUUUAGUUUGCUUUGAAUAAUCCUAAAAGUUUUUGCUUUAAUUUUCUCUUAUACUUACUUUGGUAUGGCUUUCUAAAUAUAGCUUAUUAAAUAGAGUUUUUAUUAGUAAAGCUUUUAUAAAUAGCGUUUUCAUAAAAAUAAUUUUAGUUAUUUGUUUGUCAAUGGAAGCUUUUAUUAAAAAUUAAAAAAUUGUUUAAUAAGCAUGUUUUUUAAAAUUAUAUUAUGAAAUGAAUGAAAUAAAAUUAUCGAAUAAAUAAAUGAUAUUUUAGGUGUUUUAACAUUCUUAAAAAUAACUUUUUUAACAUUCACUCCCAAAAACCCAAAUUUUGAGUUUUUACUAGUAGAGAAAAAAAUAACUUAUUUAAUUUUUAAAAGCUCUACUAAAUCUUAAAAGAGUUUAUAUAAUUAAAUAAGUAUUUAUAUCCAUUAGAUGAAGUAUGCCAAACAUACAUAAUGUCUUAUUUGUUUGAGAUUUCUUUUCUUCUCUCUGUUUGACAAAGUUAAUAAAAUAAUUAACAAGAAUUUCAAAUAAGGGCCUUUGCCUUCUGUCAUUGAGACAAUAUUCAUCUCCAAACUGGUUCCACCGUAGAUACAUAUUGUAUGGGCAAUAUUCAUAGAUGAUCUCUAAGAAUUCAUGCUCAAUUUUAGUUGCAAUAAGAUAUAGGCUAUUUCCACAUUAAAAACUACUCUGAGCACUCUGGUUUUAAUAAAAUAAUUUAAUUACAAAAUUAAUCAUCAUAUAAAUUACUAUUAAGAUUUAUUUAUUAAUGAGCCAAUACAACUUAAUUACUUUAAAACUCAUAUAUACACUCAUUAUUUAACAUAUAAUCUUUUAUAUCUAACAUCUUAAAAUAUAAUUCAUUGAACAUGCACCAAAUCAAUUUUUAAAUAAUUUUAAAGAUAAAAUAUUUGUAAGACUUACAUUUUUCUAGAAAUAAAAUAAACUGAAAUUAUUGCAAAGGUGUUCAUUUUUUUGUCUUUAAUUUAAAAAUAAAUAAAUUAAAGCACUCUAAACCUAAUAACCCAGUCAGCAUCUUCUUCUUCUUCUUCUUCUUUUUUGUGUCAGAUUACAAUUUGGUUUUCAAUUAUUAUUGGGGUAGUGAAGUCCAUACUUAUUGAUCUUAAAGAAUUUAUAGGUGCAAAAAUUGAUAUGGGAUACAUUCUUUAAUUAACGAAAACUGAUAAAUAAAAUUAUUUUAAAAAAUUUGCUUAAAACUUGACUUAAUUUCAUUGUUGCUAGUUAUGCUACAUUUAUUAAAACGAUUUUCUUUGAGUGUGCUGAAUAUUUUUAUUAGUGUUUUGAGUAAAUUAAUUUAAAUGAUUUAAGUAGAGAUACUUUUGGCAUCUUAAAGAGUGUACAAAAUAAAAAUUAAUUUUUCAAAUUUAGAAUUUGUGUAUAGAGUACCUUUUUUUUUUUUUCCAAAGAAGUUGUAACAAGAUAUUUAUUCGUAGUAUACAAUGAAAGACAAUGCUAAAAGAAAUGAGCCCAACCAAGUUUUAAGUGACUUACUUCUAUAGUUUUAUGCGUGGAUCUCCCACUAACUUUUUACUGUCGUAAUUUUGGACCUAUGGAAAUGGAAGAUUCCUGUAUUUGAUGCAGGCUUUAACCAAAAGAUCCAAUUUUCUUUCUUUUUUUUUUUCUCCCAAGUCUUGGCAACAUUAAUUGGUUUGAACUUUUGUAGUCUUCUAGCUCCCAGUUUAUACGUUGGGGGUGUAACUUCUAGGGAACUUCGGCCAUCCUUUUCCUGUUAAAUGAAUUCAUCGCAACUCCCAAGUUUCAUCACUCCUCUCCGAGUUUCAUUUCAGCAAUUAUUAAAACAAUGCGACCAAUUUUACUCUUAUCAUGGCCUUUCUUGAUACCCUUUUUAGCCAAUUAUUUUGGGAUACAUAUGGUUUUGGUUUCUGGCCAAUGUCAGAGCGAUCAACAAUCUUUGUUACUCCAAAUGAAGAACAGUCUCAUAUUAAGCAAUGACAGUGGCUUUCCAUCUACAAAACUGAGUCAGUGGAGUAGCCAUCAAAGCUCCGAUUGUUGUGAUUGGAGCGGUGUAAGGUGCGAUGAGGCUGGUCAUGUUAUUGGUCUCGACUUGAGCUGGGAACCAAUCAUUGGCGGACUUGAGAAUGCGACUGGCCUUUUCGAUCUUCAAUAUCUGCAGAGCCUCAAUCUGGGUUUCACUCUCUUCAAAGGAUUCCAAAUACCAUCCAGAUUGGGCAACCUGACAAAUUUGACUUACCUGAAUCUUUCCCAGGGUGGCUUCGCAGGGGAGAUUCCCACUGAGAUUUCAAGCUUGACAAGGUUGGUUACUCUUGAUUUGUCAGGUAUUGUGCCCAUAGAAUAUUCCUAUACAGUUUGGAUCGCAAACUUAAGCUUGUUUCUGCAGAACUUAACAGAGCUCACAGAACUGCAUCUUGAUCGAGUAGAUUUGUCCGCCUCCGGAACUGAAUGGUGCAAAGCUUUAUCAUUUCUGCCCAAUCUACAAGUUUUAAGCUUGUCCGGGUGUGAUCUUUCAGGUCCAAUCAAUCACUACCUGGCAAAGUCACGGUCACUCUCCGUGAUUCGUUUGCAUUACAAUUAUGGUCUGUCUUCAGGUACAGAGUUUUUGGCCCAUCUGACGAAUUUGAAGGCCUUGGAUCUCAGCGAGUGUGGGUUGCAAGGGAAGUUUCCAGAAAAGAUAUUGCACGUUCCCACACUUGAGACUCUUGACUUGUCAAUUAACCAAUUGCUUCAGGGUUCUCUGCCAAACUUUCCUAAGAAUUCUUCUCUUCGGGACCUGAUCCUCUCUCACACGGGAUUGUCAGGCACACUACCAGAUUCCAUUGGGAAUCUUGAAAAUUUGACAAGGGUAGAGGUUAGUAGUUGCAAUUUCACAGGGCCAAUUCCCCCUUCAAUGGCUAAUCUUACCCAAUUAUUUCACAUGGACUUCUCAUCUAACCAUUUCUUUGGUCCCAUCCCAUCUCUUCACAAGUCAAGAAAUCUCAACAACUUAGACCUUUCGUUCAAUAAUUUAAGUGGCGGGAUCUCAUCCACUUUCUGGGAACAACUUCUAAAUCUCCAAAUUGUUGUCUUGGGGCACAAUUCACUUAGUGGAAGUAUCCCCAGAUCUCUGUUUCUACUUCCAAAUCUGGAGAUGCUUCAGCUCUCCAACAACCAGUUCGAGAACCAACUUCCUGAAAUUUCAAACGUGUCCUCGUCUGUAUUGUUUGACCUUGAUUUAAGCGGCAACAGAUUAGAAGGGCCUGUCCCCAUUUCAAUAUUCUUUGAACUCAGAAACCUUUAUACCCUCGAUCUUUCUUCCAAUAAGUUUAGCAUAUUGAAACUGGCUUCAAGCAAACCACGGGCCAUUCCUAUUCUAAAAAACCAAUCACAACUUUCUGUUUUGGACAUUUCAGAUAACCAAAUAUCUGGAGAAGUACCAAAUUGGAUUUGGGAAGUUGGUAGUGGCAAUCUUAAGUUCUUAAAUCUUUCACACAACCUCGUAGUGAGCUUGCAAGAACCUUACUCUAUUUCUGGUAUCCGCUUCCUUGACCUGCACUCCAACCAGCUCCGAGGAAAUAUCCCUUACAUGUCACCAAAUACUUCCUACGUCGAUUACUCCAACAAUAAUUUUACUUCCAUUCCAGCUGACAUUGGUAAUUUCAUGUCUGAAACAGAAUACUUUUACUUUGUCGCUGCAAACAAUAGUCUCGCUGGAGUCAUCCCGGAAUCUGUAUGCAAGGCUACCAAUUUUCAAGUUCUUGACUUAUCAAACAACAAUUUGAGUGGCACAAUUCCUGCAUGUUUAAUCACCAAGAGUAGCAGCACUCUGGAGGUUUUAAAUUUAGGGAGAAACAACCUCAAUGGCACUCUUUCUGACACAAUAUUUCCAGGAGAUUGUGGGUUGCAAAUUCUAGAUCUCAGUGGAAAUCAACUACAAGGAGUGGUUCCAAAAUCUCUUGCCAAUUGCAAUAUGCUGCAGGUUUUAGACCUCAGGAGUAACUAUAUCAGUGAUAAUUUCCCAUGCUGGUUAAGGAAUGCUUCUAGUUUGCAAGUUCUAGUUUUGCGAUCCAACAACUUCUCCGGACACAUUAGCUGUCCGAGAAAUAAAGUCUCCUGGCCUCUGCUUCAAAUAGUCGACUUAGCAUGCAAUAAAUUCAGCGGAAGACUUUCACAAAAGUGGUUACUUACCAUGAUGGUGGCUGAAACCAAAUCCGGAUCUGAGGUGAACCACCUUGGAAUUGAGAUGCCGAGCAACCAAUUCUAUGAGGUUAGAGUAACAGUUACAGUAAAAGGUAUAGAGAUCAAGCUACUGAAGGUCCCAAAUAUAUUCACUUCCAUUGACUUUUCAAGCAACAAUUUCGAAGGGCCAAUACCAGUAGAAAUGGGACGAUUCAGAUCACUUUAUGCUCUGAACAUGUCGCACAAUGCUCUCACAGGCUCGAUACCAUCAUCUUUUGGGAACUUGAAAGAGAUUGAGUCCUUGGACCUCUCAAUGAACAACCUCAGCGGGAAAAUUCCUGCCCAGCUUGCAAGCCUAAAUUUCCUAUCGGUCCUAAAUCUCUCAUACAAUAACUUAGUGGGAAAGAUUCCGACAAGUACUCAACUCCAAUCAUUUUCACCGACUUCUUAUGAAGGAAACAAAGGAUUGUACGGACCUCCUUUAACGAAUGAAAGCCAAGCACGUCCUCCUGAGUUACCACCUUCACCGCCACCAGCUUCAAGCGGUGAAAUUGAUUGGUUCUUCAUAGCCAUGUCAAUUGGAUUUGCGGUCGGCUUCGGAGCAGUUGUUUCACCUCUAAUGUUUUCCGUGCAGGUAAACAAAUGGUAUAACGAUCUUAUCUACAAAUUUAUAUAUCGGCGAUUCCGUGUGUGAAGUGAUUUAAAUCUCUCCUUUUGAAUAAUCAUGUAAGCUAGCUUUUGCUUCUCUCUUGUGUCAUAGAUGUUUGAUAUUUCUUUUCUUCUCUGUUUGAUAGAGUUAAUAACGUUGACAAUAAUUUGAAAUAAGGGCCUAUCUAUAACUAUUGCUGAGACAAUCUUUAUCUCAAAAUUGGCUCCAAGUUAGAUCUAUAUCGGCGCAAUUCACACACAACAUAUCUUUGUGAGUCCAUACUAAAUUAAUAUGUGCAAGAUUGUGUAUGAUUCCAACUCCAAGCUAGAUACAUAGCGAUUCAUGAUCAUAUUCCAUUUGUUCACUUGGAAGUCUUGAGUUAUGAGCCCAUCUAAGAAAUGAGCCCGAAAAGGGUUGGGGGGUCCUUGUGGCCUGGCCGAGUAGUUUGAUCAAAAUAUUAGUUUAUAUUAUGUUUAAUUUGAACUCUUGUAAUUCUUCAUACUCCAGUGUAUGUUUUCUUUCUUAUUUAAGGAGGGGAGUGGAACUCUCACUUCAUAGAUCUCACUCAUUUUUUUUUUUUUUGCAAGGAGUGGAAUUCUCACUUCUAUAGGGGCCACUCCCACAUCUUCUUUUCUUUAUGAAAUACAAUAAAAUUUAUAUUUAUUAAAUAAAAUUAUAUUAUAUUAUUUAAAAUUAAAAACAUUAUAUUUAUUUAAAUAAUAUUAUUAUAUUUAGUUAAAAAAUAAAAAUUUAUGUAAUCUAAGUUAAAAUUACUUAAAAGUAAUACUAUUAUAUUCAUAGAGAAUUAAUAAUAUUACAAUAUACUAUCUUUAUUUGAAAAAUAAAAUUACUAUAUUUAUUUAAUAUUGAUAACUAAUAAUAAUAAAUGGUUUACUCUAAGAAAAUAUUAAUUUUGUAAUAUAUUAUCAAUAAUAAUGUUUUGUUUGUUUUGCUCUUAUAAUAAUUUUUAAUUUAUGUAAUUAAAAUUAAAAUCAAUAAAAAAUUAUGAUUUACAUAAUUAAGAAUAUUAAUAAUUAUUAGUAAUUUAUAUAAUUAAAAUAAUGAUAAAUUAAAUAGUUUAUUUUAUAAAUAUAUUUUUUAUUCACUUGUAAUUAGAAACUACAAUCUUUUAAAUAAGGGUAAAAAUGUAAUUUAAAAUAAUUAACUCCCAAUCCAAAUAAGAGUAAACAUAUAAAUAAGAUUAUGACUCAUAUUAUACAUUCUUCUUCCAAUGUAAGUAAACAACUUAUUUCUACUUCCGAUCCCUGAAUUCCUAAACCACACCUUAGUUGAGUGGUUUUCAAACAAUUUUAUUUAAUUGUAACUUGAGUUCAAAUAUUGAUAAAAUUAGAAUUAAAAAUUUCUAAAAAAAUUAUUUGAAUUUUUUCCACCACUCUACUUUUUAAAUAAAUGAAAAAGAAAAACUCUCAAAUAAACAAAUAAAAGCUUUUAGUAUGUGCGCCAAUAACGUUUUUAUUGUCAAUUAUUUUGAGUCAUUAGUAUUCUGCAAUUUUUAUAUUGAAUAUAGUUGUACAUAAUUUAUCUAACUUUAACAGUAUUUUCUUGCCAACUUGCAUCUCAACAGUUAGCCAAGUGGUGAACUGCAACUCUCCCAAGUCCUCUUAAAUUUUUCUCUCCUAAUUAAAAAUUAUGUAAAGAUAUGAAUUUUCUCUGUUGAUUUUGUAGGUAGAACAAAUCGCCUUCCAAUAGACGGUCUAUUGAUAGACUCUUGAUUGUACAAUACAUAUUAGUAAGGGGAAAAGUACAUCUACACUUCCAAGAUUUGGGAAAUGGUCACCAACACCCCUAAGUUUUCGUAAAAGGACACCAAGACCACUUUUGAUUAUUAUACCCUUUACCUCUAUUAUCCCAAAAAAUAGGCUUUAAAAUUUUUAAUAAAUACAAAUAUUAUAUAAAUAAUGUAAUCUAUGCAGUAGACUAAUAAUAUUAAAAUAUUUUAAUAAAUUUAAAUAUUAAACUAUUAAAAUUAUUGUAUUUAUUUUAAUAAUAUGUAUGUAUUUAUUGUAGAAAUUUUAAAUAAUAUGAAUGAAUUGGAAACUAAUCUUCACAAGGAAAGAAAAGUUAGCCUUCACAUGGAAGCAAAGACUAACCUUUAUAAAGAAGGAAGAAAAAGCAACCUUCACACGGAAAGAAAGACUAAAAGAUGAAAAAGGGGGAAAAGUUAUUAAUAGUAAAUAACACUAAUUAAUAAUUAGUAAUAGUGACACUUAAUAUAAUAAAAUUACAUGAAAUUAAAAUAAAAUUGAAUAGAAACAAAUACAGUAUCAAUUAUCACAAUGCAAUUGGUAAGUGUCUAUUUGGUAUAAUCCCAUAAGUUCCUAAUUAAAUUUUUUAUUAUUAUUUGAUUAUUUUGUUGUAGAUUUUUUCAAUAUUAAAUCAGAUAUUUGGUCUCUACUAUCAAAAGCUUAAAUCUGACCCGAACCCCAAAAGUGAAGCCGAAGCCGGGCUGGGCCGCGCGCUCACUUUUCUGCCAUCCCUUGCGCAACAAAACGCAAGCCUUGGCUGGCUGGUCGUAGUUUUUGCGCAGUUCAGUUAACAGACGUUGAUACAACGUUACGCGGGGUAUGCGCAGAGUCUUAACCUACACCCACUACAUUUCUCCUCAGUCCUCUCUAUAAAUAGCUUUUCUCUUUUACUUUUGGUUUCCCUCUUCUUUCAAAAUCAUCACCGAAUCAACAAAUAAUCUUUCGCUCUGUCACUCACUAACUAAAUAUCACGAAACGAUCAAAAAUUAGCAAAUUAAUGGCUACUUUCGGUGCUGCUGCCGUUGCCACCAAUCAAAACCCUAACAAGUCCAUCGAGGUAUACUUUAUUUAUUAUUUUCUUUAUUCUUUUUUCUUUCCGAUAAUCUUUAAAAAUUAUUGACCUUUAAAUUUUCUUGUCGGUUUCUUGUGAAUGAUGAACUUGGCGACUGUUGAAUUAAUGCUUAUGAUGAUGUUGUAAGGAUUAAGUAGAAACAUAUAGAACUUAUUUAUUAUAUAUUUUUGUCAGGUUUAAGCUUAAUUGUUUGUGUUAAUGUAAAAAUUAAUUGUACAUUUUCGGAUAAAGAAUUAUUUUUUGUUUUAAUGCUAAAUACGUAUGCUAAGCUAUGAUCAUUUGUUUGCUUGCUUUCUUGCUGAACGGAUUGUUGAAAGUGAACCAAUCGCUAAGCUUGUGAAUGUGUUGGAGUUUCAGUGUAAAAGAACAGUAGUUAGUAAGGAUUCUCAACCAUGAAAAUCCCUGUCACACCUACAAAUGCAAAUGGUUACUGUUAUAGCAUCAAUUUCGCAUGACCAUCCGGUAAUCUAAAGCAAGAUUUGUGGUAGUUAGAAUACCAUACUGUUGAAUUUGUGAUUGCUGAUAAUUUAACCUUUUUCUUGUCUUCCAAAUUUGAAGGUCCUAUGCUCAACAUUGAAGGAUGAUGGAAUUACUGUCUUCUCUGGAGGAUGUGACAAGCAGGUCAAGACAUGGCCUUUACUCUCUGGUGGUCAGCCAGUGAUUGUGGCUAUGCAUGAUGCGCCAAUUAAAACAAUACGGCUCCUAUAAGGAACCGAACCCCAAGAUAGGAGCCGAACCCCAAGAAAAGUAAGGAUUCUCAACCAUGAAAAUCCCUGUCACACCUACAAAUGCAAAUGGUUACUGUUAUAGCCUAAAGUUUCAGUAUGCAUGCAUAGGUCGUAUUAGUAUGAAUAGCAGAGACACAAACCAGAAGUAGAAUUUUACAUGAAAUAAGAAUUGUUGAAACACAUGUGGAAGGCUUGUGAUGGAGAAAAUUGUGUGAAAUAAAAUUUGGAUAUGUACUGAAAAUUGCAUAAAAAUAAGUACAAGAUGCAGAGAAAUGAAAAAAAUAUCCUCUGUUGCAGUGAUUAUAUUUGCUAUAUAGUUAGUAAUGUGUGUGCGCAUACCAGUGUUGGGUUGGGAUAGGAUACAUAUUAUAAUGUCCAAGUAAUGAAUGUAGGGUUACUAAUUUUGUGUACACAUGAAAGUUGGGUUGCAGUGAUCUGAACCAUAACUGUUUAAAAUGAAAUUGUGCCAAUGGCCGCCUCGAUAACUUGUAAAGUCGAUUGAUAUCCAUUGACAAUUUGACUUCUUAGUUGUCCAAAAAAAAAAAAAAUGAAAGAAAGACUUAUUGAAUCUUCAUCACUGCUGCUUGAUGGUAGUCGCAAGAAGUCCUGUGCAGCAGCAGGAGUUGUGGCCGAGUAUAGACUGAUCUGAAAUGGUUUAAAAAUGUGAAAUAGUUAACCGAAUGGAUUGUUUUACUUGUAAAUCUUCUCAACUAACCAGCCACAAAGAUUCCUCUUUAGCCUGCCACAGUUCAGUUGUAACAAACUACCACAGCCCAUUUCACAAACAGCCACUCUUUGUUCAUCUGUAAGUUGUGAAACUGCUGCAGCUAAUCUAUCUGGAGCACAUCUUGUCAGGAACUUUGCCUUCCCCAUGUUUGACUUCCCUACUCGUUUGGCCUCACUUUUGUACUGACACUUUUCCUUCGGUGGCAAAUUCUUAUACGUGGAUCCAAUUUCCUUUCGAAUCUACAACAUAAUCAUGGUAACCCAAAUGACGCACAACUCCACCACUGCAAUAUCAUCGUAUCACAACCGAAAUAAUUAGUCAAAACCUAUACUACCACUCAACUAUUACUAAGUUAUGAUAAUUUAUUUAUUUUUCCAUUAACAUAGCUUAGAAAUAUCUUAUGAACCCAUUGAGGCACUGCCUUUUUCUUCCCCCAUCAAUGCUUGCAUCAUCACCAACCACUUCAGUUCCUCAGUUAAUCUCACAUUCCUUCUGCUUAUUACUUCCCACCACCUUCAUUCCUGAAAUUCAGUGACAGUUAUUUCUUACCAUCAAAAUACGCUUUAUAGCACCAUAUAAAUACAUUACUAAUUCACCAUAUAAACACAAAUACAUAUCAAUUACGUUACCAUCCCCAAACGAAACUAACAAAAACAUUUCAUAUCAACUCCACAAAAAAGAUAUACAAAUUCAGCUGGUGCAUGUACCAUUACCCUCAUGUCAUCAGCUUCAUGCUUGUGAUUCACGUCAUUUAAAUAUUUGCUGCAAUUUCACCUUUCCGGUUACUAAUUUUCCACACAUGUUCACUAUAAACUUAUUAUGCAAACAUUUAUUAUCUAAAUUUAAAUAAUUCAGUAGGAUUGACAAUUGACAUGUCACAUGUCGGGUGCUUCUAUGAAAUUCUAUUCCAAGGCACAGUCAUGACUAAGCUCAAGAAAGGGACAGCAAAUGCCGCCGACACACUCAAGUUACCGAGCAUAACACCAAGCUCCUUCUCUAUCCUACUGCUUUAAAUAAGCCGUAUUGAACUGUGCUAAAUAAUCCCCAAAUAAUUUCGAUAAUUAUUGGCCUCUACUCAAUUUUUCAAUCUUUGUACGACAUAUAUUUUGCAACCAUGUAUAUGCAAAACAAUUCAUUAUUCAACUGGGUUCAAUAUUUCAAUUCAACCACCAACUACGUUGUUCAGCACAUAUCCUUAAAUUAAAUUUUAAUUUUUUUCCAUGUACUCCCAAAUUUUCCCAUUAUCCAAACGAAACGUUAAAUUUCCACCAGCCACUUAAUCAGCGACAAAUAAUUCCUAUCACUAAUCUCAAAUUCAAAUUACACUGACCUUUAAUUUUGUUAACCCAAUCCCUUAUGCUUCAUUCAAUACUGCCAUGACAAGCUACAAGUCACCACAAGCCAAUUCAAAAAUCCCACACGAGAGCGCUGCCCCAGCCGCAGUUACACCUUGCCCGCUUCAAUUUCCUUGCGUCUGAGAAACCGCAGUCAUCGAUCAAAAUGGCCAAUAAGGGUUUACAGCUCCUAAAACUAAUCUUGUACAAAGAAGCUGGUUUGGAUGGUUGCCCACUGUAAUUGACUUUUACCCUUUUCAAACCUCAUCCCUUGGAUUAAAUUAAUUAUAAUGUAACGGCUACAGUGGAUAACGACAAAAAAAAGGGGCACGGUAGCUGGGAAAUAGGAUCCUCUCCUAAUCUGAGCUCUACUGAGCUUUUAAAGAUGUUCUGCCAUGUGGUUUUUAGUAAUAGUGCAUGAAUAAGAUUGAACUUAUUUUACUUUUUUAUUUAUUAACUACCAAUCAGCAAUUAAGUUAUUUGCUCGCAGCAUGAUCAAAUAAGAUCCUCUCAUAAUCUGAGCUCUACUCAGCUUUUAAAAAUUUUCUGCUAUGUGUUUUUUAGUGGUAGUGCAUGGAUAAGAUUGAACUUUUUUUACUUUUUUUUUAUUAACUACCAAUCAGCAAUUAAGUUAUUUGCUCGGAACAUGAUCAGAUCAGGAGAGAAUCCUACUCCUAGUAGCUGGUCCCUAGUUAAUGGGGUGCUCGAGUUUUUCUAGACUACUUUUUUUUUUUUUACGAAAUUCUUACAAUUUACAAAUCUACUAAAACUCUCAAAAUAUACUCUCACUAACAUGCACAGAGAAAUCUAUCAUUUUCUGAAAGAAAUGAGUUUGUAAGACUCGAACCCACUCCCUUAACAUAUUUUGAGGAUGCAAGUGCCAUUAUUCUAGAAGCGCAAAUGCAAAAGUGGUUUCAGACUUGAAAAGUCAAAAGUAAAUUUCCAAAAGUCAAGGUACUUAGAAGUUUUUACCGAUAUUAUCACAAAGUUAAUCUUACAAAUUGUAUACUAGACGAAUGGUCUCUAAAAUUUAUAAUUAAUCUAAAAAUUUUGAAUAACAUCAUUAAAAGAUUUUCUUUUCAAAUAUUUCUAUCUAAUUAAUUUUUUAUCCUUACCUAAAUAAAACUUACUAAUUAGUAUUACUAUUCAUCUUUAUAACUUGUGGCUAUAUAUUAGUAUUUCUUUAAUUUUCUUCAAAUUAGCAUUAUCUAUCUUCAUAAUUUUUUAUGAGUAUUUUAUAUAUGAAACAUCAUAAAUUUUAUUCAUCAUAAAUUGUAAUAAAAUUUAUUAAGAUGUUCUAAUUUAAAAUAUUAAAGGUUUAUAUUCACUUGAACAUGAUUCAUGUUAUAAUAAAAUACUAUCUUAUUUAUAUUCUUUGAGAUUUUAUUAUUUAUUUAUUAUUUAAAAUUUAUAAGGGCAAGAUUGUAAAAGUAUUAGUUUUAAGACUUUUUAAGUUAAAAAAUAAAGAACUCAAUAAUUAUUUUGAAAGAUUCAAACGAAAACGAAAUAUGCCAUUCAAAUUCAGGCAUUUAGCUUUGUUUAGAUUUCAAGCCAAUUCAUAUUUAUUUAGAUUUCAAACAAAAAACAAUCGUCAUACUUCUUCACCAAAUGUCAAGUAAUUAAUUAAUUUGGGACUUUGUCUAUCUUUUCUAAUUUUUAUUUGAAUUUUUUGAAAUUGAGUCUUAAUUUUCUACUGCUACAACUAAAGUUUAGCAAACAUUGACUUUGAAUUGCCUGUAUAUAUCUACGUAGGCGCCAAUUUGAAGAUAAAGAUUGACUCAAAAUAAAUAACAAAUAACACUUACAGGUCCUUUCACUACAACUGAACUCUCUCGUCAGUCAUGAUAGGUGUAGACUUGGAAACUAAAAGUCUUCUAUAGGUGGAGAAGUCUUGUAUCUAACUUGUGAUAUAUUGUUAAAAAGGAGUCUAUGACUAUUUCAAUAGAUCUUAUUUAGUUAUUCUUUUCCCAAAAAAUUAUCGAAGCAAAUCGGUCGAUUAAUGAAUCAAUGUUUAUGCGUCGGCACGGUAGACUAGGGAUGCCAAUCUGGGUUUAUUCGAUUCAAUUUAAUGUGAAUUAAAUGAGUUUGAGUUUGAACAAAUUAAUUCGUUUAAUAAAUAGGUAAAUUCAAUACGAUUCAUUAGUUAAACAAAUUGAAUUCAGGUUUUAUUCAUUCAGGGUUCAUUUAAUAAAUACGUCAUAAACGAAUUAAAUACGAUCCAUUUAUUUAAAAUUAAUUUGAUUAAAUUACUUAUUUUCUUUAAAUAUGUAUGAAAAAUUUUAAAAUUUCAAAGCUAUUAUAGUAAUUAUAAAUGAUAAUAAGACAAAAUAUAUAGUAAUUCGAUUCGUUAUGGAUUCAUUAUAGAAUAAAUGAGUAGUAAAUAAAUUCAUAUUUGAUUCGAUUCAUUUAUUAGUUCUACUAAACGAAUUAAAUUAAUCAAAUCGAAUAUUGUUUAAUAAACAAAUCAAAUUCAAAUCCUGAGGUUUGCUUAAUAAAUGAAUCAAAUCCAAAUCAAUAGUGUUUUGACCCAAUUUGUUUACGAUUCAAUUUAAAUUUGAUUCAUUUAUUCAUUUUGCCGCCCUUGCAAAACUUAAUAUUAAUCUCAGCCUCAUUUAUUUUAUAUGUUCUGAAGAAAAAUCUUAAAGACCUUGUCACUUUCUAAUUAAUUAUUUCUUACAAAGAUGGCCCAAGGAAAUUAUGUACACCCCAACGUAUAAGUUGGGAGGUGCAAGUAGAAAUUAACUAUAAAGCAGCUGAGGAGGACUUCUGGUCUGCAGGAAAACAACCGACCACCAAUUUUGUGGCAUGAAAAUAGUGAAUGAGAUUGUAGAUAAAAUUUAAAUGAAUGAGAUGGUGUGGAUAGUACAUGAUAAAGUUAAUUUCAUUUUUUUUUAUCAUUAAUCCUUUUUUUUUAUUUGGGUGUUAAUUAAUUGAGUUGGUUAAUUUUUUUUUUUGUCUUAAAAAUAAGAUGUUUGAGGUUCCAAAAAUAUGUGAGGAGGAAAUUGAAUUGUUUUUUAGCUUAAAGGAACAACAUAAUUUAAAUUUUGAAUAAGACUUCAGUGCUGAGCUAUUUUUUGUUGAAUUAUUGACAAGUAAAAUAUAAAAUUAAAAAUAAAAAUAAAUCUUGACCAAUGAUUCCAUACUGAAUCCUAAUCUAUCAAUUUUUGCUUGACACUCUACAAAAGUUCAAACUAAUUACUUAGAAGGAUAAUGGAGAAAAAAAUUGAAAGCUAUGGUUAAAUGCCAAUAAUUGACAAUAAAACAUUGGUGCAGAUACAAGCAUAAAAGUGCUUUCAUACGGUUUGAUCUUCUAGAUUCUACUUUCUACUCUUAUAAACUUAUAAGUGAUCAUGAACUGCAUGAGUCUAUUAUCCACAGCGUAGAGUUGGUCAUAGACAACCUUGCACUUAAUAAUUUGAAACAAAAUGUCUUGCUACAACUAAAAUCUAGCAUGGACUCUCGAAGAUUAAUUAUCUAUGAAAUAUUGACCAGCUUGUGGCCAAUUUAGAGAAAAAGAUUGUCAUCGUAGACCGUUCACGUCAACUGUAAACUCCGCUCAUCAGUGAUGAUAGGUGUUAGAGUUGGAAACUAGAGUUUUCGUGUACGUGAAGAAGUCUUAUAUUUAAAUGUUUCUGUAGGUAAUUCCAUAAAAAGUAAUGAUAUAGGUACAAAUUCUUGCACAAACUUAUUUUAUACAAACUAAUGUGACGUUAAUUAAUUGGUUGAAUUAAAUAUCUCUGAGCCCACAUAAUUUAUUUAUAUUAUUUUAUAUUUUCAUUCAACCAAUGAAUUAAUACUACAUCAGUUUGUACAAGAGUUUGUGAUUGUAUCAUCACUCUUCCAUAAAACUAACUAGUGACAUAUUUAUUAAAUUACUUUUUUAUGACUACCUUUGAUCAUAGGAUUGUUUGAUCAUAGGAUUGUUUACUAGUCUUAUAUUUAAGUCCUCUUUGGCUUUUUUCUAAAUACAUGAACUAUACACGUCACAACAUUUGGAAUAAUCAUUUGAUCGAUCUCAAUGGAUCGUUUUGCAAUCUUCAUUAUUGUUGUUCUCUUGGUGUCUGCUGUCUUCUUGAUAUUAGCAUGUAAGAGAUUGUAACAUUUUCAUAUUUUGGUUUGACAUUCUUGAAUAAAAAGGCUUGCCCUUUUUUAAGAAAACUGCUAACCGUUUAAUCCCAGAGAGCAUGUUUUCUUUUCUACAGAAAACGGCUAACUGUUUGGAGAAAACGGCUAACUGUUUGGAGAAAACGGCUAACCAUUUAGUUCAAAAGUUAUUUGAAAGUUGACAUUCUGGAAGAAAAUGGUUAGCCAUUAGAAAACGGCUCGCCGUUAUUGAGAAAAUGGCUAACCAUUUUCUUCCAGAGAGCGUGUUUUGGCAUCAACUGAAAAAAAAAGGCUAGUAGGUUUUGAGGAAAAAGAAAAACCGGUUGUGAAUAGAUGCAAAUUUCAAACCAAAGAGUGUCUUUGAAGAAGUACCGUUUCUAAUGGUUGUAAUUUUUCAUAAAAAUAAUUUCUUCAUUAAAUUAGACACUCAUAUUAAAAAAAAAAACUGGAUUAUUACAGAUUUCAUGUGUGUUCUUGAAAUACAAUCUUAUUUGCUAGAGAUUGUAUUCAGGAUUUGAUAAAUCUUGGGGGUAAUUUGCCAUUAAACUCUAUAACAAAUUAAGAGUGGUGAGGGGAAAUAAAACCUUAAAGAAAAGUGUAUAAACACGUCUCAAAUCCUAAGAAAGUUUCCUUGUUCUUUGCCUCCAUAUUUGAAGAUCCACCAACAUAGCAUUCAUUUCUGGUUUAUCUAAUGGAGUAGAUUGAGUUCGUCUUGUUUUCCUUGUCGAUCACUCUGGCAGCAGUGGCCACUUUAGGCAUGAUUUUCUAUUGUGUGAGGAGAAAGCCCAGAAGCAGAGGUAAAAGUUCUCAUUUAAUCGCACGAUUUUGAGAGUCUAAUAUGCUAACAUACAUAUACAUAUCGUAAUUAAAGCUUUAGUUUCUUCACCCUUCAGGAGAGGAUUUGAUCAUGUUUGAUUUGGAUUUGAACCUGAAAGCCAACACGUUAACAUAGAGCUUCCUGUAAACAGUAAUCUGACAAAAAGAAGCAAAAAGAAGGAAGUUGAUCAAAUGCCUUUAUUCAGUUUUUCCAGUGUUUCUACUGCAACAAAUAAAUUCUCCGACGCAAAUAAGCUCGGAGAGGGCGGCUUUGGACCCGUUUAUAAGGUACUACAGAUAUCAUUUUCUUUGGAGCGCUAAUUUCAUUUUUAACAGAACUAUAAAUUUACCAUCUGCAGGGAGUGUUAAAAAAUGGAGACGAGAUAGCUGUGAAACGGCUUUCAGGAAGAUCUGGACAAGGAUUGCGAGAGUUAAAAAAUAAGCUUCGGUGAUAGCCAAGGUUCAGCACAAGAAUCUGGUUAGACUUUUGGGCUGCUGCAUAGAUAAAGACGAGAAGAUUCUGAUCUAUGAGUACAUGCCUAACAAAAGCUUGGACUUCUUUCUUUUCGGUUAGUUAUUGCAUCUGUUAAUUUAUUUUUCUUACAUAUUCCUCUCUUCAAAUUUUAUAUUCAAAUUUUAUGCAUACAUUUGUUUGAACUACUAUUUAAUAUAAAAUUAUAUAUCAAAAAUUUAUUUAAACUAGAAUUUAGUCCAUGUUACUUAUCCAAAUUUUAUUCAUUAAUUUAUUUAAAAUAGCAUUUAGCAUUUAAUUUAAGAUUAAAUAUCAAAAUUAUUCAAUUUUUAAUUUAUAUUGAAAUUGAAUAUCUAAAAGAAUAUUUAAUAAUUAACAAUAUAACUUUAAGAAAUAAUCAUACUUUUUAAAUAGUUUUUUUAACUUCCUUAAAUUGAAUUUAAUAUGAUCCUGUCCAACACUAAACCAAAUACAAGACAUUACUAUAAAAUAAUUUAGUCUAAUUCAAUCCAAUUCAAUCUUAAUAACUAGUCCAAUCCAAUCCUUUAUUUUGCAACAAACCUAACCUAAAAGAAUAUUUAGUAUUUUCUAUUUCAUGUAGCUAUUUUUAAGUUUAAUGAUUAACACAAUCGAAUUAUCAGAUUUUAAAAAAAAAAUUAAGUUGCUAGAUCAAUUUACAUCAAAUUAUGUGGUCUACAUUUUUUUGUUUUCAUGCAUAAUGACAUUUAGUCUUUUUGUUGUAAAUUAGAUCCAACCAAGUGAAUGUUAUUAGAUUGGGUAACACGUGUUCGGAUUAUUGAAGGGAUAGCUCAAGGGCUUCUUUAUCUUCAUCAAUAUUCCAGAGUGCGAAUUAUUCAUCGAGAUUUAAAAGUUAGUAAUAUCUUGUUAGAUAAAGAUAUGAAUCCCAAAAUAUCAGAUUUUGGAAUAGCAAGAAUUUGCAGAGGAAAUGAGUUACAAGCAAACACCGGUAGGAUCGUCGGGACAUAGUAAGUAAAUGACAAAAAUCAAAAUUAAAGUGAUUAAUUAGUUAUGCGUGAAUUGCUGAUUAUUAUUUAUUGAUUGUUGAAUUACAGUCGUUAUAUGUCCCCUGAAUACGCAAUCCAAGGAAUAUUUUCAAUUAAAUCUGAAUGUGUUUAGCUUUGGAGUAUUGUUGCUCGAGAUUGUAAGUGGCAAUAUCGAACCUACUCUUUCACUCUGCUAGGUUAUGUAAGUAACAAAAGCCGUUGCACAUAUAUAUUCUUUUUUAUAUUACUAAUUAGGUGAAAAUAUAUAUGAAUUCCCAAGCGUGGACACGCACAAUGUGAAAACGUUUGGAUUUUUGCACCUGACUAUUUUUAAACUAUUCUCUAUAUCGAGUGUAGGACUAUCUAAUGACAUCGUAUGGUUGUUUAGGCAUGGGAUCUGUGGACAAGCAACAGGACAUUGGAGUUGAUUGAUCCAAUAUUAGAAGAUGAAUAUUCCUCCAAGCCUAUGCUUUUAAGAUAUGUGAACAUAGCUCUCCUUUGUGUACAAGAAAGUGCUGAUGAUAGACCCACCAUGAAUGAUGUUGUAUCCAUGCUUACAAAUGAAGCUGCAGCAUUGCUUCCUCCAAAACAACCUGCUUUUUCGUAUGUAAGAAAUACAGUCACUUCAACAUCGUCCACCGGCAAGACAGAAGAAGCGCGCUAGCUUUUAUUUUAAUGUGUAUCGAGUCACUUCAAAAUCUUGAGUGCUAGCUGUUAGCCUUCUCUUCCCGUUCAUUUUAUACCGUGCAUGUGUCUUUCAGUCAGUCAUUAUAAUUAAAUGUAAUAAUGCGAGAAGCGAAUACAAUCAUGGGUUGGCUCUUCUUAGACCAAUAAAAUCACUAUCAAAUGUUAGCUCUAUCCUUGCAAGACUUUUCGAAGUCUACAGGUCCCGCAAGCAAAUAAAGUUGGUUUUGACGCGAGGACGAAUUGCAUUCAGUCAAUCAUUAGAUUUUUUUUAUUAUAUUAAAAAGUGGAGGAAUGAUCAAAGCUCAAAUUAAUUUUUUAUUUUCUAUUUUCUCCGAGAUUCAAACUUAAUUAGGUGAUCAUCUCAAUGAGACAACUUGAAAACUACGGGGUUGAGCUCCUGAGACUAAUUAUUAGAUAUUAUAUGGAGUAGUGACCCUGAUUUUUAUUGGUUCAACGGGGUCUGAUAUUAUCACGAGUCUGAUAUAUAAAAAGCAAUGCAUGGAACCAUUAUUUUCGUUCAAUGGGAUCAGAAUCAAGAAACUACGAACUCGGCAAGGCAAAAUCAACAAUUUGUAAACCGAGGGAGUGAGAGGAUCAAAACAUAUGUAAAGUCCAAAGAAAUGAACUAAAUUUUAAUUAAUACCCUUAUCUUGCUAUGAAUUAUAUAAUUCUAAUUCAAGAGACACUUUUAAACAAAAUUUUGGACACAAUAUUCUGACCAUUAGAUUAAAGCUAAGCAAGAGUUGAUAUUGAAGCUGACAUGCCUUUUUUAAGUUUUAAAAACUAAAAAUUAAUAUAAUGGAUCCUUAUAUAAUAAUAAAUUAUUGCUCGUUCUUCUCUCUCUUACUUAAUAUUCCCUCUUUUGUCACUUUUUUUUUUCUUUGCUUACCCUUUUUAAGUCUUGCCUACAUUAAUUAGUUUGAACUUUUGCAUGGCAUCAGUGAAAAAACUUAACCGACUGAUAGAGCUGAAAUGGACUUAAAUUUUAUUUUCACUCAUUGACUAUUUUCAGCAAAUUUAUUUUGUCCAUCAAAAUUCGUACCAGAGCCACUACUGAAAGUAGGAUAUGGCUUCCCCUUCAAUGUCUUGUGUAACCCAAAUUGAAUCAAUACAUCUUUAAUUUGAAUUUGUCACAAGCCAAAGUUGAUAUUCCCAACAAAUUCUUCUAUUUCAAUUUUCACUGAACUUGAAAUUUUCAAUCCUGACAUAUUCGCUUUGCAGAUUAGCUUUGCUCUUUAUCAGGGACUAUUUAGAUUGGGUCUCAUUGCUUCACACGAAUAGUGCUGUAUACGUGAACAGUAUCGUAUACAUGAACAGCACCCCUGACACCAAAACUUCAAUCAAUAGCUCUGAUACCACUGUUAGGAAAUUGAGAUUUCUCCCAAGAUCACUCCAAGUAAUUUGUCAAGAAAUAAAUCAAUAGAAAAAUUAAAUUCAAAAUAAUAUCAAUCGCAUAACACAAGAUUUACGUGGAAAACUCCAAAUCUGAAGGAAAACUAUGGCUGUUGUCAAGAGACAACCAGAGAAAAAUAUUCACGAUGUGAAAAAUUAUUACAACCACACUUUCAUAAAUAAUUUACUCUCAGAAAUAAUUUUCUCUCACCCAAGCUCUAAAUACACCCAAAACUCUCAAUUUAAGAGUAAUUAAAUUCAACUCUCAAAUUCUCUCUAAAUAUAAGAGGAAAUGAAUUCUUUGGGAUGAUAAAAUCUUAUGAAAGGCUCUCUUAUUUAUAACCAAGUGGAUAAUACUGUUCAAACCGCAUUACUAUUAAUGUCGCAUUACUGUUCAAGCCGUGUGGUCAAACCGUGUUACUAUUCACCGCAUGGUAAAACCCGAUUGUUGAGUGUUAGAAAAUGUAUAUUUAUAAAGGAGAAAAUCGUCAUUUUACAUCUCAAGUUCCACUAACAUUCCUACUUUUAUGUAUUUAAGUUUCUUGUGAUUUAAUUAUGUGUGUUGUAUUAUAAUUAAGUAUUUUAUGUAUUUUGGGAGCAUCAUAGUCAUUUCACAAUGAACGAGAAAUCAAACGGCUAAACAGACAUCACUUUUGAACUCAGGACAGUCGAAAACCUUAGGAGGAGCAUAAAAGGAAAAAUGUCAUUGUUCACAUGUACGGUACUAUUCACAUGUACGGUAUUGUCUACGUUACUGUUCACGACACUAUUCACAUAGACAGACCGAUGAUGUGGCAUUGACUGAUGAGGUGUCACGAUUCCAUUGGAGAAAAUUCUUAUGCACUGUUGAUCGGUGACGUGGCAGCAUAUUAGUGGACCAAAAAUUACGCGUACGGUACAUGCAUAUAAACAGGAUUAUUUUCAACCAAACCGCGUCACUGUUCAAGUCGGUUGACUGUUCAAACCGCGUACUGUUGACUGAUGACGUGGCGCAAUUCUGAACGUCCAAACUAUUUUUAAUCUGAUAGUCAUGAUUUACUCAAUGUAUCUAUAAAAAAAGGGCCUCCUCCCCUAAUUUGGCAUCUCUCUGAAUCCAUUUUUGGGCUCCAUUUUUUGUAAUUCCUUCUUCAUCUUGUAUUUUCUACGUAUUUUAAUAAAUUCUCAUUUUGCCCUUAGUUCAAUUAUGAGUAGCUAAUUUUCUUUCAAGCUUGGGUUGAAGGUGAAGUCUCAACAUGUGUCAUGGGCUUUAUUUGAUAAAUUUAAUUUCUCUUCCCCUCUAAUUAUUGUGGAUGUUUUGACUUUUCCUUGACAAAUAGUAAUAAUCUUGUCUAGAUACCGCCCUAGUUUCACCGGCUCCCUAGUACGAGAUUAUUAUUAUUUGGCACAAUAAGCCCUUAGCACCAUAUUGAUUAGAGCGUGGUUCAUGAGUUGUGGAUUCCCCCCCUCAUGAUUUAAUUGACACUAAUAAGGAAUAUUUAGCCCAUGGUACAUGUUGAUGCGGAUUCAGAUACCCAAGUGCUUCAAUUAUUAUAGUUUUUGCUUCAAUUUAUUCUCGUCAUUUUAAUUCAAAUUCUAAGAUAGUCUAAAUCACUUUCACCAUAAAACCAACCAGCCAUUUAGAAAAAUUAAUUUUACACACAAUUAAAAUCCACAUCCUCGUGGGAUCAACACUCGUCACCAAUGAUCUAUUCUAUAAUAGAUUCGUGCACUUGCGAGUUCAAUAAAAUUUGCACAACAUCUAUUUUUAACAAUUCUCCCACUUGAAGAUUAGAAUGAGAACCAAUCAAUCUCCACGCCAUUCUUACUAUUUUCACCUUAGUCAUAAUCCUCAAUAAAGAGAAUUAUCAUACUCUACUAUAAAGAGUAUACCACUUAGAAUUAAUUACCAAUUUUAGGAAUUUUACAUCGGCUCAUGUCGAAAUAUUCUGCUGAAAUUUAUGGUGCAACUUUCUUGUUGGCUUUCCUGGAAGUUUUUCAGCCAUCAACAUAAAUUCCACCACACACCCUACAACAAUGCCAACCAUGCAUUGUGUGCAAAUCUUGCGGACCCGCUAGCAGUGACACAUCCACUUCCAUAACACUAGCAGCAUACCAUAGAGAUGUCAUCAUCAUUUAUUUUACAAGGGAGCAUCAUCUCCCAUAAUAAUGAGAGACUUACCACUAGCAAUGCUAUCAGUAUCUUAUUUGGAGCCAGUUGCCGACCCUGCUUCAUUUCUCCUAUGACAGUCUCUUUUUAGGUGCCCUAAUUGUCCACACCCCCAAUAGACUCCUUUGUUCUUAAAUUUAUCUUUCUUCCAAUUGCCAAAGCCGAGACAUCUGUAGUUUCAGUAUUUUCACCACUCAGUCUUCUUUCUUCCAAGAGUAAAGUAGUAGCAACUUCUUCAACAUAUAUUGUCUCAUUCACAUACAUUAAGUAAGUGAUAGGUGUUUGUAGGAAGUUGGAAGUGACCAUAGCAGCCUAAGCAUCUUGUCCUCAUCUUCAAUUUUAACUUCAAUGGCUUCUAGUUCUGUCAUAAUACUAUUGAGAACAUUGAGGUGAUCAGAAAUUUUUGUUCCUUCAACCAUUCGCAGCGUGUGAAAUUACUUCUUCAGGUACAAUCGAUUUGGGAUGCUCUUUGUCUGAUAUAAUUUUUUUAGCCUCUCUCAAAGCUCUUUCACUAUAGGAAUAUUUCCUACAUUUGCAAAAACAUUCUUUGCUAGACAUAGUCAUAUGGAACUUGCAAUUCUAUCAUCCAACUCUUCCCAAUCUUCAUCGCUGAUACUAGCUUUUAGAGAGCCACUACUAGAAGCAGGGGAUGGCUUCCCCUUUAAUGCCUUAUGUAACCCAGAUUGAAUCAACACAUCCUUAACUUAAAUUUGUCAUAAGACAAAGUUGAUUUUCCUAUCAAAAUUUUCUAUUUCAAUUUUCACUGAACUUGAAAAUUUCAAUUCUGACAUAUUUGGUUUGCAUAUUAGCUUUGCUAUUUAUCACAGACAAUUUAGAUUGGCUCCCAUUACUUCAGGUGAACAAUACCGUAUACGUGAUAGUACCCCUGAUAACUCUAGGAAAUGAGAGUUAUUACAUCAAUUCUAAACUUGAAUCAAGAUCACUUAGAGAAUAAAUAAGGUGUUUUUAUUACAUUUUGGUUGCAUUUUCCAUAAACAUUCAUUUUAGUCGAGUCUUAAUAAGUUUGCUUGAAUCAAAGUAAUUUGUGCUAAAAACAAGUGCAUAAUUGUAGGUUCUCAGAAAGUCGUAAUAUAUGAGGGGAUGUUGAGACUGUAGAUGAGCAAGAGGAGGAAAGAAGAUGGCCACAAAAGAAGAAAAGCACAAUCAGGAAUAAUGCAGUGCUGUUGAGGAUGUUAGAGCAACCUGUGUUGUAGCAAUCUGGGAGCAAUGCGGGAGAAAACUUAGGCGCGGGUCAGCACAUGUUUCCUAAUUUAACGCAUGCAUGCUAAUAGGGCUUGUGUUUACCCUAAAUUGCAAUAUAAAAGGUAGGCAUGCACCACAUAGAAAUGCGGCAAGGGAAUCAUUAGAAUAAUUACAAAGGAAAAGAAGAAGAAGAUCGGAAUUGAAGAGUGUUGUUUUCGGCAACAUUGGAGAAUAAUGCAGAAUUACUUGGAUUUGUUUUUCACCGUGCUCAACUUAUAUUUAUCUUCUUCCUUUAAUUGUUUUGAUGUAUUCCGAGAUCAAAAUAUUUAUGUUUAUUUUUCUCUUUCAGAUUAUAAACUAAAUUUACUUGUAGUUGAGUGACAAAUAAUCCAAUAGGUUCUUGAUUGUUCUUAUAUGUUGUGAUGGCACUGUUGUAGCAUUUUACUCUAGUAGUUUUGUAUAAAUAUAAUUGUUAUUUCGAUUGACCACCUAUUUAAUAGUUUCAGUUAGGAUAGAGCAGCAAAAGGGCAUGUCUUAGCGGAUAUUAUUAGAGUACUACUUGAUCUUACGUUGAGUUUCCUGGAUUAAGUUAUCUUGAAUCCCAUAAGGGCAAUACUUGAAGUUAAGAUUUGUGACACACUAGAUAUAGGUGUUCACCUUGUAGGGUGGAGAGAUUGAAGGUUAUAAUGCUGUACCACAACCAUAUUAGCAACUGGUCAUUGUUAAUAGAUUUAAUGGUAUGAGACAUCCAACAUGCGAUAGCUGAAGAUGCAAGUUUAUUCUGCCCAGUGCUGCAGCACUUGUUGUAACAACUGGUGCUAACUUGAUAAACAACAGUCACCCCAUUAGAAGAAUUUGAUCAUUCAACUACUAUAAUCCCAAUUGAAUCUUAGACACAUUUAACUUAGUUUAUUUCGUUACGGUAUUAUUUUAUUUAAUUCUUUCACAAUCCUCAAUUACUUUGGAAAUUACUUUACAAUUGUUUAUUUCGGUCCUAAGUUGAUUUGCACUAUUGUGAUUGCUUUAAUAUUUUGAGUAACAUCAAUCCAUGUGGAGACGAUCUUAAAUACUUAUCACUUUAUUACUUGUUGUGUAUACUUGCACAUUGGCAUUGGUAGUAAUUGUUGUGUAAAUUUUAAUGUACUCGCAAGCGCAUGAAUCUAUUGUAGUAUAGAUCAAUGGUGACGAGUGUCGAUCCCAUGAGGAGGUGGAUUUUAAUUAUGUGUAGAAUUAAUUUUGCAAAUGGGUGGUUUAGAUUUGUGGUGCAAGUGAAUUAAAUUAUUCUAAAAUUGGAAUUAAAAUGGCGAGAAGAAAUUGAAGAGAAAAUUACUAUGUUUGAAGCGCUUGAGUAGCUGGAUCCGUAUCAACAUGCACCAUGGGCUAAAUAUUCCUUAUUAAUACCAAUUAAAUCAUGAGGGGGGAAUCCACUCCUCAUGAACCACGCUCUAAUCAAUAUGGUGCUAAGGGCUUAUCGUGCCAAAUAAUAAUAACCUUGUACUAGAGGGCCGGUGAAACCAAGGCGGUACUAGACAAUAUUAGUAUUAUUUGUCGACGAGAAGUCAAAACACCCACAAAAACUAGAGGGGAAGAGAAAAUAAAUUUACCAAAUUAAGCCCAUGACACAUGUUGAGACUUCACCUUCAACCCAAGCUUGAAAGGAAAUUAGCUACUCAUAAUUGAACUAGGGGCAAAAUGGAAAUUUAUUAAAAUAUGAAGAAAAUACAAGAUAGAGAAGGAAUUACAGAAAAUGGAUCCCAAAAAUGGAUUCAGAGAUAUCAAAUUAGGGGGGAGAGGCCCCCUUUUUAUAGAUACAUGGAGUAAAUCAUGGCCAUCGGAUUAAAAACAGUUUGGACGCUCAGGAUUGCGCCACGUCAUCAGUCAACAGUACGCGGUUUGACCACGCGGAUGAACAGUAAUACGGUUUGACCCGGAUGAACAGUAACGCGGUUUGGUUGAAAAUAAUCCUGUGUGAUGCAUGUACCGUACGUGAGAUUUUUCGUCCACUGAUAUGCUGCCACGUCACCAUCAACAGUACAUAAGAAUUUUAGCCCAACAGGAUCGUGACACCUCAUCAGUCAAUGCCACGUCAUCGAUCCGUCUAUGUGAACAGUGUCGUGAACAGUAACGUAGACAGUACCGUACACGUGAAUAGUACCGUACAUGUGAAUAGUACAAUUUUUCCUUUUAUGCUCCUCCUAAGGUUUUCGACCGUCCUGAGUUCAAAAGUGAUGUCCCAUUUUGCCGUCUGAUCUCUCCUUUAUUGUGAAAUGACUAUAAUGCCCCUAAAAUACAUAAAAUACUUAAUUAAAAUAAAACACAUGUAAUUAAAUCACAAAAAGGUUAAAUACAUAAAAGUAAGGGUUGUUAGUAAGACUUGAAAUGUCAAAUGACGGUUUUCUCCUUUAUAAAUAUGCAUUUUCUAACACUUAACACACCCCCCAACCAGCUUAUUGCUAGUCCCUAGCAAAUAAAGCAAAAACAAAAUUCAAAUUCAAAAUGAUAUAUAUAUAUUUUUUUUAGAAACACUCGUGUUUAUUCAAUCAGAUUAAUGAUAGCAAUCAAAUAAAAGUAUAAGCAUUAUCUCCAGUCUAAAGCAACAUCACACCCACAUCAACCAUCCACAUGAAUCAGCCCAAUAGACUUUGUUAUAGCUACUUUCAAGAAUGACAUGUCAAACCCCAAAAUCUCAGUGGAAGUAGUGACACUCUCACAAAGAAAUUAAACCCAAUAAAAAUAGUCACUCCAAUAAAUGGUAAUUGAGAGAAAAUAAUGAAGAAGUGAUAUCACAUGCUCUCACCAAGAUAAAAUAAAUAUGCCCUCAGCUUAGAAAUAAUACGAUCUCAAGUCAAAUAAAAACUGUUAGUCAACCCAAUUUAUUUAUUUAUUAUUUUUUUUAUAUUUACCACUACAUCUUUUUAGCCCACAUAACUAGCUUCUACUUCAAAUUAUACUUCCCUAAAAUCAGGAAGGACUUUUAUUAGGAUGUAACGUAGGCUAGGGACAUGGUUAACAAAGAAGGGAAAUAAGGAAAACAAAGUGUAUGUUUGAGAAAAAUGCAGAAUUUUUUUUUUUUUGGAAGUUGCAAGGUGGAUUUCACCUAUUAUUGUUAUUUUUUUUUUGUUUUUGCUCGGCACAACGUCACUAAAUAAAAUAAUUAUUUACAUUUUCUCAAACAUAAAUAGGUGAUGGAACUUAUAAGACAUCGGGUAAUACUCCAAAUCGGAGUGGGUCAAGAUGAUAAGUUGACAAAGAAAAGGUUUUUUUUUUUUUUUUAAAGGCUCAAAAGGGUUAACUAUGGAUAUUUAAUAAAAAGGAUGGCUAGAAAGGCUCAAACGGAUCAAAGAUGGCCUUUCCAUCGUCUUUUAGGGCUCUAAAUAAUCAUCCAUAUCUACUAGUUAGAUGGGCCUCCAAAUAUAGCAACACACAUUUUUUUCUUUCUUUUUUUUUUAAUUUUACAAUUUUUUUUAAGGGUUAACUCAAAAGAAAUCUAGAGAUCGUGUAUACAAUAAUAAACUGUUAAGUUGUAUAAAGAAUGGGCAAAAGGGUUAAUCAUGUCAUCCAACAAAUCACACAAAUUUUUUUUUUUAAACAACAUUCUACCCCCCCAACCUAUUCUAAGCAUGAAAGGAAAAUAUGCAUGCAGAAAUGUGAAAAUGAUGCAUAAAAACUAAUUAAAAACAAAUUACACGUAAAAUGAUAGAAAACGAAAAUGGUUUUUUUUUUUUAAGAAGAUGCGUUUCUAGAGGCACUACACUCCAUAUUCAGCCAUCUUCGACUCACAAGUUGGAAAAUGUAUAUUUAUAGAGGAGAAAUUAAAAAGAAGAAAAAUAAACAUAAAAACAUAAUAAAUAAAAAGAAAAUGUCUGAAAUUUUUUUUUUAGUAUUUUAUUUUAUUUUUUAAAACGAUGAAGAUGCGUUUCUAGAGUCACUACACUCCAUAUUCAGCCAUCUUCAACACAAAAAGUUAGCAACAGUUAGUUUCUACAACAAAAAAUUAGUAAAAACUUAAUCAAAAUUCCACAAUUGUCGACUAUUCCCUCCCCCCAACCAGAACGAAACAUUGUCCUCAAUGUUUGAAAGGAAAGAAGUAGAGUUUAAAAGACAUCACUUGGGUGGUGCAACACAGAAGAAAAUAUUUAAAAGCGGAGAGUUAAAUCUAAUUUGUACUUCUCAUUGCGGCUACUGUUACCAUCAUUAUUUGGGCGCUCCAACACAAAGGUCCAGGGGUCUGGCUCCGGUUUAUAAGCUUGUAACAGAUCAAGUAGCUCAUUAGCAGUGUGAGCACAAAUAAAAAGUUUUUUCGCAUUAGAGGGAAUGAAAUAAUUUUUUAUUGCAUGGUUAAGAAAUGCGAUAAAGCCAUCAUAAAAGUUAUUGACAUUUAACAAACCGAUGGGUUUCUGGUGGAUGUGCAGAUGGGCCCAAGAUGCUAGUGUGAUAAGUGCCUCUAGUGUUGCAAGAUCUCCUGGAAGGAAAAUAAAAGCAUCAGCAUGAUUAAGCAUUUCAGUUAUUCUUUCUUGCAUACCUGAGACGACUAACUCUUCUCCAGUUGAUGAGUCAGACGAACUGCCCAAUGGUUUUAAGACUCUUGGGAUGAUGCCUAACACUUGACUUCCUCUGACAAAAGCUGCUUUAGAGACCAUUUUUGAUAACCCUCGGUUACCUCCUCCAUACACCAAGUGUAAUUUUCUCGCUGCUAUGCUUCGACCAAGAUCUAUGGCUGCCUCAACGAACUCUUUAUGUUUGCCAUAGGUAAAUCCAGAAAGCACACAAAUGUUCUUGAAUUGUCUAUUUGGAGUAGCUGCCAUUGUGAUACUUCUCAAAAAUAAUUUGUGAGUGCUUGACAAAAAAAAAUCACAUUUAAGAGUCUUAGUGACAGUGGGUCACAGUUGUGUAUGAGGUAACAUGUCAGUGUCAAAUAACGCGUAAAGCACGUGGCUCGCGAGUCAAAAAGGAAACAGUAAUAAAAUUAUUAAAGAUAAUAAUGCACUCAAUAAAACAAUAGUGCAAUAAAAUAACAGUAAAGUAAAAGGAUAUUUACAGGUAGUUGCGACUGUGGCUCACAUCUUCCUCUGGUUUUACGUCCAGAAACAGCUUGAACGCCCUCAAUGGGUCGAGGAAAGGCUUCCCAUCCAGUUUUCUUAUAAACUGGCAAACAGGGUCGUUUAUAGUCAGAUUCCCGAGACUAUAUCAUGCAUACUCUUUCUGGAAUAAUGGCCAUAACUGGAGAAUCGCUCCUUGCACAUAUCCACUGGGAUGCGUUUCAAGAGACAGAAGGAUAUCAUCCAAUGACUCCUUAUUCAAGUCAUCCCUAAUGAAUUGAAUCUUAUCUUCCCUGUUAUCAGACACCAUUCCUAAAGAACAUGGGUUUUUAUUGCAACUCAUCCUGGCACACUUAUGACAAGCAACAGAAAUUCUUCGAGCUCGUCGUUUUCUUGCAUAAUUUCCUUUACCACAACCAGGCAUGUAUGCAAUAAAUUUUGGAGGUAACUCACCUGCCAAUCGUACUUUGGCCUCGAUUAACCAACGGAUGUUAGCAGGUAUGUUAUUCAUCAUGAGUAAUCGCAUGCGUUCGGACCGAGCUUUAUAGAUCGUAAGGAGGGCAUUCUGAGGAAGUGAAGGGAAUUGCUUGUGAAGCUUCGCUAGAAUCUCGUUUCUGUUCAUACUUUGGCCUCAGAAUAUCAGUUAUUAUAGGAAACUGAAGUAACCGACUUGAUUGUCACGGAGUACCGUUAUCCGCCACUUCACCGGGGUAACAAACUAAAGCACACAAACAGAAAAACAAAUUAAAACACACAGAAAAUUAAAAUCGUCCUCUUAUUGAAUUUACCUCAAGCUCCAACUGGAUAUCUUAAACACUUCUCUCAAUAUCUCUGAGUUGGCUUUCUAGACCCUCAACAUAGGCUACUAACUCUGGUGGUUGUAGAGCCCAAAUGCGAUGUGUUUUACAAAAUUGAAUCUGCCUUUUGAGAUGAGUUUUGACACGUUGAAGUGGUUUAAGAAUGUUCAGGAGGAACGGUCUAAGUAAGAUACUCAUGAUUAAAAAUGAGAAAAGAAAACUUAAUAGUUAAACAAACACACUUAUGCAAAAAUAAUUUCAAUUAGCAGAAGAAUAAUAUAAAGAAAGAAAAAAAAUCAAAUCAACGAAAGGAAAAAAAAAAUCAAUUCAAAUCUGGUGGGUCACUCAAAUUUAUUUCGGUGUCUUCUCCAUGUGGUUGGUACUCUAAAUAUGGCUUUAAUCUUUGACCAUUAACUUUAAACGUGACACCGUUCUUUGGGUCCUUAAUUUCAAUUGCCCCAUGUGGAAAAACAGUAUGAACAAUAAAGGGACCAGACCAUCGAGAGCGUAACUUACCUGUGAAUAGGUGCAAACGAGAAUUGAAUAAAAGCACUUUCUGACCUAGAGUGAACGAUUUUCUCAUAAUUUGCUUAUCAUGGAAGACUUUCAUUCGUUGCUUGUAAAUCUUGACAUUUUCGUAUGCGUCAUUGCGAAUUUCUUUAAGUUCUGCCAGUUGUAAUCUUCUUUCUGAGCUGGCUUGCUGCAUGUCAAAGUUGAAUUUCUUGAUGGCCCAGUAUGCACGAUGCUCGAGUUCCACAGGUAGGUGGCAAGCUUUUCCAUACACUAGUCUGUAGGGUGACAUCCCAAUCGGGGUCUUGAAAGCCGUUCUAUAUGCCCAUAAUGCAUCAUCAAGUCUUAAUGACCAAUCUUUUCUGUCUGGCCUCACUGUCUUUUCUAAUAUGUGCUUUAUUUCUCGAUUGGAGAUCUCAACUUAGCCACUGGUUUGAGGAUGAUAUGGGGUCGCCACUUUGUGUGUGAUUGAAUACUUUGUCAAAAGAGCCUUGAAUGCUUUGUUACAAAAGUGGGCACCACCAUCACUGAUUAUUGCUCGAAGGAAUCCAAAGCGUGAAACAAUGUUGCUUUUCAAAAAUGCUAUCACCACCUUGUGAUCAUUGGUCCUACAUGGAAUUGCUUCUACCCAUUUUGAUACAUAGUCAACAGCAACCAAUAUGUAUUGAUGGCCAAAAGAUGGGGGAAAGGGUCCCAUGAAAUCGAUACCCCAUACGUCAAAUAUUUCAACCACUAAAAUUGGAUUUAAUGGCAUCAUGUUCCUUCGUGUAAUGCUCCCCAUUCGUUGACACCUAUCACAUGAAAAACAGAAAGUGUAGGCAUCUCGAAAUAUAGUUGGCCAAUAGAAACCACAUUGUAAAACUUUAGUCGUUGUUUUCUUAGCGCUGAAAUGGCCUCCACAAGCUUGUUCAUGGCAGAAUGAAAGGAUAUUUUGAAUUUCACUUUCUGGGACACAUCGUCUAACAAUUUGGUCUGCACAAUACUUGAACAAAUACGGGUCAUCCCAAAAGAAAUUCUUUAUUUCCGCAAAGAAUUUAGCCUUGCCUUGCUUGGUCCAAUGCUCUGGAAGUUGACCUGUAACAAGAUAAUUAACGAUAUCAGCAUACCAUGGUAAUACUUCCACACUCAUUAAUUGUUCAUCUGGAAAUGACUCAUUCAAUAUUAAUGGCUCUGUAAUUGUGUCAAAAUGGAGACGAGAGAGGUGGUCCGCCACAACAUUUUCUGUCCCUUUCUUAUCUUUGAAUUCUAAGUCAAAUUCCUGCAAAAGUAACACCCAACGAAUUAGUCUAGCUUUUGCAUCUUUCUUUGUGAGAAGAUAUUUAAGAGCAGCAUGAUCUGUGAAUAUAAUUAUUUUACAACCAAUGAGAUAAGAUCGAAAUUUUUCUAAUGCAAACACUACUGCUAGCAUUUCUUUUUCAGUAGUUGAAUAGUUCAACUGUGCAUCAUUCAAUGUCAUACUAGCAUAGUAAAUAACAUGGGGAAUUCGAUCAACUCUUUGUCCUAAUACUGCUCCUACUGCAUAAUCAGAUGCAUCACACAUGAGCUCAAAUGGUAAGCUCCAAUUUAGGGCCUGAAUGAUGGGUGAUGAUGUCAACAAUUGCUUUAAUUUUUCAAAAGCCACAAGACAUGAAUCAUUAAAGAUAAAAGGUACAUCCUUAGCAAGUAGAUUGCACAAGGGUCUAGAAACUUUGCUAAAAUCUUUAAUGAAACGUCUAUAAAAACCAGCAUGCCCAAGGAAAGAUCUUACUUCUCUGACUGUUUUAGGUGGAGGAAGAUUAGAAAUGAGAUCAACCUUGGCUUUGUCAACCUCAAUACCUUUGCUCGAAAUGAUGUGACCGAGAACAAUAACUUGUUUUAUCAUAAAAUGGCAUUUCUCCCAAUUUAAGACCAAGUUUUUCUCGAUAUAUCUCUGCAGAACUAGUGUUAGAUGAUGUAAACAUUGAUCAAACGAGUCACCAAAGACAGAAAAAUCAUCCAUAAAGACUUCAAGGAAUCGUUCAACCAUAUCAGAAAAAAUGCUCAACAUGCAUCGUUGAAAUGUAGCAGGUGCAUUACAUAAUCCAAAUGGCAUUCUCCUAUAUGCAAAUGUGCCAAAAGGACAAGUGAAAGUGGUCUUCUCUUGAUCUUUUGGUGCUAUGGGGAUCUGAUUGUAUCCUGAGUAGCCAUCUAGAAAGCAAUAAAAUUCAUAGCCUGCUAAUCUAUCAAGCAUUUGAUCAAUAAAUGGUAAAGGAAAAUGGUCUUUACGUGUGAUAGAAUUCAACUUUCUAUAAUCAAUGCAUACACGCCAUCCUGUAGUUACUCUAGUGGGUAUCAAUUCAUUAUCAGCAUUGGUAACUACUGUGACUCCUGACUUUUUAGGGACAACUUGUACAGGACUGACCCAUGAACUAUCAGAAAUUGGGUAAAUGAUACCUGCGUCUAAUAGCUUAAGGACUUCUGUUCUAACAACUUCUUUCAUAUUAGGAUUUAACCGACGUUGCAUUUCCCUAGUAGAUUUAGCAUUUUCAUCAAGGUGAAUGUAAUGCAUGCAGUCUACUGGAUUUAUACCUUUUAUGUCCGCUAUGGUCCAUCCUAAUGCUCCUUUGUGCUCUUUUAAAACAUCCAACAACUUACCUUUUUGUUCGUCAUUUAGGGAUGAUGAGAUGAUUACCUGCAGAGUACUUUCUUCUCCCACAAAUGCAUAUUCCAAUGUGUUGGGCAAUGGUUUGAGCUUGAGUUUCGGUGGUGAUUCAGAUGAUGGGAUGAGUUUCUUUUCUGAUGGUGCUAGUUGUUCAACUCUUGACUUCUAUUUAUUAGUGUCCAUGGAUGGUGCUGAGUCAAGUAAGGCGUUGACCUCAUCGACCGAUCUGUCAAUAUCAAAAUCCAAACCAAAGUGAGUUAAACAUGUUUGUAAAGGAUCAUCACUAAGGUUUGAAAGAAAAGUAUUAUCAACUAUUGUUUCAAUUAAAUCCACAUCAACAAUUCCAUCAUAUGCACUGUGAGGUUGUUUGGCAAUGUUGAAAAUGUUUAGCUCCAUAGUCAUGUUGCCAAAGGACAACUGCAUAUUUCCAGUUCUGCAUUGAAUGUGAGCAUCCGCAGUUGCCAAGAAAGGUCGGCCUAGAAUAAUGGGGAUGUGCUUCCUCGAAUCCUGUAUUGGUUGAGUGUCAAUUACAAUGAAAUCAACAGGAAAAUAAAACUUGUCUACCUGGAUAAGCACGUCCUCCACAAUACCACGAGGUAUUUUCGUGGACCGAUCUGCAAGCUGUAACACCACUGGAGUUGGGUGUAAUUCCCCCAGUCCAAGUUUCAUAAAUACUGAAUAAGGCAACAAAUUUACACUAGCUCCUAAAUCCAACAAAGCAUUCUCAAUUGUGUGGUUCCCUAUGCUACAUGAGAUAGUGGGGGAGCCUGGGUCUUUGCAUUUUAAAGGAAUUUUAUGUUGGAGUAUAGAACUAACGUUUUCUGUUAAAAAUGCCUUCUUUUGAACAUGCAUAUUUCUCUUUUUAGUACAAAGGUCUUUAAGAAACUUGGCAUAAGAUGGAACUUGUUUAAUCGCAUCAAGUAAAGGGAUGUUAACACUUACCUGUUUGAAGAUUUCAAGAAUCUCACCUGUGGAUUUUCCCUUCUUUCCUUUUGCUAACCUCUGAGGAAAUGGAGCUUUCGGAAUGUAUUCUCGUGGGUUGGUUUCUUCUUUCUCCUCCGGUGAUGAGUCGUCAACAUUUACAGGUACAAUUUGAUUUUCUUUUGUCACCGGCAUCUCCACUUUGUUGUCGACUUCUUUUCUUUUUCGCAAGGUCAUGACUGCUUUGACUUCUCCAUGCUGCUGUGGUGAACUGGUACUUGCUUCAUGUACUCCUUUAGGGUUAGGCACUGGUUGACUUGGAAACUUACCUUUCUCAACAGUCAUUGCCAAGGUCUGAACUGAAGAAGCAAGUUGUCCCACCAUCUUUUCGAGGCUUGAAACUGAUUGGGCUUGUGAAUUGAAGCCUGCUCUCAACUCAUUUCGUAGUCCAUCAAUGGUGCGUUUUUGUUGCUCAAUUGUGGAGUGAGUAACAUUCUUGAAAUUCUGGAAUGCAUCCUCCCAUGGUCUGGGUUGAGAGUAGUUUUGGUUCUGAUUGAAUGGUCUAAAUGGGGGCUGAGAGGCUUGAGGAACUUGAGGAAUUUGUUGCAUUGGUGGAGCUGGAGCUGCUGGUCCAUUCUGUUGGAAUCCUUGAGACCAUGAAAAAUUGGGGUGGUCUCUCCAUCCAGGAUUAUAUGUGUUGGAGUAUGGGUUGUAAUUUGAUGGCUUUCUCAUUACACCUAUGGCAUUGGCUUGAUCUGAGUAUGAGUCAUGGUCAUGUGGUUCUGUUGAUUUAGCAGUCGAUAACGAUGCUAUUUGUCGAGCAAGACCUUCAACCAUCUCCUUGACUUCUUUGAUUCCCGAAGUUGACUCGCCAAUUUGAACCUCAUUUACUCCUUUAAUUCUUCUACUAUUCUUGAGUGAUCGACUCCGUUGUUAGGAAUUAUCCGCUUGUCGCUGGAAGAAUUCCCAAAUCUCUGAUGUACUUUUUGACAUUAGCUCUCCUCCACUUGUUGCCAUUAGCCAUUCUUACACAUUCGGCAAUAAUCCUUCCAAAAAGUAUUGGCAUUGGUGCCAUUUCUCGUCCCCAUGAUGUGGACACUUUAAGAGUAGCCCAUUGAAUCGCUCCCAUGUUUCGAAAAAUUGAUCGUCCUCUCUCUGGGUAAACUCUGAAAUUUCCCUGCGAAUAGCAUUGGUUUUAUGCACUGGAAAAUAUUUAUUCAAAAAUUUUGUUACCAUUUGUUCCCAUGAUGCAAUGCUAUUAGCAGGCAAUGUAUUAAGCCAUGAACGAGCUCUAUCCUUUAAAGAAAAUGGGAAUAAUCUGAGUUUAACAUCAUCGUCUGAAAAAUUUUCAUAUUUAAAAGUUUGACAAAUGGUAUGAAAAUCAUUCAGAUGAUUAUAUGGGUCCUCAUUUUCUAGGGCAUAGAAUGUUGGGAGAUAAUUUAGCACACUAGGUUUUAGUUCAAAACUCCUAGCAGCUACAUUUGGGUAUCUUAUGCAUGAUGUGCUCAAAUUAGCUAAAGGACUGAAAUAAUCCUUGAAUGGCCUCUCCUGUGGUGCUUGUAAAUCCAUUCCAAAUUUAUUUUUAAAGUGCUUGUGUGUGCGAAGUGUUUUUUCUAGCUCAAGGUCUAUAGGUUCAAGAUUAGGAAAUAAUGACCUACGACCAUAUAUGCAAAACAAAUAAAAUAAAAUAAAGAUGGGAACAAAACAAAUAAAAAUAAAGAAGAAGGAGAAAUUACGAUACUAACCUUAUUGCACUAUUACAACCUUUCUAUAAAAAUACACAAAAAUAAAUACGUGAAAUAAAUUAACUAAAAAUUAAAUUAAUAAAAUAAACAAAAAAUUACAAAGAAAGAAAAAAAAUAAAUUGAAAAUUAAAUUACAAAAUUUUAAAGAAGAGGAAAAGAAAAGAAAUACUAACCUUUAAUUUUAGAUUCACUUUUUUUUUUCUUUUUUUUUUAAAGAAAAAAAAUACAAGAAAACAAUUAAAAUGGAAUUAUUCACAAAAAUUAAUUCUGUGAAUUAAAAUUACUUACCUCCCCGGCAACGGCGCCAAAAACUUGUUGUGUAAAUUUUAAUGUACUCGCAAGCGCACGAAUCUAUUGUAGUAUAGAUCAAUGGUGACGAGUGUCGAUCCCACGAGGAGGUGGAUUUUAAUUAUGUGUAGAAUUAAUUUUGCAAAUGGGUGGUUUAGAUUUGUGGUGGAAGUGAAUUAAAUUAUUCUAAAAUUGGAAUUAAAAUGGCGAGAAGAAAUUGAAGAGAAAAUUACUAUGUUUGAAGCGCUUGGGUAUCUGGAUCCGUAUCAACAUGAACCAUGGGCUAAAUAUUCCUUAUUAAUACCAAUUAAAUCAUGAGGGGGGAAUCCACUCCUCAUGAACCACGCUCUAAUCAAUGUGGUGCUAAGGGCUUAUCGUGCCAAAUAAUAAUAACCUUGUACUAGAGGGCCGGUGAAACCAAGGCGGUACUAGACAAUAUUAGUAUUAUUUGUCGACGAGAAGUCAAAACACCCACAAAAACUAGAGGGGAAGAGAAAAUAAAUUUACCAAAUUAAGCCCAUGACACAUGUUGAGACUUCACCUUCAACCCAAGCUUGAAAGGAAAUUAGCUACUCAUAAUUGAACUAGGGGCAAAAUGAAAAUUUAUUAAAAUACGAAGAAAAUACAAGAUGGAGAAGGAAUUACAGAAAAUGGAUCCCAAAAAUGGAUUCAGAGAUAUCAAAUUAGGGGGAGAGGCCCCCUUUUUAUAGAUACAUGGAGUAAAUCAUGGCUAUCGGAUUAAAAACAGUUUGGACGCUCAGGAUUGCGCCACGUCAUCAGUCAACAGUACGCGGUUUGACCACGUGGAUGAACAGUAACACGGUUUGACCCGGAUGAACAGUAAUGCAGUUUGGUUGAAAAUAAUCCUGUGUGAUGCAUGUACCGUACGCGAGAUUUUUCGUCCACUGAUAUGCUGCCACGUCACCAUCAACAGUACAUAAGAAUUUUAGCCCAACAGGAUCGUGACACCUCAUCAGUCAAUGCCACGUCAUCGAUCCGUCUAUGUGAACAGUGUCGUGAACAGUAACGUAGACAGUACCGUACAUGUGAAUAGUACCGUACAUGUGAAUAGUACCAUUUUUCCUUUUAUGCUCCUCCUAAGGUUUUCGACCGUCCUGAGUUCAAAAGUGAUGUCCGUUUUGCCGUCUGAUCUCUCCUUUAUUGUGAAAUGACUAUAAUGCCCCUAAAAUACAUAAAAUACUUAAUUAAAAUAAAACAAAUGUAAUUAAAUCACAAGAAGGUUAAAUACAUAAAAGUAAGGGUUGUUAGUAAGACUUGAAAUGUCAAAUGACGGUUUUCUCCUUUAUAAAUAUGUAUUUUCUAACACUUAACAGUAAUUGCUUAUAAAAAUUAACCAACAACCCCCGACGCCAAAACUUCACCCAAUGGCUUUGAUACCACUGUUAGGAAAUUAGGAUUCCUUCCAAGAUCACUUGAAACAAUUUGUCAAGCAACAAAUCAACAGAAAAUUAAAUUGAGAACAAUAUUAGUAGCACAACACAAGAUUUACGUAAAAAAACUCUAAAUCUAGAGAAAUAUCACGAUCGUUGUCAAGAGACAGCAAGAGAAAAUAUUCACUAUGUGAAAAAUUAUUCCAACCAUACUUUCAGAAAUAAGUUUCUCUCACCCAAACCCCAAAUACACCUAAAAAUUAUUCAACUCUAAAAUUCUCUUUAAAUAUAAGAGGAAAUGAAUUCUUUGGGAUGAUAAAAACUUAUGAAAAGCUCUCUUCUUUAUAAACAACCGAAUAACACUAUUCAAACUGUGUUACCACAUAUGUCGUGUUACUGUCCAUGCCACGUUAUUGCUCAAGCCGUGUUACUAUUCACCGCGUGGUCAAUCUGUGUUAUUGUUUACCACAUGGUAAAAUCAUAUUUUUAACUCCUUGGAUCUCAACUAGUGUGAUUUGCGUGGGAAGUUUCCAAAAAAGAUAUUGUAGGUACCUACACUUCAGACUCUUGACUAGGGAUGGCAAUUUCCGGGUUCGGGUCCGGGUUUGGCUGUUCCGGAUCCGGACCCGGACACAAAAUUCUCAUAACCGGACCCGCAUUAAACCCCCUUUUUUUUAAUCCGGGUCCGGUCCGGGUUCAACCCGGAAAAAUCCGGGUUUCCGGAUUCCGGGUUUUGAACCCGGAUUGCUUUAUUUUUAUCUUCUAUUCUUCUGGCCAACAAUGCAAGGUGUUCAAAACAACGAACAUGGUUAGUGCCAAGAUGAUGAUUGAGUAAUGUUUAUUUUAUUUUAAUAUUAGCCUCCAUAUUUUUUGCUUCCAAAAAACGUUGGCAAAACCGCAGAAGGAAAAAAAAUUUACUCAAGAAAUAAUAAUUAACAAAAUAAACAUCAAGCUUUUCUAAAAGAACAGAGCUGGCUUGUUGGUAAAAACUUGUUAUAUAGCUGUUUUCCCAAGUGCCGUCGAUUAUGUCAUUAAUUUUUCUUUUUUGUAAUUUUCUUUUUUUACUCUUAAAUCUUGAUCAACUACAUCAUCGAUUCAUUUCCAAUUCAACAAUAAAUUAUAAAUCCAAAAAAAUAUGUAUUGUUUUUAUACUAUCCAAGACCAAACCAAAAUUCAUGUUAGGUAAGACGGCACUUACAAACGUUGAAUCUUCUCAAUUGUUCAGCCCUAACAAACCCAAGCAAAAAUUUAAUAUUCCAUCCCCUAAAUAAUUUAGACCACUGCCACCAGCUGUCAAAAUUACCGAUCAUGUCUAGUAAUCAAUUCCAGCUGUCUCUAUUCUGCAUAUGCUUAAUGCUCUCAUCUUUAGUCUCCGCACACAACUCUUAACACCGUGUUCUAAAUGAUACUGAAACUUUAGAUAAAAGAACACGCAACGCCAAAAACUAAUUGUGGAACACAUCCGCCAUAUGAUGAAGAAGAAGAUGAGGAUCCCAGUUGUGAAUUUCAACCCCUUUUGCUGGCCACGACAGAGUGAGAGAUGAGACAAGUGAUGCUGAUGACUUAUGAAACGAACACAGCCGCACCGUGAAGGUGAUGACAGGCCGCGCCACGAAGGAUCUGAUCUGAUCUGAAGAAGAGAUUACAUGAGAGUUGAAGAGAGAGUGAGAGAGAUUAAGUGAGGACUGAGGAACAGGUCACGGGUGAGAGAGAUUGAGAGAGGAACGGAUGAGACUUGAGAGAUUGAGAGAAGAAAUUACAGUAGAGUUCAGUUGAAGAGAGUGAGAGAUCGAGAAUUCGAGAUUUCGAGAGAGGAAUUAGAGAGAUUGAGAGAUCUAGGGUUCGCUUUUGUUUUUUUUUUUUCUAUUUAUAUUUACGGAUUUGCGAAUAAAAAUUAAUAUUAAAAUAAAAAAAUCCGGGUCCGGGUUCCGGAUUUGUGGGUUCACCUGAAACCGGAUCCGGACCCGGAAACAUGCGGGUUCUCAAAAACUUAUCCGGAUUCCGGAUAAAAAUCAUUCCGGUGCGGGUUGAACCCGGACCGGAUUUUCCGGGUUCAGUCCGGGUCCGAUCCGGGUCCGGGUUUGGUUGCCAUCCCUACUCUUGACUUGUCAUACAGCUCAUUACUUCAAGGUUCUCUACCUAGCUUUCCUGAGAAUUCUUAUCUUUGAAACCUGAACCUAGCAAACACGAGCUUCUUAGGCACACUACCAGAUUCCAUUGGGACCCUUGAAAAUUUGACAAGGGUAGAUCUUAGAAGUUACAAUUUCACAAGGCCAAUUCCCACUUCAAUGGCUAAUCUCGCCCAAUUAUUUCACAUGGACUUCUCAUCAAACCAUUUCUCCGGUCCCAUCCCAUCUCUUCACAAGUCAAGAAAUCUUAACUAUUUAGACCUUUCAUCCAAUAAUUUAAAUGGUGGGAUCUCACCCACCUUCUGGCAAAAACUUUUAAAUCUCAAUAUUUUUGUCUUGUCGCACAAUUCACUGAAUGGAAGUAUCCCAAAAUCUAUGUUUCUAUUUCCAAUUCUAGAGAUACAUCUGCUCUCAAACAACCAGUUUGAGAACCAAUUUCCUGAAAUUUCAAAUAUGUCCUCUUCUGUAUUGCCUGGCCUUGAUUUAAGUGGCAACAAAUUAGAAGGGUUUCUCCCCAUUUCAAUAUUCCCUGAACUUAGAAACUUUCAUACCCUCAAUCUUUCUUCCAACUAGUUUAGCAAAUUGAGACUGGCUUCAAGCAAACCAUGGGUUAUUCCUAUUCUAAAAAACCAAUCACAACUUUCUUUUUUUUUAUAUUUCAAAUAACCAAAUAUCUGGAGAAAUACCAAAUUGGAUUUGGGAAGUUGGUGGUGUCAAUCUUUAUUUCUUAAAUCUUUCACAGAAUCUCCUAGUGAGCUUGCAAGAACCAUACCAUAUUUCUGGUAUAUGCUCGCUUGACCUACACUCCAACCAGCUCCAAUGAAAUAUUCCUUACAUGGCACCAAAAACUUCCUAUGUCGAUCACUCCAACAAUAAUUUUCAUAGGUAGAACUUACUCAUUUUCCACUAUAAACAAGAGUCUCAUUGGAUUCAUCCCUGAAUAUAUAUGCAAGGCUACGUAUUUUCAGGUUCUUGACUUAUCAAACAAUAAUUUGAGUGGCUCAAUUCCUGCAUGUUUAAUCACCAAGAGUAGCACCACUUUAGGGGUUUUAAACUUAAGGAGAAACAACCUCGGUGGCACUCUUUCUAACAUAAUAUUUCUAGGAAUUUUUGGGUUGCAAAUUCCACAUCUCAGUGGAAAUCAACUAUAAGGAGUAGUUCUAAAAUCUCUUGCCAACUGCAAUAUGCUGCAAGUUUUAGACCUCAGGAAUAACCAUAUUAGUGAUAAUUUCCCAUGUUGGUUAAGGAAUGCUUUUAGUUUGCAAGUUUUAGUUUUUCGAUCCAAUAACUUCUCUGAACGCAUUAGUUGUCCAAGAAAUAAUGUCUCCUGGCCUCUGCUUAAAAUAGUCGACUUAGCAUCAAAUAAAUUCAGUGGAAGACUAUCACAAAAAUGGUUACUUCCCAUGAUGGUUAAUGAAAACAAAUCCAAAUCUGAGCUUAACCACCUUGGAUAUGAGACAUGACGCAACCAAUUAUAUAAAUUUGGAGUAAUAGUUACUGUAAAAGGUGUAGAUCAUACAACUAAAGAUCCCAAAUAUAUUCACUUCCAUUGACUGUUCAAGCAACAAUUUCGAAGGGCCAAUGCCAGAAGAAAUGGGACGAUUCAAAUCACUCUAUGCUCCAAACAUGUCGCACAAUGCUCUCAAAGGCUCGAUACCGUCAUCGUUUGGGAACUUGAAACAAAUUGAGUCCUUGGACCUCUUAAUGAACAACCUCAGUGAGAAAAUUCUUGCCUAGCUUGCAAGCCUAAAUUUCCUAUUGGUGCUAAAUCUCUCAUACAAUAACUUAGUGGGAAAGAUUCCGACAAGUACUCAACUCCAAUCAUUUUUACCAACUUCUUAUGAAGGAAACAAAGGAUUGUACAUACCUCCUUUAACAAAUGACAGCCAAACACAUCCUCCUGAGUCACAACCUUUACCACCGCCAGCUUCAAGCAAUGAAAUUGAUUGGUUCUUUAUAGCCAUAUCAAUUGGAUUUGCGGUAAGCUUCGGAGCAGUUGUUUCACCUCUAAUGUUUUUUGUGCACGUAAAGAAAUGGUAUAACGAUCUUAUCUACAAAUUUAUAUAUCGGCGAUUCCGUGUGUGAAGUGAUUUAUAUCUCUCCUUUUGAAUAAUCAUGUAAGCUAGCUUUUGAUUUUCUCUUAUAUCAUAGAUAUUUGAGAUUUCGUUUCUUCUCUGUUUCAUGAAGUUAAUAAAGUUGACAAUAAUUUAAAAUAAGGGCCUAUCUAUAAUUGUUACUGCGACAAUCUUUAUCUCAAAAUUGGCUCCAAGUUAAAUCUAUAUUGGCGCAAUUCGUACACAACAUAUCCCGUGAGUCCAUACAAAAUUAAUAUGUGCAUGAUUAUGUAUGAUUCCAGCUCCAAGCUAGAUACAUAGCGAUUCAUGAUCAUAUUCCAUUUGUUCACAAGGAAGUUUUAUAAAGUAGAAAUAAGAAUUUAAAAGAUAACAUUUGAGGAAAUGUGUGGGUUAUGAGACCAUCUAAGAAAUUAGCCCAAAAAGGCUUCAGGCCCUUAUGGCCUGGCCGAUUAGUUUGUUCAAAAUAUUAGUUUAUGUUGUAUUUAAUUGUUAGAAUGAGAGUAGCGAGUAUGGAUUCUUCCCACUCUAGUGUUUUCUUUCUUUUUUAAUGAGAGGAGUGGAAGUCUCACUCCUUGGAUCCCACUCAUUUUUUGAGUAAUGAAUUGGAUUCUGACAUCUAUAGGGAUCACUUCCACCUCUUCCUUUUUUAUCCUUUCCUUAUCAAAUAUAAUAAAAUAAUAUUACAUUGUUUAAAAAUAAUAACAUCAUAUUCAUUUAAAUAAUAUUAUUCUAUUUAGUUAAAAAUAAUAAUUUAUGUAAUCUAAGUUAAAAUUACCUAAAAUAAUGCUACCCACAUUCUUGAUUGGCCGGCACACCAACCUUUUCUUUAACCUCAAAAUGACUUUAAAUUUAGAUCAAUAAUUUCUUAGAGGCAUUUAAACAAACCAUUAGUAUGCCAUUUAUUAGAUAUCUUAAUCUUAAGAAAACUAUAAUAUUUUCAUAUCCAAUACAUAUCUAAUGAUUAACUAUGAUCAAUGAUCAAUCAACCAAGCAAUUUAAACAAAAUUUAUUCUAAAUUAAUGAAAAAAUCGAGAAAGUACAUAAGCCGCCGAAACCGGAAAUGAAGGAACUUGCUAGAAUCAAACUAUAACUCACACAAAUAACAAUCGGAAGUGAAGCAAAUCGCCGCCGAAAGUGAAGGAAAUUGCUGGAAUUCAAGAAACGCUAGAAGUGAAGAAACUCCUACAUGUGUAUAUGGGGUGAUGGGAGAUGUUUUUGGGCGAUGUUGGGUGAAAUAUUUUUUUUUUUUUGUUUAGUUUUGAGAAUUUAUGGAUAUUUUAGUUUAAGAACCUUAUAAAUGAUUGCUAUUGUAAGAAAACAUGGAGUGUGGUUUUUUCUUAUAUUAAAAAUUGGAAGGUGGUCAAAUGGGUAAAUUUCCCAAUAAUUUUCCAACGUGUGUAUGAAUCUUGUGUUGCCUCUUCAUAAAACCUGUAUUGUUAGCUCUAUCCGUACGGCUUUUACAAGUCUGCGGGCUCCACAAGCAAAUUAGCGUUCAGUUUGACGCGAGAUGAAUUGCAUUCAAUCAACUUUUUUUAUUACAAGCAAUAAAAUCACUAUCAAAAUUCAAAUGUUAGCUCUAUCCUUACAAGAUUUUUUGAAGUCUACGGGUCCCGCGAGAACGAAUUGCAUUCAAUCAAUUAUUAGAUUUUUUUUUAAUAUAGUAGAGGAAUAGUGAAAUUUAAAUUAAUUUUUUUAUUAUACUUAUUUCAAGAUUCAAACUCCCGUAAUUAAUUAAGUAAAUCUGUGUAAAAAUCACUUGGCCAAGACUCUUUGGGACUAAUUAUUGGAUAUUAUAACAAAUAAAGACCCUGAUUUUUAUUGGUUCAGUAGGGUCUGAUACAAAUUAAAAUUAAUAUACUGGAGAAGGCAGAAAGAAUCCUAGUUAAUAUAGGCAGCAACGCAUGGAGCCAUGAUUUUGGUUCAACGGGAUCAGAAUCAAGAAACUACGAACUUGGGGAGGCCAAGAUCAACAAUUUGUAAAACGAUGAAGUGAGAGGAUAAGAACAUAUAUAGAGAUUCCAAAGAAAUUGACUAAAUUUUAAUUAAUACCCUUAUCUUCCUAUGAAUUAUAUAAUUAUAAUCUUGUAAUUAUCACAUACUUACUAGGUCCCAACGAUUCCAUUAGUUUCCAAAAUCCUAUCCUUCAUUUCAAAAUUAUUUUAAUUAGUUUCCAAGUCUACACCUAAAAGCUAAAACUUUUAGUUUGCUUUGAAUAAUCCUAAAAGUUUUUGCUUUAAUUUUCUCUUACGCUUACAUUGGUACAACUUUCCAAAUAUAGCUUAUUUAAAUAAAGUUUUUAUCAGUAAAUCUUUUAUAAAUAGCGUUUUUAUAUAAAUAAUUUUAGUUAUUUGUUUGUCAAUGCAAACUUUUAUUAAAAAUUAUAAAAUUAUUUAAUAAGCACGUUUUUUAAAAUUAUAUUAUGAAAUGAAUGAAAUAAAAUUAUCGAAUAAAUAAAUAAUUUUUAGAUGUUUUAAUAUUUUAAAAAACGUUUUUAACCUUUACUCCCAAAGGCCCAAAAUUUGAGUUUUUGCUAGUAAAGAAAAAAUAACUUAUUUAAUUUUUAAAGGCUCUACUAAAAAAAAUCCAAACAAUGAAAAUAAAUCUUAAAAGAGUUAAUAUAUUUAAAUAAGUACUUAUAUCCAUUACAUAAAAGUAUGCCUAACAUACAUAAUAUCUUAUUUGUUUGAGAUUUCUUUUCUUCUCCUGUUUGAUAAAGUUAAUAAAAUAAUUAACAAGAAUUUCAAAUAAGGGCCUUUAACUUAUGUCAUUGAGACAAUAUUCAUCUCCAAACUGGCUCCAAGCUAGAUAUAUAUUGUACGGGCAAUAUUCAUAGACGAUCUCUAACAGUUCAUACUAAAUUUUAGUUGUAACAAGAUAUAGGCUAUUUGCACCUUAAAAACUACUCUGAACACUCUUGUUUUAAUAAAAUAAUCUAAUUACAAAAUUAGCCAUCAUAUAAAUUACUAUUAAGGAUAAUUUAUUUGUGAGCCAAUAUAACUUAAUGACUUUAAAACUCAUAUAAUACACUCAUUAUUUAACAUAUAAUCUUUUAUAUCUAACAUCUUAAAAUAUAAUUCAUUGAACAUGCAGCAAAUCAAUAUUUUAAAUAAUUUUGAAGACAAAAUAUUUGUAAGACUUACAUUUUUCAAGAAAUAAAAUAAACAGAAAUUAUUGCAAAGGUGUUCAUAUUUUUUGUCUUUGAUUUAAAAAUAAAUACAUUAAAGCACUCUAAACCUAGUAACCCAAUCAGCAUCUUUUUCUUCUUCUUUUUGUGUCAGAUUACAAUUUGGUUUUCAAUUAUUAUUAGGGUAGUGAAAGUCCAUACUUCUUGAUCUUAAAUAAUUUAUAGGUGCAAAAAUUGAUAUGGAAUACAUUCUUUAAUUAAUAAAAACUGAUAAAUAAAAUUAUUUUAAAAAAUUUGUUUAAAACUUGACUUAAUUCCAUUGUUGCUAGUUAUGCUAUAUUUAUUACAACAAUUUUCUUUGAGUGUGCUGAAUAUUUUUAUUGGUGUUUUCAGUAAAUUAAUUUAAAUGAUUUAAGUAGGGAUACUUUUGGCAUCUUAAAAAGUGUACAAAGUAAAAAUUAAUUUUUCAAAUUUAACGUAUGAGUAUAUAAAGUAAUAGAGUGUUUAGAGUACUUUUUAGAGUGUAAAUAGCCCAACCUUUUUUUUUUUUAAAAAAAAAAAGUUGUAACAAGAUAUUUGUUCAUAGCAUAGAAUGAAAAACAAUGUUAUAAGAAAUGAGCCGAACCAAGUUUUUAAGUGACUUACUUCUAUAGUUUUAUGCGCCGGUCUCCUACUAACUUUUUAUUGUCGUAAUUGUGGGCCUAUAAAAAUGGAAGAUUCCUGUAUUUGAUGUACGCAUUUAACCAAAAGAUCCAAUUUUCUUUGUUUUUUUUCUACCAAGUCCUGGCAACAUUAAUUAGUUUGGACUUUUGUAGUACUUCUAGCCCCCAGUUUAUACGUUGGGGUUGUAACUUCUUGGGAACUUUGGCCAUCUUUUUCCCGUUAUAUGAAUUCAUCGCAAAUCCCAAGUUUCACUACUCCUCUCCGAGUUUCAUUUCACCAAUUAUUAAAACAAUGCGAUCAAUUUUACUCUUAUCAUGGUCUUUCUUAAUACCCUUUUUACCCAAUUAUUUUGGGAUCCAAAUGGUUUUGGCUUCUGGCCAAUGUCGGAGCGAUCAACAAUCUUUGUUACUCCAAAUGAAGAACAGUUUCAGACUAAGCAAUGACAGUGUCUUUCCAUCUACAAAACUGAGUCAGUGGAGUAGCCAUCAAAGCUCCGAUUGUUGUGAUUGGAGCGGUGUAAGGUGCGAUGAGGCUGGUCAUGUUAUUGGUCUCGACUUGAGCAGGGAACCAAUCAUUGACGGACUUGAGAAUGCGACUGGCCUUUUCGAUCUUCAAUAUCUGCAGAGCCUCAAUCUGAGUUUCACUCUCUUCUACGGAUUCCAAAUACCAUCCAGAUUGGGCAACCUGACAAAUUUGACUCACCUGAAUCUUUCCCAGGGUGGCUUCGGGGGGGAGAUUCCCAUUGAGAUUUCAAGCUUGACAAGGUUGGUUACUCUUGAUUUGUCAGGCCUUGAGCACAGGUUGGUUACUCUUGAUUUGUCAGGCCGUGAGCGCUCAAGAGUAUUUUCCUGGAUAAUUGAGAUCCCAAACUUAAGCUUGUUUCUGCAGAACUUAACAGAGCUCAGAGAAUUACAUCUUGAUCGAAUAGAUUUGUCCGCCUCCGGAACUGAAUGGUCCAAAGCUUUAUCAUUUCUACCCAAUCUACAAGUUUUAAGCUUGUCUGGCUGUGAUCUUUCAGGUCCAAUCAAUCAUUACCUGGCAAAGUUACGGUCGCUCUCCGUGAUUCAUUUGUAUGACAAUUACGGUCUAUCCUCAUGUACAGAGUCUUUGGCCAAUCUGCCGAAUUUGAAGACCUUGGAUCUCAGCGAGUGUGGGUUGCAAGGGAAGUUUCCAGAAAAGAUAUUGCAGGUUCCUACCCUUGAGACUCUUGACUUGUCAGAAAACCAAUUGCUUCAGGGUUCUCUGCCAAACUUUCCUAAGAAUUCUUCUCUUCGGAACCUGAUCCUCUCUGGGACGGGAUUCUCAGGCACACUACCAGAUUCCAUUGGGAAUCUUGAAAAUUUGACGUGGGUAGAGGUUAGACGUUGCAAUUUCACAGGGCCAAUUCCCCCUUCAAUGGCUAAUCUUACCCAAUUAUUUCACAUGGACUUCUCAUCUAACCAUUUCUCUGGUCACAUCCCAUCUCUUCACAAGUCAAGAAAUCUUAAGUACUUAGACCUUUCGUUCAAUAAUUUAAGUGGUGGGAUCUCAUCCACCUUCUGGGAACAACUUGUAAAUCUCAAUCUUGUUCUCUUGUCGCACAAUUCACUUAAUGGAAGUAUUCCCAGAUCUCUGUUUCUACUUCCAAAUCUGGAGACGCUUUGGCUCUCCAACAACCAGUUUGAGAACCAACUUCCAGAAAUUUCAAAUGUGUCCUCGUCUGUUUUGUUUGACCUUGAUUUAAGCGGCAACAGAUUAGAAGGGCCUGUCCCCAUUUCAAUAAUUUUUGAACUCAGAAACCUUUAUACCCUCGAUCUUUCUUCCAAUAAGUUUAGCAGAUUGAGACUGGCUUCAAGCAAACCACGGGUCAUUCCUAUUCUAAAAAACCAAUCACAACUUUCUGGUUUGGACAUUUCAAAUAACCAAAUACCUGGAGAAAUACCAAAUUGGAUUUGGGAAGUCGGUAAUGGCAAUCUUAACUUCUUAAAUCUUUCACACAAUCUCCUAGUGAGCUUGCAAGAACCUUACUCUAUUUCUAGUAUCCGCUUGCUUGAUCUGCACUGCAACCAGCUCCGAGGAAAUAUCCCUCACAUGUUAACAAAUACUUCCUACGUCGAUUACUCCAACAAUCAUUUUACUUUCAUCCCAGCUGACAUUGGUAAUUUCAUGUCUGAAACUGAAUACUUUUUCGCUGCAAACAAUAGUCUCGUUGGAGUCAUCCCAGAAUCUGUAUGCAAGGGUAUCUAUUUUCAAGUUCUUGACUUAUCAAACAACAAUUUGAGUGGCACAAUUCCUGCAUGUUUAAUCGCCCAGAGUGAAACCACUCUAGGGGUUUUAAACUUGGGAAGAAACAACCUCAAUGGCACUCUUUCUGACACAAUAUUUCCAAGAAAUUGUGGGUUGCAAAUUCUAGAUCUCGGUGGAAAUCAACUGCAAGGAGUAGUUCCAAAAUCUCUUGCCAAUUGCAAUAUGCUGCAGGUUUUAGACCUCAAGAAUAACCAUAUCAGUGAUAAUUUCCCGUGCUGGUUAGGGAAUGCUUCUAGUUUGCAAGUUCUAGUUUUGCAAUCCAACAACUUCUCCGGACACAUUAGCUGUCCGAGAAAUAAUGUCUCAUGGCCUCUGCUUCAAAUAGUCGACUUAGCAUCCAAUAAAUUCAGCGGAAGACUAUCACAAAAAUGGUUACUUACCAUGGAGGAGAUGAUGGUUGCUGAAACCAAAUCCGGAUCUGAGCUCAAACACCUUCGAUAUGUGAUAUCGAGCAACCAAUUCUAUGAGGUUGGAGUAACAGUUACAGUAAAAGGUGUAGAGACCAUGCUACUGAAGGUCCCAAAUAUAUUCACUUCCAUUGACUUUUCAAGCAACAAUUUCGAAGGGCCAAUACCAGAAGAAAUGGGACGAUUCAAAUCACUCUAUGCUCUGAACAUGUCGCACAAUGCUCUCACAGGCUCGAUACCAUCAUCUUUUGGGAACUUGAAACAGAUUGAGUCCUUGGACCUCUCAAUGAACAACCUCAGUGGGAAAAUUCCUGCCCAGCUUGCAAGCCUAAAUUUCCUAUCGGUGCUAAAUCUCUCAUACAAUAACUUAGUGGGAAAGAUUCCGACAGGUACUCAACUCCAAUCAUUUUCACCGACUUCUUAUGAAGGAAACAAAGGAUUGUACGGUCCUCCUUUGACGAAUGACAGCCAAACACGUCCUCCCGAACUUCAACCUUCACCGCCGCCAGCUUCAAGCGAUGAAAUUGAUUGGUUCUUCAUAGCCAUGUCAGUUGGAUUUGCGGUAGGCUUCGGAGCAGUUGUUUCACCUCUAAUGUUUUCCGUGCGGGUAAAUAAAUGGUAUAACGAUCUUAUCUACAAAUUUAUAUAUCGGCGAUUCCGUGUGUGAAGUGAUUUAUAUCUCUCCUUUUGAAUAAUCAUGUAAGCUAGCUUUUGCUUUUCUCUUAUGUCAUAGAUAUUUGAGAUUUCUUUUAUUCCCUGUUUGAUGAAGUUGACAAUAAUUUGAAAUAAGGGCCUAUCUAUAACUGUUAUUAAAUCUUUAUCUCAAAAUUGGCUCCAAUUUAGAUCUAUAUUGGCUCAUUUCACACGCAAUAAAUCUUCGAGAGUCCGUACUAAAUUAAUAUGUGCAAGAUUGUGUAUGAUUCCUACACCAAGCUAGAUACACAGCGAUUCAUGAUCAUAUUCCAUUUGUUUACUUGGGAAGUUUUAUAGAGUAGAAAGAAGAACUUAGAAGAUAACUUUUCAUGAGUCCGUCCAAGAAAUGAGCCCAAAAAGGCUUCGGGCCCUUGUGGCCUAGCCUAGUAGUUUGUUCAAAAUAUUAGUUUAUGUUAUGUUUAAUUAUUGAAAUGAGAGUAAAUAGUAUGAAUUCUUUCCACUUCAAUGUUUUCUUGUUUAUAUAAUGAGGGGAAUGAGAGUCCCACUCCAUGGAUCCCACUCAUUUUCCGAGUAAAGAGUGGGAUUCUCACUUCUACAGGGGCCACUCCCACCUCUUUCUUUAUUAUCAUUUCUUUAUCAAAUCUAAUAAAUUUUAUAUUUAUUAAAAAUAAAAUAAUGUUACAUUAUUUAAAAAUAAUAGCAUCAUAUUUAUUUAAAUAAUAUUAUUAUGUUUAGUUAAAAAUAAUAAUUUAUGUAAUCUAAGUUAAAAUUACCUAAAAAUAUUAUUAUUAUAUUCAUAGAGAAUUAAUAUUAUUACAAUAUACUAUCUUUAUUUUAAAAAAUAAUAUUUUAUAUUUAUUUAAUAUUAAUAAAUAGUUUAUUUUAAGAAAAUAUUAAUUAUGUACUAUAUUAUUAAUAAUAAUGUUUCAUUUUUUGCUCUUAUAAUAAUUUUUAAUUUACAUAAUUAAAAUUAAUAAAAAAUUAUGAUUUACAUGAUUAAGAAUAUUAAUAAUUAUUAGUAAUUUAUGUAAUUAUAUAAUUUAUUUUAUAAAUAUAUUUUUUAUUUACUUUAUAAUUAAAAACUACAAUAUUUUAAAUAAGGGUAAAAGUGUAAUUUAAAAUAAUUUACUCCUAAUCCAAGUCAAAGUAAAAAUAUAUAAAUACGAUUCUCCUAUUCCACACUCUCCUUUCAAUGUAAGUAAACAACAUAUUUUCACUCACACUCCAUACUCUCAAUCCCUAGAUUCCCAAACCAAACCUUAGUUGAAUGGUCUUCAAAUAAUUUUAUUCAAUUAUAACAUGAGUUCAAAUAUUGAAAAAAAUAGAAUUAAAAAUUUAUAAAAAAUUGAUUUGAACUUUUUCCAUCACUCUUACUUUUAAAUAAAUGAAAAAGAAAAACUCUCAAAUAAACAAAUAAAAGCUUUUAUGUAUGUGCCCCAAUAACAUUUUUAUUAUCAAUUAUUUUGAGUUAUUAAUAUUGUGCAAUUUUUACAUUGAAUAUAGUUGUACAUAAUUUAUCUAACUUUAAUAUUAUUUUUGUUACCGACUUGUGUCUCAGCUAGGGGUGGGCAAAUUGGGUUUCGGUUCGGGUUGUUCGGGUUUCGGUUUGGGUUUCAACCCGUUCGGGUUGGAGAAUUGAACCCAAUCGGGUUGAAAACGCCAACUCGAACCAAACCGAACCGAAUUUAAUUCGGUUCGGUUCGGUUUGAGUUGGCAAUUCGGAUCGGAUUGGGUUGAUAAUUCGGGUUAACAUAUCGGUUCGGGUUAAUUCGGGUUAGUUUGGGUUAGAAUAAUUCGGGUUAGUUCGGGUUAAUCAAUUAAUUAAUUAACAAUCUCUAAUUUAAUUAUUAAUAACAGCAACAAACCCACUCCAAUUUAAUUAAUAACAGUCUCCAAUUGUUCAAUUAUCAGUAAACCCACUCCAAUUUAACUAAUAACAAUCUCCAUUUGUUUAAUUAUCAGUCAACAACAACAAACACACUCCAAAUAAUUGAAUAAUUGCCAAUCAAUUAAUUAAAAAUAUAAAAUUUAAUUAUUAGUCAAUGAAGCUCAAUUAAAACUACGUUACAGCUCAAUUAAUUAUUAGUCAAUGAAGCUCCAUUAAAACUACGUUACAGCAUUGAGUUAGUAAUAGGAAAUUCGAAAUUCGAUUCGGGUUGUUGCCAUCAGCUGCAAGCAAGUCAGCAAGUUACAGGCUUACAGCGUCGGCAAAGCGAGACAAACCUUGAUCUCGGAGCAGCUACAACGUCGGCAGAUCGAGACCGUGUUGGGCUGAGUGGGACGCGAGGUGAACGCACGGCGCAGUUGCGGGUGAGGCGUGCUGGCUGACGGCGAGUGGGCUGCGGUGAACGGCUGGUGUCUGUUGGAGUUGGACGAGGCUGCUGGCUAUUACUGUCGUCGUGGCCCACGAAACUCGGAAGAGGGAGUAAGGAGGGAGGGGGAGGGAGAGACGGUGAGACCGAGAGUUUAGCUAAUUAGCUGCUUAGGGAUUUUUUUCAUUUAAUGUAUGGACUUGACUAGCUUACAGAAUCUGGAAGCUACAGACUGCAGCAUCAGCCAUUGGAUGUGGAGUGAGAAACUAAACAAUAGAAAUCAGAUGGUGGGAUGACGGGUAUGUAUAUAUAUUUUUAAUUUUUAAAAGCUGAAUCUUAAAAAAAAAAAAAAAAGGCUUCAACCCGAACGGGUUGAGAAUUCGGUUCGGGUUGAACCCAAACCAAAUUUUAACCCGAAUGGGUUGAAGCUUUGAAUCCGUUGGGGUUUCACCGGUUAACCCAAACCGAAUGCCCACCCCUAGUCUCAGCCAUUAGCCAAGUGGUAAACUCUAACUCUUCCAAGUCCUCUUAAAUUUUACUCUCCUAAUUAAAAAUUACGUAAAGAUAUGAAUUUUCUCUAUUGAUUUUUGUAGGUAGAACAAAUAACCUUCCAGUAUUUGUAAGAUAGAAUUAUAGGUUAUGCUAUAAUAGAGUUGAUCUAGAUGGUUUAUGAGUAGACUUCUAAUUGUAUAAUACAUAUUAGUAAGGGGAAAAAGACAUCUCCACUUGCAAAAUGUGGAGAAGUAGUCACCAACACUCCUAAGUUUUCAUAAAAGGAUGUUAAGACUCAUUUUGACUAUUAUACUCUUUAUCUCUAUUAUUCCCCAAAAAAAUAGACUUUAAAAUGUUUAAUAAAUACAAAUAUUAUAUAAAUAAUGUAAUCUAUGCAGCAGACUAAUAAUAUUUUAAUAUUUUAAUAAAUUUAAAUAUAUAAAUUAUUAUAUUUAUUUUAAUAAUAUGUUUUUAUUUAUUGUAGAGACUUAAAAUAAUAUGAAUGAAUUGGAAACCAAUCUUCACAAAGAAAGAAAAGUUAGCCUUCACAUGGAAGUAUGGAAGGAAAGACUAACCUUUAUAAAGAAGGAAAAAGCAACCUUCAGAAGGAAAGAAAGACAAAAAGAUGAAAAUGGGGAAAAAAGUUAUUAAUAGUAAAUAACACUAAUUAAUAAUUAGUAAUAGUGACACUUAAUAUAAUAAAAUUACAUUAAAUUAAAAUAAAAUUGAAUAGAAACAAAUACAAUAUCAAUUAUCACAAUGCAAUUAGUAAGUGUCUAUUUGCUAUGACUUGUCUAAUAGUUUUAAGUAUUUAUUUAAUCCCAUAAGCUCUUAAUCAAAUUUUUUGUUAUUGUUUGAUUAUUUGUUUAGUAGAAUUUUUUUAAUAUUAAAUAAGAUAUUUGGUGUCCACUAUCAAAAGCUUAAAUUUAGGACUUUUGAGAGUAAAAGUUGAAAUUUUUUUUGUAAAAUACUAAAAUGUUUAAAAUAUUAUUUACUUAUUUGACAACUUUAUUUCAUUAUUUUUCAUAACCUAACUUUAAAAAACUUACAUAUUAAAAUCAUUUUUAUAACUUUUAAUAAAAUAUUGACAACCAAAAAAUAAAAUUUUUUGCGUAAAAUAUCUAUUUGUAAAAACUCUGCUAAUAUAAACCCAUUUAAAUAAACUGAAUUAAAAAAGCUACAACCAAAAUACAACUAGAAUUGUUUUUUUUAAUAUUUAAUUGUCGGGCUGAAGGAUCGGACUCAGACUUUCUUGAUUAACCCCUAGACCGAGCCCGAUCCGACUCGAAGCCUAAAAGUGGAGCCGAAGCCUGACUGGGCCGGGCGCUCACUUUUCUGCCAUCCCUAGCGGCAACUCAACUCAAGCCUUGGCUGGAUGGUCGUAGUUUUUGCGCGUUUCAGUUGACAGGCGUUGAUACAGGCUACACGGGGUAUGCGCAGAGUCUUAACCUACACCCACAACAUUUCUCCUCUGUCCUCUCUAUAAAUAGCUUUUCUCUUUUACUUCUCGUUUCCCUCUUCUUUCAAAAUCAUCACCGAAUCAACAAAUAAUCUUUCGCUCUGUCACUCACCAACUAAAUAUCACGAAACGAUAAAAAAUUAGCAAGUUAAUAGCAAAUUAACUGAACUGCUUCAAGCAAUAAUGGCUACUUUCGGUGCUGCUGCCGUUGCCACCAAUCAAAACCCUAACAAAUCCAUCGAGGUAUACUUUAUUUAUUCUUUUUUCUUUCCGAUAAUCUUUAAAAAGUAUUUACCGUUAAAUUUCUUGUCGGUUUCUUGUGUAUGAUGAACUUGGCGACUGUUGAAUUAAUGCUUAUGGUGAUGUUAUUAUUAGGAUUAAGUAGAAAGUUAUAUAAAUUAUUUAUUAUAUAUUUUUGUCAGGGUUAAGCUUAAUUGCUUGUGUUAAUGUAAAAAUUAAUUCUACAUUUUCGGAUAAAGAUUUUUUUUUUAAUGCUAAAUAUGUAUGCGAAGCUAUGAUCAUUUGUUUGCUUGCUGUCUUGCUGAACGGAUUGUUGAAAGCGAACCAAUUGCUAAGCUUGUGAAUGUGUUGGAGUUUCAGUGUAAAAGAACAGUAGUUAAUAAGUGAAUCAUCAGGCUUGCUAGUAGUGCUUGGAAGUUUUUAGUGUGAUUUUCAUACAGAAGACAUUGAAGUAAGAAUUUUCACCUCUUCUUUUUAUAUGAAUUUAAAAUUGCAGUCUAUGUGGCAUUUUGGUUCGGGCAGUAAAUUGCUUUUAUUAUUAGAAGUUCAUCUGUUAGAUGUCUUCAUUGUGUAGUUGAGUAUAAUGACCUUCUUGCUAAGUUGGACAAUAUGUGCACGUGGAUAGUUAAGUGGUCAGUUCACAUGACCUCAAACAGAAGAGUGACCAUGUUGUGUUCAGAUGAAUGAAUGGAAAUGUUGGGCGUGUUUAGUUCUGCCAUGCUAACUUGUACUGACAAUUACCGAUGCUCAAAGUGGAUAUGAGCUGGCAGGGGCUAUGGACUCUCAAGUUUUCGGCACUCUUUUCCCAUACUUAUAUAAUUUAGGCGUUGUUUAAAGAGAAACGCCCUUAAUGAGUGCUUUAAUAUCGUAGGUUUUUGUCUUUCUUUCUUCUCUAAGUUGUGUGUCACGCUCUUUUCUUUCUCCUUUUGGGUUUACAGUAUAUCCUUUCAUUUCUAUUUGGUAUCUGAUGUGGUCAACAGUUUACUGUGUCUCCAUGUGGUGCCCUGUGCACUUUGUAUGAUUUUGCGUGUAGUUGAUCAGUCACUUGUACUCUCUUGAUGUUCUUGUAUUUGAGAUCUUUAUCCUCUUGAUGUUUCAAUAUGUAAUUAGGUACUGGGAUACAAGGCAGCCAAAUCCUGUGCGCACUCAACAGCUGCCUGAUCGCUGCUAUGCGCUCCGCUUAUGGUUGUUGGAACUGCAGAUAGAAAUCUAGUUGUCUUCAACUUGCAGAAUCCUCAGGUAUCGUUUUUUAUUCCAUGAGAGCAUUGAUUUAUAUGUGUAAAUUAAAUGGGCAAAUUUGGUGCUGGCAGCUGAAGCAUGUGUUUUGAGUGGCAGCAGUUGCUGUGACACUAGUAGUUGGUUGACUUUGAUUUAAAAUUUAACUUGAACCCAUCUUUUUUAAUGUGGAAUGGAAACAAUAAUUAUUUGUUGACUGUUUUUGGAAUUGAAAGCUAUCCUACCGUAUGGAACCACCUUCCCUUGUAUUCAAAAGGGUUCCUCAAUGUCAUGGAGCAUCCUGUAUAAAAUUAUUGUAUGAUUUCUUUUGUUGCCAGAUAUUUUUCUUCUGAUUGGUGUUGUCUGGAAAAAGGUUAUUUCUCGAUAUCAUUUUGUUUGUGUACAAGGAGGAAUGGAUACUAUAAUAAACUGGUCUACUGAGAAGAGCUUGAUGUUUGUAGAUUUGCCAACAUAUAUACACUACAGUUAUAGUAUGUAUUUCCAUGUCUUCAAUAUUCCUUUUUAAUUGAAAAAAAUAGCAAUUUGGAAUGUGUUUAUUUGCCUUAUAUCUUUCAAUUUUAGUUGAUAAUUUCAGUCAUGCUUUAUCUGUUCUUAUGUGAUGAUGAUAUAAAUAAGAUAUAAUAGCUCCUAGAAAUUUUGAAAUCUGGCUAAUUUAGAAAUUUGAACUAAAGGUUGGGUACAAUACUAUAUCUUCAUACACUAUCAUGAGAGUUUAGAUAACGGUUUCCGCAUUACCUGUAUUACAAUUUACCAUAUAUGGCACAUGCUUAUUGCAACAUAAAAAUGGUCAAGAGGCGAUGAAUUCUUGUUACUAUUUAACUUUUUUGUUGGGUAUUUAUUGAUUUCCUUAUUUUACCUUCAUGUAUUGUUCUUUUUAUAUUUUGUUUCACUUAUUUAUAUCUAAUAUAUGCAUUUUCUUCCGAGUAUGUCUAAUCAUUGUUUAAUGCUACCAGACUGAGUUCAAGAGAAUCAAUUCCCCUUUGAAGUACCAGAUGAGAUGUGUUGCUGCCUUUCCUGACCAGCAAGGUUUCUGGGUAUGCAUUCAUUUAUUUUGAUCUCUCUUUUCUCGUUCCUCAUGGUCUUUAUUCUCGAAAUAUGAGGCAUUGUCAAUUGGGUUGCAUAUUCCCAUGUUUCAAAAUUUGCUUCCCCUGCCAGCAAUGAGGGGCUAAGUUUAGCCUCAAUUACUUAUUCCACUUUCAUCAACAUUGGCUCCAACUUCUUUUCAUUGAGAUCACUGUCUUUUCUUCUAAUCUUUGUGCUUCUCUUAUUUUUUGGUUGUUGAAUAUGGUGUUAUUCCGAUAGGUUGGUUCAAUUGAGGGAAGGGUCGGCGUUCACCAUCUUGAUGAUUCACAGCAAAGUAAGAACUUCACUUUCAAAUGCCACAGAGACGGUAGUGAGACAUGCUCUGUCAUCUCAUUCACUUCCAUCCUGUAAGCUUCCUUUUAGUGCUUUCUGAAUUCAAAUUUUCAGUUACAUAAAACGUUCGAGAUGUAAAACUUAGAAAUAAAAGUAUACAUUGGAGUGAUAUAAUAGCUCAUUUUGAGGUAACUUUAGUGAUGCCACCCAUGUCUUACAUAAUUUUUCCCAGUAUUUGUAAUUUCUCUAAAGAUUAGAGAUCUUUCAAGUAUUAGAUCUUGGUGCCCUUAAGAUGUUGGUAUCAUAGGAAUUUUUAUCCAACAGUGGAAAUGUACUUUCUUUUGUGAGGAUUUCAAUGCUCAGUGCAUAUACUUUUGCUGUUAUUAACAUCAUAUGUUAUCAUUUAAGAUUUGUAGAGCAGGAGAUGCACCUAAGUAUUCUUCAUUUUAUAAGGUGAAGCGCCUACAUCUAUUUGUCAAAUCUCAUGUAAUUGUUCUUUUUGUCCAGAUACAUCACACUUUUGCAACUGCUGGAUCUGAUGGUGCAUUUAAUUUUUGGGACAAGGAUAGUAAACAGCGGCUCAAGGUGUUUUGACUUUCAUUCAGUACUUCAAUAACAAUUAUUGUUGUUGUCGUUAUUGUUCUUCCUAGAUGAAAUACAUAAAACAAUGUGAUUUUUACUGGAUUUUCAGGCCAUGUCAAGGUGCGGGCAACCUAUACCUUGCAGUACAUUCAAUAAUGAUGGCUCGAUAUUUGUGUGCUUGGUAAAUAAAUUCAUCCAUCUUCCUAAAGUCGACUUGGAGUCUCUUAUCAUCCUACUUUUCACACAUGUUGGGAUAUAUGCUUAAGUUCAAGAUAAUGGCAGGAUUCUAGAAAUCCACGCCUCUUUCAUUCUGUCUGUUUGCAUGAUGCUUAGUCUUCUAUGGCUCAUGUUAAUUCAAUGUUACCUGAAUUUGCGUUUCCAUGAAAUUAAACAACUAAAAUUUCUGGUUCUUCCUGCUAUGUUCUGAUCCUGGCAUGGCAUAGUGCAUUGAUUUCUUGGACAUUUAAACUUAAACUAGAAAAGUGUCAUUCUAAAUCUUAUCUUGCAUUUCCUGUAGGUGUGUUAUGACUGGAGUAAUGGGGCAGAAAAUCACAACCCUGCAACAGCAAAGACUUAUAUCUAUCUGCACUUGCCACAGGUUCGUUUACUUUUUUGUUCAUAUACUACCAUUAAUAGCGUAUCUUUGAUCUCUCAAUUCUUGAGGAUCACCAAUAAUCCCAUAUCAUCCAAAAUCUAUUUUGAAAAUAUUUCAAAAAAUCAUUCAAAAUAUGUUGGCUCAAGCUCAACAAAGCAGAAAAUCAAUGGGCCUACAACAACGAUAAAAUGAUUAUGAUAUGUCUUGAUCUUAUUGCAAGUGUGACAAUAAUAAAAAUUCAAGUUGUUUACAGUAUAUGCAAAUUAUCAUUACUCUUCAAUGUCUAUUUGAAUGUGCAUUAUCAAUUAACCGCAAAUUGGGUUCUUAUAAUCAUGAAUCCAAAUUCAAGCCAUUCAAUGGUUUAGCCCAUUUUAGUAGGCUUAUCAAUUUUAAUUAAAAGUUUAUUAGACAAAGUUAAUGCAUAAAAAUAGAGUGCUUUAAAGUAAAGCAUACAUUAAGAUUUUUAUGUGAUUUGAUGUCCAAAUCCCUACUUCUACGAAGCCAUGCUCAAAUAUCAAGUGAUUCAUUAGAUUUAAGAGAUUAGAAACUAUUGGAACCUUAUAUAUUAUAUGAGACUCUCUCUUGGUGAUUGCUGCCAUCUUGUUAUAAUCUCACCAAGUGAAAACUUUAUGUGCACCACACAUUUUUUGCUUCCUCUUCUUAGUAAGACUUUUAAGUCAACAGUAUGUCGCCACUCUAUAGAAUUUAUAUUCUAUGAACACGUGGUCCCUUCUCCCAUCUCCCAAAAAUACUAAAGAUAAUGUCUCUCAAUUAAAGAAUGAUCCGAAGGUUGUAGCCUUUGAUGUAGAAUCAUUCUACUGCUCCAACGAUUUUUACUCCGCAAAAACUGGAUGACAUGGCCAUCGAGAUGAUCAUAAAAGAAGUUGGUAGAAUUAAAGUUUUAUAUUCUGUAUGCUUGUUUGUCUGGCAAGAAAAUGAAGGAAAUUUUGUUGACUUAGAGAGGCAAAUCAGAAACUGAAUUCAUUAUGAUUUGAUACAAUAGACUGAGAUUACAAUACAGUAUAUAUAUAUUAGCAUCUGGAACUUUGUGAAUGUAGCAGAAUCAUAUGCGCACACUGCUAUUCACCACAACAUUUUGGUGGGAAAUAACAGACUUAUAACAAACUUUUAACAACAUGCAUAAUAAUCUUCCAGUAGCUUCCAGUAGCUUCCAGUAGCGUGGCAUCUGAUUCAUUACUUCACUUAACAAUUUGCUGACAUCACAGAGCCUCACAGAGCUGACUCAACUUAUUCUUAACAGGUAGUGGACAAUCAAGAAGACAGCAGACACCAAGGCAACAAGAAUAAUGAAAAUUGCAAAGUGCGCGAUCCGUUGAUAUCCAUGAUCAAAUGAUUAAUUUUUUUCAAAUCAAGGAGUGUUUUUAUUAUCAGAAGUACCAUGUUUACUGAUUAUAAAGAAUUGUUAAAUAUAAAAUUAGCAGUAAAAUAAUUGUUAAGCAAAUAAAAAUCUAUCCAAUCACUGUAAAGGCUUUUCCAAAUCUAACAGCAUAACACAAAAGUAUUAUUUUUUUUUCUUUUUUCAUUUUUUGAGAAAUCCUUUAUUCUUUUUUAAUUUGUUGCAAAUAUAUACAUACGAUUUAAAAUAACUAAAAAUUACAGGACUCUAAAUUAGCAGUAAUCUCGAAAAUCUGUUCUUACUAAUGUUGCUUUGGUGGAAAUCGACCUUAUUUAAAGAGAACGAGCCCCAAGCCAUUGGGCUACAAGCACAAGUGGCCCAUAAAUAGCAGAGUAUCUAAAAUAGUAAAACUAUAUCAUCUCCAUUGUCCAGAACACUUUAUAUAUGCAUUUCCAGUUUUCCGCUAUUUGUGCAUCCCUAGUAUACUUUAAGCGUUGAAGAGGUCUGAUGGAAAGAAAAAAAAAAUUGAUUAGAAUCCUUCGUUUCUAGGGGAUCAUAAAAGGCUUUAUUAUUUUCUUUUUUGAGUGAUGCUUUUUACACAUAAAAAUGCACAAAGCUAGUAAAAGAUGAAUCUAUUCACUUUAUCAAUUCAAUAAUGAUAUAGUACAAAUAAUUUUAUAUAAAUUGGUAUGUGCAAACUAACGUGGCAUAAAAAAAUUUAUUGAAAAGUGACACAUUAUUUUUUUAAUUAUGUGAAUCCUGGUUUUAUAAAACCAACCUUCGAUUUUUUAAGAUUGUUAACAGCAGACGGGUGAUAUUCAAAAUUAUUGAUCGAACAGGUAUAACUUAUUACCUGAUUCUUCUUUAAUUACAAGAAUUCUGAUCAUCUAAGUUUUUUGAACCUUCCCAAAUCAAACUUGGCCUUGGUUGGACUGAUCAUUUCUUUUAGUAUUCUCACAGUAGAUCACUUUCACAGUUAAUUGGAACUCCACUCGUGAGUCACGGCCGCGGUAAGUGUAGAUUUGGGAACUAGCUAAAGUCUUAGUAUUAGGACCUGUUUGUUUUUAUAUAUGAUAAUCAACACAAAUCAGUCUAAUGAUUCAACGUUGAUGGGUCGGCACGCAAGACUUAAUUGGAUAAGACUAUUUUCAGCGUCAAUCAUAUUUCCUUUAAGAUGAACCGUCUCAACUGGGGCCAGUAAUCAGUUGAGCUCAAUGGAGCGUUAUGUAGUCAUCACUGUUGUUAAUUUAGUAAUAGCUUCAUUCGUCGCCUUAAUAUUAACAUUCGUUGCGAGGCCUUCUGUAAUCGUCUUGAUGCUGCUGACCGCAACUGCGUUUGGGAUGAUACUCUUGGGUUUGAUUAUUAUUUGUUAUGUGAAGAGAAAUCCGGAAAGCAAAGGUACGUAAGAUUAGUUAAUUAAUUUAUCACGCAUAGCAUAUAUAACACAUGAUUGUUUGAUCGAGUAUAUAGUACGAAUAUUUUUUAUGUCUUCACCAUUCAGGGGAGGAUUUGAUGCGAUUUGAUUUGGGUAUGAACCGACAAGCUAUUAACAUAGAGCUUACUGAAGCAAAUAAGCAUGGAAACAGUGGGAAAAAGCAAAUUGAAUUGCCCUUUUUCAGUUUUUCCAGUGUUUGUGCAGCAACAAAUAAUUUCUCUGCCACAAAUAAACUCGGGGAAGGUGGUUUUGGUCCUGUAUACAAGGUAAAAUUUUAAUUUUGGCAACAAGCUUAUGGACUAAUUAUUAUUUAACAAGAACUACAAUUUCAGGGAGUAUUAGCAAAAGGAGGUGAAAUAGCUGUCAAAAGGCUUUCAGGAAGAUCUGGACAAGGAUUGCGAGAGAUGAAAAAUGAAGCUUCAGUGAUAGCCAAGGUUCAGCACAAGAAUCUUGUUAGACUUUUGGGCUGCUGCAGGGAUAAAGAUGAGAAGAUUCUGAUCUAUGAGUACAUGCCUAACAAAAGCUUGGACUUCUUUCUUUUCGGUUAGUUAUUGCAUUUAUUCUUACAUGUUCCUUACUUCAAAUUUUAUUCAUACAUUUGUUUGAACUAAUAUUUAAUAAAUAAAAUUACAUAUCAAAAAUUUAUUUCAAAAUUUAUUUAAACUAGAAUUUAGCCUAUAUUACAUUUCCAAAUUUUAUUCAUUAAUUUAUGUAAAAUAGCAUUUAGCAUUUAAUUUAAGAUUAAACAUAUAAUUACAUUCAGUAAUUUAUUCAAACUACUACAUAAUACUAAAUAUCAAAAUUAUUCAAUUAUUAAUUUAUAUUGAAAUUGAAUAUCUAAUAUAAUAUUCAAUAAUUAACAAUAUAAAUUUAAGAAAUAAUCAUACUUUUUAAAUAGCUUUUUUAACUUCCUUAAACUAAAUGUAAUAUCAGUGGCGAAGCUAUCACUAUUUUUUGGGGUGGGCUAGAUUUUUUUUUUAAAUUCAAUUACUUCUCAAAAAAAUUAUUCUAUACAAAUAAAAUGAUUAAAAUACACUAGACAAGCAAGAAAAACUAAUAACAAAACUAUAAAAGUACAAUGUAAAUAAAAAAAUACUAUCAACGAAAUUUUGUCAUGUGAUUCUUCAGAAAAGAAAACUCAUAUAUCGUAUCUGAAUUAUGUUAUCUGCGAUAGUAAUACAUUAGAGAUAUUAUCUGCGAUAAUAAUACAUUAGAGAAUCAUUAAUUAUUUUAUCAAAAAAUUUGACAAAAGUAUAAGCUAAUAACUAAUUCAAAAACAGUAUGAGCAUGUGGGUGCGGCAGAGGCUAGCCGUCACCCAUGAGGUGGCAACUUGAUGACUUGAACAACUGAGUUUUGGGAAAUUUAGACUUUGGAUAAUUGGAUCAAUUAGUUAGGGAUUUAGGUGAGUUUUUCGAUUUAGAGAAAAUAGAUAUUGACUAUAAUUAUUAGUUAUAUUUUACUAUAAGUUUUUUAAAAAGAGUAAAUUUAUAAUUAAUUAAUUUUUUUUCAAGAAACAGCCCGGGUUAGCUCCCUCAUAACUUCGCCCCUAUUUAAUAUGAUCUCGUCCAAUACUAAACCAAACACAAAACGUGACUAUAAAAUAAUUCAGUCUAAUCCAAUCCAAUUAAAUCUUAAUAACUAGUCCAAUCCAAUCCUUUGUUUACCUAACCUAAAAGAAUAUUUAACAUUUACUAUUUCAUUUAGCUAUUUUUAAGUUUAAUGAUUAACAUCAUCCAAUUAUCAGAUUUUUUAUUAAAAAAAUAAAAUUAAGUCACUAGAUCAAUUUACGUUAGAUAAUGUAGUCUACAUUUUUUUUGUUUUCAUGCAUAAUGACGUUUAGUUCUUUUAUUGUAAAUUAGAUCCAACCAAGCGAAUGUUAUCAGAUUGGGUAACACGUCUUCGGAUUAUUGAAGGGAUAGCUCAAGGGCUUCUUUAUCUUCAUCAAUAUUCGAGAAUGCGAAUCAUUCAUCGAGAUUUAAAAGCCAGUAACAUCUUGUUGAAUAAAGACAUGAAUCCCAAAAUAUCAGAUUUUGGAAUGGCAAGAAUUUUUGGAGAAAGUGAGUUACAAGCAAACACUAGUAGGAUCGUCGGGACUUAGUAAGUGAAUGACACAAAUCAAAAUUAAAGUGAUUAAGUUAUGCAUAAAUUACUGAUUAUUAUUUAUCAAUUAUUGAAUUACAGUGGUUAUAUGUCCCCCGAAUACGCAUUCGGAGGAAUAUUUUCAAUUAAAUCUGAUGUGUUUAGCUUUGGAGUAUUGUUGCUUGAGAUUGUAAGUGGCAAGAAGAACACUGGAUUUUAUCGAACCGACUAUCUCAAUCUGCUGGGUUAUGUACGUAACAAAAGUCGUUGCACAUAUUCUUUUAUACUACUUAGGUGAAAUUAUAUAUUAAUUCCCAAGUCAUGCUUAGGUGUGGACACACUUUUACAAUGUGAAAACGUUUGGAUUUUUGCACCUGACUAUUUUUAAACUAUUCUCUAUAUCAAGUGUACAACUAUCUAAUAACAUCGUAUGGUUGUUCAGGCAUGGGAUCUGUGGACAAGCAACAGGACAUUGGAGUUGAUUGAUGAUCCAGUAUUAGAAGAUGAAUAUUCCUCCAAGCAUAUGCUUUUAAGAUAUGUGAACAUAGCACUCCUUUGUGUACAAGAAAGUGCUGAUGAUAGUGUUGGGGAAAAAUUAAGUUUUUAAAUUUUUUAUAAAACCUUUUGAAGAUCGCUCUCAUAUAAUAUAUAAGAAUUCGUAAUCUAGAAAUCGUACCUUGAAAAUCCGAGUUGGCUUUUCCCGCUGAAAUGAUUUAGGCUCCUAGAUCACGAUAUGCCACCACCACUCCUGUUAGAUCACGAUAUGCCACCACCACUCCUGUUAGAUCACGAUAUGCCACCACCACUCCUGUUAGAUCACGAUCCGUCACCACCACGCUUGUUAGAUCACGAACUGUCACCAAUGAUCUUCCAGGUUAUGACUCAGGUUCGAUAUGCACUUGACGUGUGGGCGCCUUUAUCACUACCAAAGCAACUAGCACGAGAAAAUUUUUCUCUCAACAAUAGAGAGAAAAAUCUUAUUCUCCGAUUUGUAUAAAGUGGCUUCACCUUUUUUCUUUUGAGAAAAUAAGCCUUAUAUAUCUCCCUUUAGUGAAAACCCUAGACUCCAAAUAAUGCCCAAAAUAAAACUCACCUUACUUUUCAUUUAAUAGGGGACCCACCAUGUAAAAUAACAUAAGACCCCUUACACAUAAGCUAAUUAAAUGGAGCCUCCCACUAAAUGAUAUAUUUAGGCUUUUGACCCAAAUAACUAGUUAUCUUGCUUAUUAGUCCAGUAGUGGUGCAGUCAAUUAAAUGAGCUAACCCGGGGAUCAUUUGGGAACAUACAAUAGUGGCUAUAACAAUUAGGCCUGUAAUUAAACUAGCAUAAUUAUUUAAUUCCAAAUCUACUCCACUAAAAGAUUGGAAUUGACCUCCAUAAUUGUAUGCUCGAAUAAUAAUUCGUCCCAAGCCACAUUGAUUUCUUUACUGCACAAUCCUUUGUACCACAUCGUUAAUUAAAUCGAUAUCUCAAUUGUCCAAUCAAUUUAAUCACAUCUUGUUCCUUGAUACUUACUGGUUUUCUCUAAUGAUCAUUUUCAACAUACUAAAUAUGUUGACACACUCUGGCCAGAGAAUUCUAUGAUCAAGUGCCGAAAACCCAUCAAGAGAUGUGUUGUACAAAUUCUAUAUUGUUAAUCCAUAACUCCAAUACUCAUAAUUGCUCCCACCAAGAUACCGGGUAAUCUAGACUACAAGUACGUGUCAUGCCCAUUAGUAACUCAAAUGGAAUAACAAUUACAAUCAUGAAAUCAUAAUUAACUCAAGAUUAAGAUUACAGUAAAAUCAAUGCCUAUGAGAUUUAAUAAGUCUGACAGUUAUUACAAAGUUAAUUAAAUCUCACAUGUGAUCAUGUUCAAUGUAGUCGUACUACAUCAAUAAAUUCAUACAUGAUUAAGACAAAUCAUUCAAUGAAUUUAUUACAGUCUAUACCUAAAUAAAGUGCCCAAUUUUAUUUAUCAACUAAAUUUAUUUAAUCAUAAGAUAACUUAUAUUUAUGUCUUCUAUGAAUCCACAUGGUGAUCACAUAAAUACAUAUAAUAUGAUUAAAUUGACUUUAAUCCAAAUAUUAAUGUAAUUAAGAUAUUUGAAUAAAAUACCUCAUUUAUUUUAUUAAUCAGAAAAAAAAUAUUUAUUACAAUUAAAUAAACACAUAUGCUUUUAAAGAGCAUAUUUUCCCAACAAUCUCCCACUAGCUCUCAAAGCAUAUUUAGCAUUUCACGCAUGCCCAUGGAUUCUAAGUGCAAGUUAAAAGGUUUCCCAGGUAUGGCCUUAGUAAAAGGAUCUGCCAAGUUUUGCUGUGACGCAAUCUGAGUAACCUCCACAUCACUUCUCUGCACUAUAUCCCUUAUAAGAUGAUACUUCCUCUCAAUAUGUUUUUGUUUCUUGUGGUUCCUUGGUUCCUUAGAUUGAGCUACCGCACCAUUAUUAUCGCAAAAUAGUUUCAGGGGUGCAAUUACAGCAGGUACCACCUCAAGAUCUUGUAGGAACUUGCGGAGCCAUACAGCUUCUUUUGCAGCUUCGGAUGCAGCCACAUAUUCAGCUUCAGUUGUGGAGUCUGCGAUACAAGAUUGUUUCACACUCCUCCAACUAAUAGCUCCACUUCCCAAUGUAAACACAUAGCCGGAAGUUGAUUUUCUGGAAUCCUUAUCUGACAUAAAGUCAGAAUCAGUAUAACCUACUGGAAUGAGUUCAUCACCAGAAUACACAAGCAUAUAAUUUUUAGUUCUUUUCAAAUACUUCAUUAUAUUCUUGACCGCAGUCCAGUGUUCAGGUCCAGGAUUAGAUUGAUAUCUACUAACCAUCCCUACCGCAAAACAGAUGUCUGGCCUAGUGCAAAGCAUGGCAUACAUAAGACUUCCCACAGCUUCUGCAUAGGGAACUCGUCUCAUUCUCUGUAUCUCUUCAGAUGUUUUAGGUGAUUGAUCCUUAGAGAAUGUAAUUCCAUGUCUGAAUGGUAAUAAACCAGUCUUCGAAUUUUCCAUGCUAAAUCUAGCCAAUAUCUUAUCGAUAUAGACCGCUUGAGACAAUGCUAAAGUUUUAUUCUUCCGGUCUCGUAGUAAUUUAAUACCAAGAAUAUAACUUGCCUCUCCCAAGUCUUUCAUAUCAAAUUGUUUUGCUAACCAACUCUUUAUUGUAGUCAACACUCCUAUAUCGUUUCCAAUUAGGAGAAUAUCGUCUACAUAAAGAAUUAGGAAGGCUACAGAUUUUUCUUGAAUUUUUUUGUACACACAUGGUUCAUCAAUGUUCUGAAUGAAUCCAAACGAUUUUAUCGCUUGAUCAAAUCUGAUGUUCCAUGACCGGGAUGCUUGCUUCAAUUCAUAAAUGGAUCUCUGCAACUUACAUACCAUGUGUUCUUGGCCUUUUUGUAUAAAUCCAUCUGGUUGCUGCAUGUAGAUGUUUUCUUCAAGAUGCCCGUUAAGAAAGGCAGUCUUGACAUCCAUUUGCCAAAUUUCAUAAUCUAGCACUGCAGCAAUGGAGAGCAGAAUCCUGAUGGAUUUAAGCAUAGCAACCGGAGAAAAGGUUUCCUCAUAAUCGAUUCCCUCUUUUUGAGUAAACUCUUUGGCUACUAAUCUUACUUUAAAUGUUUCCACCCUUCCGUCUACUCCUCUUUUUCUCUUGUAAAUCUACUUGCACCCUAUGGGUUUUACCCCAUUUGGUGCCUCUACAAGUUCCCAGACUUUAUUGGAAUACAUAGAUUCCAUUUCUUGAUUCAUGACCAUUUUCCAAAAUUCAACAUCUCUAUCUAUUAGAGCUUCGUUGUAACUAGUGGGAUCUUGUACAUGUUCAUCUGAGAUAGCCGUAUAAGUUUCUCCCAAAAGCAUGUAUCUCGUAGGUAACCUAGUUACCCUCCUACUACGACGAGGUUCUAAAAGUGAUGGUUGUUCAGGGUUAAUCCUGUGUUGAUCAUCUGGUUGUUGUUGUUCUUCCUGUUCUGUAACAGGCGUUGAAAGCUGAGCAUCAACCUGAUCACCUGACAGUUCAAGUAUUACCUUACUCUUAGGUUUGAAGUUAUUCAUAUAGUCUUCCUCAAGGGAAGUGAAAUGUGUGCUCACGAUCACUUUCCUAUCUUGAGGACUAUAAAAUAAACCUCCCCUUGUUCCUUUGGGAUACCCCACAAACAUACAAACCUUAGAACGUGAAUCCAUUUUGUCUGCCUUUGGUUUCAGCACAUCUGCUGGUGAUCCCCAAAUACGGACAUGUCGUAAACUUGGUUUGCGACCUGACCAUAAUUCUAUUGGGGUUUUAGGCACUGACUUAGAUGGAACUAAGUUCAAAAGGUAAACUGCAGUUUCCAGUGCUAGUGCCCAAAAAGAGAUUGGUAAUGACGAAUAACUAAGCAUAGAUCUCACCAUAUCCAAAAGAGUUCUAUUUCUUCUUUCAGCUACCCCAUUUUGUUGUGGUGUUCCCGGGGCAGUCAACUGAGAUACAAUCCCAUUUUCAACCAGAUACUCUUUGAAAUCUCCUGAGAGAAAUUCACCACCUCGAUCAGAUCGAAGUUUCUUUAUGUUCUUAUCUAAUUGCUUUUCUGUCUCAGCCCUAUACUCUUUGAAAUCUCCUGAGAGAAAUUCACCACCUCGAUCAGAUCGAAGUUUCUUUAUGUUCUUAUCUAAUUGCUUUUCUGUCUCAGCCCUAUACUCUUUGAAUUUCUCAAGAACUUCAGACUUAUGACGCAUCAGAUAAACAUAAUCGUAUCUUGAGUAAUCAUCAGUGAAAGUGAUGAAAUACUUAUAACCUCCUUGAGCUUGUACAUUGAUUGGUCCACAUACAUUUGUAUGUACCAAUUCAAGUGGUACUGUUGCACGUACUCCUUUGGCCGAGAAUGGCCUUUUGGUCAUUUUUCCUUCUAAACAGGAUUCACAGAGUGGCAAUGAUUCAUUUUCUAAUGGAUCCAAGAGCCCAUCUUUGAUCAUUCUCUGUAUCCUAUUUUGGUUUAUAUGACCCAAGCGUAAAUGCCAGAGGUAACAUUGGUUGGAAGAAAUAUUUCUUUUCUUAGAUAAAUGUGUAUGCUCAUCAUUAUUUAUCACUGUGUCAUGCAUAGAAUGGAUCAUUGGACUUAAAUGAUAUAAAUUAUCUUCCAAUGUACCAGAACAAAUAAGUCUCUUAUUAUGAAAAAUAGAAACAGAGGAUCCAAAAUUUACAGUGUACCAUUGCUUUGACAAACAAGCUACUGAAAUUAAAUUCCUCUUAAUGUCUGAAACAUAAAGACAAUUAUUCAAAACUAAAGUCUCAUUAUUAAAAGAUAAUAAAACAGAUCCAGUCUUCACUGUUGACACGAACUGUCCUGUCCCUAACUGCAGCUUGACGCUUCCUUAACUUAUUUUCCUGAAACCAAUAAAGUGAAUUACAAAUAUGAUUAGUUGCUCCUGAAUCCAACACCCAAGUGUCAAUAGGAUUCUGAACUAAACAUGCCUCAAUUACAAAAAGAUUUCCCAUACCUGAUUUCACAAUCUUAGGGCAAUCAUUUUUCCAGUGACCUUUCUGUCCACACUUAAAGCAUUUGCCUUUCGGCUUGCCAUCUUGCUUGGUAGACGGUUUCUUUUUCCCAGCUUUCUUCUUACCUUUGCCUUUCGGCUUAGGCCUAGAAGAUGAACUUUUUUCAGUAAUAUUUAUGCUUCCCAGAGAUUUCUCAGCACGAUAGAUCUCUUCAGCAGAAUGGAGUUCGUUCAUCAAUUCAGUUAAGGUCAUGUUUCUUUUGUUCAUGUUAUAAUUGACCUUAAACUCCUUGAAUGUUUCUGGCAGAGAUUCUAGCACCAUGUCAAUCUUUGAGUUAUCAUCGAUUUGUGCUCCCUGAAUCUCAGCCUCGUUCAAAUAGUCCAUCAUUUUGAGGACAUGAUCACGAACUCUUGUGCCCUUCCCCAUUUUACUGUUCAUAAUUCCUUUCAGUGCUGCUUGUCUCGCUGAGCGAGUACUCUGCCCGAACAUCUGUUGGAGACUAUCCAUUAUUUCAGUGGCAGUCUCCAAGUUCUGAUAUUUGGUCUGCAGAAUAUUAAAAAUCGAGGCUAAAAUGUAGCACUUUGCCAUUUCAUUGGCCUUUUGCCAUUUCUCAUAACGUCUCCUCUGAUUUCUAUGAGCAUCAUCCGCUGGAACUGGAGGGCAUGGCUGGGUUAAGACAUAUUUAUAAUUUUCAGCAGUCAGGACAAUGAAUAGAUUUCUUUUCCAAUCUAUAUAGUUCUCUCCAGUGAGUUUGUUUUGACUCAGAAUAAUAGUACGUGGGCUCAGGGAAGACAUUUUCUGAAAAAUAAAACAUCUAUGCAUAAAUAAUUUGAACUAAUAUUCACAAUAAAUGACAAAAAUGCAUAAAACCAUAAACGCAUUUUAAUUUAUUGUAACGAUAAUCUAGUUCCGCUUUGACAAGCUAUCCGGUAGGGAAGUCAUGUCUAUACUUACUAGACCCAAUUACCCAUUGGAUUAUUUACUUUCAUGUAGAGACAUGAUAAAUAAUUAUCGUUAUCCUUUUUGGGCCUAAAUUUGUUAACAGAGCUUCGUUGGGAAGGUUAAUAACAAAUUUUAGUUGAGUGUAUGACCAUUGUUUCAAUCUACGUAUUUUUCAUAUCAAUAGUCACCGUUGGGGUGAACAAUCGAUUGAAAAAUAUUUCAAUUUUAUCUUUGAAGAAGUUUAUCAAAUAAAAUAUCUAAUAUAUAUACCCUCCGAAGGGAGCAUCACCGUAUCAUGAAGUCGAUGUAUAUAUAUAAUUUUAUUAUUGAACUAACAAUGGAGUCCGUGGGAAAAUUAUCUUGAAUUUUCCCUCUCCCACUCAAUAUUUUAAAAUUGGUUUUUCCUUUUUAAAACAUACAUAUUGUUAAUUGCAUGUUUCCUAUAAUAUUAUCUAGAUGAUAUCAAAUAUUAUUAAGCAUAUGCAAAUUUCAAACAAUAUAAUGAAAUUCAUUAUUAAUGAAUGACAUGUAUAAUUAUGCAUAGAGUGGCACUUCCUAUUCUAUAUGACAUGUUAUCAUGGUAUGUUAUCAUCCAAAACAUAACAUAUAGAAAAACAAUUAAAUAAUCUUAAUUCAUGGCUUUCCUAAUAAUGAAAAAAUACAUUAACCCUAAGCCUAAUCUUCAUUGGGCUUCUUGUCAAUGUCCAUCUUCCAUAAGCUUGUCUUUGUUAAUGGACUAGGGGAAAUUGGGCUUUUAAAUUUAUAAUUGGUCCAAUUUUAAUUUUUGAAAGGAAAUAAAUAAAUAAUUAAAAAAAAUUAUUAAAAUAAAACUUUUGGACCAAAAAUAAAUUUAAUGUAUUUAAUUUUGUCUAUGCAUUUUAAUCCAUUAAACCCAAAUUUUAAUUGUGCCUAAAUCUAGGAUUCUUUAAGCUCAAAACUGUUUUUGGACUUAAAUGCAAAAAAUUAAAACUUAUCAGCCCAAAGAAAAAAUCUAUAGAACUAUAGUGAUCGUAAUGAUAAAAACUAUUAAAACCCUAAAUCCAUCUUUUUCUCUUCCCAGCCGCCAUCACCACAAAAGGCAGUCACUGUUCAUAAUUUCCAGCCAUCUCCGACGCCGAGUUUGCUGCCGCCCUCACACCGGAAACAUACCAAUCACCUCCCUCGUGCUGCACGGAAAGCUCCUGCUCGCGCUGCCUGCUGCGUGUGCUGGCUGUUGCACACGAGCGUGCGCUAGCUGCUGCACGCGAGCGUGCGCUAGCUGCUGCACGCACAGCGUGCGUUGCUGGCUGCGCGAGCAGCACGCGUUGGCUGCUGGCUUGCAGCGCGCGCUGCUGGCAGCGUGUGCUGCGAGCCGCGAGCGCUUGCUGGCAGCGUGUGCUGCGAGCCGCGAGCGCUUGCUGGCAGCAUGUGCUGCUGGCCGCGCGCUGCUUGCUGCUGGUUGCCGCUGUCAUAAUUUUUGGCCUCCGUCGCUUUGAUCUUGAAAAUCCGAGAUUAAUUUACAAAUUUCCUAGGCCAAUUUUUGGCUUACAAAAAUUCUAUAACAGUAAAAUAAAUCAAGAGGGAAACAUGAUAAUAAAAAACCACCCCUCUUAUUACAGAUCCAAAAAAAAACUACAACGGAAAAUCUAAUCAUGAAUUAAGACAAACCAAAACAUGCUUUAUUUAUAUAUUAAACAAUUAAUAUAUAUCUGAAUAAAUUGUGCCACUCUAAUACAUAAAUUUCAAGAAUGAUUUCAUACGAAAUUCUUAUAUAUUAAUAUGAGAUGGGCUCUGAUACCAAUUGUUUGGGAAAAAUUAGGUUUUUAAAUUUUUUAUAAAACUUUUUGAAGAUCGCUCUCAUAUAAUAUAUAAGAAUUCGUAAUCUAGAAAUCGUACCUUGAAAAUCCGAGUUGGCUUUUCCCGUUGAAAUGAUUUAGGCUCCUAGAUCACAAUCUGCCACCAUCACUCCUGUUAGAUCACGAUCCGCCACCACCACGCUUGUUAGAUCACGAACUUUCACCAAUGAUCUUCCAGGUUAUGACUCAGGUUCGAUCUGCACUUGAAGUGUGGGCGCCUUUAUCACUACCAAAGCAACUAGCACGAGAAAAUUUUUUUCUCAACAAUAGAGAGAAAAAUCUUAUUCUCCGAUUUGUAUAAAGUGGCUUCACCUUUUUUCUUUUGAGAAAAUAAGCCUUAUAUAUCUCCCUUUAGUGAAAACUCUGGGCUCCAAAUAAUGCCCAAAAUAAAACUCACGUUACUUUUCAUUUAAUAGGGGACCCACCAUGUAAAAUAACAUAAGGCCCCUUACACAUAAGCUAAUUAAAUGGAGCCUCCCACUAAAUGAUAUAUUUAGGCUUUUAACCCAAAUAACUAGUUAUCUUGCUUAUUAGUCCAGUAGUGGUGCAGUCAAUUAAAUGAGCUAACCCGGGGAUCAUUUGGGAACAUACAAUAGUGGCUAUAACAAUUAGGCCUGUAAUUAAACUAGCCUAAUUAUUUAAUUCCAAAUCUACUCCACUAAAAGAUUGGAAUUGACCUCCAUAAUUGUAUGCUCGAAUAAUAAUUCGUCCCAAGCCACAUUGAUUUCUUUACUGCACAAUCCUUUGUACCACAUCGUUAAUUAAAUCGAUAUCUCAACUGUCCAAUCAAUUUAAUCACAUCUUGUUCCUUGAUACUUACUGGUUUUCUCUAAUGAUCAUUUUCAACAUACUAAAUAUGUUGACACACUCUGGCCAGAGAAUUCUAUGAUCAAGUGCCGAAAACCCAUCAAGAGAUGUGUUGUACAAAUUCUAUAUUGUUAAUCCAUAACUCCAAUACUCAUAAUUGCUCCCACCAAGAUACCGGGUAAUCUAGACUACAAGUACGUGUCAUGCCCAUUGGUAACUCAAAUGGAAUAACAAUUACAAUCAUGAAAUCAUAAUUAACUCAAGAUUAAGAUUACAGUAAAAUCAAUGCCUAUGAGAUUUAAUAAGUCUGACAGUUAUUACAAAGUUAAUUAAAUCUCACAUGUGAUCAUGUUCAAUGUAGUCGUACUACAUCAAUAAAUUCAUACAUGAUUAAGACAAAUCAUUCAAUGAAUUUAUUACAGUCUAUACCUAAAUAAAGUGCCCAAUUUUAUUUAUCAACUAAAUUUAUUUAAUCAUAAGAUAACUUAUAUUUAUGUCUUCUGUGAAUCCACAUGGUGAUCACAUAAAUACAUAUAAUAUGAUUAAAUGGACUUUAAUCCAAAUAUUAAUGUAAUUAAGAUAUUUGAAUAAAAUACCUCAUUUAUUUUAUUAAUCAGAAAAAAAAUAUUUAUUACAAUUAAAUAAACACAUAUGCUUUUAAAGAGCAUAUUUUCCCAACAGAUAGACCCACCAUGAAUGAUGUUGUAUCCAUGCUUACAAAUGAAGCUGCAGCAUUACUUCCUCCCAAACAACCGGCUUUUUCAUAUGUAAGAAAUACUGUGACUUCAACAUCGUCCACCAGCAAGGUAGCAGAUUGUUCAGUCAACCAAGUGACGAUUUCAAUUUUAGUAGCGGGCUAAUUUUUAUUUUAAUUCAUACACUUUGGGGUUAGGUUGUUCUAAUUACUCCUCUGAUCCAAUAUUUGAACUGAGUUUCCUAUUUUUGACUCGCUGGUACGUACCGACCAUUUCUCAGAGUUUAAAUUAAAGUUUAAAUUAAUUUUUUAUUUUUUAUUUUCUCCAAGAUUCAAACUUACUUAGGUGAUAAUGUAAAUAAGACUAUUUGAAAACUACUGUGCUAAACUUCUGAGACUAAUUAUUAGAUAUUAUAUGGAGUAAUGACCCUGAUUUUUAUUGGUUCAACGGGAUAUGAUACUAUCACGAGUCUGAUAUAUAAAAGGCCAUGCAUGGAACCAUUAUUUUCGUUCAAUGGGAUCAGAAUCAAGAAACUACGAACUUGGGGGAUAAAAUCAACAAUUUGUAAACCGACAGAGGGAGAGGAUCAAAACAUAUGUAAAGUCCAAGGAGAUUAACUAGAUUUCAAUUAACGCCCUUAUCUUGCUAUGAAUUAUAUAAUUCUAAUUCAAGAGAGACACUUUUAAAUAAAAAUUUAGACGUAAUAUUCUGACCAUUAUAUUAAAGCUAACCAAAAGUUGAUAUUGAAGCUAACAUGCCUUUUUUAAGUUUUAAAAACUAAAAAAUUAAUAUAAUAGAUCUCCAUAUAAUAAUAAAUUAUUAAUUAUUCGUCUCUCUUAAUAUAUUCCCUCUUUUAUCUCUUUUUUUUCAUCCGCUUACCCUUUUAUGUCUUGCCUACAUUAAUUAGUUUGAACUUUUGCAUGGCAUCAGUGCAAAAACUUAACCGACUUAUAGAGCAGAAAUGGACUUAAAUUUUAUUUUCACUCAUUGACUAUUUUCAUGCAAAAUUAUUUUGUCCAUCAAAAUUCGUAGCAGGACAUAUAUAUUCGUUUCUAUGUGUACAUAUUAAAAAUAAAAUAAAAUAAAAUAACAAGGAGAGAAAGGAGAUCACCAAAAUCACUAUCAAAACGAUAAUGUUUUUAUCACUGUUUUGUCACCGUUUUGCAUUUUGUUCAAAUAGCAGUACACAGAUUUUGAUUGUUUAGUGUUUGCUCCUAACUCAUUCCCUUAAAAAAUUAUCCUGAUUUCAAAAUCCAAUAAUUUAGGAUUCAUGUCUUUGUCCAACAACAUGUUACUAUUCUUUUCUUCUUUCAAAUCCAUGUGAGUAAUCAGCGCACGGUGCUUACAAGUCUUCCCUGCUGACCUGAAGUCCUCUUCGGCUGCUUUCUAAUUAAUUAACUUGGGCUACCUUUACUCUGUUAUAUUACAUAUACAUUGCAACUUGCAAGUUCCAUUCCUUCUCUGAGUUUCAUUUCAACUACUAUUAGACCCAAUCAUGAGAUCAAUUUUACUCUUAUCAUGGCUUUUCUCGAUACCCUUUUUAGCCAAUUUUUUGGGAUGCAUAUGGUUUGGGUGUCUGGCCAAUGUCAAGGCGAUAAAAAAUUGCUCCAUAUUUGACGUUGAAAUUAAUAGUUUAUGUUUUAUAUUGAAUUAUAAGUAAAUUACCUCUUGCAAAAAUAUGAAAUACUGAGGCUGACGAUGUGCCUUGAAGAGCGAUAUCAAGAUUAAUAUGGAAAAACACGUGCGAUCGGAUUCAAAAUUGCAAUGACACAAUCAAGAGCCAUCCAUUUUAUAUGACAAACCCAUUAAUUAUGAGGUAGAGAUUAAACAAAGUUAUAAUCAAUAGGAUUAAUUUUAUCUAUCAAAUCAAACUGACCACUUUUUAAAAAAUUGGAGACGAUUAUCAUUUUGUACAUAUGGGUCCAAUCCACAGAGAGCUUCGCCGAAGCUGAAAGCAGUGGAUAAAGUAGCGGAUACUCAUAAUCUGAUUGAUCUUUGAAUUUUCAGUCCAUGUCCUAUUGUGAUACUUACAUUACAUAUGAAAGAUCAACAAUACAUAUAGAGCUAGCUUUAAACACCAGUUGAACAGGGAGAUAUUUUAUUAAAAAGAUAUAAUGGAAUUAACAAAAUAGAUAUUAGAAGGAUUUUUGUUUUUGAAAAUUCUAGUCUAAAAGCUUUAUAAAUAAUUACUAUUGUGAAAAAAUAUGGAAUGUGGUUUUUUCUUAUAUUAAAAGUUGGAAGGUGGUCAAAGGGUAAAUUUCCCAAUAACUUUCCAACGUGUCUAUGAAUCUUGUGUCGGCUCUUCAUAAAACCUGUAAAACCACUAUCAAUUGUUAGCUCUCUCCUUACGGCUUUUACAAGUCUGCGGGUUCCACGAGCAAAUCAGCGUUCAGUUCGACGCGAGAUGAAUUGCAUUCAAUCAAUUUUUUUUUUUAUUAAACGCAAUAAAAUCACUAUCAAAUGUUAGCUGUAUCCUUACGAGACUUUUCGAAGUCUACGGGUCCCGCAAGCAAAUCAAAGUUGAGUUUGACACGAAAACGAAUUGCAUUCAAUCAAUUUUAAGAUUUUUUUUAAUAUAGUAGAUGAAUAGUGAAAGUCUAAAUUAAUUCUUUUUAUUAUACUUAUUUCAAGAUUCAAACUCACCUGAUUAAUUAAGUAAACCUGUUUAAUUAUUGGAUCUUAUAAUGAAUAAAGACCCUGAUUUUUAUUGGUUGAAUAAGGUUUGAUGCUAAUUAAUAUACUGGAAAAGGCAGAAAGAAUCCUAAUUAAUAUAAGCAGCGAUGGAUGGAGCCAUGAUUUUGGUUCAACGGGAUCAGAAUCAAGAAACUACGAACUUGGGGAGGCCAAGAUCAACAAUUUGUAAAACGAUGGAGUGAGAGGAUCAGAACAUAUAUAGAGAUUCCAAAGAAAUGGACUAAAUUUUAAUUAAUACCCUUAUCUUCCUAUGAAUUAUAUAAUUAUAAUAUUGUAAUAAUCACAUAUUUACUAGGUCCCAACGAUUCCAUUGGUGCUUGUUUCUAACUCAUUCCCUUCAAUUGUAAUUAAAAUUAUUUUAAUUAGUUUCCAAGUCUACGCCUAAAAGCUAAAAACCUUUAGUUUGCUUUGAAUAAUCCUAAAAGUUUUUGCUUUAAUUUUCUCUUAUGCUUAGUUUGGUAUAGCUUUCCAAAUAUAGUUUAUUCAAUAGAGUUUUUAUUAGUAAAGCUUUUAUAAACAGUGUUUUUAUAAAAAUAAUUUUAGUUAUUUGUUGUCAAUGGAAGCUUUUAUUAAAAAUUAAAAAAUUGUUUAAUAAGCACGUUUUUUAAAAUUAUAUUAUAAAAUGAAUGAAAUAAAAUUGUCGAAUAAAUAAAUGAUAUUUUAGAUGUUUUAAUAUUUUUAAAAAUAAUUUUUUGAACAUUUACUUCCAAAAACCCAAAUUUUGAGUUUUUACUAGUAGAGAAAAAAUAACUUAUAUAAUUUUCAAAAGCUCUACUAAAAAACAAAUCCAAACAAUAACAAUAAAUCUUAAAAGAGUUUAUAUAAUUAAAUAAGUAUUUAUAUCCAUUAGAUGAAGUAUGCCAAACAUACAGAAUGUCUUAUUUGUUUGAGAUUUCUUUUCUUCUCUCUGUUUGACAAAGUUAAUAAAAUAAUUAACAAGAAUUUCAAAUAAGGGCCUUUACCUUCUGUCAUUGAGACAAUAUUCACCUCCAAACUGGCGCCACCGUAGAUAUAUAUUGUACGGGCAAUAUUCAUAGAUGAUCUCUAAGAGUUCAUGCUAAAUUUUAGUUGCAAUAAGAUAUAGGCUAUUACCACCUUAAAAACUACUCUGAGCACUCUGGUUUUAAUAAAAUAAUUUAAUUACAAAAUUAAUCAUCAUAUAAAUUACUAUUAAGAUUUAUUUAUUAAUGAGCCAAUACAACUUAAUUACUUUAAAACUCAUAUAAUACACUCAUUAUUUAACAUAUAAUCUUUUAUAUCAAACAUAUCUUAAAAUACAAUUCAUUGAACAUGCAGCAAAUCAAUUUUUAAAUAAUUUUGAAGAUAAAAUAUUUGUAAGACUUACAUUUUUCUAGAAAUAAAAUAAACCGAAAUUAUUGCAAAGGUGUUCUUUUUUUGUCUUUAAUUUAAAAAUAAAUUAAUUAAAGCACUCUAAACCUAAUAACCUAGUCAGCAUCUUCUUCUUCUUCUUCUUCUUCUUCUUCUUCUUCUUCUUCUUUUUUGUGUCAGAUUACAAUUUGGUUUACAAUUAUUAUUGGGGUAGUGAAAGUCCAUACUUCUUGAUCUUAAAGAAGUUAUAGGUGCAAAAAUUGAUAUGGAAUACAUUCUUUAAUUAACGAAAACUAAUAAAUAAAAUUAUUUUAAAAAAUUUGCUUAAAACUUGACUUAAUUCCAUUGUUGCUAGUUAUGCUACAUUUAUUAAAACGAUUUUCUUUGAGUGUGCUGAAUAUUUUUAUUAGUGUUUUGAGUAAAUUAAUUUAAAUGAUUUAAGUAGGGAUACUUUUGGCAUCUUAAAGAGUGUACAAAAUAAAAAUUAAUUUUUCAAAUUUAGUAUUUGUGCAUAGAGUACCCUUUUUUUUUCAAAGAAGUUAUUUAUUCCUAAAAAUUAACAAGAUAUUUAUUCAUAGUAUACAAUGAAAGACAAUGCUAAAAGAAAUGAGCCCAACCAAGUUUUAAGCAACUUACUUCUAUAGUUUUAUGCGCGGGUCUCCCACUAACUUUUUAUUGUCGUCAUUUUGGACCUAUGGAAAUGGAAGAUUCCUGUAUUUGAUGCAGGCAUUUAACCAAAAGAUCCAAUUUUCUUUUCUUAUUUUUUUUCUCCCAAGUCUUGGCAACAUUAAUUGGUUUGAACUUUUGUAGUCUUCUAGCUCCCAGUUUAUGCGUUGGGGGUGUACCUUCUAGGGAACUUCGGCCAUCUUUUUCCUAUUAAAUGAAUUCAUCGCAACUCCCAAGUUUCAUCACUCCUCUACGAGUUUCAUUUCAGCAAUUAUUAAAACAAUGCGACCAAUUUUACUCUUAUCAUGGCCUUUCUUGAUACCCUUUUUAGCCAAUUAUUUUGGGAUCCAUAUGGUUUUGGUUUCUGGCCAAUGUCAGAGCGAUCAACAAUCGUUGUUACUCCAAAUGAAGAACAGUUUCAUAUUAAGCAAUCACAGUGUCUAUCCAUCUACAAAACUGAGUCAGUGGACUAGUCAUCAAAGCUCUGAUUGUUGUGAUUGGAACGGUGUAAGGUGCGAUGAGGCUGGUCAUGUUAUUGGUCUCGACUUGAGCAGGGAACCAAUCAUUGGCGGACUUGAGAAUGCGACUGGCCUUUUCAAUCUUCAAUAUCUGCAGAGCCUCAAUUUGGGUUUCACUUUCUUGGACGGAUUCCAAAUACCAUCCAGGUUGGGCAACCUGACAAAUUUGACUUAUCUGAAUCUUUCCCAGGGUGGCUUCGCAGGGAAGAUUCCCAUUGAGAUUUCAAGCUUGACAAGGUUGGUUACUCUUGAUUUGUCAGGCCGUGAGCGCUCAAGAGGAUUUUCCGGGAGAAUUGAGAUCCCAAACUUAAGCUUGUUUCUGCAGAACUUAACAGAGCUCAGAGAACUACAUCUGGAUCAAGUAGAUUUGUCCGCCUCCGGAACUGAAUGGUGCAAAGCUUUAUCAUUUCUGCCCAAUCUACAAGUUUUAAGCUUGUCCGGCUGUGAUCUUUCAGGUCCAAUCAAUCACUACCUGGCAAAGUUACGGUCACUCUCCGUGAUUCGUUUGCAUUACAAUUAUGGUCUAUCCUCAGGUGCAGAAUUUUUGGCCAAUCUGACGAAUUUGAAGGCCUUGGAUCUCAGCGAGUGUGGGUUGCAAGGGAAGUUUCCAGAAAAGAUAUUGCAGGUUCCUACCCUUGAGACUCUUGACUUGUCAAUUAACCAAUUGCUUCAGGGUUCUCUGCCAAACUUUCCUAAGAAUUCUUCUCUUCGGAACCUGAUCCUCUCUGGGACGGGAUUCUCAGGCACACUACCAGAUUCCAUUGGGAAUCUUGAAAAUUUGACAAGGGUAGAGGUUAGAAGGUGCAAUUUCACAGGGCCAAUUCCCCCUUCAAUGGCUAAUCUUACCCAAUUAUUUCACAUGGACUUCUCAUCUAACCAUUUCUCUGGUCGCAUCCCAUCACUUCACAAGUCAAGAAAUCUCAACUACUUAGACAUUUCGUUCAAUAAUUUAAGUGGUGGGAUCUCAUCCACCUUCUGGGAACAACUUGUAAAUCUCAAUCUUGUUCUCUUGUCGCACAAUUUACUUAAUGGAAGUAUUCCCAGAUCUCUGUUUCUACUUCCAAAUCUGGAGAUGCUUCGGCUCUCCAACAACCAGUUUGAGAACCAACUUCCUGAACUGUCAAAUGUGUCCUCGUCUGUAUUGUUUGACCUUGAUUUAAGCGGCAACAGAUUAGAAGGGCCUGUUCCCAUUUCAUUAUUCUUUGAACUCAGAAACCUUGAUACCCUCGAUCUUUCUUCCAAUAAGUUUAGCAGAUUGAGACUGGCUUCAAGCAAACCACGGGUCAUUCCUAUUCUAAAAAACCAAUCACAACUUUCUGUUUUGGACAUUUCAAAUAACCAAAUAUCUGGAGAAAUACCAAAUUGGAUUUGGGAAGUUGGUAGUGGCAAUCUUCGGUACUUAAAUCUUUCACACAAUCUCAUUGUGAGCUUGCAAGAACCUUACUCUAUUUCUGGUAUCCGCUUGCUUGACCUGCACUCCAACCAGCUCCGAGGAAAUAUCCCUCACAUGUCACCAAGUCCUUCCUACGUCGAUUACUCCAACAAUAAUUUUACUUCCAUCCCAGCUGACAUUGGUAAUUUCAUGUCUGAAACCGAAUACUUUUUCGCUGCAAACAAUAGUCUCGUUGGAGUCAUCCCGGAAUCUGUAUGCAAGGCUACCUAUUUUCAAGUUCUUGACUUAUCAAACAACAAUUUGAGUGGCACAAUUCCUACAUGUUUAAUCACCAAGAGUAGCAACACUCUAGGGGUUUUAAAUUUAGGGAGAAACAACCUCAAUGGCACUCUUUCUGACACAAUAUUUCCAGGAAAUUGUAGGUUGCAAAUUCUAGAUCUCAGUAGAAAUCAACUACAAGGAGUGGUACCAAAAUCUCUUGCCAAUUGCAAUAUGCUGCAGGUUUUAGACCUCAGGAAUAACCAUAUCAGUGAUAAUUUCCCUUGCUGGUUAAGGAAUGCUUCUCGUUUGCAAGUUCUAGUUUUGCGAUCAAACAACUUCUCCAGACACAUUAGUUGUCCAAGACAUAAUGUCUCCUGGCCUCUGCUUCAAAUAGUCGACUUAGCAUCCAAUAAAUUCAGCGGAAGACUAUCACAAAAAUGGUUACUUACGAUGGAGAAAAUGAUGGUUACUGAAACCAAAUCCGGAUCUGAGCUCAACCAUCUUGGAUAUGAUAUGUCGAGCAACCGAUUCUAUGAGGUUAGUGUAACAGUUACAGUAAAAAGUGUUGAGAUCAUGCUACUGAAGGUCCCAAAUAUAUUCACUUCCAUUGACUUUUCAAGCAACAAUUUCGAAGGGCCAAUACCAGAAGAAAUGGGACAAUUCAAAUCACUUUAUGCUCUGAACAUGUCGCACAAUGCUCUCACAGGCUCGAUACCAUCAUCUUUUGGGAACUUGAAACAGAUUGAGUCCUUGGACCUCUCAAUGAACAACCUCAGUGGAAAAAUUCCUUCCCAGCUUGCAAGCCUAAAUUUCCUAUCGGUGCUAAAUCUCUCGUACAAUAACUUAGUGGGAAAGAUUCCGACAAGUACUCAACUCCAAUCAUUUUCACCAACUUCUUAUGAAGGAAACAAAGGAUUGUACGGACCUCCUUUGACGAAUGAAAGCCAAACACGUCCUUCUGAGUUACCACCUUCACCGCCACCAGCUUCAAGCGAUGAAAUUGAUUGGUUCUUCAUAGCCAUGUCAAUUGGAUUUGCUGUAGGCUUCGGAGCAGUUGUUUCACCUCUAAUGUUUUCCGUGCAGGUAAACAAAUGGUAUAACGAUCUUAUCUACAAAUUUAUAUAUCGGCGAUUCCGUGUGUGAAGUGAUUUAAAUCUCUCCUUUUGAAUAAUCAUGUAAGCUAGCUUUUGCUUCUCUCUUCUGUCAUAGAUGUUUGAUAUUUCUUUUCUUCUCUGUUUGAUAGAGUUAAUAGCGUUGACAAUAAUUUGAAAUAAGGGCCUAUCUAUAACUGUUGCUGAGACAAUCUUUAUCUCAAAAUUGACUCCAAGUUAGAUCUAUAUUGGCGCAAUUCAUAAACAACAUGUCUUCGUGAGUCCAUACUAAAUUAAUAUGUGCAAGACUGUUUGCAAUUCCAACUCUAGGCUAGAUGCAUAGCGAUUCAUGAUCAUAUUCCAUUUGUUCACUUGAAAGUUUAAGAGUAGAAAGAAGAAUUUAGAAGAUAACUUUUUAAGAAAGGCGUGAGUUAUGAGCCCAUAUAAGAAAUGAGCCCAAAAAGGUUUUGGGCCCUUGUGGCCUGACCGAGUAGUUUCUUUAAAAUAUUAGGUUAUGUUGUGUUUAAUAGUUGAAAUGAGAGUAUAGAGUAGAGAGUAGAGAGUAUGAAUUCUUUCUACUUCAGUAUUUUUUUUUUGCUUAUUUAAAGAGGGGAGUAAAAGUCUCAUUUCAUGAAUCUCACUUAUUUUUAGAGUAAGGAGUGGGAUUCUCACUUCUAUAGGGGACAAUCCCACUUCUUCUUUUUUUACUCUUUCUUUAUCAAACAUAAUAAAAUUUAUAUUUAUUAAAAAUAAAAUAAUGUUACAUUAUUUAAAAAUAAUAACAUUAUUUUUAUUUAAAUAAUAUUAUUAUAUUUAAUUAAAAAUAAUAAUUUAUGUAAUCUAAGCUAAAAUUACUUAAAAGUAAUAUUAUUAUAUUCAUAGAGAAUUAAUAAUAUUACAAUAUACUAUCUUUAUUUGAAAAAUAAAAUUAUUAUAUUUAUUUAAUAUUGAAAAUUAAUAAUAAUGAAUAGUUUAUCCUAAGAAAAUAUUCAUUUUGUACUAUAUUAUUAAUAAUAAUGUUUCAUUUGUUUUGUUCUUAUAUUAAUUUUUAAUUUACAUAAUUAAAAUUAAAAUGAAUAAAAAAAUUAUGAUUUCCAUAAUUACGAAUAUUAAUAAUUAUUAGUAAUUUAUAUAAUUAAAAUUAAUAAUCAAUUAAAUAGUUUAUUUUAUAAAUAUAUUUUUUAUUCACUUGUAAUUAUAAACUACAAUCUUUUAAAUAAGGGUAAAAGUGUAAUUUAAAAUAAUUCACUCCCAAUCCAAAUAAGAGUAAACAUAUAAAUGAGAUUUUGACUCUUCUUCCAACGUAAAUAAACAAUCUAUUUCUACUCUCAAUCUCUGAAUUCCCAAACCACACCUUAGUUGAAUGGUUUUCAAAUAAUUUUUAUUCAAUUGUAACAUGGGGUUCAAAUAUUGAAAAAAUUAGAAUUAAAAAUUUCUAAAAAAAUUGAUUUGAACUUUUUCCACCACUCUACUUUUUAAAUAAAUGAAAAAGAAAAACUCUCAAAUAAACAAAUAAAAGCUUUUAUGUAUGUGCCCCAAUAACGUUUUUACUGUCAAUUAUUUUGAGUUAUUAAUGUUGUGCAAUUUUUGUAUUGACUAUUGUUGUACAUAAUUUAUCUAACUUUAACAGUAUUUUCUUGCCAACUUGCAUCUCAGCAGUUAGCAGAAUGGUGAACUACAACUCUCCCAAGUCCACUUAAACUUUUCUCUCCUAAUUAAAAAUUAUGUAAAGAUAUGAAUUUUCUUUAUUAAUUUUGUAGGUAAAACAAAUAGCCUUCCAAUAUUCGUGAGGUAGAAAUCUAGGUUGUUUUAUAAUAGAGUUGAUAUAGAUAGUCUAUCAGUAGACUCCUAAUUGUAUAAUACAUAUUAGUAAGGGGAAAAAGCACAUCUACACUUCUAAGAUUUGGGAAAUAGUCACCAAUACCCCUAAGUUUUCAUAAAAAAAACACCAAGAUACCUUUUGAUUAUUAUACUCUUUACCUCUAUUAUCCCCAAAAAUAGACUUUAAAUUUUUUAAUAAAUACAAAUAUUAUAUAAAUAAUGUAAUCUAUUAUCUAUACAGUAGACUAACAAUAUUAAAAUAUUUUAAUAUUUUAAUAAAUUUAAAUAUAUAAAUAAAUAUAUUUAUUUUAAUAAUAUGUUUUUAUUUAUUGUAGAAAUUUUAAAUAAUAUGAAUGGAUUGGAAAUCAAUCUUUGCAAUGAAAGAAAAGUUAGCCUUCACAUGGAAGGAAGGAUAACCUUUAUAAAGAAGGAAAAAGCAACCUUCACAUGGAAAGAAAGAUUAAACGAUGAAAGGGGGAGGGGGGAAGUAAUUAAUAGUUAAUAACAGUAAUUAACAAUUAGUAAUAGAAUUAAUAUUGUUGAUGCGAGAUUCUGGUUGUCCUCGUUCUACGACCAGGCUCUCUGCUCGAUCAACUUCACCACGACCAGGAGGUCUCCUCGUAAGGCUUCUUCUCCAGAGGUUCCUGCGCACACAGACAAGUCAGAGUACGCCGGUUGUUUUCCCGGCGCAAACCCUCCGACGCUCAAGUCAGAUAUGAAGGUUCGGGGAACGCUUACCACAGAUCUUAUGGCUUUUUCGUAGUUUUCUCUUCUAAUCUCAAAAUUGCUAACCCUUUUACCUUCGUUGGCUACCUUUUUAUAGGCUUCCUCUGAAUCCAGAUCUUCCGCAGUCCACGCCCGUCAUUCUCCCCACUCUCGGGUGUGGACGCCCCAUUACCGCCAUUGUCGACGAAUGGAGAUGGACCUCGUGCCUUAAUUCUCGGAUAGGAAUGCACGUCCUGCCAACUGUCGUUGACUGGGUCUCCUCGCCUCGAUGCCUAGCAGGAAUGACCUUAUGCCUCUAACAGGAGUUCGGCCUCACGAAUGGCAUAUUCGUGGACGAGCAGAAUACUCCUGCUCGUAUUCCCCUGCUACUUGGCUCUUGCAAGAUACCCCUGCUCGCAGAACCCUGCCACCAACCACCUGCUCAUCAUGUUUGGUCGCCUCGAUGUAUUUCCCUCAAACACCGGUCCCCCAGUUUCUGGUGUUGGGUAAUGUAAUGGACCAGCAGUAGAAACUCAACGGUUCUUGCUCGCGUGGGACUGGAAAAGGCUGCCAAGAGUCGUGUCGCAUUUAAUUGCGGACGAGGUGAUGUGGCAGAAAUCUGCCCCUCUAUUUGAAUUUCAAACCAAUGGUUACGAGGCCCUUGGGGUUUGGUACCGUUAAAUGCUGGCAACCUAAGAGUCCGUCCCCUUUAUGAAACCCACCUCCUUUCGUACAGCAAAUUCAUCAUCCACUCCGUCUCCGUCUCUGUCUCUCCGGCAAAGAAGUUCCGGCAUAAAGGCCUCCAUCUCUGUCUUUCACCGACUGAAACAUUACUUCAGGUACUUCUUCUAUCUCCUUGGUCUCGGAUAGUUGUAGAUAAUUUCUCUUCUCUUUUGUUCGGGUAGUAGUUGGUGGUGGCGUUGUGGUUAGCGCUUAGGGAAUGUCGAAAGGUAAAGAGAAGGUCGUUGAGGUUGACGACGAUGAGUUGGACUUCCUGCCUAGUCUGCUCACCGAUCCUGCUUUUGACCCCGGGAUCCCCUUAGAGCCCAUCAGAUCCAGUGUUGGUACUAGCGCUAGGAGGAUGUCUCCCCAAACAACCUCCUCGAGCGGAAAUAACGAUGAAGAAGGGUCUUCUGGAUCGGAGAACACCCCGAGUGAGGGUCGAGGAGAUGAUUCUGGUGAGGUGUCCCCAUCAGGAGCGUCGCGACCAGAAGAGAGGAGUACAAUAGGAGGUAGAGCCCUAUCGCGGGAUUACGCUAUUGAUUAUAUGACGUGCACGACCACGUUUGAUGAGCUCGAUGACCUCCGGCUUAGGUAUAGUAUUCCUGGUGAAAUACCUCUUAAGGUCCCAGGAAAGAAGGAUGCUCCUAGCUGGCCUCCUAGGGGAUAUGUUACCCUGUAUCUGGAUAGCUUUAAGUAUGGGCUGAGGUGUCCCUUGCAACCUUACUUUGCCGGGAUACUUAACGGGCUGAAUCUAUCUCCUGGUCAGUUGAACCCAAACGGUUGGAGAGUGCUCUCUGGUCUGUUCAUAUUGUGGGACAGAUGUUGCCAAAGCGAGCCCACAAUUGAUGAGGUGAAGCACCUGUACCAGCUAAAGAGCAGCCCCAAAGAUGUCGGCUGGUACUACUUCUAAUCUAGUACCAAGACCAGGAAACCUAUAACCGACCUCCCUACUGGUGGUGGUGGGAAUUGGAAGAGAAAGUUCUUUUUUGCUGGGGGCCUUGGGGUCAGGUUGCACAAAUGGACGGGAAGGAUUAUCGGGUCCCACCCCGUUUCACGGUCCCAGGUUGCCUGCUCGCUUUAGAUGUCCUGUAUCCAUAAUUGUUCUUGCUUUAUUGGCUUGUCUCUAACCAAGUGUCUGUUUGUGUUGUAGUUUCUUGGGGUGUUCAUUUCCCGCACCAACCUGGCCAGCUCAAACAGGUUGAGGCUGUGCUAGUCAAUUCCUGCCCGAGCCGAGAGCUGUUAACUACUUACAACUUGCUCGAGUCUCGCUUGAUACUACCUGGCCAUAAGAUGGAGGACGCUGUGAUUGGGGCUCUGAACAGGAAACGUUCUCGACCUCAAACCACGAAGAGGGACCAGAACAAGGACGCCCCUUCUGCAAAGCGGGCCAACAUCGUGCAGCAAGUCUCUCCCUUGAAGACUUUACCUCCUGCUCCUGCCAAAAUUGGGGAGACUAGUGGAGCAGCCACGGAUCCUGCUUCCUCUUCGCCUCCUGUCGGGCCUCGAUCUCGCUUACCUGACAGCCGAGCAGAACACUUGGUCCCCUACCUUAAUGAGUUCUCUAAACUCGUGAGCAAGAAGGACCUGGAGGACUUUGACGGCUGCACCUUGGGUGAGCUGGUGGGGGCCAUGCAGUAUAGCGCUUUCCACCUCAGCUGCAUGACCACCUAUUAUAAGGCUAAGGUUAGCCGCAACGACCGGAAGAUGAAGGAGGAUAUUCAAUCGGCGACGACCAGAGCUGACGUUGCCGAGAAGAAAGCAGGGGAGCUGAAUCUCGAGAAUCUGAAGCUGAUAGAGCAAGAAUCACUUGCUCAAGCAAAGGCCAUUACCCUCGAGGAGGAGCUUACCAAGGUCAAGGAGGAUCUGCAAAGGCAGAAGGCUAUGUAUGACGCCCAGCUCGAAUCUCUCCGCGACUCCAACCGAGCUCAGGUCGAGAACUUGGAGAGGGAGGCCGAGAACCAGUACGACCAGGGACUUCGGCAUUCCUAUCGUUGCAUCAUGGCUGUCCUCGGGAAGCAACACCCUGAUCUGAAGAUGGAUGACCUUGCAGCUGGUGUUGCUCAACAUAUGGACGAGGAGGCGGCCAAGGAAGAUGCUGAAGGGGUAGAGCCGAUCGUGAUUGAGGAGGAAAACUCUCCUCCUCGUGUAGUCCCUGCUGAUGUUGGCGAGGCAAGCACCCCUCCGGACGCAACUGGUGAUACCCCCCUGCACCUGAGGAGGUCCAGCCAACAGAUGCUGCUCGGCUUACUGAUCCACCAUCUUCUUGAUAUAUUUCUUGUAUUGUAAUGAACAAUUUUUGUGACGAUUAUCUCUUCUGUUAAUUACUAACAAUUAAUAAAGAUGUUUUUGAUUACUUUCUCGUGUUGUAAUCAUCACUUAUUUUCCGUUUGGGAAUCUGCUCGUCUUUGUCUGGUCGAGCAGGUUCUGGCUUGGCAUAUGGUUUUGCCACAUGCCUUAGAAAAUUCUUCGAUGCUUGAGAUUCUGCUCGCCUUCGCGCGGUCGAGCAGACCCUGGCACGCUUGGCUUCUGUCUCGCCAUAAACAGGCUUUGAGACUUGACGAGCCUUUGCAUGCCUUGGAAAAUUUUUCGAUGCUUGGGGAUUCUGCUCGCCUUUGCGUGGUCGAGCAGAUCCUGGCACGCUUGGCUUCUGUCUCUCCAUAAACAGGCUUUGAGACUUGACGAGCCUUUGUAUGCCUUGGAAAAUUUUUCGAUGCUUGGGGAUUCUGCUCGCCUUCGCGUGGUCGAGCAGAUCCUGGCACGCUUGGCUUCUGUCUCGCCAUAAACAGGCUUUGAGACUUGACGAGCCUUUGCAUGCCUUGGAAAAUUUUUCGAUGCUUGGGGAUUCUGCUCGCCUUCGCGUGGUCGAGCAGAUCCUGGCACACUUGGCUUCUGUCUCGCCACAAACAGGCUUUGAGACUUGACGAGCCUUUGCAUGCCUUAGGUAAUCUCUGCAAUGAUUGGGAGUCUGCUCGCCUUCUCGUGGUCGAGCAGAUCCUGGCACGCUUGGCUUCUGGUCUCGCCAUAAACAGGCUUUGAGACUUGACGAGCCUUUGCAUGCCUUAGGUAAUCUCUGCAAUGAUUGGGAGUUUGCUCGCCUUCUCGUGGUCGAGCAGAUCCUGGCACGCUUGGCUUCUGGUCUCGCCAUAAACAGGCUUUGAGACUUGAUGAGCCUUUGCAUGCCUUGGAAAAUUUUUCGAUGCUUGGGGAUUCUGCUCGCCUUCGCGUGGUCGAGCAGAUCCUGGCACGCUUGGCUUCUGUCUCGCCAUAAAUAGGCUUUGAGACUUGACGUGCCUUUGCAUGCCUUAGGUAAUCUCUGCAAUGAUUGGGAGUCUGCUCGCCUUCUCGUGGUCGAGCAGAUCCUGGCACGCUUGGCUUCUGGUCUCGCCAUAAACAGGCUUUGAGACUUGAUGAGCUUUUGCAUGCCUUGGAAAAUUUUUCGAUGCUUGGGGAUUCUGCUCGCCUUCGCGUGGUCGAGCAGAUCCUGGCACGCUUGGCUUCUGUCUCGCCAUAAACAGGCUUUGAGACUUGACGAGCCUUUGCAUGCCUUAGAUAAUCUCUGCAAUGAUUGGGAGUCUGCUCGCCUUCUCGUGGUCGAGCAGAUCCUGGCACGCUUGGCUUUUGGUCUCGCCAUAAAUAGGCUUUGAGACUUGAUGAGCCUUUGCAUGCCUUUGAUAAUUUCUUGAAUGCUUUGGAGUCUGCUCGCCUUCUCGUGGUCGAGCAUAUCCUGGCACGCUUGGCUUCUGUCUCGCCAUAAAGCAGGCUUUGAGACUUGCUGAGCCUUUGCAUGCCUUUGAUUCUUCAAGGAUUGGGAUUCUGCUCGCCUUCUCGUGGUCGAGCAGAUCCUGGCACGCUUGGCUUCUGUCUCGCCAUAAAACAGGCUUUGAGACUUUGAUGAGCCUUUGCAUGCCUUUGAUUCUUCAAGGAUUGGGAUUCUGCUCGCCUUCUCGUGGUCGAGCAGAUCCUGGCACGCUUGGCUUCUGUCUCGCCAUAAAACAGGCUUUGAGACUUUGAUGAGCCUUUGCAUGCCUUUGGUUCUUCAAGGAUUGGGAUUCUGCUCGCCUUCUCGUGGUCGAGCAAAUCCCGGCACGCUUGGCUUCUGUCUCGCCAUAAAACAGGCUUUGAGACUUUGAUGAGCCUUUGCAUGCCUUUGAUUCUUCAAGGAUUGGGAUUCUGCUCGCCUUCUCGUGGUCGAGCAGAUCCUGGCACGCUUGGCUUCUGUCUCGCCAUAAAACAGGCUUUGAGACUUUGAUGAGCCUUUGCAUGCCUUUGGAAAUUUUCCCAGUUUCAAGCGAAUGAAAUUCCUCGACGUUCCAUUAAUGGCAGGAUUCAACUUACAUGAAAUUGUUUAGACAUAAAGCGUAAAAGAUAAACGAUAAUGAACAUGAGCAGAAAUAGCUUUCGAAUGUGAACAAGUCUUACUGGAAGUAUUUUCGGAGGUGUGCUGCGUUCCAUGGGCGUUUCACCUCGUGGCCGUCCGUGCGAACCAGCUUGUAAGCUCCGGGUCCCACUAUCUGCUUGACUCUAUAUGGCCCUUCCCAAUUCGGUCCCAGCACUCCUUGAGUCGAAUCUUUGGUGCUCUGAUUCACUCUUCUCAGUACCCAAUCUCCGACCCUGAAUUGCCGUACAUUCACCUUCUGGUUAUAAUAGCGAGCAACCCUUUGCUGGUAAAUGGCUGAUCGACCAGCUGCUUGCUCCCUCUUCUCCGUUAGCAGAUCAAGAUUCAAACAUAUCUGCUCGUCAUUCUCCUGCUCAUUGAAAUGGUCUGUCCGGUGCGUGGUCGUUCCUAUCUCAGCUGGUACGACCGCUUCAUGUCCGAAAGCCAGGGCGAACGGUGUCUCCCCAGUUGCUGUUUUGUGGGUUGUCCUGUAUGCCCAUAGGACACCUGACAGCUCAUCAACCCAUGUGCCCUUUUUUGCUCCAAGCCUGGUUUUCAAAAGUCUCUUGAUGGUCUUGUUGGCUGCUUCUACUUGUCCAUUCGAUUGAGGGUGAGCAGGCGAGCAAUACUUCAGCUCUAUCCCGAGGUUCUGGCAGAAAUCCCUGAAGCUGUGAUUAUCGAACUGCCUGCCAUUAUCCGUUACCAAGGCAUAAGGGAUCCCGUAUCGACAGACCAGGUUUCUCCACACAAAGUCUGUCGUUUUCUUCUCUGUAAUCCUGCUAAGGGCUUCGACCUCUAUCCACUUCGUGAAGUAAUCUAUAGCAACUAUUGCAUGCGUUGCUGCUCCUCGUCCCUUUGGCAGCGGGCCGAUCAGAUCAAUUCCCCAUUGAGCAAAUGGCCAAGGGGAGGCCAUAGAGGUGAGCUUCUCUGGUGGUUGGUUGGGGAAACUUGCAAAACUCUGGCAGCUUACACAGCUCCUGGUCUUCUCAUGUUCAUCCUGGUGCAUUGUCGGCCAGAAAUAUCCCUGCCUUAGAACCUUGUGGGCCAGGGAUCUCCCACCAGAAUGAUUCCCGCAAAUUCCUUCAUGUACUUCUCUCAGUACGUAAUCCGCGUCGUCCUCAUCCAAACAUCGAAGGAAAGGUAGUGUAUAUCCUCGCCGAUACAAUAUCCCAUCAAUCAUCGUGUAUCUCGAGGCCUGGGCUCUAAUCUUCCGAGCUUGCAGCUUAUCUGGUGGUAAUACCCCGUCUCUAAGGUAUGAAACUAUCGGGUCCAUCCACGAGCAUUUUUGUUCUAUCCGCAGCACCCCCGAAUUCGGCUCGAUGCUCGGGCUGGACUUCACCUCCAGAGGGAUCGACUUUGGCAUUUUUGGGUCUGCUACCGCUGCCAUCCUGGCCAGAAUAUCUGCUCGACUAUUCUGCUCCAUUGGGAUUUGUACUACCUCCACCGCUUUGAAUUUUCCCAUCAUCUGCCUGACUAUCUUCAAGUACUGCUCCAUCUUCUCCUCUCUUGGUUGGAAUCUUUCACUGACAUGAUUCGCAACCAGCUGGAAAUCAGUUCUGAUCUUCACUCUAUCUGCUCUCACGGCCUUAGCCAGUUCUAAUCCUGCUAUCAAGGCUUCAUACUCUGCCUGGUUAUUUGUUGCUGCGAAUUCUAACUUUACAGCAUAAGAGAUCUCCUCCCCCUCCGGGCCUUCCAAUACAAUCCCUACUCCUGAUCCCUGCUCCCCUGAUGACCCAUCUACAGACAUUUGCCAUACUUGAGCUUCGCCACUGUCUGCAAUUACAUCUUGUUGGUCUAAACAUACUUCAGGCUCCGUGAAUUCUGCUACGAAAUCGGCCAUUGCCUGAGCCCUCAUCGCUGCUCGGGGUUUGUAGUCUAUGUCGAACUCGCUCAGCUCUAUAGCCCACUUGACGAGCCGACCAGAAGCAUCGGGCUUGUGCAGAGUUUGACGCAAUGGCUGGUUUGUUAUAACCGAGACUGGAAAUGCCUGAAAAUAUGGCCUCAACUUCCGAGCAGCAACCACAAGGGCAAGUGCCCAUUUCUCCAACGGUGGGUACCUGGUCUCAGCGUCGAGCAGGGCCUUGCUGGUGUAGUAUAUUGGAUACUGAACUCCUUCUUCCUCUCUCACCAGAACAGAACUGGCGGCCCGAUCCGAUACCGCCAGAUACAAAAAUAACUUGUCCCCAUCCCUCGGUGUGGAUAGCAGAGGGGCUUGCUGUAAAUACUGCUUCAAGUUCUGAAAGGCUUCCUCGCAUUCCGGGGUCCACUCUGUUUUCUUUCCCCUCCUUAUCACUUGAAAGAAUGGUUGACACUUAUCUGUAGCCUUGGAUAUGAAUCGGCUCAAUGCCGCCAAUCUCCCCGUAAGGUUUUGUAUUUCCUUCAGGUUACGAGGAGACCUCAUCUGCACAAUCGCCUGGAUCUUCUCGGGAUUUGCUUCGAUCCCCUGAUGACUCACCAUGAAUCCAAGGAACUUCCCCGACUCGACCCCAAAAGCACAUUUCUCUGGGUUGAGUUUCAUCUUAUACUUCCUCAAAAGCUCGAAUGUCUCCUCGAGGUGUCUGACAUGUUCCUUCGGGAUUUUGGACUUGGUGAUCAUGUCAUCCACGUACACCUCCAUGGUUUUCCCAAUCAACGGCUUAAAGACUUUGUUCACCAGCCUCUGAUAGGUGGCCCCAGCAUUUUUGAGACCAAAUGGCAUUACCCUAUAACAGAACAAACCCUGGUUAGUGAUGAAAGCCAUGCUCUCCUCGUCCUGCUCGUACAUGGGGAUCUGGUUGUAUCCCGAGAACGCGUCCAUGAAGCUAAGCAGAGCGUGUCCAGCCGUUGAAUCUACUAGCUGAUCGAUCUUUGGUAAAGGGAAGCUGUCCUUUGGGCUCGCCUUAUUGAGGUCUGUGAAAUCCACACACAUCCUCCACUUGCCAUUCGCUUUCUUUACCAACACCACAUUCGAUAUCCAUUCAGGGUAAUUGACUUCCCGAAUGAACCCUGCUCUCAAGAGCUUCUCCACCUCGCCAUUUAUAGCCUCAUACCUCUCCUGGUUAAAGCACCUCCUCUUCUGCCUUACUGCCCGAGCACCUUUCUUUAUUGCCAGCUUAUGACAUGCUACCUCAGGGUCAAUCCCUGGCAUGUCUUCAUGUGUCCAAGCAAACACAUCUGCAUGAGCCUGUAAGCAUUUCACCAACUCCUGCUUUUACUCUCCCUUAAGUCUCGACCCGAUUCUGAUUGUCUUUCCCGGAUUCUCUGGUCCCAGGCUUACAGUUUCCAGAUCCUCUACAGGUUCUUGUCUGCCAUUCUUGUUUUCCACUCGGGUAUCGAGGGAUGUUAUCUGCAUUGCUUCCCCUGUUUCCAUCGCUUUUCACUUGCUUUACUCCCCUUCUUGCUAUCAACAGAAGCUUUUUGAUCAGUUCCCCACAGACGGCGCCAAAAUGUUGAUGCGAGAUUCUGGUUGUCCUCGUUCUACGACCAGGCUCUCUGCUCGAUCAACUUCACCACGACCAGGAGGUCUCCUCGUAAGGCUUCUUCUCCAGAGGUUCCUGCGCACACAGACAAGUCAGAGUACGCCGGUUGUUUUCCCGGCGCAAACCCUCUGACGCUCAAGUCAGAUAUGAAGGUUCGGGGAACGCUUGCCACAGAUCUUAUGGCUUUUUCGUAGUUUUCUCUUCUAAUCUCAAAAUUGCUAACCUUUUUACCUUCGUUGGCUACCUUUUUAUAGGCUUCCUCUGAAUCCAGAUCUUCCGCAGUCCACGCCCGUCAUUCUCCCCACUCUCGGGUGUGGACGCCCCAUUACCGCCAUUGUCGACGAAUGGAGAUGGACCUCGUGCCUUAAUUCUCGGAUAGGAAUGCACGUCCUGCCAACUGUCGUUGACUGGGUCUCCUCGCCUCGAUGCCUAGCAGGAAUGACCUUAUGCCUCUAACAGGAGUUCGGCCUCACGAAUGGCAUAUUCGUGGACGAGCAGAAUACUCCUGCUCGUAUUCCCCUGCUACUUGGCUCUUGCAGGAUACCCCUGCUCGUAGAACCCUGCCACCAACCACCUACUCAUCAUGUUUGGUCGCCUCGAUGUAUUUCCCUCAAACAAAUAUAAUAAAAUUACAUGAAAUUAAAAUACAAUUGAAUAUAAACAAAUACAAUAUCAAUUAUCACAAUGCAACUAAUAAGUGUUUGUUUGCUAUAACUUAUCUAGUAGUUAUAAGUCUUAUUUAAUCUCAUAAGUUUCUAUCAAAAUUUUUAUUAUUGUUUGAUUUUUUUUAAUAGAACUUUUGAUUAUUAAAUAAGAUAUUUUAUCCCUAUUACUAAAAGCUUAAAUUUUGGGUUUUUGAAAGUAAAGGUUGAAAAGUUUUUUUAAAAUGUUAAAAUGUUUAAAAUAUUAUUUACUUAUUUGACAUUUUUAUUUUAAUAUUUUCAUAACAUAACUUUAAACAACUUACAUAUUAAAAUAAUUUUUAACUUUUAAUUAAACCUUUCACUGACAACUAAACAAUUAAAACUUUUAAAUAAAAACUUCAUUUAUAAAAACUCAACUAAUAAAAAACUUUACUUGAGUGUGCUCAAUUUAAAAAUGGAACCUAAAGACUAGAAUUUUGUUUUUUAAUAUUUAAUUGUCGGGCUGAAGGAUGGGACUCCCUAGCCCGAGCCCGAUCCGGCUGAAGUUCGAACACAUUAGAUCCUAACCCGACCCGAAGCAUAGUAGUCGAGCCAAAGCCCAGCUGGAGGGGGCGCUCACUUUUCUGCCAUUCCUAGCGGCGACUCGACUCAAGCCCUGGCUGGCUGGUCGUAGUUAUUGCGCAGUUCAGUUGACAGGCGUUGAUACAACGCUACGCGGGGUAUGCGCAGAGCCUUAACCUACACCCACUACAUUUCUCCUCUGUCCUCUCUAUAACUAGCUUUUCUCUUUUGCUUUUCGUUUCCCUCUUCUUUCAAAAUCAUCACCGAAUCAACAAAUAAUCUUUCACUCUGUCACUCACUAACAAAAAAUCAGGAAACGAUCAAUAAUUACCAAGUUAAUAGCAAAUUAACUGAACUGCUUCAAGCAAUAAUGGCUACUUUCGGUGCUGCUGCCGUUGCCACCAAUCAAAACCCUAACAAUUCCAUCGAGGUAUACUUUAUUUAUUUAUUUUCUUUUUUCUUUUUUCUUUUUUCUUUCCGAUAAUCUUUAAAAAUUAUUUACCUUUAAAUUUUCUUGUCGGUUUCUUGUGUAUGAUGAACUUGGCGACUGUUGAAUUAAUGCUUAUGAUGAUGUUGUAAGGAUUAAGUAGAAAGAUAUAUAAAUUAUUUAUUAUAUAUUUUUGUCAGGGUUAAGCUUAAUUGCUUGUGUUAAUGUAAAAAUUAAUUCUACAUUUUCGGAUAAAGAUUUUUUUUUAAUGCUAAAUAUGUAUGCGAAGCUAUGAUCAUUUGUUUGCUUGCUUUCUUGCUGAACGGAUUGUUGAAAGCGAACCAAUUGCUAAGCUUGUGAAUGUGUUGGAGUUUCAGUGUAAAAGAACAGUAGUUAGUAAGUGAAUCACACUGUUAAGUUUAUAUUAGGUUAAUGAAGAUAAGUUUUCUACAAUUGGUCAUGUAAAAGUUUGAUGCACCAAAUUUUCAAAUGAGAUAAAUUGUUUCUGGUCAUAGGUUCCAAAUUUAUACGCUAGAUGUUGAUAUCAUGUAGGUGUAUGUGAAGUGUAGUUCUCUCAUUGAAGCUUCGUUUGAUACUUGAGUAAGCUUGGUUGAUCUUUUAAUAUAAAGAUGCUGUUAGAAAAGUAGUAUUUACGUGAAAUUUUUCAAUGGCAGGUGUCUCAACCUCCCAAUGAUUCUGUUUCAAGCCUUUGUUUCAGUCCCAAGGCCAAUAUCUUGGUUGCAACCUCAUGGGAUAAUCAGGUUUGUCCAAUCGGGUUCUGUUCUUUUUUUAUACCUUUAGUUAUGCCUUUCUGUUUGUUGGUUAACAUCCUUGAUAUUCCCAUUCGUCUUGUUUGAAUGCUUUCACAGGUAAGGUGUUGGGAAAUUUCACACAGUGGAACUGCUGUGGCCAGUGUGCCCAAGGCAUCAAUUUCGCAUGACCAUCCGGUAAUCUAAAGCAAGAUUUGUGGUAGUUAGAAUAACAUACUGUUGAAUUUGUGAUUGCUGAUAAUUUAACCUUUUUCUUAUCUUUGAAAUUUGAAGGUCCUAUGCUCAACAUGAAAGGAUGAUGGAACUACUGUCUUCUCUGGAGGAUGUGACAAGCAGGUCAAGAUGUGGCCUUUGCUCUCUGGUGGUCGGUCAGCCAGUGACUGUUGCUAUGCAUGAUGCGCCAAUUAAGGAGGUUACUUGGAUUCCAGAGAUGAAUCUACUUGCUACAGGAAGCUGGGACAAGACAUUGAAGUAAGAUUUUUUCGCUUCUUUUUAUUUAAAAUUGCAGUCUAUGUCGCAUUUUGGUUGGGGCAGUAAAUUGGUUUUAUAAUUAUAAGUUCAUCUGUUAGAAGCCUUCGUUGUGCAGUUGAGUGUAAUGACCUUGCCAAGUGGGACAAUAUGUGCAUGUGGAUAGUUAAGUGGUCAGUUCACAUGACCUCGAACAGAAGAGUGACCAUGUUGUGUUCAGAUGAACGAAUGGAACUGUUGUGCGUGUUUUGCUCUGCCACAGUAACUUGUACUGACAAUUACUGAUGCUCAAAGUGGAUAUGAGCUGGCAGGGGCUAUGGAUUCUCAAAUUGUCAGCACUCUUUGUCCAUACUUAUAUAAUUUAGGUGUUGUUUAAAGAGAAACAUCCAUGAUGAGUGCUUUAAUAUUGUAGGCUUUUCUCUUUCUUUCUUCUCUAAGUCGUGGGUGUCAUGCUCUUUUCUUUCUCCUUUUGGGUUUACAGUAUAUCCUUUCGUUUUAUUUGGUAUCUGAUGUGGUCAACAGUUUACUGUGUCUCCAUGUGGUGCCUUGUGUUAUCUGUAAGCACUUUGUCCGAUUUUUUGUGUAGUUGAUCAGUCACUUAUACUCUCUUGAUGUUCUUGUAUUUUGAGUUCCUUACCCUCUUAAUGUUGCAAUAUGUAAUUAGGUACUAGGAUACAAGGCAGCCAAAUCCUGUUCACACUCAACAGCUGCCUGAUCGCUGCCAUGCAUUUACGGUGAGAUAUCAACUUAUGGUUGUUGGCACUGCAGAUAGAAAUCUAGUUGUCUUCAACUUGCAGAAUCCUCAGGUAUUGUUUUUUAUUCCAUGAGAGCAUUGAUUUAUGUGUAAGUUAAAUGGGCAAAUUUAGUGCAGGCAGCUGAAGCAUGUGUUUUGUGUGGCAGCAGCUGCUGCGACAUUAGUAGUUGGCUGACUAAUUUAUAAAAAACUAUUUGUGAUUCUAUCAUUAUUGAUGAAUUAAUAAAGUGAAUUAGUUUAUCUUUUAGUGGUUUUGUGCAUUUUAAUGUGUAAAUAGUGUUACUCAAAAACAAAUAUGACUAGUAGAAAACUGGAAAUAUAUAUAUAAAGUGUACUAGAGAUGAUAUAAUUUUACUAUUUUCAAAAAAAAAAAAAAAAAAAAAAAAAAAUAGUAUCUAUGGCAGCUUGUGCUUGUAGCCCAGUGGUAUGAGGCUCAUUCUCUUCAAUAUUAGUGAGAGCAGAUAUUUGAGCUUAUUACUUCUCUAGAGUCCUAUAAAUUUUAGUGAUUUCAAAUUGUAUAUAUCUCUAAAAAAUAAAAAUAAAAAUAAAAAAGAUUUCUCAGAAAAAAGAAAAGAAAAAAAAAAAGAAACUCUAGUACAUAAGUUUGCAUUGUGUUGUUAGACUUGGAAAAGUCUCGACAGUGAUUGGAUAGAUUUUUAUUUGUUUAACAAUUAAAGAUGUUACUUCUGAUAAUAAAACACUCAUUGAUUUAGAAAAAUUAAUCAUUCGAUCAUCGAUCUCAAUGGAUCGCUUUGCAAUCUUCAUUAUUCUUGUUUCCUUGCUGCUGUCUUCUUGAUACUAGCACCACCUUCUCAUUUACAUAUCUUAACUAAAGCUUUAAUUUCUUUUAGUUUCUCCAUCAUUCAGGGGAGGAUUUGAUGAUUUGCUAUUGUGUGAGGAGAAGCCAAGAAGCAGAUGUAGAGGGUUGUUAAUUUUGGGGAUAAUUAUUUUUCAGUGGGGACAAUUUUAUAAAAAGAAUUUAAUAAUGAAUCAAUUUUAUAAAUUGUCUUUUGUGGUGGGCACGAACUGACAUUUUACAACUCAAAAUAUUAGCGAAAGUUCGAAACGAUUUUCUUCUCUCUCAAAUCUUGCUCGCCGCUCUCAAUUGAAAAAACAGAGCCCUCUGCUCUCACUUCUCAGCUCUUUUUUGGUACUCCAUUGAAAUUCAUAAAAUAAUGAUAAUGAGACUAUUAUUGAAUAUUUUUAAAAUAUGAAAAAGCACUGGGAACAAGUGUGAGAAUCUUUUUACUAAUAUCUAGGGGUGGGCAAACGGUUCGGUUUUUGCCGAACCGAACCGAAAAAUUCGGUUCGGUUCGGUUCGGUUCUAUGAGCAAAAACCGAAUGGUUUAAAAAAUACUGAACCAAUUGGUUUUAAUUCGGUUCGGUUCAAAACCGAAUUGAACCGAAAAACCGAUCGGUUCGGUUUAAUUCAAUUACAAAUAUUUAAAAUCAAAUUUCAAUUUCAAUCACAAAAUUCAAAUCCCUAAAGCUAAAUCGCGAUUGCAUACUGCCCUUGCCUCUCUCCCUCGCGCCUCUCCCUCGCGUCUCUUUCUCCUCACGGCGGAGCUCCACAACGGCGGCACCACCCCUUAGCAGUAUCUUCCCCCUCUGCGCGUGCAUGGUGCGGUUCGGCGCAGCCCCUCUCGGUCUCUUCCUCGCGUCUCUUCCUCGUCUCACACCACGGUCAGCGCCUAACACAGCCCCUUAGUAGCAGCACAGCCCCUCCCCUCAAGUACAGCGACGCCGUCGUUAACCCUCAGCUUGGUUGCUGCAGCAUCUGGAAGGUACAUAUGCUCCUUGGUCCAAACCUCCUGGCUCCUGCCAUCAGCCCGCGUCUUUAAUCUUCACUGCUGCAGGUUUUUUUUUUUUUUGUUAAUCCAUGUUGUGGACUUGGUUAAUAGUUUGAAGUUUAUGUUGGUGUAUAUUGGUUGUUGGCAGUGUGGAAAUUGGAAUUGUAUAAUUGUAUAUUUGUCGAAUUAUAACAUAGUGUGGAAUUGCUGGCACGGCAGUGUGGAAUUGUAUAAGUUAUGAGAAAACGAUUGUGAAAUGCUUCUAAUUUCAUUGACUAUGAUUAAUUUGGGAAAAAAGCUUUACAAUGAUUCCGUGUCUGUUUCAAUUUCUUUUAGAUUUUCUCUUCUCACAGUUUAAGCGUUGCUCAUGCCACUGGAAUUGGUUACUUCAAUUCCAUUACUAGGCCGAAUAAUUAAAUGAAAUAGAGCUUGUGCCUUUCUUGUGGAGCCUUACAUAUUAAAUUUGAUUCAAUAAUAAAUAUUAAGAAUAUUCAAUUGAAUAUAACUUGCGGAAGGUAUAUUUUGUAAAACUUUAAUUUAAAUUUCUGUAAUGGCUUGGGAAAGUAGAUUGAGAUUAUCCAAAUGUGCUUAAUUCAGUUCAAUACUUCAAAUUAUUAAAUAAAUCAUUUUUCUUAUUUCUUUUUAUUUGAUUUAUUUUAGAUGUCUAAUUAUUCAAGAGUUCAAGACAACCUUGAUUGUGUAGCCGAUGAUUUGGAACAUGAAGUUGAAGUUAAUGAUAAUGAAAAUGAUUCGGCAACAAUUGUCACUGGUGGAAACAAGCGAAAAAAGUCAUCCUCAUCCAAACCACCACUACCAAGGAAAAAAAUGGCUCCAAGAUCACCAGUGUGGCAACAUUUCACUAGAGUUCCAAAUGAUCAUACAAAGUGUAAAUGCAACUACUGUGGUCAAGAAUUUGAAUGUGGGACGGUCGGGUACGGGACUAGCACUUUGAGAACUCAUAAUCGUGAAAGAUGUCAAAAGUUCAAGGACUUGCAAAAAAACCAAACAAUAUUAACUCAAGAUGUUGGUAGUGAUGAAGUUGUAGCAAGGGGAUUUAGUCAAGAAGCUUGUAGACGGGCAACCGUGAAAAUGAUUGUUCUUGAUGAAUUGCCUUUUUCUGUUGUGGAGAAUGCAGGUUUUAGGCAUUUCUGUAGUGUUGCAGCUCCGAGAUAUCUUCUCCCAUCACGAAGAACCAUUAGUAGGGAUACUCUUGAGAUGUAUUUGGAGGAAAAGGUUAAGUUGAAGAGUUUAUUAGCGGGGAAUAAGCAGAGAGUAUCUUUGACCACGGAUAUUUGGACUUCCAUUACAACAGCUAGCUACAUGGUCAUCACCGCUCACUUUAUUGAUAGAGAUUGGAACUUACAUAGGAAGAUUAUCAGUUUUAACACUAUUAAUGAUCAUUCAUCGGAGACCAUUGGUAAGCAACUUAAAAAAUGUUUAAUUGAUUGGGGUAUCGAGCGAGUGUUUACUGUAAGUGUUGACAAUGCAAGUCCAAAUGAGGGUGCUCUUAGGUACUUGAUUGAUAGAGUAAAGACUUGGAGGGAUGAUGGCUUAGUGUUGAAUGGAGAUUAUUUGCAUGUUCGUUGCUGUGCACACAUAUUGAAUUUGAUCGUUACUGAAGGGUUGAAGGAAUUAGAGCAGAGUAUAGUUAGUGUUCGGAAUGCGGUGAAGUAUGUGAGAUCUUCCACUGCUAGGAUGCAAGCAUUUCAAAUUCGUGUGCAACAAGAGAAGAUUAAAUGUCGAGGAAGUGUGAUUUUGGAUUGUCCCACUAGGUGGAAUUCAACAUAUUCCAUGUUGAAUACGGCAUUAAAAUUUAAGCCGGCAUUUGAUCGAAUGGCACUUGAAGAUAAGCUUUAUGAUGCUUAUUUCAAUGAAAAAGAGGGUGGAAAGAAGAAAAGGGAGGGACCGCCAUUGUACAGUGAUUGGGAAAAUACUCGACGCAUAGUUAAGUUUUUAAAGACGUUUCAUGAUGCGACUUUGCAAUUUUCUUCAUCUUUGAAGGUAACAUUAAAUCUUUAUUAAAUUUUUUUAAUUUUUGAUAUAUAAUAAUCCGAUGAAGUUUAUUUUAGCUUUAUUAACAUUGUUUUUAUUUAUAUAAUAGAAUAUAAAAGAUAAUUAAAAAAAUUCUAUAAGCUAUAUUAUUUUUUUUAUGAGCUAUAUUUUUUUAAUUUUUGAUAUAUAAUAAUAUGAUGAAGUUUAUUUUAGCUUUAUUAACAUUAUUUUUUUUUUAGGUGACAUCAAAUAUUUGUUACAAUUUGAUAUGUCAAAUUGAACAAUCUUUGGGAUCAUUGUCCACUAGUAACGAUAGUCUUUUGAGUUUCAUGGCAAUUAAAAUGAAGGAAAAAUUUAAUAAGUAUUGGGAUGGUUGUUUCAAGAUAAAUAAGUUGUUGAUUGUUGCUUCCGUACUUGAUCCAAGAGGAAAAAUGAAAUUCGCAACACAUUGCUUUGAGAAAUUAUAUGGCAAGGAUAGUGCCAAAUGUGUUGAGAUGAAGGAAAUGAUCAAGAAUUUAUUGAUUAAGCUUUAUGAGUCUUAUAAUGCACAAUACAAACCGAGUGGAAGUGGGAGUGCAAGUGGAAGUGCAAGCGGAAGCACAAGCGAGAGCCAAAAUUUAACUAGUGGAAGUGGAAGUGGUUCGCAUUUUUGGGAUUUGGAUGAUGAUGAUGAUGUUAUGAUUGAGGAUCCUUUCUCCGAAUUUAGUAAAGUGGUUGCGGUUAGUGAAGGUAGCCCGGAGUUAUCAAAUGAGUUGGAUCUUUACUUGAUGGAGAAGACUGAAAAAAUUGCAAAAAGUAAUUUGGGCACUAAAUUUGAUAUUUUAUUGUGGUGGAGGGUGAAUAGUGCCAAUUACCCAAUCUUGUCAAGUAUAGCAAGGGAUGUUCUUGCUAUUCCGGUGUCUACUGUUGCCUCUGAGUCUGCCUUUAGUACUGGAGGUCGUAUAUUAGAUCAGUAUAGAAGCUCUUUGACUCCAGACAUGGUGGAAGCAUUGGUAUUGUUACAGAAUUGGUUGCGGACUUCUCUUUUUGUGGAUACAACGACGGACCUAAAUAAAUUAGUUGAAGACAAUAAGUUUAUGGAUCAACUUGCGGAAGGUAUAUUUUGUAAAAUUUUAAUUUUAAUUUACUUUUUAAGUAUUAUCAAUAUUAUAUAAUUUGUUUAAUUUUAAUCUAAGUUUAUUUUUUAAGUAUUACUAACCUUGUUCAAUUUAUCCAAUUUUUGUAUGUAGAACUUCGCAAAUCAACAACAGUCGACCAACUUUGUAGGUCAACAUGAAAAUUGCGGUUGAACAUAAACCAUUUUAGGUAAUUAAAUUGAUAUAUAUUUAUUAAUUAAUUAUUAAAUCGCUUUAUUUUAUUUAGUUUAAUUAUUGAGUGCUUUGGCUUAUUUUGAAAGUUUGAAUUUUGAUGUAGGUGAUGUGGGUGGCGGAUGAAAUUGUUGCUUGUGUAUUGAAGUUGAAGGCUUCUCUUAUUUUGUUUUGUUUAGAGUAUGGGAUUUUCAUGUAGAUGAUGUGGGUGGUGGAUGAAAUUGUUGCUUCUCUUAUUUUGUUAUUUACUUGAAGGCUUUGUAUUAGGACUUUUGUUAUUUUGUUUUUUACUUGAAGGCUUUGUAUUUGAAGUUGUUGAUUGUGUAUUGUAGACUUAUUGUGUUUUAUUUUUCUUGUUGUGAACUUAUAUUCUGUAAAAUGUAGGGGAAAAUUGUAAAAUGCAGUAAAAUUAGGCGAAAAUUGUAAAAUGUAGUAAGAUUUGGUUAAAACUGUAAAAUCUAUAAAUAUGUGCGAACCGAACCAAACCAAACCAAACCGAACCGAAUUUUAGAACCGAACCGAACUGAACCGAAAUAUUUCGGUUCGGUUCUAAAAUUCGGUUCGGUUUGGUUUGAAUUUUUUUGAACCAAUUGGUUCUGGUUCGGUUCGGUUCGGAGCCCGAACCGAACCGAACCGGAAAAUGCCCACCCCUACUAAUAUCAUUGAGUAUUAAACUGUAAAAAAUUAUUUUCACUAAUUCUUUUAUUAUAACAUUGUCCCCAAUGAAUUAAUUUCCCGGAUCAUCUAUGUACAAGAACCCUCUGUUUGAAUUUUUUUUUUUACUAUUUUUUUCCCAUUGUUAAAUUUUCGCAUAUGUAUCUUUCAAGUAUAAAAUCCGUUUUUUUCUCUUUUUUUUCUUAAUCCUGUUUAAUAAGAACUGGAGUUAAUCUCAAAUGUUAAUUGUUUGUUUUGAGAAACAUAGUUCUAUGUGUACGUGACUUUUAAUUUCUGUUAUUUCCUUUUUUCAGAUGUGACUUUGAACAUUAUUAUAAAAUAUUGGUUGUAGAAAUUUUUAUUUUUAACUAAAUGAUAUAUUUUUACACUUGCCCAUUUACUUUUUCUUGAUAAAAUUAUAAUGAUUAUAGACAUUAAGAAAUUAAUUACCACGUGCAUUAAAUAAUGAAUUACUGAAAAAGUUGUUUUAUAAAAAAAAAUUCUACCACAUAUAUUUUCGCUGUUUUUAUAUUGUCAAACAAAUAAAAAACAUAUUUUACUGUUCUUAUUUUUAUAUAUUGUUUAGAAAAUAAAUUACCAAAUACCUUUUCAAUUUGGGAAUAUCACAUCAAAAACCUAUUUUACUUCUUUAAAAUAAAUAUAGAAAACACCAAUCGAAAAAAUGACACCAAAAGCACCAUUAGUGUCUGCAGUCUCAAUUGGAGUUUUUUUUUUUAUGUCGUUAUUCUUAUCGAUCACUGUAGCAGCAUUUAACCAACGCAUGCAUCCAAUCUUUUUUUCUAGCUGAUCCUUCUAAGUCUUGCCUAAAUUAAUUAGUUUGAACUUUUGUAUAGCAUCAGUGCAAAAGCUUAUCCGAUUGAUAGUGAUAAAAUGAUCAUAAAUUUGAUUUUUACUCAUUUAUUACUUUCAUGCGACCUCAUUUUGUAUAUCAAAAUUGGUAUGAGAAUAUAUAUGUUUUUUUAGGUGUAGUCUGAAUCUAAAUUAAAAAUAAAAUAAAAGAAAAUAAUAAGAAGGGGAGAAAGGAGAUUUUGAUAAAAGGGCAAUUGACAAAAUCAGUGUCUAAACGACAAUAUUUUGGUCGUUAGUUACAACCCAAAAAACAGAAAAAAAAAUUAAAAAAUCAUUUUAAUGGUGACCUGAAGUCGGCCUUGGCUUUUUCCUAAAUACAUGAAUUAUACACGUUGCAACAUUUGGAAUAAUCAUUUGAUCGAUCUCAAUGGAUCGCUCUGCAACUCCUAUUAUCUCCUUGUUAUUAUUGUCGAUUGUUCCGGCAGCAGUGGCCAUUCUAGGCUUGAUUUUCUACUGUGUGAGGAGAAAGCCUAGAAGCAGAGGUAAAAGUUUCUCAUUUAAUCGCACGAUUUUGAGAGUUGAAUAUACGUACGUACGUACGUACGUAGACAUAUCUUAAUUAAAGCUUUAAUUUCUUCACCAUCCAGGAGAGGAUUUGAUGAUGUUUGAUUUGGAUUUGAACCUGAAAGCCGAUAAUGUUAUCAUCGAGCUUCCUGCAAACAAUAAGCAGGCAAAAAGAAGCAAAAAGAAGGAAGUUGACCAACUGCCCUUAUUCAGUUUUUCCAGUGUUUCUACUGCAACAAAUAAAUUCUCCGACGCAAAUAAGCUCGGAGAGGGUGGCUUUGGCCCUGUUUAUAAGGUACUACAGAUAUCCUUUUCUUUGGAGCAAUAAUUUCAUUUUUAACAGAACUAUAAAUUCACCAUCUUCAGGGAGUGUUAAAAAAAGGAGAUGAGAUAGCUGUGAAAAGGCUUUCGGGAAGAUCUGGACAAGGAUUGCGAGAGAUGAAAAAUGAAGCUUCGGUGAUAGCCAAGGUUCAGCACAAGAAUCUUGUUAGGCUUUUAGGCUGCUGCAUAGAUAAAGAUGAGAAGAUUCUGAUCUAUGAGUACAUGCCUAACAAAAGCUUGGACUUCUUUCUUUUUGGUUAGUGUUUUGCAAUUUUUUCUUAUUCUCACAUAUUCCUUACUUCAAAUUUUAUUCAUACAUUUGUUUAAACUACUAUUUAAUACGAAAUUUUAUAUCAAAAAUUUAUUUAAACUAGAAUUUAGCUUAUAUUACAUUUCCAAAUUCUAUUCAUUAGUUUAUUUAAAAUAGCAUUUAGCAUUUAAUUUAAGAUUAUAUAUCAAAAUUUCAUUCAAUAAUUUAUUAAAACGUGUACAUAAUAUUAAAUAUCAAAAUUAUUCAAUUAUUAAUUUAUAUUGAAAUUGAAUAUCUCAUAUAAUAUUCAAUAAUUAACAAUAAACUUUAACAAAUAAUCAUACUUUUCAAAUAGUUUUUUUAAUCAUAAUUUUUAAAUAGUUUUUUUUUUAAACUUCCUUAAAUUGGAUUUAAUAGCAUCUGGUCCAAUACUAAACCAAACACAAAACAUUACUAUAAAAUAAUUCAAUCUAAUCCAAUCCACUUCAAUCUUAAUAACUAGUCCAAUUCAAUCCUUUGUUUACCUAACCUAAAAGAAUAUUUAGCAUUUACUAUUUCGUUUAGCUAUUUUUAAGUUUAAUGAUUAACAUCAUCCAAUUAUCAGAUUUAAAAGAAAAAUUAAGUCACUAGAUCAAUUUACGUCAGAUUAUGCGGUCAACAUUUUUUAUUUUCAUACAUAAUGACAUUUAGUCUUUUUGUUGUAAAUUAGAUCCAACCAAGCGAAUGUUAUUAGAUUGGGUAACACGUGUUCAGAUUAUUGAAGGGAUAGCUCAAGGACUUCUUUAUCUUCAUCAAUAUUCUAGGGUACGAAUUAUUCAUCGAGAUUUAAAAGCUAGUAACAUCUUGUUGGAUAAAGACAUGAAUCCCAAAAUAUCAGAUUUUGGAAUGGCAAGAAUUUGUGGAGGAAAUGAGUUACAAGCAAACACUAGUAGGAUCGUUGGGACUUAGUAAGUAAAUGACACAAACCAAAAUUAAAGUGAUUAAGUUAUGCAUAAAUUACUGAUUAUUAUUUAUUAAUUAUUGAAUUACAGUGGUUAUAUGUCCCCGGAAUACGCACUCGAAGGAAUAUUUUCAAUUAAAUCCGAUGUUUUUAGCUUUGGAGUAUUGUUGCUUGAGAUUGUAAGUGGCAAGAAGAACACUGGACUUUAUCGAACCGACUCUCUCAAUCUGCUAGGUUAUGUAAGUAGCAAAAGCGAUUACACAUAUUCUUUUUAUAUUACUUAGGUGAAAAUAUUUAUUAAUUCCCAAGUCAUGCUCAGGUGUGGACAAGCACAAUGUGAAAACGUUUGAAUUUUUGCACCUGACAUAAACUAUUCUCUAUAUCGAGUGUAGGACUAUCUAAUAACACCGUAUGGUUGUUCAGGCAUGGGAUCUGUGGACAAGCAACAGGACAUUGGAGUUGAUUGAUCCAAUAUUAGAAGAUGAAUAUUCCUCCAAGCAUAUGCUUUUAAGAUAUGUGAACAUAGCUCUCCUUUGUGUACAAGAAAGUGCUGAUGAUAGACCCACCAUGAAUGAUGUUGUAUCCAUGCUUACAAAUGAAGCUGCAGCAUUACUUCCUCCCAAACAACCUGCUUUUUCGUUUGUAAGAAAUACAGUCACUUCAACAUCGUCCACCGGCAAGACAGAAGAUUGUUCAGUCAACCAAGUAACGAUUUCAAUUUUAGAAGCGCGCUAACUUUUAUUUUAAUGUGUAUCGAGUCCUUUUUUGGGAAAUGGUUUCAAGGAUUUUUCCAAAAGUUGCAAAGAUUAUGUAAGUUAAUUCAUACACUUUGGGGUUAGGUUGUUAUAAUUACUCCUCUGAUCUAUUAUUUGAACUGAGUUUCCUAUUUUUGACUCGCUAGUGUGAAAUGUUAAAAGUCAAUAUGUAUUGACCAUUUGAAGAAUAAUUAAGUACACCAAAAUCUUGAGUGCUAGCUGUUAGCCUUAUUUUCCCGUUCAUUUUAUAACGUGCAUGCGUCUUUCAAUCAGUCAUUAUAACUAAAUGUAAUAAUGCGAGAACCGAAUUCAAUCAUAAGUUGGCUCUUCUUUGGACCAAUAAAAUCACUAUCAAAUGUUAGCUCUAACCUUACAAGACUUUUCAAAGUCUACAGGUCCCGCAAGCAAAUCAAAGUUGGUUUUGAAGCGAGGACGAAUUGCAUUCAGUCAAUUAUUAGAUUUUUUUUAUUAAAAAAAAAAAGUGGAGGGAUGGUCAAAAAUCAAAUUAAUCUUUUAUUUUCUAUUUUCUCCAAAAUUCAAACUUAAUUAGGCGAUCAUCUAAAUAAGAAUACUUGAAAACUACUGGCUAAACUCCUGAGACUAAUUAUUAGAUAUUAUAUGGAGUAAUGUCCCUGAUUUUUAUUGGUUCAAGGGGUCUGAUACUAUCACGAUUCUGAUAUAUAAAAAGCCAUGCAUGGAACCAUUAUUUUCGUUCAAUGGGAUCAGAAUCAACAAACUACGAACUUUGGGAGGCCAAAAUCAACAAUUUGUAAACAGAGGGAGUGAGAGUAUAAGGACAUAUGUAGAGUCCAAAGAAAUGAACUAAAUUUCAAUUAAUGUCCUUAUCUUGCUAUGAAUUAUAUAAUUAUAAUUACAGAGAGACACUUUUAAAUAAAAUUUGGACACAAUAUUCUGACAAUUAAAUUAAAGCUAAGCAAGAGUUAAUAUUGAAGUUGACAUGCCUUUUUUAAGUUUUAAAAACCAACAAAUUAAUGUAGUAGAUCUCCAUAUAAUAAGAAAUUAUUGAUCAUUUUUCUCUCUCUUGCUUAACAUAUUCCCUCUUUUAUAUAUGCAAAAUUAUUUUGUCCAUCAAAAUUCGUACCAGAACAUAUUUGUUUCUACGUGAAUAUAUAUUAAAAAUAAAAUAAAAUAAUAAGGAGAGAAGGGGAUUUUGGAUAAAAGGAUGAUCACCAAAAUCACUAUCAAAACGAUUAUGUUCUAGUUGUUAGUAAAAAGAAAAAAAAAAAUGACAUGAUUUGAAUGGUGAUUUUUAUCACCACUUUGCACUUUGUUCAAAUAGCAUUACAUGGGUUUUGAUUGUUUAGUGUUUGCUCCUAACUCAUUCCCUUAAAAAAUUAUCCUGAUUUCAAAAUCCAAUAAUUUAGGAUUCAUGUCUUUGUCCAACAACAUGUUAUUAUUCUUUUCUUCUUUCAAAUCCAUGUGAGUAAUCAGCGCACGGUGCUUACAAGUCUUCCCUGCUGACCUGAAGUCCUCUUCGGCUGCUUUCUAAUUAAUUAACUUGGGCUACCUUUACUCUGUUAUAUUACAUAUACAUUGCAACUUGCAAGUUCCAUUCCUUCUCUGAGUUUCAUUUCAACUACUAUUAGACCCAAUCAUGAGAUCAAUUUUACUCUUAUCAUGGCUUUUCUCGAUACCCUUUUUAGCCAAUUAUUUGGGAUGCAUAUGGUUUGGGUGUCUGGCCAAUGUCAAGGCGAUAAAAAAUUGCUCCAUAUUUGACGUUGAAAUUAAUAGUUUAUGUUUUAUAUUGAAUUAUAAGUAAAUUACCUCUUGCAAAAAUAUGAAAUACUGAGGCUAACGAUGUGCCUUGAAGAGCGAUAUCAAGAUUAAUAUGGAAAAACACGUGCGAUCGGAUUCAAAAUUGCAAUGACACAAUCAAGAGCCAUCCAUUUUAUAUGACGAACCCAUUAAUUAUGAGGUAGAGAUUAAACAAAGUUAUAAUCAAUAGGAUUAAUUUUAUCUAUCAAAUCAAACUGACCACUUUUUAAAAAAUUGGAGACGAUUAUCAUUUUGUACAUAUGGGUCCAAUCCACAGAGAGCUUCGCCGAAGCUGAAAGCAGUGGAUAAAGUAGCGGAUACUCAUAAUCUGAUUGAUCUUUGGAUUUUCAGUCCAUGUCCUAUUGUGAUACUUACAUUACAUAUGAAAGAUCAACAAUACAUAUGAGAGAGGAUAGUGGCUAUAAACGCCUAUAUAGCUAGCUUUAAACACCAGUUGAACAGGGACAUCUUUUAUUAAAAAGAUAUAAUGGAAUUAACAAAAUAGAUAUUAGAAGGAUUUUGUUUUUGGAAAUUCUACAUUUUUUGAAAUGUCGAUAACAGAGAGUUUUAAGAGAACCCCAGACUUUUCAAGAGAGUUCUAGCUAGUAUUGGGACUAGCUCAUCCACACAGAAUAAACAUUCACAAGUUUUAUUUGAUGGUCCAUUUUCUUAUAAAUUUUAGAAAGUUUUUAAGUCGAUUAUAGUGCCAUUCAAAGCAACAAAGACUAAUGAAGCUGCACCAAGGUCCAAUAUUAAUCUCAGCACAGUGAGUUCUCAUUCUCAACGCCGUUCCUGCUUUGAUACUAACUAUUACGAAUCUAUUAAUUGGUAUAACUCACCAUUAACAAUCCCACAACUUGUAAUAAAAUAUUGCCCAUAAUUCGUACAUACAAAUUUAGAAUAUUAUUUUCUGUCCAAAUAGAGUUUAGGAUCACAACAAAGUUAAUAAACCAACAAAAAUAAAGUACAAAGACAUGGUUCAUAACCACCAUCUAAUUUGAAAAAUAGAUCAACUGCAGCAGAAGAUUCAGUAAGUUAAUAGAUACCGUUAAGUCAGGUUGUUGUAGUAACUCAUGUGAUCUAAUAAUUUUCACUUGCUUUCUACCAGGGAAAUAUAAGACUCCUACUCUUCAAUUUUUCAAUCUUAACCUAUUCAUGUCUGCCAACAUGUUACGACUCUUCUUUUCUGUCAAAACCGCGUGAAUAAUCAGCGCAUGGUGCUUACAAUUCCAUCAUGCUGACCUGAAGUCCUCCUCGGCUGCUUUCUAAUUAGUAAUUCGUUAACUUGGGCCACCUCUGCUAUAUUAUAUCAGUCUAUAUUACAUAUACAUUGCAACUUGAAAGUUUCAUCCCUUCUAUGAGUUUCAUUUCAACUACUAUUAAACCCAAUCAUGAGAUCAAUUUUACUCUUAUCAUGGCUUUUCUUGACACCCUUUUUAGUCAAUUAUUUUGGGAUGCAUAUGGUUUUGGUGUCUGGCCAGUGUCAGAGCGAUCAAAAAUUGCUGUUAAUCCAGAUGAAGAACAGCUUCAUAUUUGACGUUGAUUCUACUCCACCUGCAAAAAUGAGUCAGUGGAGUGAAAGCACCGAUUGUUGUGAUUGGAACGGAGUAGAUUGCGAUGAGGCUGGUCAUGUUAUUGGUCUCGACUUGAGCGCGGAACCAAUACUCAUCGGCAGUCUUGAGAACGCAUCUGGCCUUUUCAGUCUUCAAUAUCUGCAGAGUCUAAAUUUGGGUUUCACUCUCUUCUACGGAUUCCCUAUGCCAUCCAGGUUGGCCAACCUCACAAAUUUGACUUACCUGAAUCUUUCUCAUUGUGGCUUCACAGGGUAGAUUCCUACUGAGAUUUCAAGCCUGCCAAGGUUGGUUACUCUUGAUUUGUCAAGUCGUGAGCCCAUAAGCGGAUUUUCCUGGAGACUUGAGAUCCCAAAUUUCAACUUUUUUCAGAACUUAACAGAGCUCAGAGAACUGUACCUUGAUAAUGUAGAUUUGUCAGGCCGCAGGACUGAAUGGUGCAAAGCUAUGUCUUUUCUGCCUAAUCUACAAGUUUUAAACUUGUCUAACUGUCUUCUUUCAGAUCCUAUAAAUCAUCACCUGGCAAAUUUACUGUCACUCUCAGUUAUUCGUUUGCGUGACAAUCAUGCUGUGUCAUGUCAAGUGCCAGAGUUUGUGGCCAAUUUGUUAAAUUUGACCACCUUGGAUCUCAGCCAGUGUGAUUUGCACGGGAAGUUUCCAGAAAAGGUAUUGCAGGUACCUACACUUGAGACUCUUGACUUGUCAUAUAACUCAUUGCUUCAGGGUUCUCUACCUCACUUUCCUAAGAAUUCUUCUCUUCGGAACCUGAACCUGAAGAACACGAGCUUCUCGGGCAAACUACCAGAUUCCAUUGGGAACCUUGAAAAUUUGGCAAGUGUAGAUGUUAGCAGUUGCAAUUUCACUAGGCCAAUUCCCACUUCAAUGGCUAAUCUCACCCAAUUAUUUCACUUGGACUUCUCAUCUAACCAUUUCUCAGAUCCCAUCCCAACUCUUCGGCUUUACAUGUCAAGAAAUCUCAACUACCUAAACCUUUCGUCUAAUGAUUUAACUGGGGGGAUCUCAUCAAAUAUUCUUUGAAUUCAGAAACCUUGAGACCCUCGAUCUUUCUUCCAACAAGUUUAGCAGAUUGAGAUUGGCUUCAAGCAAACCGAGGGUCAUUCCUAAUCUGACGAACUUGGACCUUUCAAAUAACCAAAUAUCUGGGGAGGUACCAAAUUGGAUUUGGGAAGUUGGUAGUGGCCAAUUUUACACCCUAAAUCUUUCACACAAUCUUCUAGAGAGCUUGCAAGAACCUUACUCUAUUCCUGGAAUCGGAUUACUUGACCUGCACUCUAACCAACAUGUCACCAAAUACUUCCUACGUGGAUUACUCCAACAAUAAUUUUACUUCAAUCCCAGCCGAAGAUUGUGUGAAACUGCCUUCUUUUCUGCUGCAAACAAUAGUCUCACUGGAAUCAUCCCGGAAUCUGUGUGCAAGGCCAACUAUUUUCAAGUUCUUGACUUAUCAAACAACGACAUGAGUGGCACAAUUCCUACGUGUUUAAUCACCAAUAGUAGCAGGACCCUUGGCGUUUUAAAUUUAGCGAGAAACCACCUCAAUGGCACUCUUUCUGAUACAGUUCCAGGUGGAUUGCAAAUUCUAGAUAUCAAUGGAAAUCAACUAGAAGGAAUGGUUCCAAAAUCUCUUGUCAAUUGCAACAUGUUGCAGGUUUUUAACAUAGGGAAUAACCAGAUCAGUGAUAAAUUUCCAUGCUGGUUAAAGAAUGCCUCUGGUUUACAAGUUCUGGUUUUGCGAUCCAACAAAUUCUCAGGAAAUAUUAGUUGUCCGAGAAAUAAUGUCUCCUGGACCCAGCUUCAAAUAGUCUACUUAGCUUCCAAUAACUUCAGUGGAAGGCUAUCACAAAAAUGGUUACUUACCUUGGAGGAGAUGAUGGAUGCUAAACCCGAAUGCGGAUUUGAGCUCAAACACCUUCGAUAUGCCACCGGAAGCAGCCGAUUCUAUGAGGUUACCUUAUCACUUACAAUCAAAGGUUUGGAGAUCAUGCUUCAGAAGAUCCCAAAUAUAUUCACCUCUAUUGACUUGUCAAGAAACAAUUUCGAAGAGCAAAUACCAGAAGAAAUGGGACGAUUUGUAUCACUCUAUGCUCUGAACCUGUCGCACAAUGCUCUCACAGGCUCAAUCCCAUCAUCAUUUGGGAACUUGAAACAUAUUGAGUCCUUGGACCUCUCAACGAACAACCUCAGUGGGAAAAUUCCUGCACAGCUUGCAAGCCUAAAUUUCCUAUCGGUGCUAAAUCUCUCAUACAAUAACUUAGUGGGAAAGAUUCCGACAAGUACUCAACUCCAAUCAUUUUCACCGACUUCUUAUGAAGGAAACAAAGGAUUGUACGGACCUCCUUUGACGAAUGAAAGCCAAGCACGUCCUCCUGAGUUACCACCUUCACUGCCACCAGCUUCAAGCGGUGUAAUUGAUUGGUUCUUCAUAGCCAUGUCAAUUGGAUUUGCGGUCGGCUUCGGAGCAGUUGUUUCACCUCUAAUGUUUUCCGUGCAGGUAAACAAAUGGUAUAACGAUCUUAUCUACAAAUUUAUAUAUCGGCGAUUCCGUGUGUGAAGUGAUUUAAAUCUCUCAUUUUUGAAUAAUCAUGUAAGCUAGCUUCUGCUUCUCUCUUCUGUCAUAGAUGUUUGAUAUUUCUUUUCUUCUCUGUUUCAUAGAGUUAAUAGCGUUGACAAUAAUUUGAAAUAAGGGCCUAUCUAUAACUGUUGCUGAGACAAUCUUUAUCUCAAAAUUGGCUCCAAGUUAGAUCUAUAUUGGAGCAAUUCAUGCACAACAUUUCUUCGAGAGCCCAUACUCAAUUAAUAUGUGCAAGAUUGUGUAUGAUUCCAACUCCAAGCUAGAUACAUAGCGAUUCGUGAUCAUAUUCCAUUUGUUCACUUGGAAGUCUUGAGUUAUGAGCCCAUCUAAGAAUGAGCCCAAAAAGGCUUCGGGCCCUUGUGGUCUGGCCGUGUAGUUUGUUUAAAAUAUUAGUUUAUAUUGUGUUUAAUUCAGACUUUUGUAAUUUUUCAUAUUUCAAUAUAUGUUUUCUUUCUUAUUUAAGGAUGGGAGUGGAAGUCCCACUUCAUAGAUCCCACUCAUUUUUUUAGUAAGGAUUGGGAUUCUCACUUCUAUAGGGGCCACUCCCACAUCUUCUUUUCUUUAUGAAAUAUAAUAAAUUUUAUAUUUAUUAAAAUUAAAUAAAAUUAUAUUAUUUAAAAUUAAAUCAUUAUAUUUAUUUAUGUAAUAUUAUUAUAUUUAGUUAAAAAUAAUAAUUUAUGUAAUCUAAGUUAAAAUUACUUAAAAGUAAUAUUAUUAUAUUCAUAAAAAAUUAAUAAUAUUACAAUAUACCAACUUUAUUUGAAAAAUAAAAUUAUUAUAUUUAUUUAAUAUUGAUAACUAAUAAUAAUAAAUGGUUUACUCUAAGAAAAUAUUAAUUAUGUACUAUAUUAAUAAUAAUAAUAUUCUGUUUGUUUUGCUCUUAUAAUAAUCUUUAUUUAUGUAAUUAAAAUUAAAAUUAAUAAAAAAUUAUGAUUUACAUAAUUAAGAAUAUUAAUAAUUAUUGGUAAUUUAUAUAAUUAAAAUUAAUGAUAAAUUAAAUAGUUUAUUUUAUAAAUAUAUUUUUAUUCACUUUUAAUUAGAAACUACAAUCUUUUAAACAGGGUAAAAGUGUAAUUUAAAAUAAUUCACUCUCAAUCCAAGUUAGAGUAAACAUAUAAAUGAGAUUCUGACUCCUAUUCUACAUUAUUCUUCCAAUGUAAGUGAAUGACUCAUUUCCACUCCCACUCCAUACUCUCAAUCCUUGAAUUCCUAAACCACACCGUAAUUAAGUGGUUUUCAAACAGUUUUAUUCAAUUGUAACUUGAGUUCAAAUAUUGAUAAAAUUAGAAUUAAAAAUUUCUAAAAAAAUUAUUUGAAUUUUUUCCACCACUUUACUUUUUAAAUAAAUGAAAAAGAAAAAAUCUCAAAUAUACAAAUAAAAGCUUUUAGUAUGUGCGCCAAUGACGUUUUUAUUGUCAAUUAUUUUGAGUCAUUAGUAUUGUGUAAUUUUUAUGUUGAAUAUAGUUGUACAUAAUUUAUCUAACUUUAAUAGUAUUUUCUUGCCAACUUGCGUCUUAGCAGUUAGCCAAGUGGUGAACUGCUACUCUCCCAAGUCCUCUUAAAUUUUUCUCUCCUAAUUAAAAAUUAUGUAAAGAUAUGAAUUUUCUCAGUUGAUUUUGUAGGUAGAACAAAUAGCCUUCCAACAUUCGUGAGGUAGAAAUCUAGGUUGUGCUAUAAUGGAGUUAAUAUAGACAGUCUAUCAGUAGACUCUUAAUUGUAUAAUACAUAUUAGUAAGAGGAAAAGCAUAUCUACACUUCCAAGAUUUGGGAAAUGGUCACCGACACCUCUAAGUCUUCAUAAAAGGACACCAAUACCCCUUUUGAUUAUUAUACCAUUUACCUCUAUUAUCCUAAAAAAAUAGACUUUAAAAUUUUUAAUAAAUACAAAUAUUAUAUAAAUAAUGUAAUCUACAUAGUAGACUAAUAAUAUUAAAAUAUUUUAAUAUUUUAAUAGAUUUAAAUAUAUAAAUUAUUAUAUUUCUUUUAAUAAUAUGCUUUUAUUUAUUGUAGAGAUUUUAAAUAAUACGAAUGAAGUGGAAACCAAUCUUCACAAGGAAAUAAAAUUUAUCCUUCAGCCCUUCACAUGGAAGGAAAGAUUAACCUUUAUAAAGAAGGAAGAAAAAGCAACCUUUACACGGAAAGAAAGACUUAAAAGAUGAAAAAGGGAGAAAAAAGUUAUUAAUAGUAAAUAACACUAAUUAAUAAUUAGUAAUAGUGAUACUUAAUACAAUAAAAUUACAUGAAAUUAAAAUAAAAUUGAAUAGAAACAAACACAAUAUCAAUUAUCACAAUGCAAUUAGUAAGUGUCUGUAUAGUAUGACUUAUCUAAUGGUCAUAAGUAUUUAUGUAAUCCCAUAAGCUCCUAAUCAAAUUUUUUGUUAUGGUUUGAUUAUUUUUUUACUAGAACUUUUCAAUAUUAAAUAAGAUAUUUGGUCUCUACUAUCAAAAGCUCAAACUUUGAGCUUUUAGGAGUAAGGGUUAAAAAGAUUUUUUAAAAUGUUAAAAUAUUUAAAAUAUCAUUUACUUAUUUUACAAUCUUAUUUCAUUAUUUUCAUUACCUAACUUUAAAAAAUUUACAUAUUAAAGUAAUUUUAUAAUUUUUAAUAAAAGUUCACAUUAACAACCAAAAAAUUAAAAUUUUUGCCUAAAAUCUCUAUUUAUAAAAGCCCUACUAAUAAAAACAUAUUUAAAUAAACUCAAUUUUAAAAGCUACAACUUAAAUACAACUGGAAAUUUUUUUUCCAUUUUUAAUAUUUAAUUGUCGGGCUGAAGGAUCGGACUAAGACUUUCUUGAUAAACCCCUAGACCGAGCCCGAUCCGGCUCAAUUUCGAACACCUGAAGUCCUAAUCCGACUCGAAGCCUAAAAGUGGAGCCAAAGCCUGGCUAGGCGGGGCGCUCACCCUAGCGGCAACUCAACUCAAAGCCUUGGCUGGAUGGUCGUAGUUUUUGUGCGGUUCAGUUAACAGGCGUGGAUACAACGCUAGGCCGGGUAUGCGCAGAGUCUUAACCUACACCCACUACAUUUCUCCUCUGUCCUCUCUAUAAAUAGCUUUUCGUUUCCCUCUUCUUUCAAAAUCAUCACCGAAUCAACAAAGAACCUGUCGCUCUGUCACUCACUAACAAAAUAUCACGAAACGAUCAAUAAUUAGCAAGUUAUUAGCAAAUUAACUGAACUGCUUCAAGCAAUAAUGGCUACUUUCGGUGCUGCUGCCGUUGCCACCAAUCAAAACCCUAAUAAGUCCAUCGAG